Molecule: long non-coding RNA, 290187 nt
Filed under: Eucalyptus grandis
Lineage: Eukaryota; Viridiplantae; Streptophyta; Magnoliopsida; Myrtales; Myrtaceae
Description: long non-coding RNA (EGRA_LNC002837)
Source: RNAcentral
UCCGGUGGCAGCACAAGGGCAGAGAGGAGGGAUAGUGUCUAUGGUAUUCAACAGUGCAUCUGGGUCUUUGUUUGUGAUCACACGAAGAAAAUGAACAACGAAAUGUAACUCAACAGCGAAUUCAAUAGCAGAUAUCAUGAUACAAAAUAAUCAGUCGAUGAGAAAUUAUACACAAACAUCUAUAGGGAUGUCGAUAAUAACAUCUCCUUCACCAGCACCUUCAGCCUAGCGGAAGCAAAAGCCCCAAACUCAGGAACACCUCGUAACCCCUCCCCGAUCCGCCAUCGCGGCUGCUGCCUGUCCCAGCUGCCGUCGCCGUCUCUUCUCCCUCCCUCUUUCUCUUCAUUCUGUGAGGACGAUGCAGAGAUGGAUCUCCGAAUUGGGUCUGCCCGGUGACUUGGGAAGUCCGAGUCUGAUCCUCGUAGCAACUUGAUCAAGCCAUGGAGAGAGAUCUCUCUCACUUUCGCUGUGUUUGCCUAGAAGUUACACGCGACCUUCCUUCAUUAGUGAAAAAGCCGUUCAGAUUGACAAAAUAAUUGCUUCGAAGAGGAAACACGGGGAGAGAGAGAGAGAGAGAUGGUGGCUUGGCCGAGGUGGGACGCGAAACGAUCGGCGUAGGCGAUGGCCGGGGGCGGCUCGACGACGAGGGGUGACGGCACGGGAAGGGGAGUCGACGGCGACGGCGACGCGUGGCGGAGGCUUGCGGUGACCGAUUGGUGGUAGGGAGAGACUGAGGGAAGAGUAGGGGAUUUUUCAGAGUCCGGAUAUUCUUUUUAAGGAAAAUUCGUCAAAAAAGUGAGGGCAGUUGGGUCAUUUAGGAGGGUAACCGCACCAUGCGCACACGGCGAGUGAACAGAUUUACCGGAGAUUCUCCAUAGGUUUUUUUUUUUAACAUGAGAUUCUCUAUACUUAAGGAGUAAUUUAUCUUAUAUUUUAUUCCUGGAGAAGUUGACACCACAUUUAACAUAUUAAUAAUGUCAUCAUGUCCUGAAUAUGUUAUUUUGUCAUAUUCAAAGUGGGCAUGGAAUUUGAGAUCUAACAUUAUGGGAUUUUAUAAAUGCAAAGCAAACAUAUGUGAAAUAUUUUAUCAGUAUUGACAAUUAACUUCACAUAAAAAAUUGGCUUCUCAUACAUGCACCUCAAAUUGGGAAACAAGAAGGGAGAAGGAAGAGGCAAAUGAAUCCAUUUGUAAUCGUAUUUAUUUAUUUUUUUUACCACAGAUUUACAUUUAAUUAAAUUAUGAAAUGCAAUCAUUGCGUGAAUCACGGGAUCCUAAUAUUGACACUUAUCUUAAUGCCUCCCUAGAUAAAAUUCAGCACAUUAAUAAAUAUGAACACCCACAGAAUCCAAUAGCUAAGAUGAAGUAAGCCCCUAUACAUCAGAUGCAUAUAAGAUUUUGCUCCUUCCACACGCGCAAACUCCUAGGAGGCAACGUGCGCAGAGGCAGACUACUAGAUGUGAAAACGAAAGGCCACCAGUUUAUUAUUCUAUUUGGAUCAAUUAAAUUUGUUUGUAAGCCUAUUUUACUUCUAAAUGGAGAAAUAGUGACUCCUUAAGGCCAAUUGGAAUAAUAGGCCGGUUGUCGAGGCCAUUAGGGAACAUGCGUCGAGGAUCGCUAGAAGUCAACUACUGAGAAAUUAUAUGAUAAGAUGAUUUAAGCAGUCAAAUUCACAAAAGAGAUGAUUUUAUUUGGCGCAUUAGCUCCACAUAAAGCCCAAUCGGACUCAAUUGCCAUUUGGUCUCCCGCCGUUCGCGGAAAUAAUUGUAGGCUUUUAUCAUAAAUAAAGUAUACAUUGGAAAGGUGGCAAUUAUUUACACGGGAGAUGAAAAAGAUCCACAACCCUCACAUUAAUCUUGUGAUGCAAUUAUUUCAUCCAUUACAUAAGCGGUAAAAUGAGUCUACGCAAUUAUGCCAAGAUACACAUGUACGUUUUUCAACAAUUUAUUUCUAUACAUGAGUUCACAGUUUGUUAUAGGUUUGUUAUGUUUAAAAGGAAAAAGAAAGGUGAUUGACUCGUUUCAGUUAAAAAUGAUCUUGUUACAACUAGCUACAUUUUAGGCGGCUAAACAUUCAACAAGGCAAAAUGCCAAAUAAAGCACCUUUGACUUCAGCUAUUUGGCUCUUCAUUAUCAAAUUCAUCGCGCAAAUUUCUUUGCUCAGCUUCACAAAAAUGCCCCCUCAAUUGAUAUUGCAUCUUCAUUUAUUUAUGCUUCCAUUAUGGAACUCCAUCCGGUAAAAACUGAGAAAUUAUACAUGAGCAUACACCAAAGAAUUAAUUCUUCAACAAAAGCAAACGUCGUGUCAUUAUCAACAAAGCUUGGCUUAGAAUUAUCACAACUACCAAUUUCACAGCCCUUUUCAUCAUCAUAUGAUGUCUAAAGAAAAAUAACAGAUAUAUGGAGCAUCAGUUCAUGUAUCAAACACCGUUUGUUUUGCAAAAAAUGAAUAAUUAAAAAAUUAAUUUUCUAAAAAUAAUCAUUUACCAAAAUGAAUGAACGAAAUAUAUAUUUCCCUUGUCCAUGAAAAUAUUAAAACAUAAAUUGUUAUCGAUAACAAAAAUAUUUUCCAUUUACUAAUUAUUUCAUUAAGCUAUUCUUUGCUUCAAAUAUUUUGGAAUAUUUUAUUCAUUCUCCUCCAUAAAUUCAUCAUAUAACUCGUCAUACAAAUAUGCUGGUUUUUUUUUUUUUUUUGCCUCUCCUCCUUUUGCUCCCCCAAUCUAAGGUAAUACACCAAGGAGAUUGUAUAGUUGACAUCAAAUAGUUGAUGUGUUAUAGAACAAUUGAUAUAUUUUAGUUUAUUUGGGCCAAAAUUACUUUAUCUAGUUGACUCAUAACAGGGUAAGCUUUGUGUGAUUGGACCUCACUAAGUUUGUUAACAGGCUUAAGGUUUCAGCUUUAACUUGCAUACUUUCCACGGAUGAUAGAAAUAGUGAUUAAGUGACGAAGUCCUUCAAUUUAAUUUCUCCUGGUGCAUUGACUACCAAUGACAUCUAUAGUACUUAUGUUGACUAGUUAAGAGAAAUGGACUACUAUUCCAAAUUAUAAAAGACCAAUUCGAUCAAAUCAAUUAAAAAGUGGUCUCUCCAAUUCACGUUGCCUCGUUCUUGGGAAGUCUUGAGUUUGAUCCUCGUAACAACUUGAUGACGCAAUGGAGAGAGAUCUCUCACUUUCGCUGCGUUCGCCUGGAAGUUACCUGCGGCCUUCCUUCGCAAGUGAAAAAACCAUUCAGAUCGACAAAAUAAUUGCUUCGAAGAGGAAACACGAAAGGAGAGAGAGAGAGCUGUGCAUCAGUUUUCACCUUCAAGCGAUGAGUGGGGAGUGGAGGACCAUCGCUUCCAAUCUCGCCAAGCCCAGAUACGGGCCUCGUCGGCUUCGGGCGACCUCAGAUCUGGUGUUGCCCACGACCGCGAAUAGACGGAGCGAGGCUGCCUCGAGGAGAGAGAGUCGGGGACAGAGAUGGUGGCUUGGCCGAGACGGGACGCGAAACGAUCGGGGCAGGCGAUGUAAGAAUUAUCGUGGCCCACAUGAUAUGAUUUAUUAUAUGAUUUAACAAUAAUUGAAAUGCUAUAAAAUAAAUAAUGUAUUGGUUAUGAGAAGUUACGACUCUAAUAAAACAAAGAAGUAAGACUUUUAUGAAAAUUGAAAAUGCGCUUUAAUGGAAGGCACCCGUUAAAAGAACAUAUAAAUAGAGUCCGGUCCUCUCUCCGCCUACAACGAACAACAAUAACAAAAAAGCACUUAGUAUUCUCUCCUCCAUCAUUUGAAUAAAUUAAAGUUUAGUGGGUUAAGGGAGAGAAAUCAGAUUUAUUCAUUUGAUUCGAGUUGUUUGGUUUUUCACAACGAUUAUCAUCAAAGGGUAACGCUAUGGACAAAGGUAUGUUUUCAUCCAUUUAUGAAAAUCAUGAAUAUCAAAUAUCACUGUUUUAUUAUGAAUUUCCGCAUUAAAGAAUCAUUUAUAUUAUCUAACAGGCGAUGGCCGGGGGCGGCUCUACGAUGACGACAACGGUGAUGAAGAGGUGGCGGAGGCUUGCGGCGACCGAUUGGUGGAGGGAAGAGACUGAGGGAAGAGUAGGAGAUUUUUCAAAGUCCGGAUAUUUUUUUAAGGAAAUUUGUCAAAAAAGUGAGGGCAGUUGGGUCAUUUAGGAGGGUAACCGCACCAUGUACACGCGGCGGGUGAACAGAUUUACCAGAGUCACGUGUUUGGAGUGCUUUGCAAUAAGAAAGGAUUAAAACUAAAACUAGGUACUUUGCCCAAGCUUUACGCGAUAUCAUAAUAAAUGUACUUUAAAUAUGUUUAUUUUCAUUUUUAUUUUUGUUAAUGUCGAAAAGUUCGGAUUGUGUAUAACACUUGUUUCUUAUCCAUUAGGUAUAAAAUUACCAAGUAAAAUCAUUUGUCAGAUCAAGCAUGAAAAAUACACAUGAAAGUUUUAAGUCAAAUUUAACUUUUCAUAAAGGUAUAAUAAUAAAAUUUAAAAAAUUGAAUAUUGCUACUUUCUAUACCAAUUAUGUAACAACCUGAAUUCUCAGAUUUCAUUUUCAAUUAAAUAAAUUGAGCAUUUUGUCGACGCGCCUAUAGUGCUAUUAUCUGAGUUGAUUACUCACAACAUAAUUGGACUAUCUGGGGAAGCAAUUAAGGAAUCUAAAUGCAAUAAACUUGAGAAUUCGAUCAGGAAUUGAUAUCUCGAUCAUGUUGAUCUGCAAGGGUCAUUACGGCAUUGUCGAAAUCGAUCAGAGACCGGAGAUAGGUCGAUUUAACUAAAAUAUGUGAUUAGAGUGUGGGUGAUUCCACAUAAUUGCAAAAUACUUGUCGAUCGACACUAGACCGAUUUUUCUAUCAUUUUGGUACCCGGUGUUCAUAAUUGAAAUCUUGAGAUUUUCACGACAAUCAAGAUUCGUCAAUGUGUCGAAGAUGUACAUUAUGACUCGAGAUAAAUCGAUCACAGGUCAAUUGCACCAAAAAUUCCUAAAGGUUACCCAGUAGACUAGGUCACGCUAAAAUUGCAUCGGAUUGAAAUUAACCGUGAAUUUGAACCCGAUUUCAGAAAUUGAAAGUUCUGUCGUGUCAUGAUCUAUUUUAGAAUUGUCGACUCAUCAUCCAAAAAGUUUUCGGAGAUUCCGGGAUUUUUACGGAAAAAUCGAUUUGGACGUUGCGGAAAAUAGUGAAAAUUUUGAUGGGCUAAAUUUAAAAAAAAAAAAAUUGGACUUACAAGCAGAGCCUUUGAGCGUUAGGGACUUACAGAAAAUUGUUAGGGAUUUUUCUUCAACGAAAUCGGACAUCGAUCGGAGAAUUUCGGAAAGAAAUUGAACCUAAAGUGGUGAAAUUCGGACCUUAGGAUGGGGGUGUGCAACAUUGGUAGCAAUUUGGAUAAUUGUGGAUUUAUACUUCAAAAAAAUAAUUGGGGGACAAUAAAUGAUAAACAUGAAGACUUUAAAUGCCGAAUUACGAUGAUUUAGAUAUUUUUUAUUGGACUUUUUUGUGCCCCUUUCUCUCCCCUUCGCACGCCUCAUCCAUUCCUUCUUCAUCGUGCGAAACCUCUCUCUCUUUCAUUGCAACCCACCGAACCAGCUUAUCUCACUUUCCUUUCAUUUGCUUUUUUUUUUUUUUCCUCUCUUUCAUUUUACUUCAAGCACCCCACGUGAGUCAACCUUCCAACAACAAACUUUGGUUUGUUGACCGCCCCCAUCAUCUUCGUUUUUGCGCCACCGAAGCAGCUCCGUGUCCCACGCGUCCGAAGCUGCCUCUUCUUCCUUCGCACGCGACUUCCCCCUUCGCAGCUUCUCUUUCUUUUUUUUCUUUUUUUUGUUUCGGCUCUCUUUCACUUUUCCCUUGAAGCAGCCCCUUUCUUCGAACACUGCAGCUCCUUCCUCUGAAAUUUUGAGCCCACGUUCCUCUGCCCACCAGUGGCCGAAGCCCACCGAUCUUCUCUCUCUCGCAUUGCUGUCCCCACACCGGUCAACUCCAGCAAAUCUUCUCCACCUUAGUUGACCCAACAGCUCCCUUUGUGCGCCAGCUGCCAGCGCUACCAGCCUGCUUCCAUUUGCUAGUUCGUGAGUCCAGCGAAGCCGUAGCAGCCCAGCUUCCAUGCCCGUGAGAUCCACCGAAUUAGUAGGCCCAUUCUAUGCAGCCAUCUGAAGCCGAAGUCCAGCCCAUGCAGUUCUUUUCUUCAGCCCAUUUCCAGCAGAAUUUCAACCUGCGAGCUCAGGCCCAAGUUCAGCCUAAGUUUCCAGCUCACUUGAGGCCUGUGCAGUCAAGCCCGCGAUUUUGAGGUCCAUUUGAAGCCCGCGAAGCAGCCCAACUUGGGUCCAGCCCAAAUCAAGAACAAAUCUCAGCUUGGGCGAGAUUUGUUGGGCCGGCUCUAGGCCCGGUCCAAGCCCAUUAAUGCCGCCGCAAACCCAAGUUUCGGCCGUCGUUGCAUCAUCGUCGCGGUGAACCAGUUUCUGAGAUAAACCAGUGAGUUUACGCACUAAACUCUUCUUAGUAGGCUAAUAACGUUUAAUGGGUGUUUAGAUUUAUUUAAGUGCAAUUAGUUUAACUAAUAAGUUAGUUAAAUUAGGAUAGUUAGAUAAAGUGAUUAGGUGGUUAGAAAUUUAUAGUUAAUUAGAUUAGUGUAUUGUUAUAUAGCUAGGGUGCUUAGAAUAAUUUAUUUAGCUCAAUAGGUGGUUAGAUUAAAUUUAUUUAGCCUAAGUUAGAAUUUUAGUAUUUAAUGCAUUUAUUUAAUAAAUUUUAGAAAUUAUUUAAUUAUUAAAUAUUUUUCCAGAAAUUAAGCUGGGAUAGUCGGUGACCGGAAUUUCGUGUUGAUUGCAAUGGUGUGGUUAAUUUUUGCAAUCGAGUGUUAAAUUGUGAAAUUUGAGUGUUGAUUGAAAAUUUGAUCAAUUAUUCCAAAAUUGGUGAAUUUUGACAUUUAUCUAGAAAAUCCUGGGUGUCGGGUUUUAAACACCAAAAAUGGUUUUUAUAUACUAUAUAAACUAGUGGGAUUUUUUUUUUUUUUAAAAAAAGAGGAUUAUGAAUUUUCUGAGUCCAAUCUAACCGUAUACCCACACAUGACUAUUUUCAUCGGGUGUUUUUACUACGAAUGAAAUAAGCAAGGAUCACUAUUUUAAUUGAGGCAUUUGAGUGCAAUGCACGGUGUCCUGGGCCGAAAUUAAGUGGUUGUGUGUUGGUUAAGAGAACUCGUCCCUGAACUGUGUCGAAUGGAUGUUACCUUAUGUGGGAUACCCAUUUAUUGGAUUUUGGGUCGUAGUAGAGGCUAGAUCUAUACUUCUUCGGGAAAGUCGUCUUUGAGAGACGUAACCGUGCUCAAUGGGUUAAGACGAUGCCUGGCUACGCCAGCAGACCGCCAAACUUCUACUAGGUCGUACCCUAGAGUGGGCGAAAUUAUCAAUUGGAACGCAUGUUGAGUGGAGUAAAUGCGCUGGAUUAUGGGACAAAAUUAUGUGACAUAGUAUGGGACGUGUCAUAAUAAUUUAGCCUUAUAAUGUGGACCCCUGUGAUUUAUUGAGUUGAGUAAUGCGUUUCAAUUGUUGUGUGCAUUGAUUUUAUGCAUAAUGUGUAUAAACUAUGCUGGCCUGCAAGGUGAAACUGAGGCGAGGUAAGUCAUCUAUACUAAAUGCGUGAUUGAGUGGUUAGGACACCCUUGGGUGUAUUUCCCUCCUAAUCGGGGUAUAAAGCGUGAACUCGCUAAGAUUUAUAUCUCACCCCGUCGUGGGAUAAAUUUUCAGAGUUGUCGAGUGGAAGACUUGAAGCCGAGAGGAGGUGAUUAGAAGUGUAGGUUACUUAGGACUGUUUCUUUUUGGAAAGCCAGUCUGUGUAGUCUUUUGGUCAUAGACCUUGUACAUGACUCAAUGUGUAUAUAAAAGUGUGUUUUGUUUGUGAAAUUGUUGUCCUGCUUUUUUAUCAGGGGAUUUAUUUUUACUUCCGCAUAUAUAAUAAAAUGAAAAGGGUCGGCGACUCACCUAGGAAGUCGCAAAAUUUUAUUGACCAGAGAGGGAUGGGCAUACGUUCGGGGUUCGGGGCAUGACAAAUUGGAUUCUAUUUUCAAUUUAGAAUAUGUGGAUUUUUUUUUAUUCAGUACCAUAUCUCCAAAGGACAUUUUAAUUUGAUCUCAAUUGUUGAGUUAAACCUCAAGACCAUCUCAACUUGUUCCUUGUAUAAAAAUUCCUAUGUGACAUCUAAGAUUGAAAGGAAACCCCAUUAGAAUAAGUCAAUUUUGGAUAGUUGAUCGUCAAGACUAAAAAGCAUCUAGCAUCGAGUCUUUAUCCCAUGCUCACAAUCACAUUACAUCUAUUGCUUGCUAUUAAAUGGUUGUUUUGUAGAAAAGAAAAAAGAAAGGGUAAAAGUCAUCCAAAAUCCUAAAUUAUAUUUAUUGUGAUACAUUUACUCUAAUUUUUUUUUGUGACACUAGGAACCUAAACUUGUAUCUAUGUAACACAUUUAUCUCAAAUUUGUAUAGUGAGACACAUUUAUCCAAAACUUCUUUUUGUGAUACCAAAAAUCCUAAAUUUGUAUUCGUGUGACAUGUUCACCCUUAAAAUUUGGCAUCGAUUUUAAUGUUACAAAAAACAAUCUAGAAUAAAUAUGUCACACAGAUAUAAGUUUGGGAUUUUUAGUGUUGCGGAAAAAAUUUGUGGUAAAUGUAUCACACGGGUAAAGUUUGGGAUUUUUUUUUUUUUUGACUUUUUACCUUUUAUUUAUUUUUUUCUUCUCUAUAUGGGCUAAAGAACGUAGAUCUUUAUACAUUGACAAGCAGUGAUUCACCUUUUCUCUCACCACGAUGAAAAAGGUUUCUUUCUGUCAUGCCCUAAAUCUUAAGUGUGCGCACAUCCCUCGGUGGUCGAUAAAAUUGCAACGUCCCGGGACGUGUUGCUGACCCAUUCAUUUUAUUGUACAUGCGGAAGCGAAUAAACAAAUCCUCAUACAACACAAAUAUGGGAUUGAAGAGCAGGACCGCAAUUUCACCAAAACCCAAAUUUUCAUAAACAAACUAGUCUGUCUACAAAAAGAUCGACUUUAAAAAAGAAGCUGUCCUACGAACUACUAGUCGGACACGUUUGCCGAUCCUUCGGACUCCACCUCCACAGCUUCGGAGGCUUCGGGUCCUCCACAACCCCAUCAAGAGGGUCAAUUGCACCCUUGCCUAGAGCAGUGUUGACCGCAAUGAUGGGGAUAUCAAAACCCUGAACGGGACCUUUCUUAUAUCCAUUGAGCCCAUGGUGAAACCACACCCUGAAUCGAUGAGGUACCCUUUGAGGUAAGCCCUCAUCAACCCAGAUAGUGGUCACAACAAGCUCAUGGAUCCAGUGACUCUCGAGGAUAGGGACAUCUAUACUCCACUCAAUAACCCCCCAAGGCUAUCUAAAAGAACCAGAGGGACUGCCAUCUAAGGACCUGAAAAGGUUAAGCCCAUGACCAAGGUGAGACAACGUCUCAGCAAGUCUCCCUAAACCCCAAUUUAGAAAGAAAAUACGCCUAGAGGUAAUCUAACCACACAUCACAGAAGACUUACCUUGCCUGUGUUCCUUCAUGCACGUUAGUACAAUUCAUAUCACAUAUAAUUGCAUUAAAAGCACUCAUCAAUCGGGAUGUCUCAACUUAUAACCCGAACAAUUAGGGAUGUCUCAACUUAUAACCCAAACAAUUACAGGGGUCUCGAUUAUAAGGCCAAAUCAUUAUGACACGUCCCAUUCUGUGCUACACAAUUUUGUCUCAUAAUCAGUUGCGUCAAUUUCAAUCAAUCAUGUGUCCCAAUUGAUUACGACCCAACGGCCACAGUCAACUCAACAGUUAGUAGUCCUUCGGCAUAGUUGGGCGUCGUCCGGCACCAUCGAGCACGGUAACGUCUAUAUCUAGACAGCAUUCCAUAUAGGAGCAUUGGCCUAGCCUCCAUUGCGAUGGGCAUUAGUUGACUUGGGGCAUUCCCGAAGGAGCAUUGUCUAGCCCCAAAGGCUCGUGACGGGUUCUCAUAUCAUUCAUGCACCCAUCCAAUCCCAGCCAAGACAUAGUGCUUUGCACUCAAAUAUCCCAAUUAAAAUAAUGUAUUUGGCCCACUUUCUUCGUAUUAAAAACACACGGUAAAAUAAUCAUAUGUGAGUACAUGGUCAAUUUAAACAAGAAAAAUUAAUAUCCUUCUUUUUAAAAUCCCACUGUUUGAUAUAGUCUUUAAAAAUAUUUUAGGUGUCAAAACCCGACACUCGGUAUUUUCUAAUUACAUACCAAAAUUUCAUAAUUUUAAAAUAAAUACUCAAAAUCGCAAUCAUCACUCAAUUUGCACAAAUUAACAAUUAAUUGCAUAAACUAAGCACACAAUUGCAAUCAGCACGAAAUUCCGGUCACCAGCUAUCCCAGGACAAUUUUUGGAAAAUAUUAAAUAAUUAAAUAAAUAGCAAAAAUAAUUAAAUAAAUGCAAUUUAAUCCAAUUAAUGCAAACCUAGGUCGGAAACGCUAAUUUAACCACCUAAACGGGCCAAGAAAAUUAAUGCACUUAUCUACAUAAAUAGUACAAUCUAUUUAGCCCUUAAUCAAUCUAUUCUAACCACCUAACCAUCAUAAUUAAGCAAUUAAAUCAUUAAUCAAAACUAACUAACCACCUAAGCCAUACUUAGCCUAAUCUAAUUACAUACUAAACAUCAUUAACUCCCUAGAUUGGUGAGUCCAAGGUGACGAUGAUGCAGAGGUGGGCGACACACAAGCCUGCAGCGACACCAAGCGUGUCACGCCCCAAUCCUCGACACACGCACAUCCUUCACACUUGGUCGAUUUUAUAAUGCGAUAUCCCAGGACAAUGUAUCGCCGACCCUUUCAUUUAUUAAGCACAUGCGGAAGCAGUUAAAAUCCCCAGACAAUAAAACGAUGGGAUAGAAAAGCAAGGCCAUAUUUUUCAUAUUGAAAUUUAUAACUAAACUUUUAUACAAACACAAACCAGAGCACUUCAGAACUUUUUACUUUAAACUCUAUUCACAUCAAAAUGAAGAUCUCAAAAGAAGAUAGAACUUCAGUUCACCCGGGCCGUACUCAAGGCCCCUCUCGGGAUUAUCUUCUUCUCCCAAAAAUCCUUCUUAGACUCCUCCUCCUCAUCUCCUCAGCGGGGUCCUGAAAUGAUUUCCCCAAACCGGGAUGAGACUACGUCUCGGCGAGUUCUACCCAACUAAGGCCAGAUUAGUAAACUAUUAUACUACAGGCUGCCUAAACACGCACAGGGCAGAGGACUUACCUUGGCCUCAGAUCUCACCUGCAAGUCAGUACAAUUCACAAUAGGCACCCAUUUACUCAAAACAAAUCGAACCAGUCGAUUACAUGUCACACAAAUCACUCUCCACGGAGGAGUAUUUAAAAGCGAGGCCAGGUGCAUUCUCUAGGACGACAUUCCAAGUCUCCGAGUCCACGUGCCUCGAACCUUGGGCCCACGUGCAUUCUCUCAGGCGACCUCUUCGCCAAAGUGAUACAUCAAGUCACCGAGCCCACGUGCCUUUUUAGAUGCCUGGGCCCACGUGCAUUCUCUUAGGUGCUAUCUCACCAAAGUGAUGCAUCAAUUCAUCGAGCCCACGUGCCCUUUUUACGAUGCCCGGGUCCACGUGCAUUCUCUUAGGUGCUAUCUCAUCAAAGUGAUGCAUCAAUUCACCGAGCCCACGUGCCCUUUUUACGAUGCCCGGGUCCACGUGCAUUCUCUUAGGUGCUAUCUCAUCAAAGUGAUGCAUCAAUUCACCGAGCCCACGUGCCCUUUUUACGAUGCCAAACUCUGUCACCGAGCCACGUGCAUUCUCCAGGAUGACAUACCGAGUCUUCGAGCCACGUGCAUUCUCUCAGGCGACCUUUUCGCCAAAGUGACAUAUUCAACCACUGAAUUCACGUGUAUUCUCCAGGUGAUAUUCCAAUUCACCGAGCCCACGUGUUUUCUUUCAAGUGAUUACCAAUCUACUUUCAAUACCGACAACCAAUGCCCAACAAUUUCUCAAUCAAAUAAUUAAAUCAACUCAACAAAGCAUAUAAAUGCUGAAUAACAUACUUGGCCAUUUACCAGUCAACAAUUCAAUCUCAAUCAAUUCCAAUCAAUUUAGGGUAAAUCCCUAAAAUAUCACAAUUUAUUCAAUUCCAUACAACGUGGAGCUCAAAUAAAUAAACGGACUGCGCCACGACGAUCAGCAUGAGAUUUCGGUCUUCGGCCAUCAAAAUCUUAAUUUCCGAAAAAUAAUUAAUUAAUUAAUUAAUUUCGAAAAUUAAUUAAUAAAUAUUAAAAAUUCAAUUUAGCUCAAAAUAAAGCCCGAUUAAAUAAACGGACUUCACCACGGUCAUCAGCAUAAUUUUCCAGUCCCGGGCCAUCUCAGUUGAAUUUUCGGAAAAUAAAUAAUUAUUUAAUUUAAUUCCGAAAAUUAAUAUUUAAAUACUAAAAAUUCCACUUAGGCCCGAAAAGCCUAAUUAGAGCCCACUAAGGGUCGGGAAAAAUCCCGAGGUACUUCCAAUAAUUAGUAGACCACGUCUACUUGUUAAUUGCGCAAUCAAUUUAUCUAAAUCGCAUCACAAUUGACUAAUAAUUGCUAAUUUAUUCUAGAUCUAACAACCUAAACAUAAUUAAUUAAAUCUAANNNNNNNNNNNNNNNNNNNNNNNNNNNNNNNNNNNNNNNNNNNNNNNNNNNNNNNNNNNNNNNNNNNNNNNNNNNNNNNNNNNNNNNNNNNNNNNNNNNNUGGGGAUUCGCACGAGGGGGGGAAAGGGGAGAGGAGAGAGAGAGAAAAGAAAGAAAAGAAAAGAGAGGGGGAGAGAGAAAAAGUAAAAUAAAAAUAACACCAUUUUUCUUAUUUUCUUUUCUUUUCUCUUUCCCUAUUUAUUUCCUUUCGGUCUUCGAUUUUUCCUCCGCUAAUUUCUUUCUUGAAAUUUCGGACUCGGCAAUAAAUUGAUGGACGAUGAGACGGUCCUAAAAAUGAAUUGUGACACGCCCGAAUAUUCGAUUCUCAAAACCGAAUUAAAUUUCAUGAUUAAAAUCGAUCGGAUGCGAUUUUAGUCCAAUCCAACCAAUUAGGUAGCUUUUAGGGAUUUUACCGCGGUUAUAUCCCUUAACGGCUUCACCCAAUAGGUUAGCUAACUCGUGAGUGAUCAACUCAGAGAAAAAGGACCAUAGACGCGCUGACGAUAUGCACAUUUCACUUUAUCGAAACGGGGUCGAAUUUUAGGAUGUCACAAAGCGAGGUCCGGAAGAGACCUAAAACGGGCCACGAAGCCUAACAGCCACUGCUGGCCUUCGGUUCUGUCCAAGGAUCGAAGGGGCUGGGUCGAGUGCUGGAUCGGCUAGAACAACCAAGGCGGGACGGCGGCGACUGUUGUAAUAUCUUGAAAUUUUCAUUUCUACUUUCAAUUAAAUUAAGCGUGCCUUUCGUCAACACGCCUAUAGUGCUAUUCUCAGAGCUGAUCACUUCUGAAAUAAUUUGACUAUCUAGGGAAGUCAUUAAGGGAUUUUAAUGCAUUAGACUUGAGAAUUCGACUAGAAAUCAGCUACUCGAUCGUAUUCAUCGGCAGAGAUCAUUACGGCAUAGUUAAAAGUCAAUUAGAGAUCAAAGAUAGGUUGGUUCGACAGAGAUUUGUGGCUAAACAUGGGUGAUUCCACUAAAUUACAAAAUUCUCGUCGACCGACACUAAACUGAUUUUUCUGUCGUUUUGGUAUCCUGUGUCUGUAUUUGAAAUCUCGAGAUUUUCACAACCACCGAGAGUCACCAAUAUGUCGAAGAGGUUCAUUGUGACUUGAAGAAAAUCGGCCACGGGUCAUUUGCACUAAAAAUUUCUGAAAGCUACCCAAUAACCUAGGUCAUCCUAAAAUCACACCAGAUUGAAAUUAACUGCAAAUUUGAAUCCAAUUUCAUAAAUUGAAAGUUUUGUCAUGUCACGAGUCAUUUUAGGAACGUUGACUCAGUCUCCAAAUAUUUUUCUGCAAACCGAGAUUUUGGCAGAAAAAAUCGAUAUGGGGCCGUUUUCGACCGAAAAAUGUGGAGGACUAUUUUUUUAUCGCGAAAGUGGGAUGCAAGUAGGAUCUAUUGGUGAGGAAAAAUGCCAAGUUGAUUGAGGACUCAACGGUUGAAUUUUUAGAAGCCAAAUGGAGUUGAUUCAAAGAGGAAUUGAAGUCCAAUUUGGGGAAAUUCCAAUCAAAAUUCAUAGCUCCCCCUUGGACCCAACAUUUGGACCACUCCAAGGCUUCUAGAGGAAGAAUUGGUUGCUAGAAAUUGUAGAGGAAUCCAGCUGGGCAUUGGUGGGACACACCAAGGGGACAAAGAGAUGAGAGAGAGGCCAAGGUGGCCCCCCUUAUAGCAGUCGGUUCCCCUCCUUCUCCUUCCUUCGGUCGAGCCUCCAUUUCCAGUAGCUAGAAGACUUCAAAAUUUCUAGCAAAACCAGAGAAACCGCAGCCCCUUCCCCCUUGACCAUUCGAGCAGUCCGCUGGAGCCCAGAGCCACCGUCGCACCGUUUGGCCGUCCGCCGAGCCACCGCAUGCCAGCCUCACGCCUGCACGUCUCUUGCUGUCAUCCCUACCCGUUCCCACUUCCAGUAGCUUGCCGGGCCAGGUCAGGCCACCGUCAGAGCUUCCACCACCGCUGUACGCCAUCGCCUUCGCCCAUCCAAGCCAUAGCAGCCUCAUCGUGCCCGUUUCUAGCUCAACCGACCACCAGAGCAGUCUUCUUUGCCCUUGACCAAAACCGGAGCUAGUGGGUUUUCAACCCGCUGUUUGGCCCAUUUUCGAGCCUUUCCCGGCCCCGCUUGGUGGUCCCGCUUUGGAGUUUGUUGUUCCUCUCCGCGUCCCUGUCGUUGUGGUCUAAGCAGAUCGUUAAUCAAGUGAGUUUAACUCACUAAUCCCUACUUAGUAAGUUAAUGAUGUUUAAGGGUUGAUUAAUUUAGACUAAGUAUGGAUUAUGUGAAUAGUUAGAAUAGAUUAGUGAAUUAAUUUAUUGUUAUUGUAUGUUAGGUGGUUAAAGUAUUGUAAUUAGAGCCUAGACAAGCUCUAGUAUUUAUCUAGAGUGGUUUAGAAAUUUUCCGGGCCCGUCUUGGCUUUUAUUUAGGCUUUUCUAGCUUAAGUGGUAUUUAUCGGUAUUUAAUAAUUAAUUUUCAUAAUUAUUUAAUUAAUUAUUAUUUUUCGAAAAGUAGACCGGGAUAGCCGGUGACCGGAAUUUUGUGAUGAUUGCAAUGGUGUGAUUUUUUUUUUAUUAAUUGACUGCUAAUUUGUGCAAUUGAGUGUGAUUUGUGAUUUUUGGUAUUUAUCCCAAAAUUUUAUUUAAUUUCAGCAAUUAAUUAGAAAAUCACCGGGCGUCGGUUUACAACGCGAAAAAUGAAUUUGAGGACUAUUGAAAUUAGUGGGAUUUUCAAGGAGGAAAAUAUUGUAUUUUGGCUAACGCCGGUACUCACACACGAUUAUUUUUAUCGGAAAUGAUAAAAAUGGUGAAAUGGUUAGAUGAUCAGGAUGGUAUACUAUAUCAACUUGCAGGCUCGAUAUGUCAGCUUAGAGUGAGCAGUAUAUCGAUAUAUUAUAUCAACUUGCGGGCCUUGAUAUGUCAGCUUAGAGCGAGCAAUGUACCUUAACAGCUUCUGGUGAGCAUUAUUAGUAUACUAUAUUAGCCUACGGGCCUUGAUAUAUCAACUUAGAGCGAGCAGUAUAUUAUUUAUCAGCUUAGAGUGAGCUAUACUAUCUAUUUAUUAGCUUAGAGUGAGCAGUCCUGGUUAUGAUUGAACUUUAUAGAUAGUAUGAUUGAGAUGACCGGGGAAUGGUCUUGAUGAUAUGAAAUCGGCUGAGUCGAUUAAUCGAUUGUUCAAUAUGAGUGGAUGAAUUAUUGGUUGAAAUGAUUGAAUGGUUAUAUGAAUUGUAUUGACUUGUAGGAAGAAAUGGAGGCAAAGGUAAGUCAUUUGACCCGUGCUUGUGCUUAGACAGCCCUAAGGGCGUAUUUUCUUCCUAGUUGGGUCUUAGGGGGUGAACUCACUGAGACGUUGUCUCACCCCAUUGUGGGAUAACUUUUCAGGUCCCUAGAUGGCAGCUUCUCCCAAGCAUUAACUUCCGGUAAACUCUGCUAAUCAUAGGGACCAUCGGGUAUCAGAGCUUUGGUCCAAUGGCUCCUCCUAUAGGUGGUAGGGUAGGGUGGGUGGUACUGCUCAAAUUGCGGCCAAUCUUCCUAACCGCGUGACUUUACGUUUAACUGGUAUUGACUAUAACUGCUAUUGAUCUCCCACUACACUGUCAGUAAUAGAAGGAGCAAAGAGUCUACUAUACCUUGGCCCCUCCUUCUCUAAUCUUUAGAUAAUUCUCAUGGAAUGUCUCCAAAAUGAUCGCCCGUGUUGACGCCAUUAACAGAGUCUACAUUCUAACCAGAAAAUCUUGGAAUAGGUGGUUCUCUCUCCAACUUGCUAGGGUGACGAAUUAUCCUCGUUGGCUGAGGAAUGACUCUUCUGAUUUCUUGUUUUUUCCAUUAACAGUUCCUAUGAAUGGAACACAAUGGUCCCAUUGGGUGUGCCAAAAAGAUGUUUGUCGAGGGAAGUUCCCUCGACAAAAUCUUUCAUCAAAGGGGUAAAGUUUCAACUUUAUUAUUUAAAAUGGAUUAUGUGUCACUCCGGAAAGGAAGCAACUGAUCUAAAUUACAGGCAAACAUAGAUGCAGGAAAAAAAGGAGACAAAAUAAAACUACGAUUCAAAUUAAAAGUGUGAUCAAAGAAAUAGAGCGAUUGAAAAGUAGAUGAUCAAUUAUUGAUUUGGGAAAUUGACCUUUCUAUUGAUGCCUCUUCGGCUAUUUAUAGUGGCGAUUUAUGGGUAACUGCUCUUUAGUGGUUAUCAUUUCGAUAUUCAAAAUGUUUCAGAAGCUUUGGCUCCUUAUCGAUAACCACUUUGCCAUAUCGAUAUUUUCAUUGGUAUCGAUUCCCGUAACUACUUCCUUUCUUGUCUCGCUUGCCUUGGCAAGUUCUAAUGUCACACUAUUCGAAAUCUUCGUUGUUGACUAUUGGUGUUUUGGCCCACUACCCAUGAAUUCUUGUGUGCUAGGCCUGCUUUACUCUCUUCUAUUUCCAAAGCCCAACAAGCAAAUUUUGGAUGCCAACAGAAGCACAUGCAAGAAUAUGAGAGGAAGUCGUGGAUCUUUCAAAUGUCCCCUGAAUGUGACUAAUUGACCAAGAUCUAUAAAAAAAUAUAAGGUAGUUUGAUUAAGCUAAUUAUGAGUGAAAAUAGUACUUCAGCAAACAAAAGGUAAGGUUAGUACAUUAAGCCGUUGAAUGCCUAAGCAUAACACAACUCUUAGCCAGAAAUAGUUCGACUGGUAAUAAUUAUUGCUCAUAUAGAUUCCCAACCAUUACACUUGAAGACAUUCAGCAUGAAUAGUUGAUUGCAUUCUGGAACUCUGCAUAAACAGAUGAACAAAGGUAAUGAUUAUUGCCGGAGAAGUAGAAUUUCAACUUUAAUAAUGGGAAUGCUUGAAAUUGCAAUUAUAACCAUUGACAUCAAAAGUGGAGUAAAGAUGGUGGUGAUCUUUGAUUGUGCAUCAUCAGAUAGUCCCUGCUCAAUCUUCAAAACUACAAGAAACAAAGGUGAUACAAAAAGGAGAAAUCUAAGUUAUUGCAUUUGCCAUAAUUAAUUCACUAAAAAGUUGAGUCAUCAAAUUCCCAAACUGAGCUUAAAACAACAAAGGAAAAAGAAAAGGACUUGUCAUCCGCAUAACAAAUAAGAAUUUUAAAAUAUAAAUGUCUUAUCGGGCAAAUUGAAAUAUCUUCCCUAAUUGUAAUUUAAGAUGAGCAGGAACGAACCAAUAGCAAACAAAUAGAGAAGAAAAUUGUAGUUUCACUCUCUUUUGGAGGUGAACAUUAAAGAGAAUUGAUAUAGAGAAAAUUUGAGUUAAUUGAUUGUUCAAAAUACCUCUUGUCAAACCUAAUUUUGUAUGUUGACCAAAAAAAUAAUAAUUUUGUCUAGUAUACCUAACAUUACUUAAAUAUUUUUAUGGAUCAAAGGGACUAAUUAUAUUCAUUCCUUUUCUCACCAUGAUAACCCAUGAGAAGUUUCCAUAUUGACAAUUUCAUGAACUGAGCAAAGUAGGUGAGUCACCUAAAUCUUUUAAUUAAGCAAAGUCUUAGUAAACAAUGAUACAUACCUCAUCCAUCUUUGUUGAACCUCAGGCAGUAACUUACAGUGAGUUCGCAAGAUUUUGGCACUCCCAACAUGCUCUUCAGUGAUUCACACCGAUUGAAAUCCAAUCUUUUUAGAUUUUGUAAAUUAGACAGAUCAUAUUUGUUUAAGCUUUUGAUGGAAUUACAGUUCCAAAUCCAUAGCGUCCGCAAUGAUUUCAAUUCUCCCAAACCCUGAAUCUCAAUUAGGUGAGGGAAUUGACGCAGGUACAAAUGCUGGAUCUUCUUCAGACAAGGCAAAAUGGGCAGAGUCUUAAGUAAUGGACAGUCGAAUAUCAUCAAUUCAUUGAAAUUUUGUAGUUUUCCAAACCCAUCAAAACGAAUCUCGCCUAGCCAAUAUCUUUCAAUAAUCAAUCUUGACAAAUUCUCCAAGUUGGAAAAGAGCGACCAAUCUAUGGGUGAUUGGACAUCGACUAAAGUCAACCGUUGAAGGCUAGAUGGAAGCCUGAUAAGAGAUCGAGGGUUGGCAUAACUUACAGAGAGUUCUUGUAACUGAGAGAGGGAACUCAAAUCAGUUGGAGGCAAGGUCAUUUUUCCAACCCACAGGGUCAACUUUCUUAGAGCACUUGCUCUCAAAAGCCCCUCUAUGUUGGGUUCCUGUACUGUUGUUCCGAUUAUAUCAAGAUGAACUAAAUUGGUUAGAUUGGAGUAGUCAGGGAUUGUAGUCAAUGAGUCCAAUGAAAAGCUUAACGACUUUAGACUCUUAGGAAGCUCUGGCAACUGUUGAAUUGACCUACAGUCCCAUAAAUUAAGUUUUUGGAGAUUUGUAAGCCGAUUGAUGGUUGUUGGCAAUCCACUAAAACAGCCACCUGAUAAAUCUAGAAUUUUCAAUGAGGAUAGUGCCCCAAUUUCACUUGGAGUUUCCCCCUCCAAGUGUUCACAUGAGGCACUCAACUCUUCCAAAUUUUCCAACGUUCCUAUAGUUUUCGGAAGUUCACUUAUGCGGCUAUGAUCUAGAUUUAGUGCCUUCAACUUUUUGAGAUUUCCAAUACAAUCAGGUAAGCUCCUGAUGUGUGAAAGACUCAAAUCCAACUUGACCAAUGAUUGGAGCCUCCCAAAUGAGUUUGGUAGCUUUUUUAAAUAGCCAUUUGGGAUCAUAAAAAUUUCCAACCUUCCUAAGUUCCUAAUGGAAUAAGGUAAUUCUCUCACACUUGUAUGUCUGACAUUCAACUCAAGUAGUGAUUCCAAUUGUCCAAUAGAAUCGGGGAGUUUUUGCAAUUCCCAACAUGACAAGAUUAGAUGCUUCACAUUCACUAGAUUGCCAAUCGAGUGAGGCAACACUAAAAGUUCUUGAGAAAAUAUUUCUAAGUAAUCAAGAUGUUGUAAAACACCGAUGGACUUGUCGAUCUUUCCAAGUUGAUUGCAUCUAAGGAUUAAUCUCUCUAACUUGGAGAUUGCAGAGAACUUUGGUGUCUUUCUAAGUAAUGGACAAUCCAGGAGUUUUAGGACUUUCAACUGUUUUGCUACCUAUAAAACAAUUAAGCUGAAAUUAGAAAAGAAAAAGAGUAAAUGUAAUGCAAAAAUAUGUCAUGAGAUCAUACCAUGAUUUGACGCCAUCCUCCCAGUCUUUAGUAAUAUUAAUCCCAGAAAGCUCAAGAACUGCUAGGUUCUCCAACCUAAAGUUGGCAGCAAGGAAUUUCGAUGGGCAAUUGCGCCAAGAGAGCCAUCUUAACUCGGAGAAAUGAUCCUUAAAGUCUCCUUGGAAGUUUCCAUGGUCCAAUUGAAGGAAUCUAAGAUUGACCAUCCUUGCAAAUUCCUUGUGUUUAAAUCUAUACGUUGCAUCUGGUUCAGGUGUACCGAGAUUAAGUGCCACUAUGUUCUUAGUUCCCUAGAAGAUAAAAGUAGCAACCAAUGAGUACAUGUGUCAAUUUAAGUUGACGUUAGAUUUAAAAGGUAAUGAUAUUGAUGGAUGGAGUGGACAACAUUUAGAGGUAAAACUUACCUUUUUUCUUUGCACCAAAUGGAAGGCAUCCUUGGGUAACCAUAGUCUACUACCCCUUAAACGUAUGUUGCAACUUUCCCGGUGGAUAAUAUCUCGCCCGAGGUCUCUAAGUUGGUCAUGCAUCCACAAUUCAUCGUAGUCUAUGAUCUUUAUCAGAGACAUACGUGUGAGGAUAUUGACUUCGAUUUCGGUGGGAUACCCAAAAACCGCAUCCCAAUAUUUAAUUGCAGUUGUUUUCUCUUGAUUAAUGAAGAAACAUGCAAUAUCAAGAUAUAUUUGUUGCUGAUUAGGGUCCAAUGCUUCAUAGCUUAUCAUCAACUUCUUCUUGACAUCCUCGUUCAUCACCUUCUUUAACUUAGAUAGAACAUUUUUCCAUGUAAUUUGGCAUUUUCCACGGAGUGUGGAACCUACGACGUCGAGAGCCAAUGGAAGUCUUCCAAGUGCAUUGAUUACCUUUUCUGAAAUAUCGAUGUAAUCAGCCGGAGGCUUGGCACAUCCCAAGGCACGCUCACAAAAAAGUUGAAGAGCAUCAUCCCAAUUCAUCUCAGGCAUAGUAUAGAAUGAAAAAUGUGUAGUAUCUGAGAUUGGGGCAUUGUGGUCUUCACCUUCCUUUACUAGGAAUUCAAUAUUCCUUGUUGUUAUGAUGAUUCUAGUACCCUCACUAUACCAGUUUGGCUUACCAACAAGUCUCAUGAUCUGGUCUUGGUUGUCGAUGUCAUCAAGAACAAUGAGGACUUUCUUCCCAUGGAACCUCGUCUUGAUCAAGUGAGCCCCUUCAUCGAUGAAGGAGAGGUUUAUACAAUUGAGUUUGAGGACAUCAGACAACAAUUUUUUUUGUAAAUUUAUUAUAUCUUGAGUCCGGACAUCUUUAAGAAAACAGCAAUGACCUGAAAACUGAGGGGAGAUUUGCCUAAAGACAACCUUGGCCAAUGUUGUCUUUCCAAUGCCACCCAUACCAUGAAUCGCGAUGAAUCUCACAUCAAAUGCUACUAGAUCUAACUGCUCCAUAAUUUCAUCCAUCUGAUCCUUAAUUCCCACCGAAUGAUCAGACAUGUCUGUUUGUCUUGUCCAUAACAAAUUAGAAACCUCCUUGAUUGUGAGAUUCUUAAGUUCAUCUAGGCUGUCACAUAAUAUGCAACCAUCUCAGAUUCAAAAACCACAUAUAUGGAAACUUUGCACGCAUUUCAUGGCACNNNNNNNNNNNNNNNNNNNNNNNNNNNNNNNNNNNNNNNNNNNNNNNNNNNNNNNNNNNNNNNNNNNNNNNNNNNNNNNNNNNNNNNNNNNNNNNNNNNNNNNNNNNNNNNNNNNNNNNNNNNNNNNNNNNNNNNNNNNNNNNNNNNNNNNNNNNNNNNNNNNNNNNNNNNNNNNNNNNNNNNNNNNNNNNNNNNNNNNNNNNNNNNNNNNNNNNNNNNNNNNNNNNNNNNNNNNNNNNNNNNNNNNNNNNNNNNNNNNNNNNNNNNNNNNNNNNNNNNNNNNNNNNNNNNNNNNNNNNNNNNNNNNNNNNNNNNNNNNNNNNNNNNNNNNNNNNNNNNNNNNNNNNNNNNNNNNNNNNNNNNNNNNNNNNNNNNNNNNNNNNNNNNNNNNNNNNNNNNNNNNNNNNNNNNNNNNNNNNNNNNNNNNNNNNNNNNNNNNNNNNNNNNNNNNNNNNNNNNNNNNNNNNNNNNNNNNNNNNNNNNNNNNNNNNNNNNUAUUGACAAAAUUGUAUAUGUCAGCAAAGAUAUUACAUUGUACAAUUUUGGAUAGAUUGAUAAUAUCCUCCAUUCAUUUUAUACUUUUUACACCAGUUAGUUUCUUCUUGUCGCACAGAGCUGAUAUCAAGACCUCCAGAAGUUUGGCUAAAUAUCAAGUCCUUGGUAAACCAGUCUUGAUCAACUCUUCAAGCAUUUGGGAUGAGUUUGAAGGUUAACGUAAAUAUUUAAAAAAAAAAACAAAAAACAAAAAACUCACAAAGCAGUUACCUUUUAGUAUUAAAGUUAGUAAUUUGGUACAAGACUUGGUAAUUUUGAAAUGUGGAGUAAACAAUGUGGUAAGUUGCAAAAAUAUUGUAAAUCGACAAACGAUCUAAUAAACUUAAUAAAUAAUUCACAUUAAAGCCGGUAUGCAAGAACUGGUCAGUAAAUUAAUGUUAAAAAAAAAAGUUGGUAAGAUACGAGUUAAAGUUUCGUAAUUUCAUAUGAAAACUGACAACUAUAAAACUAGGGAUGGGCAUGGGGUAUGGGAAAUCUGCACCCCGCGGUGGCCUUUUUGGACGAGGCAAAAUUCUGUCUUGAAAAUUGCCUCACAGGGAAUUUUACUCUCGGCACGGUUGGGCAUGGGCACUAAUAGGCCAGCCCUUCCUGUUCUCGAGGAUUGAAACUAUUACCGUGUUUAAUGAAGGACGGAAACAAGGGUUUAAUGAAGAAAGAUGAAAGUAAGCAUAGAAUAACGACUAGGGUUCUUUACCAAAAAAAAAAAAAAAAGCGACUAGGGUUUAUAGAAAAACUAUCACAAACUAGGGUAGAGAGUAGUUACAUAUCUCAAGGUAAUUAAAAUGAUUAAAUUUCUUAUCCAUUUUCUAGAGGUUCCUAGAUUUCUCUAUCCGUAACUACAACUACCUAGAAGUCCCUUAAUUGAAUUUUUGGUUUAUUAAGAUCUGGGGCCAUGAAUAGGUCCAUGGUUAAAGCAAGGGCAAUAACCAAUUUUUUUUUCACUUUUUACUGGACAGAAAUGGGUCCAAUAUUGGCAAACUUUAGAUCACUCGUAGAAGAAUGUUCAGUUUAAGGCUGUAGAUUUUGUCUAUGAACAAUUGGCCACUAGAGACGCCAAUGACCCCUACCCCGCUAUGAUGAAAGUAAAAGCCCAAGAUUGAUAAUACACCUAAAUCUAAGUCAGUUCUUCACAAACUAAUUAAGAUGCGAUAAGAUGUGUACUAGAAGAUUGAACAUCUAAUACAUGCAGAAAUCUUUUUUUUUUCUUUUUGCUCUUUUGGAUAAUGGCAUGCAAAGAUCUUUUUAGUGUUCGGUCUUGUAUAUUCAGACCAAAUAGGAAAACCAUGACCUAUAGCUUCCUCUUAUGGGUAUGUAAAACUAUCAUUAUGAAGAAGCUCUAUUAUUUUUGUGUAACUCAGGGGUGUGACCAUAAUUAGCCGGUUACCUCAAGUAAAACAGUAGCAAGGCAUAUGAAUUCCCUAAGGCCGAAAAGGAAUCCACAAGGAUCACUUUCUUCCUCUUGGCCGUGGAUUUUUGGAUAUUGCAAAGACUUAGUCUAUGCUAUAAUUUCCUUUUAUUCCUGCACAUUUUUACGUCUCCCUAAAGCACAUCAAACACUAACAACUAUUAACUAACACCGACCAUUAAUGGCUCGGAACACAUAAAGAAGCUCGUUAUGAGCCCUCUUAUUUUGGGCCGAUUCUUCUUCAGCUUUCAUUAGCAUAACAAAAGGAAGAAAUUUACAGGAAAACAUUGCAGGCAUAGGGUUGGGAAAAUUGCACCCAAAGUCCUUAACUUUAGCAAAUAAGUCUACUAGAAGUCCUAAAACUUGUUGUGAAAAGGGAAUCGAGUCAUAAAACUUGCAAAAACCGUAAUCAAGCCUUAAAACUUAUCAAAUUAGUUGAAUCGAGUCAUUCCGUUAACUCCGUUCAAUUAAGCUAACUGAAAAUGCUGGCGUGUCUUAUUUUAUUAUUUUCUUAAGACAUGUGGCGAUGAUGUAGCGCCCACCAAGUGCCACAUCAGAAAUAAAAUUUAAAGAAUACAAACAAAAUUAAAUUAAAAAAUAAAAAAGCUAAAAAUUUUAAAAAAGAAAAAAAAUCAAGUCGUGGCUAAGCCUCGCCCUAGCCUUCUCGAAGCCUGGGGACCCUCGUCUGGGCAUGCCAAGGCUCGCCAGGGCCGGCAAAGGCCUAGGCGACCUCACUAACCCCUCUCGGUGGCUGUGGCAACGGCCACCAGCAAGGGCUUGGCCAAGCCGUGGGGUGAGUUUUUCUUUUAAAAAAAUUUAUAGCUUUUUAUAUUUUAAUCUAAUUUUGCUUGUAAUUUUUAAAUUUUUUCUAAUGUGGCACUUGGUGAGCACCACGUCAUCGGCACUUGUCUAAUAAAAAAUAAAAUAAGACAUGUUCACAUUUUCCGUUAGCUAAUUGGACGGAAUUAACCAAAGGAUUCAAUUGAACCAAUUCGACAGGUUUUAAAACUUGAUGGCAUUUUUUGCAAAUUUUAAGAUUCGAUUGUACUUUCAUGAUAAGUUUUAGGAUUUUCAAUGCACAUAUCCUUAACUUUAUGUACGGAAUGCAAUUGAAGUUAAGAAACUUAAUUUAUUUUUUUCACACUUAUAUGGUCUUACUAUUUUAUCGAAUCUUAGAUCUUCAUGGAUAUCUUGGUUUUUUGGCAUUAUAGAUUAAUUAAUUAAGUUGAUAUACCUUAACACUAAUUGUUAUCAAAACUUAGUAUUAAAAUUGAAAAUUCAAUUUGUGCAAGAAACCUCUCCAUCUGAGCAAAAUUUCUAGCUCCCCAUUGCGUCAAAUCCAACCAUGCAUUACAUAAGGUUGGACAGCAGCAACCUGAAUCUAAUUAUUCUUUAGAGGAAAAAAAAUCGAAGAUGUCAAUAAGAAAAUAAAGUUAUGGAGAAGCAAAUGAUACCCAUGAUCUUUUAGAUUCCUUCCUUUAAUUCUGGCAACUGCUUUCAAAGCCUUCUUCCACUUCUUUACUAAAUCCUUCUCUGAGUCACUCUUGUGCUUUUGGAGGGCUUUCCAAUAUAAAUUAGUCUUAAGCUUGACAUCAUUCACAUCCACAUCAUAGAAGAUAGGGAGAAUCACUUUCUCAUCGUUAUCUUUCGAUAACUCCACUAUGCGUGCCAGCUCAUGGAGACACCAGCGUAGUUUUUGGAGAAAAUUGGGAUGUAAAUUCUGGAUUCAUUGAUCGCUUGCAAGAGGCUGCCUUCAAUCUCUUCACCAAAUCGAAGCUCUUCAUUGUCUUUGAAAGUGCAGAUCCCCGCGCGGAUCAUGUCAUUGUAGAGAGAAUCAAUGAUGGUUAAGCGGGUGUCAGGCCCUCUGAAGUUGAGGAACACCUCAUAGCCCCUCCUUGAUCUGUCAUCACGGCUGCUGCUCAUUGGAGCUGCCAUUUCUGUUUCUUUUCCCACCCUCUUUCUCUUCAUUCCGUGAGGACAAUGGCUAUUGAUCUCUGAAUUGAGUCCGAUCCUUGUAGCAACCUGACAAAAAGCAACAGAGUGAGAUCGCUCGCUUACUUCCACUACGUUCGCCUGUAAAAAAGACCAUUUAGACUCGCACAAAAUAGGAGGUUGAGGCAACAAUUGAUCAAAGACUUCGAAGAGGAAGAGGUCGUCCCGGGGAUGUUUAUUUUAGCUGAAGUGCAACAUGAUUGAGAGUAUAUGGAAGCAUGUAAUUGAUCAUAUGGAAACAGAUAGCUCAUAUGUAAUUAUCACACAUAAACACAAGUUGUCCUGUGUAAGUCACAAUUCUAUAUAGUCAAGCUAUCACUGACCAUGUCUUCAUCUUCUAACAACUUGAUAAACAAACAGAGUGAGAUCACUCACUUCCACUGCGUUUGCCUGGAAAUUGUUGGGAAAAUAUGGCUUCGAAUUGGGUAGAACAAUGAAGUCGGAUCUUUAGAGUACUCAAGUCGGACUUUGAGGCGUGAUAUUACUUUCUUUAAGGAUUUAUUUGCCCCACUACGUUGCUAAUGGUUACCGGCAAAUUUCCUCCAGGAUACAACAAAGUCUCAAGUGAGAAUACUAGAUAGCAAUUCUAGUAUUUCUCCAGGGUCUCUCAUGGGAAACAAUUAGAAACAAUGGCUGUAAUUUCUUUUGAAAGAAGACGAAAAUUGAAAGAUGAUUAUUAUUUGAUCUCAAAACAAACGUACUUAUAUAUGUCUUUCGAAUAGAGGCAACUCUUCAAAAGAUUACAAAUGAACAAAGGCAACCUUUCGGGAAAGAUUACAAAAUGAAUAAGUAUGUCUCAAAAGUUACGUUGAAAAGACAUAAGAAAUUCGAAAUUAAAUAAAUAAAAAAUAAAUGUAACUUUUCGUGAACAGUCGCACUGUUUCAACAAAACUUUAUAAUUAUUUUUUUUAUAAAAUUAAAUCCGAAUUUUCAAUAAAUAAAAUUAACGAUUGUUGGUUAGUGCCAAAUCUCGUCCACGUGCGCACUCACAUCUUUUCGAUGUGGGACAAGGCACUUCUUCAUUUGUUUUAUAAACAAAUUACCAACAAUCCCCCACUUUUGUUUAUAAAACAAAAAACAAAAAAAUAAAACGUUAAAGAUAUACAGCCAAAAUUUCCGUGAGAUUAAUAUACAUACAUAAAGGUCUCUUUCGAGUUAAACCUUUACUUAGUGCAAGCAUCUCAAAGCUCCAUCAAAGUGACAAGUAGCUCGGCUUUAAACUUGUACUUUUAUAUAAUAAAACCGGACAUACCGCACAUACACUAACCUCUUGUUUCAGCGAGAAGUUCUAUAUUACUCCGCACUAUUAUGGCCUUGUGCUUGAUCCUGUUUCAUGAGCUCUCUAGAAAGCAACCCUAACUUUCGUAAGAAGCGGCACCACUUCUAAGCUCAUAUAGGUGAAGUAUCUACCAUGUGUUUUUGUUACUAUCAACACAUUACAUGUUUGUAUUAUACUUCAUUAAGAAUUUAAUUCAACCUACAAAACGUAACGGACGAUACUGACUUCUCAUAUCAGGGCCAUGUCAGUAUCAAACAAUCACAUUCAAUAACUUGUUCUUACCCAUUAAACCUUGUAACUAGUGAUAUUCUAGAAAAAGGUCGGGUUACCAUUAUUGGUGAUUUCAAUUAAAGGAUUUUAGCCCCGUUUCUUAUGAGGUCAUUAUUACCAUGUCUCUUGGUAAAGCCUUUAUCAAAUGAUCGGCAAGAUUAUUACUUAACCUCACAUAGACAAUUGUUAUGGUACCAUCUUUAGUCAAUUGUCUCACAUAUUCAUGUCUUAGACUAAUAUGUCUAGACUUUCCAUUGUAGGUUCUACUAUAUGCUCUUACCAAAGUAGCUUAACUAUCACAGUGGAUAGAAAUAGGAGGGAUUGGGCCAUAAUUUGAUAUCCAACAACAGAUUUCUAAUACAUUCGGCCUCUUUCCCAGUUGCUACCAAGUAAUGAUUCAAAUGUCAUAGUUGAGUGAAUUAUGCACAUUUGUUUCUUGCUCGCCCAAGAAACAACACAUUCACGUAAUGUGAAAAUCCAUUCAGAAGUUUCAUCUCCCACACUUGUAAUCCAAGUAGCAUCGGUGUAUCUUUCUAAUACAUCCGAAUAAUUAUUAUAGAACAAUCACAAUUUUUUAAAAAAAAAUAAAUAACCAAAACUCUAAUAAUAGCCUUUCAAUGUUCUAUAUUUGGAUUACUAAUGUACUCACUCAACUUGCACAAAAUUAGAUCUAGUUUAAUGCAUCGCAUACAUUAAAGAUCUUAUAGCACUAACAUAUUUAAAUUGUGCUAUUGCUCUACUAGUAUUUUAAUAACCAAAACUCUAAUAAUAACCCCCACUAUUUUUUUUAAUUUAAUAUUUAAGAUAGUAUUGUUUCACCCAAAUCUUUCAUUUUGAAAAUGAAAGUCAGAUACUUCUUAAUCUCAAUGAUUCCAAUCAUAUUAGUUCCAAAGUCCCCUUUAGACAUAACCCCACUUCAAGAAUAUUCCAAGAGGUACUUAAUCGAAAAUAUGCAUCAUCAAAUUUUCAUCAUCGAUGAAAUACAUACAUCAAAAUAGUAAAUCAAUGUAAUUAUACUCUCUUGGCUCAUUUAUGCUAUUCCAUAGAAUCAAAUCUACGAGGGGCGAGGAAAACAAAUAAAACACAUUAGAACCAAGCAAGGGGCACCUGAAAUCCCAUUCAGUAUAUCUAUUUCACCUCCAUAAAUAGAGCGCUACAUAUUAGCCCAUGCAUGUAAUGACAUUCUCUAACAAUCCAAUAAAUGCGAGCAAAUCGAGUAUGGAGGUAUCAAAAGCACAUAAACUAGGAUUGAAAGGGGAAAAACAAUUCUUGGAACGGAAUCAACAACAUCAUAUAAGCCGAAACCUUCCGAAAUAUACAAUAAGAUCCAUACCUUGGCACUGAUCAGCAUCAAGACCAACGUCAUCAAACACAAAUCCAAUAGACCUGCAUGUGUCACGGACAAUUUUCUCAUAGUCUUCAUUGGCCUUGGUGGUAAUUUCUCUGAACACCAUGACCAUGUUGGUCUUGGUGCAUGUUUCACAAGCAACCUUGCUGUCGGGGUUCGGUUUUGUAGAGUUUAAUGUCUCCAUCCCCGGCAAGGCUCUUAUCAAUAAGAUUAGUCUUAUUCCCAAGUAAAAGCCACCGUGGAUAUCAAACAAAGGAAGCGCAUGCCCACUUUCUUCCUGCCAGUGAAUUUGACAAUCCAGUGAACGAGCCUCCCCAAAUAAUUUGGCAUCUUGCUCGGCUUUUGGAGCGGCAACGGAGGAAGCGGGGUCGUUUGGAUUUGCAACCCAUCAUUUUGGAGGAGCAGCUUUUGUUGUUUUAGAGAUCCAUAGCUACCAAAGCGUAUUCCCAAUGACCCUCUAGUCAUUGUUCCUCCAAACCCAUAUUUGGCGUUAUCAUCUCUCUCCUCGUUUUGCCAAACAAAUCAAAAAAUAGAUUCCAUCGAUUCAAUGAAAUCUGAACAAAAAGAAUGAACGUCACCUUUGCUUAAUCAAGCCAAAGACUCAGAGGGUGCCUCCGGUCCAUCUGCUAAACAAUAUCUUUCCCCCGGUAAGUGUUCACGUCACAUGGCAAUUUUUGCUAGACACGCGCCACUGACAAAUUUUCGUGUCUAAUUCAUCGGCCUAUUCCGAUGCGGGUAAUAAUCAUCAUUUAGGCCUUGGAUCCAGCAACAUCAUCUCACCCAUAACCACCAUUAGUAACCACGGGGCAUAAAACAUAAGACAAAGAAAAUGAUGAAUUAGAAAACGCAUUUGAUCAUUGAAAUGACUGAGAAAAUAACUAACAUGACUUAAUUCAAGUCAAAAACAAAACCAACUAGCAUUAGAGAUAUCGUGACAAAAAGUAUUAGCAAAUGGAAAACAUCAUCAGCACAUGAUCAAACACAAAACUUGGCGAUAGUGUUCGACCACACUUGAACUACUUACACAGAAUAAUCAUCAAGAAAAGUUUCUUUUCUAUUGGAAGAAUGAUCGAACGCACCGUGAGUAUGAAUGAUUUCUAUAAUCACCAGAGAACAAUUGCAAUUGUAUGGAAGUAGAGGCGCUGACCAAUUUGCGAGCAGCCUUUGCAAGAAAUAGUUCCAAUCCUCUGGUCAUUGAUAGAAGCAAUCUUCUGCGCCGUCAUUGCUCACCCAGGAGGAACCCGCAUGGGAUGAACCGGCACCUUUGUUCCCGUUACCAUGUUUGUCCCUUAAACAUGUGCCAAACGGCGGGAUCAUCAAAUGGGUUCGGGUUCCGAAUCCCGUUGUCAGACCAAGGAGUGUUGUCAUUGGACUUCUAAAUGAAUUCCGGAUCGAGGAGCAACAGAUCAUCCUCGAGACUAUGGUUGAGGUUUAGGAGGAGAUACUCAAGAUAGUCAUCGCCCUUCAUGAUCCUUGUCUUCUCGUUCAAACAACGGAACUUCGGAUCUUUCCAUCUCCGCGUCUGCAUACGCUUGAUAUAAAAACGAUGGCUUUUACGUGCUCCGCCAGAGAAAGGCGAUUCGCAGAUUUUUCCUUGCCGGUCUGCGAUCACAGCAUUGACAUCGAGCAGUGCCUCAUAUUACUCUGGACCAAAGGAUCGCUGAAUCUCCUCCCGAACAACCAAUUUGCAUCAGAGACGGAGUUGGUGGAAUUCAUGGCGACCUGGUUCUUGGUGGCGUCGUCGAUCAAUUUAUCUCAUUUUUCUGCCAUCGAUUCCUUUGUAUGCACAUCCACACCCUUCGGACAUCUUUCUCGGACGAUCAGCAUGGACGGAUGUGGGAAUACUCCAAGAUACAGAGAGACAAAGAAUGACAAAAAAAAAAAAUGCUCAGAUUUUCAAUCUUAAUGACAAAGAAACGUAGGCAAAAUUAAAGUCUACGCAAUAAUGAGAUUAUUAAACCACAUCCCCUUCUCAGAUUUACACAAAAAUCGCAAAUUACUUUAGCAGGGAUGUCUAAAAGAGCAUUUUGACAAACCAUUCUGUGCGGUUCAUCCACUUGACUCCAUUGUUGCGAAAUAAAUCCUUAAAAUUAUUGGGGAAAAUAUGGCUUCGAAUUGGGUAGAACAAUGAAGUCAGAUCUUUAGAGUACUCAAGUCGGACUUUGAGGCGUGAUAUUACUUUCUUUAAGGAUUUAUUUGCCCCACUACGUUGCUAAUGGUUACCGGCAAAUUUUCUCCAUGAUACAACAAAGUCUCAAGUGAGAAUACUAGAUAGCAAUUCUAGUAUUUCUCCAGGGUCUCUCAUGGGAAACAAUUAGAAACAAUGGCUGUAAUUUCUUUUGAAAGAAGACGAAAAUUGAAAGAUGAUUAUUAUUUGAUCUCAAAACAAACGUACUUAUAUAUGUCUUUCGAAUAGAGGCAACUCUUCAAAAGAUUACAAAUGAACAAAGGCAACCUUUCGGGAAAGAUUACAAAAUGAACAAGUAUGUCUCAAAAGUUACGUUGAAAAGACAUAAGAAAUUCGAAAUUAAAUAAAUAAAAAAUAAAUGUAACUUUUCGUGAACAGUCACACUGUUUCAACAAAACUUUAUAAUUAUUUUUUUUUAUAAAAUUAAAUCCGAAUUUUCAAUAAAUAAAAUUAACGAUUGUCGGUUAGUGCCAAAUCUCGUCCACGUGCGCACUCACAUCUUUUCGAUGUGGGACAAGGCACUUCUUCAUUUGUUUUAUAAACAAAUUACCAACAGAAAUUACUUGCGGCCUUCCUUCACAAGUUAAUAAAAUAAAAUAAAAUAAGCAUUCAGGCUCGCGCCAAAUAGAAGGCCAAGUUGAGGAAAUAAUUGAUGAAAGUCUUCAAAGAGCAGGAGGUUGUCCUGGAAAUAUAUUUUUUAACUGCAUGUUGGUUAAAGUGUUGGAUGUAUUGGACAACUUGCCAUUACUUUGUCAUUAUUCUUCCUUUUGUAUGGAAGUCACCUGCGGCCUUGCUUCAUAAGUUGAAAAAACCAAUUCAGAUUCGCACCAAAUAGGCAGCUAAGGGAAAUGGUCUGACCAACUGGAUGAGUGGAGUCCUCGAACGUGGUCGGUGCAUGACCCGAGACUCCAUGUAUGUGAUAAUUUUUUAAUAUGUAUUGUAAUGUUAAAAAAAAAAAAAUGGCUUUCCGGUGACACCAACUCCACUUUUUGAAAAAUUUGCAUCCAUUCAUUGAAUGCCAUGGAUUCAUUUUCUGAAUGUUGACUUGCGACAUGAAAUUUGAUGAUUGCAUGUCGUUGCAUUAUGAAGGAAAUAUUGUAUUUUAAUCAAGUACAUCAUGAUUAUGCAUGUUGUCGCGGCCCAGCUGAGGUGAAACUUGAGAGAAUUCAAUUAAUUGCUAGGCGGAGACAUAUAACUCUCUUGCAACUCGGCGCUUACGCUUCGUAUGGCUCACCCAAAUCCUAUGGACCACAACUUGAUUUCUCUUUUAAUGUAUGAUUGAAUUUUGAUCAGAGCUGUCACUAAUCUAUUCAAGGCCGGUUGUGAGCUAAGUGAGGAAGAAGAGCUCGUCCUACUUCAGCAAAUCAAAGAUUUUGGACCGAGGAUUUGGUUAAGUUAGUUUUGCCUAAUGCCACCACCAGUAGCUUUUUUUCUUUUAAUAAAAAAUUAUUUCAUUCAAUAUAUUUUCAGUUUCUAUUUCUUACCAUGUAUAAGUACUCUUACAAUAAAUUUAAACAAUCAAUGAUGAAGUCAAAGAAAAAUAAAGAACAUAAUAAAGCAACUCAAGCAGUAUCGGACAAAACAAUACAACGCGCUUUGAACUAUUCAUAGGAAUAGACUUGCACUAUUCUAAUAAAUGAAAAUUUCCUAAUUUAUGCCAUGAGAAAUGAAUUCUGAAUACAAUAUGACAAAACUAGCAAUAAUAAAAAUUAGUCUCAUCCUAUAAUGUACCGCGAAGAAGGCCUAAACUAAUCAAAAUGCUUCUUUUCGUACUCUUUUUAUAAUAUAUAUAUAUAUGAAAAAAUUAAACUAAACUUAAUUAAAGGAAUAUAAUAAACGCGUAAUCAGAAAGAGACGACAUCUAAACUCUAAGCCGGAAGGGAGUAUGGGGGAAAUUGAUACCUAUUUGAACAUCUCUGUUUUCACGUCUGCAGAAAAGACACGUGAAUGCAAACUCAUGUAUAUGAAAAUGCAAUAUGCUGGAAUUUCAUGAAAAGUGACUCGAAAUGUGUAACUAUAUUUUAUGUGAUGCUAAAACGGACUAAUAAACAAAGGGGGAUCCCCGAGUACCGCUUCGGCGAAGAGCAAACCAACCGGGAUUGGGCUGGAUGAACAAUGUUCAGACAGAAGACGGUCUGGACAAUGGACAUUCGACCUAUCCCCGAGUUUAAAAACAGACCCGAAGCGGGCCUUGACAAUCCUAGAGCAAUUACAAACCAAAGGGACCAUCGAGGACCAACCUUGAGAGUCUCAAACAGACCAAAAGUGUUAUUAAGUAUUAUCAAACUCAAGUGAAGUCAGAGUCUGAAUAUUGACAGUAAUAUGAUAAUAUUCACUAGCGUGCAAAAAUAAUAAACGAAAGUUAAGAAAUAGAAGAAAUUGCACAUAAGAUUUACAAUGCUUCGGCUUAGAGUAAACCUAUAUCCACUCUCCCACACUGACAACCUACUAGCUGAAUUUCACAAGAUGUUAUAGAAGGGAGUGAUGAUACUCAGGUUUGUGAUAUACAAUCACUCUUUCAAUGCCUCUCAAGGAUUACAAUUUGUAGCUCACGAAAGGCAAGUACAUAAGAUUGAAGUUCUCUUGGACUUUGAAAUUUUUAAUUCUGACCUCUCUCUUCUCUUUGGUACCUUGGUCUUCUUCUAUACUCCUUCACUUCUAAUCUAAUGUUGGACAAUUUUUAGAGAAAUAUUAUCCAAUCAACCCAUUGGACAAAAAAGAUUGAGUAGCCGUUGAGGGAUAAGAUUUUAAUCUCCAUCUAUUUUGUUGCCCAUACAAGCAAAUAUUGGCUUCCAUAAGUAGAGUUCUUCAAUGAAGGAAAGCAGCUUACCUUUGGAGUGACUAUCAAUCAAUCAAGAUCAUUUGCAUAGAGAUUUUGUUGGCAAACAGUCUUUAAAAUUGAAGAUCAGUCAAUGCAUUCUAUUUUGGAAAUCUAAGCCAGGUCACUAGCUAUGACGAUAUAAGAAGUGGGGUUUGUGUCUAAACAUAUCGUCAUAAAUAGAUUUCGUAAUAUGAUAUUCAAAUUUAGCUAAGAAUCUAAAAACAUCAAGUAAUAUGAUGAUAUCUGUGUAUAAGCUAUUACGUUGAUGAUAUUUCUACAUAAGCUCUGUUGAUAUCCUUACUCUUGCUCUGAUGACAUUUGCAUAUAAGUUUUGCUAAUAUCCUCACUAUUGCUUUGGUGAUAUUCAUGCAAUAAUAUUGAUGAUAUCCAUGAAGUAAUUGUCUUAAACUUCAAAGGCGAUACACAAACAGCAAUAGAUAGAUUCUGAAUGUGAUCAAAAUAUAUAUAGAUUUAUCCUUCAUGAGUAGUUCCUAAAAUAAAACACUUAUGCAUUUACCAAUAUCAAUAUAACCUUUGCUGAUAUCCUUAAUAUUUCCCAUUUCCGACGUGAGGUUGGUACGCUUGUGGGCCCAUAUAGUUAGGCAAUACUUAUUGGCCUUUUGUGCGGGCAUCUUUGAAACGGGGUCAUGUACGGAGGACUCCCCGCCUUGGUGCACUUUCGCUUCCAUCUCUUCGUUUCUUUUUUAUUUUUAAUUUGGUUUUAUUUUGAUAACUAUUUCUCUUUUCUUUUUACUUUGGCUAUAUGAGCUCGCAAGGAAAUGAGAAAUGAGAGAGAACCUUUGUUCCUAGCUCGAUCAUGAUGGCUGGGAGUCUCUUUGAACCCGAGAAUGGCGCUAGUUGAGUAUGUAAUGUAGACACCGAAGAUUUGAGCAAAGUUGACCGAGAGUCAAACUUCAUUAAAAGUUGAGUCGAAGGGCAUAAUUGGGUUGUACUUGUCUAGAGCUUUCCAAAUAUACCCAAUUUUCCCAAAUUGAACGGCUAAUCUUAAGAUAUCAAGAUCAGAAUCACAAAGAUCAGAAUUUUAUGGCAAAAAUAUUAUAAACUUUUUGCUAACUUCAUCCAUUUGACCUGGCUGCCCAAAAUCCACAAUCCGAGGUGGACAACAUUUUAGCUUUCCGCGUGGGGAAGGAGAAGGGGGGGUGUUUUGGGUUCAAUUGUACAUUAUACGGAAAAGUUAUGCUCGCCCAAGUUCAAUCAAAUUUUGGUAAAAAAUGCGUAAACAUUAAUUUUUGAGAUUUAAAAAAAAAAAAACAAUGUUGAUGCUCCGUCGAAGAGGACAAUUACUGGAAUAUGUACUACUUAUUUAUAAAACACAUUUUUAUCCUAUUCGUUGUUUAAUUCAAUUACUUCGGCUAAGUUUAAAUUAAUUGUUCUGCCUAAGCCUACAUCCAGAUAUAAUCAUUUUUAGCUUUAAAUGUUGACACAAUAUAUACAUAGCACAGGGAAAUAACACGUAAGUAGGGGAUGACAUGUAANNNNNNNNNNNNNNNNNNNNNNNNNNNNNNNNNNNNNNNNNNNNNNNNNNNNNNNNNNNNNNNNNNNNNNNNNNNNNNNNNNNNNNNNNNNNNNNNNNNNNNNNNNNNNNNNNNNNNNNNNNNNNNNNNNNNNNNNNNNNNNNNNNNNGAUUUUAGUUGGCUGACCUUCUUCGAAGUUUAUGUACUUUAAUUUAACUUAAUGGUUCAAAAAAUCGAAAGAUAUUGGUUAAAGUUUUCUAUAUUUUUUAAUUUCAAGUCCACGGUAAUGUUAAUCUUUUACCCAAUCUGAGUUUUGCUUUGCAAACAAAAUGUACAAAAAGGAUCCCUUUUGUUGAGCUGAGAGGGUCCUGAGAGAGAAACUUUAGUUCAUUCUUUUUGUGGAAAUUGUGAAGAAAAUGCAGUUCCUCCUACAUAAGGAGAUCAAUAAAGUUGAGAUUUUCAAAAAAAAUUAAUAUUGAAUGAGGGUAUUUAUGCUUUUUGAUGAUAUCAACCUGAUUUUCUUGGUAUUUUCCAGGUCUUGAAAUUGCAAAACACGUCGUGCGUGUGAACACACGAACAGAGGAAUCUAUUUGAUGUGGAAUUUGGCUGUGUGCAAACGAAUUGACUAGACAAACAUACUUAGGUGCUUUUGUUUUUGCUUUUGCUUUCACAAGAGGGUCGGACAAAGACUUGAGGAUGGACUUGCGUAUAUUUUAAGCAAAGAAAACUUAUUUCAUCUUUAUUUCUUAAGGAAGUUCACUCUCUCUCCUAACUCAUAUAGACUUCAUUGGAUUAGUCUUGCUAGUACUCAGAUCCACAUAAAUCAGGUCCAUCACAAAAUUGCUAAUCAAAUAAAUUGUACAUGGAUCACCAAAAAAUAUAUGGAUGUGAUCACAAUGGGUCUACAGACCAUGAUCUAUGCAACUAUUUUCAUGUAAUGGUUAAUUGAUUAACCAAUAUUAGUCAUAAUGCAAACUGUUGCAAUUUGUAAAAACUUGAAAAGCUUUAUUUCACAAUUGACAUCCAUUACUUUGUGAUGUAACAAUUGGGGACCCUCCUAGAAUUCGUUUUGGAAAGAUCGUAGAAACAUCCACGUAAGGACCAAAUAUUUUUUUCUUUUUUCUUUUUUCUUCUUUUUUUAGCAUAAUUUUCUUUCUUAUUGGAGCCAAACCCAGACUUUUGACUUAAUCAUGGUUAAAAUUGACUGCUUUUCGCCAAUGUCAGGAAUUUAAUCUAGGCGAUGACGUCUCUAAUGGAUCAAUGGAUUUGAACCUUUCUCUGGCUCCAUUGAAUGAAGUCUAGAUUUAUUAUUCACACACGCACAUACACAUAAAAUGUUACCAUGUCCUGAACAUGUCAUUAUGUCUUUUUUAAGAUGGGCACCAAGUUUGAAAUCUAAUAUUAUGCAAUUGUAUUGAAUCACUAUCCAUGUGUGCAGACAUCUAAAAUAUUUUAUCAAUGUUGAUUAUUAACUUAAUAGAAAUAUUAGGCUUCUCAUACAAGCAACUCAAUUUAGGAAACAAGAAGUGAGAGGAAAGAGGCUCGCGAAUCAAUUAGAAUUGCAUCCACGAUGGACUAGUGGUGGUCCUACUUACGUUAUGCUAACUUAGCUAGAAAAACCUAUAUUUAUCACCUAAUUUUCUGCAUUUGUUGCAAAUGUUUUGUAUGUGUGAUGUACUUUAGAUCGGUAGUAAAGAGUAGCAUAAAUUCAUCACAUGGAACAACUUUUCAAUGCAAGGAUUCAGCCUCUACCUCUUGUUCUCCCAUUUUUCUUAUCUUUCUCUUGUUCUCUCUGAAUAGAGCAAGAGUUCCCAUUGGCAAGAUAGUAUCUCCUGCAAGGGUUAAUUUCUACACACGACUCGACUGCAAUUGGGAGUAUAAUUUUAAAUGUCAUUUUUUAGUAUCAACUUUUAAAAUAUCAAAGUUGUGACUAUUUGAGCUUUCUACACAGUAGUGGCGUGGGUACUGCAUUGAUUGACUUAAAAUAAACAUCUCAACAACUAGGCUUCUUGCAAAUAUCCAGCUCAAAGCGUGAGAAAUACUUGUCCAGACCUUGACCCUUGGAUCACGUGCAAUCAUAAUCAUUAAAAACUCAAGGGAGUUCUGUAAACCCAGGUCACUCACAGCUAUGGUUGACUCCAGGUCACACUGAUUGUGCUUGAACAAUGUCAAGACAAAAAAUUUAACCCCGAAAUACACGCAUAUGUAUAUGUAUCAGCAUCACAGUGGCUCCUCCUGCACAUAUGACCAGACAAAAAAGUCUCCUCCAAAAUCAAUGUAAAAGGAUCGUUGUCCAAUGACUAAUGAUUCUUGGAAACUACUGGAGACAAGAAAAAGUAGGGCAACUUAGGCUUUGUUCAUUCGUUUCAUGGAAAAUGAACAAGUCAAGAAAAUCAUUCUUUGCUGUUAAAAAAAAACACUUUCAAAAGUGAAGAAAAUAUUUUUUACAUUUCAAAAAGUGCAAAACAUUUUCCAUAAUUUCUUUCACCUCACUUUCUUUCACCAAACACAUUUUCUUUUUCUUUUUAUGUUUUCUUUUUAUUUUUUAUUUUUAAAAAAAGUGAGUUUUUAAUUAUUUUUUCUUUUUCUUUUUCUUUCCUUUUCUUUUUCUUCUUCCUUGGUUGGUCGUUGGCCACAGGCUAGCUCGAGCCUUGCCACAAGUCAGUGAGGCUCAAGCUCACUAGAUACCGGCUAGGCUUGAGCUCGCCAGCUUAUGGCAAGGCGAGUGAGGCUCUAUCUUACCUAAUCCAAUGAGCUCAAGCUCACCCUCACCAAAUUUGGCAAGGCCCAAGCUCGCCUAGCUUGCCGGAUCUGAUAAGGCUCGAGCUCGCCCGACCCACCUUAGGUGAGCUCGAGCUCGCCAACCUUGGCGGAGCUUAGGCUUGCUUGGAUCGACUGAGCCUUGAGCUCGCCGAUCCAUGUCUUGGUUAGUCACCAAGUAGCUAGCCAUCAUCAAGGCACGUGGCGGCAGAGGAAGGAGGAGGAAGAAGGAACAAGGAAGAAGAAUGAAGGAAAAGAAAAAGAAAAACAGAAAAAAUAAUAAAAAUAAUAAAGAAAUCAUUAAAAAUUCAAAAUUAAAAUAUAUAUAUAAAUUAAAAUUAUUUUUCUGGUCAAUUUAGAAAAAUUCAAAUUCAAAUUUUUUGGCAAUAUUUCCAACAAAAUCAAAUCAAAUACCGAACAGUGAAAAUUUCCACUUCAUUUUUAAGUUUCAGUCGAAUACCAAAAAAUAUUGUCAUAUUUUUGGAAAAUACUUUUAGUUUUUGCAAAACAAAUGGAGCCUAGUGAAUGGACAAUGCAAUCAAGGUCAGUGACCGAUGGUUGAUGGUUUUGCAUGGUACUCAUUGUUGUGACUUGUCUGCAGGGAAAAGAAAGUCGUCCUUCGAAAGUGACUUGUCUGCAGAAAAAUCAUUGUUGUGACUUGUCUCCUUUCUCUUGAUUAUUAUUCUAUUCAACUAGAAACCGAUCAAUUAGGUUUUUCUAGCUUCGCUAGCAUACCGUAUUUUAAUUCAAGCUAUGCAAUUCGAACAUGGGAUCUCAGUCUAAACGCUUUUCCUAGUGCCUUUCAUUUAGACAUAUAUAGGAUUAUAAUAACAUAAGAUGAUGUAAAGUGGUUUGGCUCCAAAAACAUACUAUUUUGCGCGACCUCUAAGAUAGCAUUGUGGAUCCCCUCUAUAUUUUUUGUCUGUUUUGGUUUUGGAGAGAAAUCUCUUCAUCGAUUUCUAGGCAAAAAAAUAGCAGACUGUAAUUGCUUUUGUUCUGCUUAUUAACUUGAAAAGGUUUAGCUUUUCUCGGCCGGAGCCACACUUCCAUUCUGCUUUUGCUAAGCCAAACAAAGUAGUUCUUAUAUUUAAUCCAGAUUCGCGCUAAUUGGCAUGAUCGAUUUGCCUUUAUUCCACUUACUACUUCUUUUUUUCCUUUUGUCAAGGCAAAAUUGUGAAAUGUAAAUAUGGCGCCAAGUCGGCUUCUGCCCUUGAGAGUCGUAGAUUGACCGUAAUGCAUGAUGUACAGACAAUUGUUUGUGCAAUCCCGCAAAAUUUUUCCAAAUCUACUGAUGGCCUCUGCACUUUAUGGCCUUGUUAUAUUCAUGAUGUGGGAAAAAUUACCGUAGAUAAGAACUAACAUUCUUUUUUUCAUGGAAAAGAAAAUGUAUCUCGUUGUAACUUUAAUUUACAAUUCCCUAUUAAAUUUUUACCAUAUACUUUUGUCCAUUAUCUGUUCGCGCAAUAACUAGCAUGAGGGAGAGAGAGAGAGAGAGAGAGAGAGAGAGAGAGAGAGAGAGAGAGAGAGAGAGAGAACAAAAAUGGAAAAGAAUAGAAAACAAAGACAAACAACCGUGAAUCCAAGUGCCUACAAGGCCGGAGGCUGUAGAGAGUGAUGGAAGCAGAGCUCGACGACUGGAGACGAUGGCCGAAGGUGAUAGGCAGAGUGGAGUUCGAGGGCGGUAGAUUGUUGUCGAUGAAGAAAGUUAAGCUUUGGAGGUGUGAGUGCAUUCAGGAACAAGAGUACUGCCGGUCCAAUUUUGAGGAUAACGUUUGUGUGCUUGGUGUUUUUUUAAGAUAUAAAGUGGUGUUUUGGAAAAUAGAGGAUGAAAAGUAGUAGUAAUAUGAAUAGUGCGGGCAUAUUCUAGUACUUUCCUAACAGAAGAAUAAGAGAACUUAAUGGAAAUUAGUGCGCACUAGGUUGGUCGUGUAUAUUUUUUACCUUCUUAAAAGAAAUAAAUCUCUUUUACACGCUCUAUGUGUAUAUUCUUUGAUCAAAGAGAUAGAUUAUUAUCUUGUAAAAUAUUUUGAUUGGAAAAAUUCUCUCAAAUGAUGAAAAUUGUCAAUGACAUCAAGCAUUCAAGAUCAAAUGGUUAAGUUAAGAAUAGCAGUUCUAAAAACUCCCUAUGAAAUUAGUUUUAGUCCGAAACAAGUUUUUCCAUCUUUGCGAGAGGACCCAUUUUCCAACUUGAGUGUUCAAUGUCACUUUCACUGAGAUUGACUUAUUUAAUUGAUCAAUUACACUGAAUUUCGUUUACCUUGCAAUUCACUAUAACUAAUCUUCCUGGUAACUUUACACACGGUGAGCUAUGUGGCAUUUUUGGCCAUGUAUGCACAAAAAAUUAAAAAUUAAAAAUAAUAGAAAAUAGAAAAUAAUUAACGCAGAGAGAGAGAGAGAGAGAGAGAGAGAGAGAGAGAGAGAGAGAUGGCAUUUUUUGCCAUGUAGGCAAAAAACUUGAAAAAGGAUAGAAAAUGAGAGCGAGAGAGAGGGGCUUAACAUCACUUUCCACAAGGUGAUUCCACUUAAAAAAUCUCAUUACUAUUUUUUUGAAAUGUCUAAACUUUAAAUUGGCUUCAUCAUUUGAAAAGUCAAAAAGUGUUGGUUAAAGUGUUGUAUAUACUUUAAUUUCAGGUCCAUGUAAUAGAUCCUUUUUAUUGAGUGAAGGAGUCGUGAUAGAGACUUUAGCUAAUUCUUUAUGGAAACCACGUGGACAUUGUGGUUCCUCCUUCACAAUGAUUCCAACAAAGUUGAGAUUUUUGAAACAUUUUAUUCUUGAAUGUGUAUCUUUGUGCUUUUUUUUUUAUGAUAUCAACCUGAGUUUCCUAGUAUUUUCGAGGAACUGAAAUUGCAAAACACAUUGUGCUUGUGUGAAAUUGACUAGACAAAGCAUACUUCAAUGCUUUCUCUUUUGCCUUCACAAGAGGGUCAGACAAAGACUUGACGAUGGACUUGUGUAUGUUCUAAGCAAAGACAAAAGGUCAAAAAUUUGUUCUUAAUUCGAACUAUGCAAUUCAAUUAUGGCGUGAAUCCUACAAUCCCAAUCAAGAUAUUUUUCAUAGUGCAUUUCUAUUUGGACAUACACAGAAUAAUAAUAACAUAAGAUGAUUUAAGGGGAUGAUUCAAAAAAUAGAUUAUUUCAAUUGGCACAUUAGGUCCACUCAAAUUUACAAAGCAAGCAUAAUGGAUCUCUUCCUUCAUUUCUAGGCUAGAAAAAACAUUGAUUUUGUUCUGGUAAUUAAAUUAAAAAGAAAAAGAAAAAGAAUUAACUGUUCUCAGCUGGAGCCAAAUUCCAUUCUACUUUUGCUAAGCCAAACAAAGCAGAUCUUCUAACUUUCAAUCUAGAUUCGCGCUAAUCAGCGUGAUCAAUUGAUUCUUACCUUUAUUUCACUUACUACGCUUGAUGUACAACUAAAAUGCCAAUUGUUUAUGUUUGGUGUUCACACAAUCUUAAAUUUUUCAAUUAGAAUUUUGUUCAUGACCACCCUCCCCCCCCCCCCCCCCCAAAAAAAAAAGAUCUAGCUCAUUAAUAUUCUAUUUGAACGGCCCACAAUACUAAUCAAGUUUUUAUUAUUUUGUUCAGUAAAAUAUUUGAUAGUAACAAAAAAAUAAAGGGUGAGUUAUUUAAGAUUUGUAAUUUACAUAUAUAAUUACAUAAAUGCAAAGGAUAAUAUUUGAACUUAUUGAGCUAAAGCUUGAACUCAUUUUAUAACGGUGAUUGUAUCGAGUCAGACUUGAGCUUGAGCUUGAGCUUGAUAUCUUGAUUUUCUAUUGGUCAAGCUCCAACUAGAAAUUGAUUUCUCUAUAACUUGAGUGGAGUUUUGAGUGAUCUAAUAUUUGAUAGGAGUUGAGCUCGAGCUUCACACUAACGGAGUAUUAUACAUCUGAACAUUGGUAGGUUAGAGUGCGAAGCAAUGGUACUGAAAAGAAUAUCAAUAGUCGUUAAAACCAUAAAUAAAAAUUCAUGUCAUUCUAGAACUAUGUAGGGGUUGAAAGACAAGCCCAUGGAAAGAAAUAUGAACAUGCUGGCGACUCUCGAAUAUUUGUGCUUAAUUGUUUCUACGAGUAAAAAAAAAACAUCUCACUAACAAAAAAUAAAAAAUAAAAACUUUAACUCAGAAUAUACAAGAAGGAUAAUUAUUGCAUGAAAACUCAUUAAGAGGAAGUCCGCUGACAUAAUGCAACUCUGGCUUCACAACGCUAUCUUCUUCUGAACUGAAGCACUUAAACUGUCUUAGAACAUCAACUUUUAACGUAACCCCACUUUGUCCUUCAAAUCUCCACGAGCUCUUCAUAGUAAAAAGGCAUGCUGCCUGAUACCCUCAAUAACAAAUUGAAAGUAAAAUGAUUGCUUACCGGACAGACCAGACCAGUCAUGUAUAAUUGUUUAGGGCUGGGCAAUGGGCCAUGUCAGCCGUGUGGUCCAGACCCGUUGUGCUCCUAGGCCAAAUCAAGCUCAUGGUCCCUAAUUAGCCGAUCCUGGCCCGACAGAUUUUUGAUGGACCAGUUGAGGCCACAUGGGCCAAACCUUAAGGAACUUUGGGGCUCCAAAAAUACAGUCGUUGGACAGUCACUUAUCUAGUGACCCAAUCCGGCCCAACGAUGGGCUACUCACUUGGUCAGGGAAUGGCCGGAAGGCCCCCAAUAGUUGAUUCGGAUUUUCAUUAAUUUUCCUCAAUUACUUUGUUUAUUAUUCACAUUUUUUUUGGUUUAAAAAAAUCAUUAAAUUAAAAACAACCCAAGCUCGAGCCAAUAGUGCCUUGGCCCGACCUAGUGUCUACUCCUACUGGCAAUUGGAGUUCGGGUCAGCAAUUUAAAGGCAAAUCGAGGGAAGACGUGGUGGAUAGUCCUAAAACCCUAUCGGCAACUGUAUUUACUUUUGCGAUAGGUAAGUAAGAAUGUAAAGGAGGAGGUGGUCACAAAUCCUCAAAAUUCUCUCCCAAAAUCCCUCGGGCUUCUCCAUCCAAAUCCUCAGUUUAAAGAAGCAGAAGUUGCAGCAGCAGAAGAAGAAAAUCCAUCGGAAUGUCGGAAUGUCAGCAUCAACAAUGAACAAUAUGGUUUAGCAAUCGUGGGCAUCAAAUUCAGUGCUCCUCGAAUUGGCAGUCAUGGCAACGAGAAACCUCUACGGUCUUUUCUUCUUGAAGUACAAAUCACAGGAUCUCUUUACAACCUCUAGCCAUGGUUCCGAAAGUUUAACAAAGAAAGUCUUUGAUACAAACUUCUCCAUAUUUCCAUAUGGAGAAAGAAUGAAACUUAAGCUUUUUGAAGGAAAUAUAGCUCUUAUGAUAUUUCUUAAGUACUUGAAGUUGUGAAGGACAUAAAAAAGUAAUAAAAUAAAUUUUUUGACUAGGAACUAGCCAGAUUUGUCUCAUCUGCAAAAGUUGGUGCCUUUACUUGUCUCUCUUAAAAGCAGAGGUUAUGAUUGUCCUAAAAUGUAUAGUUAAUACCUCUUAGAAGGAAAAGCAUGUUAUACAUAAGACGUUGUGUAAGUAUAUGUUGUUUAUAGGAUGGAGGGGCCUAUCACCAUCUUCUGUUACCAUCUAAGAAAAUGUUGUCCAUGGUCACCUGCAACUUUAUAAAACUAAAAGAACUAUUUGCUGUUGUAAUUAUGGUUAUAAUUAUGGUUAAUAGAUCAACGAAAGCCAAUAAAUUAAGAUACAUCUUUUUUGUUCAUGUAUCUCUUUUGGAUUCAUGAAUUUCCUAAUCUUUUAUGUUCACGUAUUUAUUGAGUUCAUGAAUUUUCUAGAUUCAUGUAUCUUUUAGUUCAUGUAUUUAUUGAGUUCAUGAAUAUCUUGAAUUCACGUAUCUUUGGAUUCAUGAAUCUCUUGGAUUCAUGUAUCUCUUUAUUAAUGAAUCUCGUGGAUACACUCGUCUAUUUAAUUCAUAUAUCUCUGUAGUACAUAAACUAAAAAGCUCUAUAAAUAGAUAUGAGCAUAGAGCUUCAUUAGAGUUUUUAGUUUUUGGUUUUGGUUUUUUUGAAUCGAUUCCAAAAAGGCUUUGAUAUACUUUUCUACUCUUCUGUUUUAUCUGGAUGUGCUGGUUCAAUUGAACGGUUCGACUGGUUCAAUUGAACGAUUCAACAGAGUCCUGUUUGCAUAGUGCUAAUCCAAAUAGGUUCGAUGCGUUGUAUCUUGGGAGGCAUAGUUCAUGAAUCUACGGGGCACCACUACGGGGCACCUUUGGCAGGAACUAAUCGCCUUAAGGAGAUUCGGUUAUUCGUACAUCACCUCCAAUUUUAUGUUAUUUUUCCAGUGAUAUCUUAUUUUAUUAUUUUCCAAGAUUUGUAAGUUUACAUAAAAAGAAUGAUAUUAUAUAACUGUUAUCAUCUUCUUUAUAUUGAUGUUCUGAUUACAACAAAUAGUGUGUAUUCUCUGGAUAUAAUUUUCAACAUUUGCUCCUUCCUUCCGAGACUCCCAUAGCCCCUAACUUAAUUUUCCAUCACUGUCUUUAGGAAAGCAACUGUUUGCCUAUGCAUGUGACAAUCACAAUCGCCGAUCCUCAUCUCUCUCCUCCUCUUAGUUCUCAUUGUCAUGACUCAUGGAGAGAAAAUGGAUUUAGAAUUAACCAACAGUCCUCAAUCAACAUAAGUUCUCCUAGGCUCUUACUUUGCAAGAUAUUGGGAAGUCACUUCAUUUUAUUAACCUAUCAAAACUGAGUCACUAGUAGCUACUAAGACUAGUUAGAGCCAAGUGAGAUGUAGGAAUAUACCUCACAUCCAACACAAUCAAAGAUCUAAGUACGAAGACUUAAUUACACUAAUUAUCCAAUUAAUAUUAUUUCCGUAUCUAAACUUGAUUAUUUGUCAACCAACUGUCACAUGCAAGUUUUUUUUAUUUAUUUAUAUAUCCAAUUAUGAUUCUAAUGUUCUUAUUUACUAAAUGUACAUGCAACGUUUUUGCAUUUAUUAUGAUCCUAAAAUACAAUCUAACCAUUCAACUAAAAUGAGGAAAUCACCACAUUGAAGCAAUAUAAAAGAAUCAUUUCAUCAAAGAUGGUAAUAAAAGAAAGAGUAAAAGAACAAAAAAAAAAAAAGGCAAUAAAAUAAUCCGAUGCAAGCUGAGUAAAGAAUAUAAUAUGACAUUAUUAUUGAGUAUCCAAAGAACAACCCCAUGAGUUAAAUUCAAAACAAAUCCAAUUUCUUGAGAAAGGGCUAAUCUAUCUAAACCCAAGAUAUCCAUUAAAAUCCCUAAACUAUAUGUAUACCAACUAUGGUCCAGCCUAAGGACCUUAAACAAAAGCCGUGGUUAUCGGAGCCCCCGUUCCACGUAAAUAAAAUGGAAGGGUUAACCGUGGGGGGAUUUGUAACCAAAUUUUGGAAACACCCCUCGGCUUGAUCCUAGCUCUGCUGCAUUGGGCUCUCGACGACUGCCAGUCCAGUAUCUUGGAAAUGAUGGCAGUAGGAUAUGAAACUAAAUAUAAUAUUAAAAUCUACAACCAAAUGAAAGCCUGUUUUUCUAAUCAUUUUCGAAUUCUUUGUAUUAGAAUUUUUUUUAUUGGGCCGGCUUGUACGGAAGCUUGAUCUCUAGGUGGAGUGGGUUAGAAUUUAAGAAAACAUGUAGGCCCUUGUAAACGAAAUGGGCUUACUUGCUAAAGCCCAACCUGCGUAUAGCCUAAACAAAGUCCAGAUCUAUCAGACCAAAUUAGGCUCAUAUUCACCAAACCAAGCAAAGCCCAAUUUCAUUAAGCUAAUAAAACCCAAAGCUCAUUAAGCCUAAUUAAGCCUAUUUUUUUAUUCUCUAUUUUUCUCUUUUCUUCUCCCUUUUUUCAAGUUUAUUUUAUGCACUAUGUCUCCUCACUUUGAAUUCGGUGCUCUAAGCCAAAGAAGCUGUGGAAAUAGCAGUUGCCAAAAUGCCGUGACUGCUCAAAAUUCGUGGUUGGAAAUCGCAAACCCACCUGAUGAAUUGUUCUAUAAAUGCCGCAUCCCCAUAUAUGAGAAUGAGACUAUUGCAAGGAUUAACUACAAUAGCUGGAUGAUAGGCCACUCUCAGAAUCUGCAGUUAAAAUUCUGACUGGAGGUGCACAACCCUAGUCUUGGGGAGAGAUGAUAGAAUUCAACGAAUGAAGAGAAUUUCUAUGGGGUCUAUUCUCGGCAUCAAAGACUGAUGGCCUUGCCUUGGAAGCAACGAACUUUAGAAGCGAGUCAGUUAUAGUUGGCUUUUUCCCAUGCUGACCUCUGCUAUCGAGAAGAUCGUCAACAGCUUGAAGCUGUGCAUCUGAAAGCAAAGCUUGAAGAUCCACUUUGCUGAAUCCUUCUAUCAUAUGAGCUAUAGCAUCAAAGUCCACAUCACUGGCCAAAGGAAGCUGCACAAGGGCAUUAAAGCAUACACUUAGCAAAACUUCAACAUUGCCUGAUGGUUGCCAAUUUCGCUGACUGAUCAUACAGAAACGGAGAAAUAUAAUUAAUUGAAUCCACCCAAUAUCUUCCUAAUUAGUGAAAAGAAAAGAAAAGAAAAGGAGAGGAUGGUGAUGUCUCAGAAAGGUUAUACUAAAUGAUACCCAAAGGUAAGUCUUAGUCCCGUCUCAUGGAUUUUCAGCUAUAAAAGCCUUUCUCAUUUUAUUUUUUUUCUGAGCAUCAUCGGUAGAUGUUAAAGCUACCAGUCUCAAGGUCCGAGGUUGAAAGUGAUUUACUACUGAUCAUCUAAACUUUACCUGAGCCUCACCUGAGCAUGUUGCAGAUUCAACCCACAACGCCUUUUACAAUGUUCUCUUGUAAUUGACAAUGUUUAGGGUGAUUUGGGGUGCAAGGACUUUUAGAGAACUCCACAGAGAAGGGGUUUUAACUUUUAACUCAAUGUGUUUCGCCAAAUGUACUCUGUCAGAUGCCAUAAGUUCUAAACAGGAUCUUAGCUGCUUAAAUCGACUCUGUUUCUAACUCUUUUUGUUUGUUUUAAGCAAUUCCCUGUUCAUAUGAAAUCUCUCCUAUGCAUCUUUCUAGAAAAAAGUAGGAUUGUGGUAAUAUAGUUCUUUAACAAGCAAUCCCAUAAAUUUCAAUAUGUGCAACUUGUUUCAGACCAUGUAAAAAAUGAAAUGCUAAAAGCAAAAAAACUGGCAUAUGGAUGGAAGCUAAGGCCCUGUUUGGUAAAUUUUGUUUCUAUUCCUCGGAAUAACUAUUUCUAUUCUUUUGUUCUAGGGAACAAGAAAAGAACAUAAAACUGUUUAGUAAAAUUUUUGUUCCCAUGAAACAAAAAAUCCAUUUUUUUUUGUUCUCGAGAAUAGAUUUGAAAUAGAAGUAAAAGUAGAAAAAACAAACUUCUUGUUCUCGGGAACAAUUUCUUAAAUUUAUUUUUUUUUCUCUCUUAUCUCUUCUUCUCUUUCUUCUUCUUCUUCUUCUUCUUCUUCAUUUUGGCCGGUUGCUGGCCAUGGCCGGCGACCUCUCUGGAGCGUCGCCGACCCUUGGAGACGUUGAGCCACGGCGAGGCUCGUCGGCCUGAGUUUUGCCAUGGCUGGGCGAGGCUGGCCUUGCUAGGCCACCUCUAGGAUGGUGUCGCUUGGCAGUGGCCCGACAAGGUCGAGCCUCGCUGAUAGCUAGGUGAGCUCGGCCUCGCUAGGUUUGGGUGACGUCUACCUCUGUCAUGCCCCAAUUCUUGGGGACGCGCCCAUCUUUCGACUUGGUCAAUUUUCUCAAUGCGAUAUCCCAGGACUAUGUAUCGCCGACCCUUUCAUUUUUAAUACACAUGCCGAACUAGUUAUAAAUCCCUAGACAAUAAAAUGAUGGGAUAGACAAGCAAGGCCAUAUUUUUCAUAUUGAAAUCCACAACCAUACUUUUAUACAUAGCAUAAUUCGAAGAGCUUCAGAAAACUAAUCACAACUUUUUAGUCUCAGUCUAUCCACAUAUAUACAGGGUUCACAAAAGAGGAUGGGAUUUCAGUCCUCAUCCAGAUAGACAAGAUCAAACUGAUCCUUAUUCAAUUCUUCUCCACUAAGCUCGUUUCUUUUAAACUCUUCAUCAUCUUCUUUAAGCUCAUUCUCGGCUCUAGAUGCUGGCUCAUCCUCACGUGAUCUGGGGGCCUGAAAUAUUAUCCCACAACCGGGAUGAGACUACGUCUCAGCAAGUUCUACCCCACUAAGACUCGAUUAGGAAACCAAUACGCUAUCUAGGCUGCCUAUGCACACACGGGUCAGAGGACUUACCUUGGCCUCAGAUUCCACCUACAUAUUAGUACAGUUCAAUAAGCACCCAAGCAAUCACAUCAUAGAUCGACAUCUCGAUCAAUCGACCUAGUCAAUUACUUCUUAAUUGAACCAUCCCAAGGUCAUUUCCAUUCAAUCAAUCAAUUCACGAAAUUAGAUUAAAGCAAUGAUCAAUCCACUUAGUCGGUUACAUAUCAAACAGACCAUUCUUGGUCAUUUCAAUCAAUACUAUUCAUUCUCUAAAAUAACCCGUCGGGUUAUCAAGCCAAUAAUUUAUACGAUUCAAUCUCCGAGAUGACACACUAAGAUGACACACUAAGUCACCGAGUUAUUAUAACAUACUAUUCAUUCUCCAAGAUAAUGUAUUGAGUUACCGAGCUAGUAUAUUAUAAUAUUCAUUCUCCGAGAUGACAUAUAGAGUCACCAAGUAUAUUCAUCAUAACGUACAUUCUCCAAGAUGACAUGUUGAGCCACCGAGCUGUUAUGGCAUGUCGUCCAUUCUCCAAGAUGAUCUAUAGAAUCACCAAGCCGACAUUUAAUAUAGUCCAUUCUCCAAGAUGACCUAUAGGGUCAUCGAGCCGAUAUACAAGCAAUUCUUUCUCAAAAUGACAUGAGAGUCAUCGAGCUGUAAUAGUAUAACGUCCAUUCUCUAGAUGAAAUACGAAUCAUCGAGCCGUUAUAGUAUUUUUUUGUUCCGAAGACACAAUCAAUUUCACCAUUUUCAUCAUAUUUGAUAAAAGUACACGUGUGUGGGCACACGGUCGGCUUUAGCCAAAAUACAAUAAUUUCAUUUUUAUUCACUCACUCCCUUCAGCAGUACAAAAAUAGAUUUUUGACGCUGUAGACUGACGCCCGGUAAUUUUCCACUCAAUUACCAAGGUUAUUCAAUUUCUGAAAUAAACACCCACAACUACUAUUUGCACUCAAUUUGCACAACCAGGUACUCAAUUAAAUAAACAUAGAGCACCACUGAAAUCAGCACGAAAUUCCGGUCGUCGGCUAUCCCAGCCUAAUUUCCGGUAAUUAAUUAAUUAAUUAAUUAAUUAAUUUCGAAAAUUAAUAAUUAAAUACUAAAAAUCCAAUUUAUGCCCGUAUUGCCUAAUUGAAGCCCAAUAAGGGUCGGGACAAAUCCCGAGAUGCAUUCAAUAAAUAGUAUAGGCAGCUCUCUAGCUAAGUACACUAACCACCUAACUAAUAUGCAACCCUUAAGCAUCUUUAGUCUACUAAGCAAGGAUUAGUGAGAUUACUCACUUGAUUUGCGAAGAACGGAACACCGCGACAGCGGCCGAACUUGGGCCUACGACAAACUUGGGCCGAGCCAAUAAACUUUACAAGCCCACAUAAAUUUCUGGACUUGGUUGUGCUAGAAAUCUUGGGCUGAACUUGAUCUGGGCUUCAAGACUAGGCUGAAAUGGGUUUGAAACAAAGUUGAACUGGGCCUGUCUUCGCUGAAGCUGGGCCGGGCUUCAAGUGGCUGAAUUGCUGGACUUCACUGAAUUGGGCCGAGCUUCAAGACUGAAGACUUGGGCUGCUGUGGAAAUUUUUUUGUGGGUUGAACAUUUUAGGAUGCUGGGCCGAAUCCUUGCAGCCUCGUGACGCUGAGGCAGCUGGGCCGAUAGGCUGAGGAAAUGAAAACGGCUGAAGACACGUGAUGGAGGAAGGUUGGCAGGGGGAAGGACGUUCGCCGGUGGGGACGAACGUUGUAGCAAGCAGCUGGGCUUCGGUCUUCGUAGCUGGGAGUCAACACACGGCCAGGGGAUGAAGCAGAUGAGUGGUAGACGGGCUCGCUGGUGGAGCAGUUUCUGCUGUGGACUGCUUCAAUGGGGCUGAGGGCAGACGGAAGACACACAGAUGGAAGCUCGUUCGGUGGGCGUGUGGGGAAGGCACUGACUGGAGGCUCACGGCCAAAUGGCAGCAAAACAAAGCCGCUCAAUCAACCACUGAGUUUCGGUGGGCUUGCUGUUGUUGACCGAAGGAGUUCGGGCCAUGGAUGCGUGGAGUUGUGCGUGGAUGGAGAGAUCGUGAGCUUCAACGGCAGAGAACGUGGCUUCUUUGGGCUUGCUGCUGGCAAUUCGGCAAAGGGGAAGAACAAUCGUGGGCGUGGGGAAUUGAGCUGGCCAGUUCGCUCGGUGAGGAAGCAGAACCAAGACGAAGUAGCAGUUAAUCUUUGUUGCUGUGGGUGCGCGAAUUCCCGGGAAGAAAGAAUUGGCUGCACGAUCUGAUGGGGGGGAGAGGGGUGAGAGAGAGGAUAGAUAUGAAGGAUGAGGGGCCAUUUGCUUUUAAUUCUCACACAAAUAUCUCCCAAAAACCAUUCUUAGCCAUAUAUAGUUUCCUUGGCUCACAAUGGACCACUCAUGCACUCUUCUAGAAGCCAAAAUGGUCCAAAUGUUGUGGCUUGGUGGGGGUACACGAAUUUAGAGGAGGAUGGACUCAAUUGUACAUCAAUUCUCUCUUGAUUUACUUUCAAUUGAUUCCCAUAAUUUCAGUUGGUACUUCAAUGCCUCAAUUGAUAAUUUUCCUCAUCCAAGAACCCAUCUUGCAUCUCAAUUUUGCCUCCAAAACUAAUCCUCGACUUGUUCUGCACAAAAACGGCCAUGCGAUGACUUUUCCCCAAAAAGUUUCGGUUGUCAGAAAAAUCUUCUCAGACUGAGUCGAUACUUCUAGAAUUUAUUGUGACAUGAUGGAAACUUCGAUUUCCAAAAUCGGACUUGAAUUCGUGGUUAAUUUCCACUUGGCGCUUUUUAGCGUGACCUAAACUAUCAAGUAGUUUUCAGAACUUUUUAGAGCAAAUGACCCAUGGUCGAUUUUCUUUGAGCCAUUAUGAACCCACUCAACUAAAUGGCGACUCUCGAUUGUUGUGAAAAUCUCGAGGAUUCAAUUACGGACACAAGGUACCAAAACGAUAGUAAAAUCAAAUUAGUGUCGGUCGAUGAGAAUUUCCCAAUUUAGUGGAGUCACCCACGAUCGGCCAAACAUCUCAGUCAAACAGAUCUAUCUCUUAUCUCAAAUCGAUUUUUUUAACCGUGCCAUAAUGGCCUCUGAAGACAAUCACGGUCAAGAAGCCGAUUUUUAGUCGAAUUCUCUAGUCUAUUUGCCUUAAAGUCCUUAAUAGCUUCCCCGAAUAGUCUAGUUAUCUCAAGAGUGAUCAGCUCUGAGAACAACUCUAUAGGCGGGUCAAUGAAAUGCCUGAUUAAUUCAAUAGAAAACAGAUCUGAAAAUUCGAGAUGUCACAACUCUUCCCCUCUUAUAAAAAUUUCGUCCUCAAAAUUUAAACCUUACAUACUUUGAUAAAAAAAAAGGUGGGGGUACAAUUCUCUCAUAGACUCUUCAGUUUCCCAGGUCGCGCCUUCUGUACCGUGGUGUUGUCAGACUACUUUGAAAAACGGAAUGGUUUUUGUACACAGAACUUGCUCUUUACGAUCAAUAAUCUGGACUAGGCUUUCAACGUAUGACACACGGUCAUCCACGUCCAAUUCCUUGAAAUUGAGCACGUGGGUCGGGUCAGGGUCGUACUUCCUUAACAUCGACACGUGAAAGACGUCAUGCACUUGCGCCAGUCUUGGCGGCAAUGCAAGACGAUACGUUAGGUUCCCAAUUCUUUCAAGAAUCUCAAACGGACCUACGUACCUCGGACUCAGUUUGCCUUUCUUACCAAAAUGCGAAGUUCCUCCCAUUGGUGACACUCUCAGAAAAAUGUGAUCACCAACUUGGAAUUCCAAAGACCUUCGACGCUUAUCUGCAUAACUUUUCUGCCUGCUUUGCGUUGUCUUUAAUCUGCAUCUGAUCACCGUCACAACAUCUACUGACUGCUGAACCAACUCUAGGCCUGUGAUUUUUCUUUCCUUAACUUCAUCCCAACACACCGGAGUCCUACAUGCUCUGCCAUACAAUCCUUCAAAUGGAGCCAUCUGGAUGCUCUGCUGAUAACUGUUAUUGUAAGCGAAUUCCACUAGAUGAAGUUGAUCUUCUCAACUUCCUUUGAAAUCUAUUACACAAGCUCUCAACAUGUCCUCGAGAGUUGGAAUUGUCCUCUCAGACUGGCCAUCCGUCUGAGGAUGAUACGCCGUACUAUACUGAAGUUUUGUACUUAGUGCACUCUGCAAGCUCUUCCAAAAAGCAGCAGUAAAUUUCGGGUCUCUAUCUGACGUUAUCGUAACCGGCACUCCAUGCAUACGAACCACCUGACGCACAUACAGGUUUGCAUGUCUAUCCAUACUCAGGUCCUUUUGAAUUGCAAUGAAGUGAGCCGACUUCGUCAAUCUAUCGACCACUACCCAAAUUGAAUCAUUCCAUCUUUGACUCCUUGGUAGUCCAGUCACGAAGUCCAUCGUAAUAUGCUCCCACUUCCAUUUUGGGAUCGCGAGAGGUUGCAGAAGUCCUCCUGACUUGUAAUGCUAGGCCUUUACUUGCUGACACGUCAAACCUUUGGCGACAUGCUUGGCAAUGUCCGCCUUCAUACCUGACCACCAAUAGUGUUGACGCAGAUUCUGAUACAUUUUAGUACUUCCAGGAUGAAUGCUGUAACUACUACGAUGUGCUUCAGAUAAAAUUUCUUCUCUAAGCUCCACGAGCCAAACCUUUUUAUACAUAUGGUAUUAAAGUUAUACCUAAGCAAACCCGUCAAGUACAACUAUAGUCAGAGAUUCAUCUUUCUACCACUUUAUUACAACAACAAAAAAUUUUACAACCUUCACUCAAAAUUCUGCUACACUACUCUGAUAAAAACACCUCAAAAGCAUUCUUCCAUUGCUCGGUGCCUAAUUGGUCCAUUCUUGUUUCUUGCGUCAUUCUAGUGGUGUUCUAUCUGCGGUGCUUUCUCUUUGUCCGGUCCUUCGGUGAUGGCGUACACUCUUCCCUGCUUUGGGGAUCUGUUCCGCAUAGCCGUACCUGUAAUCGCGUCAGGCGCAGCUUUUGCCUGACCUUGUGUGAUGGCAUACACCGUGUCUUAAACUGGUGGUCUCAACUGACCUCCCUGUGGCACGUUUUGAGGGGCGUACCCUCUAAUCUGUCCCACUGGUGGCGGUGGCAGCGGCGGUAACUGCAGUUGUCCUCUUAGCUUCCUUGGACAAUCUCUAGCCAGGUGGCCUGGUUAACCACACUCGUAACAAGCACCCAUCAUUCGAAGGCACUGGUUCGGUCCAUGUCACCUUCCACAAGCACGACAUAAAUCAUUCCUGGUUGGCACUGGCUUGCCAACUCCUCCUCUCCUAUCAGGCGAAAUCGGGAAUUUAUUCUCAGGCAUGGGCCUCUUCCCAUGGUGAAUACUCUCUCUGUGCGAGCUAAACCUCGAUCCAGAUGAGGCAGCUUGCUCAUUCAAUCCUCGCUCUAUCAUCUAAGCUCGGCGAUAAACUUCUCUAUAAUCCUUCAAGUCCCAAGGUAACAAAGGUUGUUUCAAUUCAGUACGAAGACCACUUUUGAAUUUCCGAGCUUUCUCUUCAGGGUCUUCUAUAAGUUUAGGAGCAUACUGUGACAGUUCUGCGAACUUGACCCCAUAUUGGUCAACUGUCAUGCUCCCUUGGCGGAGACGGUGGAACUCCUCUAUCUUUUGUUCCUGAGUAGUACUCGAAAAAGUACUGAUCAUUAAAGGCUCUGAGGAAGGUGUCCCACACCUGGACCACACCUUCCGGGAACACUAUAUCCUUGGCAGCUCUCCACCAUAUAUUAGCGCUACCUUGAAGUUGGUACACAGCUAGUAACACCUUUUCCUCAUCAUUGCACAUCAGAAGUGCAAAUGCCUUCUCCAAAUCCUCUACCCAUAGAGACGCGGCCUUAGGGUCUCCGGUACUAAUGAAUCUCGGUGGAUUCAUUUUUAAGAACUGAUCCACUAACUGGUGAAUCGGCCUCCCCGCGGCCACAACUCCUAGUAGUAUUUCAGCAAGGGCGACGACAGGUGCAACUGCAGGUGCAGUGACAGAGGCAGCUUGAGCAGUAGCGGCAGUUGCGGCAGUGGCAGCGGCCUGAGCGGCGGCUUCAACUGUAGCGGCUUGUUGAUCCAUUCUCGCACUAAUCGCUUCCAGAACACACAAGAUCCCAUCCAACCUGGGAUCAUUAGGGGCUGCUACCCUAGCAUCUACGACAAGUGGAAUCACUCCACUCGUGCUAGCCUGUGCUGGCGCUCGACCACGUUCACCUCGGGUCCCGACACGAGUCGGAGCUCUACCCAGAACAACGACCCUACUGGUCCUCUUAAUAGGAGUCCUCGGCUCCUGAUUGCUCGUAGUGUUGUUUUAAAUCUACCAACACAUGCUUUCAAUUCAACAUCGAAUUAGAAACAAAGCAAUCUAAACAACAAGCAAUUUUAGCAUCCAGCUAACACAGACAUGCACAAGCAUCAAUUUAAAGGCCUUUCUUAUUACUAUCCCAAGACUCAUCGCUCCUUAUCACUCCAAUCUUAAACUUCGCUCUGAUACCACAAAAAUGGGAUGUCACGCCCUAAUUCUCGGGGACGCGCCCAUCCUUCUACUUGGUCGAUUUUCUUAGUGCGAUAUCCCAGGAUUAUGUAUUGCCAACCCUUUCAUUUUUAAUACGCAUGCGGAAGCAGUUAUAAAUCCCCAGACAAUAAAACAAUGGGAUAGACAAGCAAGGCCAUAUUUUUCAUAUUGAAUUCCACAACCAUACUUUUAUACAAAGCAUAAUUCGAAGAGCUUCACAAAACUAAUCACAACUUUUUAGUCUCAGUCUAUCCACAUAUAUACAGGGUUCAAAAAAGAGGAUGGGAUCUCAGUCCUCAUCCAGAUAGUCAAGAUCAAACUAAUCCUCCUUAAAUUCUUCUCCACUCAGCUCGUUUUUUUAAACUUUUCAUCAUCUUCUUUAAGCUCAUCCUCGGCUCUAGAUGCCGGCUCAUCCUCACUUGAUCUAGGGGCCUUAAAUAUUAUCCCACAACCGGGAUGAGAUUACGUCUCAGCAAGUUUUACCCCACUAAGACUCGAUUAGGAAACCAAUACGCUAUCCAGGCUGUCUAUGCACACACGGGUCAGAGGACUUACCUUGGCCUCAGAUUCAACCUGCAUAUUAGUAUAGUUCAAUAGGCACCCAAGCAAUCACAUCACAGAUCGACAUCUCGAUCAAUCGACCUAGUCGAUUACUUGUUAAUUAGACCAUCCCAAGGUCAUUUCCAUUCAAUCAUUCAAUUCACGAAAUCAGAUAAAAGCAAUGAUCAAUCCACUUAGUCGGUUACAUAUCAAACGGACCAUUCUUGGUCAUUUCAGUCAAUACUGUCCAUUCUCUAAAAUAACCCAUCGGGUUAUCAAGCCAGUAAUUUAUACGAUUCAAUCUCCGAGAUGACACACUAAGUCAUCGAGUCAUUAUAACAUACUAUUCAUUCUCCAAGAUAACCUAUUGAGUUACCAAGCUAGUAUAUUAUAAUAUUCAUUCUCCGAGAUGACAUUUAGAGUCACCGAGUAUAUUCAUCAUAAUGUACAUUCUCCAAGAUGACAUGUUGAGUCACCGAGCCAUUAUGGCAUGUCGUCCAUUCUCCAAGAUGAUCUAUAGAAUCACCGAGCCGACAUUUAAUACAGUCCAUUCUUCAAGAUGACCUAUAGGGUCAUCAAGCCGGUAUACAAGCAAUUCUUUCUCAAAAUGACAUGAGAGUCAUCGAGCUGUAAUAGUAUAACGUCCAUUCUCCAGAUGAAAUACGAAUCAUCGAGCCGUUAUAGUAUUUUUUUUUUUUGUUCCGAAGACAAUCAAUUUCACCAUUUUCAUCAUAUUUGAUAAAAGUACACGUAUGUUGGCACACGGUCGGCCUUAGCCAAAAUACAAUAAUUUCCUUUUUAUUCACCCACUCCUUUUAGCAGUACAAAAAUAGAUUUUUGACGAUGUAGACCGACGCGCGGUAAUUUUCCACUCAAUUACCAAGGUUAUUCAAUUUCUGAAAUAAACACCCACAACUACUAUUUGCACUCAAUUUGCACAACUAGGUACUCAAUUAAAUAAACAUAGAGCAUCACUGAAAUCAACACGAAAUUCCAGUCGUCGGCUGUCCCAGCCUAAUUUCCGGUAAUUAAAUAAUUAAUUAAUUAAUUUCGAAAAUUAAUAAUUAAAUACUACAAAUCCAAUUUAUGCCCGUAUUGCCUAAUUGAAGCCCAAUAAGGGUCGGGACAAAUCCCGAGAUGCAUUCAAUAAAUAGUAUAGGCAGCUCUCUAGCUAAGUACACUAACCACCUAACUAAUAUGCAAUGCAAUUAACUAAUAAUCACUAAUCCAUUCUAGUCUAACCACCUAAUUGCACUUAAUUAAAUCUAAUCAACCCUUAAGCAUCAUUAGUCUACUAAGCAAGGAUUAGUGAGAUUACUCACUUGAUUUGCGAAGAAUGGAACAUCGCGACAACGGCCGAACUUGGGCCUGUGACAAACUUAGGCUGGGCCAAUAAACUUUACAAGCCCACAUAAAUUUCUGGGCUUGGGCCUGCUAGAAAUCUUGGGCUGAACUUGAUCUGAGCUUUAAGACUGGGCUGAAAUGGGUUUGAAACAAAGCGGAACCGGGCCUGUCUUUGCUGAAGCUGGGCCAGGCUUCAAGUGGCUGAAUUGCUGGACUUCAUUGAAUUGGGCCGGGCUUCAAGACUGAAGACGUGGGCUGCUAUGGGAAUUUUUUUGUGUGUUGAACGUGUGAGGAUGCUGGGCCGAAUCCUUGCGGCCUCGUGGACGCUGAGGAAGCUGGGCCGAUAGGCUGAGGAAAUGAAGACGGCUGAAGACACGUGAUGGAGGAAGGCUGGCAGGGGGAAGGAUGUUCGCUGGUGGGGACGAACGUGGCAGCAAGCGACUGGGCUCCAGUGUUCAUAGCUAGGAGUCAACACACAGCCAGGGGAUGAUGCGGAUGAGUGGCAGACGGGCUCGCUGGUGGAGCAGUUUCUGCUAUGGACUGCUUCAAUCAGGCUGAGGGCAAAUGGAAGACACGCAGAUGGAAGCUCGUUCAGUGGGCAUGUGGGGAAGGCACCGACUUGAGGCUCACGGCCAAAUGGCAACAAAACAAAACUGCUCGAUCAACCACUAAGUUUCGGUGGGCUUGCUGCUAUUGACCAAAGGAGUUUAGGCCAUGGACGCGUGGAGUUGCAUGUGGAUGGAGAGAUCGCGAGCUUCAACGGCAGAGAAUUGGAGGAGCACGUGGCUUCUUUAGGCUUGCUGCUGGCAAUUCGGCAAAGGGGAAGAUCGAUCGUGGGCGUGGGGAAUUGAGCUGGCCAGUUCGCUCGGUGAGGAAGCAGAACUAAGACAAAGCAGCAGUUAAUCUUUGUUGCUAUGGGUGCGCGAAUUCCCGGGAAGAAAGAAUUGGUUGCACGAUCUGAUGGGGGGGAGAGGGGUGAUAGAGAGGAUAAGGAUGAGGGGCCAUUUGCUUUUAAUUCUCACACAAAUAUCUCCCAAAAACCAUUCUUAGCCAUGUAUAGUUUCCUCGGCUCACAAUGGACCACUCAUGCACUCUUCUAGAAGCCAAAAUGGUCCAAAUGUUGUGGCUUGGUGGGGGUACAAUUUAGAGGAUGGACUCAAUUGUACAUCAAUUCUCUCUUGAUUUACUUUCAGUUGAUUCCCAUAAUUUCAAUUGGUACUUCAAUGCCUCAAUUGAUAAUUUUCCUCGUCCAAGAACCCAUCUUGCAUCUCAAUUUUGCCUCCAAAACUAAUCCUUGGCUUGUUCUGCACAAAAACGGCCAUGCGAUGACUUUUCCCCAAAAAGUCUCGGUUGUCAGAAAAAUCUUCUCAGACUGAGUCGAUACUUCUAGAAUUUAUUGUGACAUGAUGGAAACUUCAAUUUCCAAAAUCAGACUUGAAUUCACGGUUAAUUUCCACUUGGCGCUUUUUAGCGUGACCUAAACUAUCGGAUAGUUUUCAGAACUUUUUAGAGCAAAUGACCCAUGGUCGAUUUUCUUCAAGCCACUAAGAACCCACUCGACUCAAUGGCGACUCUUGAUUGUCGUGAAAAUCUCGAGGAUUCAAUUACAGACAUAGGGAAUGAAAACGAUAGUAAAAUCAAAUUUGUGUCGGUCGAUGAGAAUUUCCCAUUUUAGUGGAGUCACCCACGAUCGGCCAAACAUCUCAGUCGAACAGAUCUAUCUUUGAUCUCAAAUCAAUUUUUUUAACUGUGUCGUAAUGGCCUCUGAAGACAAUCACGGUCAAGAAGCCGAUUCUUGGUCGAAUUCUCCAGUCUAUUUGCCUUAAAAGUCCUUAAUAGCUUCUCUGAAUAGUCUAGUUAUCUCGAGAGUGAUCAGCUCUGAGAACAACCCUAUAGGCGUGUCAAUGAAAUGCUCGAUUAAUUCAAUAGAAAACAGAUCUGAAAAUUCAAUAUGUCACAACCUCACCCAGCUAAGGCGAAGCCGAGCCUCGCACAACCACAAUAAGGCUCGGCCUCCCUAGCUGGCGCGAGGCUCGCCUGGCCAUCGGCAAGGCUCGGCCUCACCCAAAUCUGGUUCGGCCGAGGCUCGCCGUGGACAGGCUGGCCUUCAGCGAGCUUGCCGGACCUCACCCAGGCAGUGGUCGGCAACUGGCCAAAGAGAAAAAGAAAAAGGAAAAGACAAGAAAAUAUAAUAAAAGAAUUAAAAAAAAUCUAACAAUCAUGCCAAACGUAUUGUUGUACUGAGACUAGAAAUUUUGGAAAGUUACCAAAUGAGUUCUUUUGCUCAGAAAUUGUUCUUGAGAUGAGAAUAAAAAAAAACAUUUAUGAUAAAAAUUAUUCUCCAGAACAGAAUUGUUACCAAACAUGGCUCUAAGUUUCUACCUUAUGGGAUAAAAGUUGUGAAAAUAUCCAGCCUCUCCUUUAUUGAAGGAAAAUCACAGAACAUAAGUUGAGCCAGCUAGGUCUCAAAAGUGUGAUCUACUGCUUCUCAUCAAAUGCAACACAUAACUAGACAAUGAUAAAAUAAAGAAAAAGCAUCCUUGGAAAGAAAAUUGAAUUAGAAUUAUUAGUAGAUAGAUGAACCCAUGAACCCUGUGCAAAACAAGAGAGCACUUCAUGCAGCAAAUGUCAUGAUGACUGAGAAAUUGCAUGUGCUCAAUGUAACAAGACUCAAAUGAUCAGAAUCAGUUGAUGCCAUUAUAAAGGCUCAAUACCAGCAUAAUACAUGUCUUGCAAGCUACUUCAACAACUGAAAAGUAAUUUAUGGAAUCCCAUCAUUUGUUACCUACUUUUUGAUACAUAUGUAGUCAAUAUUGUGCAUCCAAUGUUAAACAGUUCUAAAUCAAGGAAAAGUCCUGUCUAGCAUUUUAUUGUCUAACUUGAAGGUUAUUACAUAGUAUCCAUACUAAAUGCUUCAUAAAAAAUGUUUGUCGAAGUGUUCAUAAUGGCCAUGCAAUUUGCAGUAGCAAUUGAUAGUUAGUGUGCCAUUAGAAGAGAAUACUUUUUGUUCAUAUUAUACAAAAUUAUUACCUUUUUUCCGCCAACACAAACACACCGGUGCAACACCAUCUAAUUCGGUAAAAAAAUGCACCAACAAAUAACAUACCAGUAGUGACUCAUAAAAUUAGAUAGAUUUUACAUGACCACCUUAUAAUUACUUUUGAAUGCAAGAAACUAAAUUCAUUGAUGACAUGAUCAGUGACCCAAUAUUAUCAUGCCCCCUUUUUGAAGCAAUGAAUCAAAUUCAUCGAAAAAGAGAUGGCAAGGUGUUGCAUCUACUGCCUUCAAGAAUAUAUCAGAACCUGUAGUUUUCUAAUUGUCGUUACUAUCAAAUAUUCAAAAAUCUCUCCAUUUUGCUGACAAAAUCAAGGAUCAUAAUAACAUAAAAUCCUCACGGAUACCCCAGUUACAGGAACGAAUCAACAUUGAAGAUAUCUAGACAAAACAUCAAACAGGUCACGAAGGACUCUCGGCGAGACCCAUUUUUUAACUUCAACCAAUCGAGAUCAAUAAAAUCCCAAGGAUUUUCCCUUCGACUGAAACGAAACUCGCGAACCUACUUCAGACAGCUUCACUCUCCUAUAUCUCGGUUCAAAGGUGGAUGGACACAGAUCCCGAACGAUGGAGCAGAGCGAUGAGGAGACUCUGAACACGUAAUCGACUCUAAAGGUCGAUCGGAAUAGAAACGACCUGGCAGGGGUAGUGCCGAUUCCUAUCCUCCUUGGUUCCCUUCAGCCGAGCUCUUCGAUGGCCAAAUCCUUUUUCAAGCGAGCGUCCAGCAUCCUCUCCUUCUCGCUCUCGGCUGACUCUCUUUCUCCCCCGUGAAUGUCUCUUCAGCCUAUCUCUCUCCAACUUGCCUCUUCAACGGCCGCCCUCUCCGAAGACCGGCGGCAUCUCUCCUCCUCCUGUUAUGCGAACAGGAUCCUCUUGAGGCAAGCAUCCUUUCCGGCGAGCAGCUCCUAUCUCAUCUUUUCCUCCCGGAUCAGCACAAUCCCCUCGCCUCACCGAUCGAAUCUUUCUGUUAUUUCUCUCGCACGACAGCUAGCACGGCUCUAGAAGGUGCUGGCUCAGCUCUCGUCACGGCUUGUCGCGCCUCCUUCGCUCACAGACGCACGCACGCUUGGCCUGUCUUUCUUCCUUGCGUCACGGACGCUGUGCUCGCUGGGGAAGUUGAGGGGGAAGCGCGUGAGGGAAGAGAGAGGAUGGGGCUGGGCUUUCUUUUUGUUUGGUUCUACGACGGGCCAAGAAAAUACAAAAGGAGGUGGGCCGAACGAAUUAAAAGAAAUGGGUUGGACUAAUGGAGGGAGGGGGCUUAGAAGGCUCAAAACUUUGCCAAGGGGCCGGCCCACAUGACUUCAUUUCGAUUUUUUUUAUAUCUUUUUUAUUUUUUUCUUAUUAUCUUUUUCAUAAAUUUUCAGAUUUUUGUAAAAUAAAUGGAUUCCUAAAAUGUCAACAAAAUUUGGGUGUCAACAAUCUUGACCAGAGUCGAUAAUGACGAUGUUGCCUAUAGUGGUAUCAAAAGUCAAGGUGGCGAUGUUGGGUUUCAGAUAUUUAACUGUUCCCAUAUUGCCUAAAUAUGGGCUGUUUUUGUAGAUAAAUCUCACACAACUUUAAGAGUGGGGAUGUUGGUUUUUAUUUACGUCUCCGAUCCCAUAUUACCUAACUAGACUUAUAGCACUUAAAGUAAGCACGGGUGAGUUGUGACCAAAGCAGGCAGUAUUGCGCUCAAGUUUGGACGGGGAUGUCUACGACAAUAAGGUGAAACUUCAAAGAGUAAGACAAUGGUCAAGUCGAGCUUGAUGCAAUGAGACCACUCGUUGAAGAAUAGUCGUUAGAGAGCUUACACAUCUCGUAUGCUAGUUUCAAGAAGGGGUUUUAACCCUUGCAACCGCUGAACUAGGUAAACUACUUAAUCAUCUCAUCUAUUGUCGACAACUUGUCCAAAUUCCAUAGAUACAAAAAGAUGAUUUGAAAUGUAGACACUCACCCAUUGAGAUGCAAUAGUUAUUUCCAAGUAAUUAAUCAUCUUAUUUCUUCCCUUGAUUUUUUCCUCUUAAGCUUACAGAGCCAAACACAUUAAUUCCAAAAGUGGUUAAUUUCUUAGAACCGAUCCAUCGAUAAGAACAUCUCAAAAUUCAGUAAGAAAAAAAAGAUAUCCAAGGAAUUAGCCCUCUUAUUUCUCCUCUCUCUCUCUCUCUCUCUCUCUAAAACUCUAUAUAAACAGUACAAGUUGCCUUCCUAUGGCAGCAAUUUAGCUUCAACAAUUCCAUAGCUAUCAUUAUUUCCUGAUCUCCUCCCAGUUGACUUUACCGCAAGUAGCAUCAUCAAAUUUCAGAAGGUUCAACAAUCCUCUCCCAAGUCUUCUCUUUCGUGAUCGAUCUUCAAGAUUCAAGCGCCGAGAAACUCAUGGGGUACGUGGUCAUCAUGUCGCUCCCAAUGGCGAUCUUCCUCCUCGUCAUGAGCUUCGACUGCUGCUACAUGGGGAAGCAAAAGGGCGGAGAGGAGGCACAAGCCCUCGUCACGCAGGAGCUCGUGGCAGUCAACGGCAUCCCACCCCUGCCUCUGCCAACCAGGUUGGCCAUGCCGCCUUCGCCACCAGGAGUCGCUAUGGCACCGCCUCAGUUCUUCCCUUCUCCAUCUCCUUAUAAUCCAAAUCCUGCCUGUGUCAAGCAAGAAAGUGCUCGUUGAUUUUUUUUUUUAAGCAUCGUGAGUGCCACUUGUUUCAUGCUAUCAAUGAGUUCCAUGAAGUUCUUCCAAGACAUGUAUAAUUUCUUCUUUGCCCGAACAUGUAAAAAGUAAUAGUAUGUAACAAAUAACACAAUUUUCAUUUGCUAUAUAUUUUGCAUUUACCAAUAAUAUUUGAAACUUGAAGAGUGAAAUUGAGAAACAUAAGAAGAAUAAAUCCUCGCAACUGUACUUCAAGAUAUGACCCACCAAUCCACACACGACAUAUCUCCCGGCUUCACCUUCAAGUCCCAAACCGGAUCUCUUGUUACUACAGUUCGAUUGCCGGACUUCAAGAGAAGCUGAAGUUGUGUUGCCUCGGAUGUUUCUAGCUCAACAUUUUCCUCAAUGCACUUCUUUUAAGUGAUUUCUGAGAUAGCUAGUAUAAGCAACUAGAGGGGGGUGAAUAGGUGUAAAAAUAAUUUAUCGUGAUAAGUGAGCAAUACUAAACAGACAAUAGAAAGGAAGUUCUCAUUUUGUUAACAAAACGAAUUAUGAUCAAAGUAAAGGAGAGUAGGGAAGAGAAAAUGAACACAAAAAUUAUAGUGGUUCGGCUUAUUCCAAGCCUACAUCCACUCUUCCACACUGACAUUCCACCGGCUGGAUUUCACUAUGAACAAAAGAGUUGUUAUAGGAAAGCUCUCCUUUGAUUCCACAGUAUAGAUACUCUACCACACUUCCUCAAGGUUUCUCAAAGAUAUAGACUCUCUUUUGCGUACAAGAUUUCGCUCAGUAAAUGAAUUGACUAAGAACAAAGAGCUUCAGACUUUGGAAUUCUUCUAUCGCGCACACACUCGAACAACUGGAACGUCUUCCUUAUAUACUCCUUUAUGCCAUCAUACCCGUUGGCACUUACCAAAGGAAUUCUUCCAAUCUUCCCAUUGGACAUAAUCAAUGAGGAAGAUCAUUCGAGCUAUUUAAGGAACAUGACGAUAGCCCAUCAAUCAUGCUCGCCCAUACAAUCAGGAUCUCGGUUUCCAUAAGUAGAACCUUCUAAGUAUACUUCGCCAAUCAUCGGAUCCUCAAUCUCUGAAUCAAUCUUGAUUCGAAUAAAGGAUUCCAUUAUGUCAUAUCUAGCCAAGAGAUCUUCUCCAGUCGAUAAGGUCAAAUCCUUAACGAAACAUCCAGUCCUGGAUAGGCCUUCUUCAACAAACUAGAAACUGUCAAUGAUAAUAGACUUUGAGUCUUGAGUUUGGCAGUCCGGAGGUCUUCAGGCUUUAAAUAGUAGAGUCUGCAAAUCUUCAGACUAGACUGAUGGAAACGUUUUGUCAGCUUCAAAACACUCCAGGAAGAUUUCUCCAACAAUCUCUCCCUUUUUGAUGGUGACAAAACUUUUCUACAGAUUUGGAUAACUUUGACCUGCAAAACAAUACUCAAGCAAAUAUGGAUAUCUCAUAAAGAUAAAUGGCUUAGUGAUAACACUAGAAUCUGCAACCACAGAAAAUAGGUUAGUCUUUUAGAUGAGUAAAGCCAUAAGAUAUCAAUAGUACUUAAGAUAAACAAAUGUUCAAACAGUCAAACCCAAAAUCCAAUCCACAGCCAGACACAAAAGUCAAGUGAAAACAAACAUCAAAACAAAUCAAGAGUUCAAAAAGUUCAAAGUUCAAAUCUGCAUCACAUCUCUCCUCCUUUUUUGUCAUCAUUAAAAAGGUAGAGAUGGAAAGAGAAUGGAAUUAAGAUUGCUUGGGAACACGAACAAGCUGGAAAUCUCCCAUUGACUGGACAAUGCCUUCCAGCUUUUUCAAUUCCUCCUUCAGUUGAGCCACAUCUUCACCCUUAGCAUUUGCUUAAACCUGAAUAGUAAGGGCUUGCAUUUGAUCAUUCAAAGAAAUUGAAGAAGCUUGACCUGCAGUCUACAAAUUCUGUACUUCGCAUCCCAGAGCAUAUAUUUGACCCCGCAUCUCUAAAAGAACAUCAAGAAUUCUGCGAAAAUCUGCUGAAUUAUCAGUCUGCGUACUGGCUUCUACACGAUCAGAUGGAGUAAAGGCGGACGAUGGCAAAUCAGCAUAGUCACGCAGAUUGGGCGAUGAAACAUCAUGUCCCUCCUCAGGAAAUUGAGAGGCAUAGAUGUCCUCUAGAUCUGCUGGAGAGCGGCUUACUCCUUCACUGGUGGCAGGGUAUGAGGACAUUCCUCUUUUCUCAUGAUCUCCCCCUGUUUCCAUGCCUUCAGGUGGAGAAGAGUGUUCCUCAUGCUCUGCUUCCACUUGAUCUCCUCUCUCCUCCUCUUCUUCUUCUUCUUCAAAAUUUUCUCUUUCUCCAGUCCUCUGUUCUGUUUCAUCUGUGUCUUUCUCUUGUCGUUUCGUUGAUUCUAGAACAGAACGACUCAGGUUCUUCAAUGCCAUUGCAGAAAUGGUGAUGUUAUCCUCAUCUUCUUUAUCCUCAACGAUGAGAGCUCUUCUUUUCUUGGAUGGAACAACCAUGGGCUCCUUCCCUUUUCUUUUUGCUGCCGAAGAGAUUUGAUGAGUCUUAACAGGGGUUUUCUCCUUGAAUUUCUCCAACGCCUUGUUGAGUUCCUUCAAACGCAUUUUAGACACCAUUUUCAGUCCCACUACCAUUUGAUCACAAGUUCUAACACAGAGAAUUCAGGGAGGCUGAACAUUCAAAUGUCUGAAUAACUUGGUCACAAGAGCUGGAUAAGGAAGUUGACCCUUGUCCUUCACCACUGCUCUGUACAUGUGGAACAUAAUAGUGUGAGGAAGAGAGAACUUUUUCCCAGCAUUGAUGGCAUACAUCAGCUUUGCCUAUGAGUUUGAAACAUCAGUCUUUGAAGUAGAUUUUGGUCUGAGGCAAAUAAUCACAAUCUUGUGAAGUAGAAUGUUGAACACACUCAUCCUCAAGUAGGAAAUCUUUCCCUCUGUCCUUUUAUCCUUAACAAGUUCCAACGUAGCACAAGCAAUAGACACAUUGAUAGGUUAAUAUCUCCCUCUUUCAACCCCAAUCAGCCACAAAGUCCUGAUCUUGGACACUAAAAGAGAAUCUAUUCGCAUCCAAGAAACUUAGAUUCGAAUAGAAAUAAGCAGUGAGUUCAGCAUAGGCUUUUGUAGAUUCAGAACAAAACUGUUCAAGUUGAAAAAGACUGAAUUUUUCCCGCAAAUUAACGUUCACAGAGUCAAGAAAAUCAAAAUCCACACUUCUAGAGUUUAUCACCCCACGCUUCAACAACUUAGAGUAUAGAUGCUUAUGUUCCUCUGAUCGAAACAAGUCUGUCCUUUUGCUCCGAAUUUGACCCAUUCUCGGUUUAAACUGACUGUACAACUUGUCAUCAUCAUUCCCAUCUAGCUGAUUCAGCCCUCCAACACGUGGAUCGCUUGGGAUAUUUGCCAUUGCCUCUUCCGCCAACCCAGCAUGGGCAAUUCCCAACCGUUCCAUUGUGCGUAAAAAGAAUAUUUCAUUUUUAUACCCUUUGUCUUUUAGAAAUUCAUCAAUAUAGUUCAAAGGAGUUCCACCCAUUUUCAAAGCACGAUAAAGCUUGUAGGUAAAAGAGGGCUUAAAAGUUCUUACGGGUUAUGCAUCUUUGAUUAUUUCUUCCUCUUCUGGAUGAGCAACAUCCUGUGGUCUAGAUGGAGGAGAUGGACGCUGCUGAGAAUGUUGUGGGCUCUGCUGCUGACUAGGAGACUCUUCUUCCUCGGUGAGAUCAAAGUGCAUAGGCCCCUCACGCAUUUGCUACGGUCCCCUGUUCACGAUCCUCGAAGACUUCCUUUGAGACGACAUCUUUCACAGUCUUUGAAAGAUUCCAAACUUGUUUUUCCCAAGAAAGAUGACAACUUUUCGAAGAUUAAACAAGAGAAGAAGACAGAAGUGGAAGAUCGAUGCUUUUUAGGAUUUUUGGAGUAAAUUGAAGAGGAACCAACAGUAUAUAGGAUAGUCGAAGAGAGGCAUACAAAACAUCGUAAAGGAAAGUACAAAGAUGCCUUUAAAAAAAUAACUGCCUUUUUCAAAAAUUAGAUAACUGUCAUUUAAAAAUAACUCAAUUUUCGAAAAAGAAAGAUUGCAAUAAUCAUGGAAAUUGAAAAUAGCAAAAAUCAAUUAUGGAUAGAUGAUCGUACCUUUUCGAGAUUUAAUCUGAGAGAGAAAAAAAUAACUUACAGUCAAAAAUCUUGAUUGUCUGAGUCUGAGAAUCUCUAGACUUUUACUUCUUCAAACCUCAAGAUGUUGAGUCUGGAACGAAUAACUUCAAAUUGAUUUUUCUCCAAAGGCUUUGUAAAUAUAUCCGCCAGUUGAUUCUUUGAGUCAACAAACUGAAUCGAAACUUCUCCAUUUUGAACAUGAUCUCUAAUGAAGUGAUGUUGAAUCUCUAUAUUUUUUGCUCUUGAGUGAAGAAUUGGAUUCUUGGUGAGAUUGAUUGCACUGGUGUUGUCACACUUAAUCUCCGUGCAUGAAUCUUCAAUUCCAAAGUCUCUUAGUUGUUGUUUUAUCCAUAGAAUUUGUGAACAACAACUUCCAAGAGUUACAUACUCUGCUUCUGCUGUAGAAAGAGCUAUUGUAUUUUGUUUCCUUGAAAACCAAGACACUGUCCUGCUUCCAAGUAGUUGACAGGUACCCGAGGUGCUCUUUCUAUCAACUCUGCAUCCGGCUAGGUCUGCGUCUGAGUAUCCAAGAAGAGUAAAGUCUCCCUUUUUAGGAUACCAAAGUCCAAAGUUUGAAGUUGAUGCUAUGUAUUUGAUAAUAUGCUUUGCAGCACUUAGAUGAGAUUCUUUAGGGUCUGCUUGAAAUCUGGCACAAAUGCAAACACUAAACAAAAUGUCAGGUCUAGAAGCAGUAAGAUAAAGAAGUGAACCAAUGAUACUCCUGUAUAGCUUCUGGUUAACUUUCUUUCCUCCUUCAUCUUUGUCUAUCUUCAAGGAACUUGACAUUGGUAUAUCAGUCUUUUUGCAAUUUUCCAGUCCAAACUUUUUGACAAGAUCAUUAGCAUAUUUUUCUUGAUGAAUAAAAGUUCAUUCCUUCAAUUGUUUCACUUGAAGCCCGAGAAAGAAGGUUAGUUCACCCAUCAUGCUCAUUUCAAAUUCAUCAUGCAUAGACUUAGAGAAUUUCUUGCACGGACUUUCAUUAGAGGAUCCAAAAAUAAUAUCAUCAACAUAUAUUUGAACAAGGAGAAAAAUUUUGCUUUAACUUUUGAUAAACAGUGUAGUGUCUACUUUACCUUUAACAAAGCUGUUUUGAAUUAAAAAUUUACUCAACCUGUCGUACCAAGCUCGAGGUGCUUGCUUUAAACCAUAUAAAGCCUUUUUCAGUCUGAAUACUAAGUCUGGUUUCCUUGGGUCUUCAAACCCAGGUGGUUGUUCCACAUAGACUUCCUCAUGGAUAAAUCCAUUCAGGAAAGCACUUUUGACGUCCAUUUGGAAUAACCUGAAAUUCUUAUAACAAGCAAAAGCAAGUAAUAAUCUAAUUACUUCUAACCUCUCUACUGGUGCGUAAGUCUCAUCAUAGUCUAUCCCUUCUUCUUGCGUAUAUCCCUUGGCCACGAGUCUUGCUUUGUUUCUUACGACCUUUCCUUUCUCAUUCAUCUUGUUCCUGCUUUCCCAAUACACAUGGUGUACAUAGAUUAGUCUUUUGGUAUGACAGAUUGGGUAGAUCACAAAUAAGCUUCUUUGCUAAAAUUUUGGCUAUUUGCUUCAUAUUGAUGUGCCCAAGUUUUCUGUGCCAUAAGUUUGUUUCAUCUUGAAUUGAGAUUAGACAUUGGGUUUCAUCAGGUUUAACAUCCAAGAGGUAGAUGUUUCCAUGUCUUCGACCCAUGAAUGACUGAGUGGAAUCUUUACUGGUUCCUGAACAUAUUCUCUCUUGAAAGUUGAUUUUGAAACCGGUAUCGCACAGCUGACUGAUACUAAGCAAAUUGUAGUUGAGUCCUUCCACUAAGGAAACAUUACUGAUUGUGAGGUUUCCAAUCUUUACAGUUCCGAAUCCCACAAUUCUUCCUUUGCUGUUUCCUCUAAAUGAAACUUUUCCACCAUUUACUUGAACAAGCUUUAUGAAGCAAUUUGAAUCUCCUGUCAUAUGUCUUGAGCAUCCACUAUCAAAAUACCAUUUUACCUUCUUCUUGAUAGUGACCUGCAUUUAAAAAAGAGACUCAAACUUUCUUUGGUACCCAUAUUUUCUUGGGUCCAUUGGUGUUAGUAUGAUAUGCGGUUUUUGCCCAUACUUUCUUAACAGGUUUCCAAACCAUAUGACAUUCUUUCUCAAAAUGAUCUGAACUAUUGCACUUAGAACAUCUGAGAGCAUUUCGACCUACUGGUUUUACAAAAACUUUUUGGAAAUGAUUUUUAUAAGCAUCUCUUGUGGGUCUUUGCUUAAUUCUUUCAUUCACUUUAGGAAAAUCAAUUAAAGAAAUGGUUUCCACAGUCAUUCUCAAACCAGAUUUAUUGAAAUAAGGUCUUUGUGCUGAAAGAAUUUUCUCAAGUUUCUCAGAUCCUAUAGAAAAUCUUUUGGAAAUAUUUGCUAUGUCAUUUUUUAAAAAUGCAUUUUCUUUCGAAAAGUUGUCUUCAUUUACUUUUAGAGUAGAAACAUUCAUGUCUAAACAUUUAACCUUUUCUUUCAAAAUAUUUUCUUGUUGUUUUAGUGCAGAAUUUUCUUUUUUAAGUUUGGAAAUCCUUUUAAGAGAAGUCUUGAGACUAAAACACAACUCAUCAAUGUAUUUAGAAACUUUAGUAGGGAUUUUAAAGUUACUCACAUCAAGUUCACUGUCUGAAUCUGAGUCUGUCUCGGAGUUUGAAUCUGAAUCCGAUUGUGCCAUUAGACAUAUAUUGGCAUAAUCAUCAUCACUUUCUUCACAUUCUGUAUCACUCCAGGUUUCUGCUUUGAGAGCCUUUCGAUAUUUUUCAGCUUUUCCUUUCUUCUUCCUUAGAAGGGGACAGUUGGGUCUGAUGUGUCUCUUUUUCUUACAUUCAAAGCAGACUACAUCUCUAUUAGAUUCAUCAUCCUCAACGGACUUAGUCUGUUGCUUUUGAAAACUCUGUUUCUUUGGAUUGAAUCUUCUUCCUUUUCUAUUCAGCUUUCUGAAUCUUCUUAUCAUGAGAGCAAGUUCCUCAUCAUCCAUAUCGUCUUCAGAAUCUGUAACAUCAGAAUCAUCAUUGGAUUUUAAUGCAAUGGAUUUCUUACCUUUAGGAUCUUCGUCUUCAUUGAUUCGCUCCACUUCAUAAGACUGAAGAGUCCUAACCAACUCAUCGACAGAUAGUGGCAUAAUUCUUUGUGUCUCCCUUAUUGAGGUCUUUAUGUGAUUCCAAUCCUUGGAGAGUCCACGCAAUAGCUUGUUUACUUUCAUGAGAUCAGAAAUUGGUUGACCUUGAUUUUCAAGACCAUUCACGAUUUUUGUAAAACAACUAAACAUGUCAGUUAUAGAUUCUCCUGAUUUCAUUUUGAAGGCUUCGUAUUGACCUAGGAAAAUGUUGAUUCUGGUUUCUUUCACUCGAUCAGUUCCUUCAUAGGUGAUAUGUAAUCUAUCCCAAACUUCUUUGGCUGUAACACAAGAAGAUAUUCUGUUAUAUUCAGUAGGUGAUAAAGCGCAAUAUAAAGAAUAAAUUGCUUUUGCAUCAAGAACUUGUCUCUUGGUUAUCUCUUCCUGAGUCAUUUCACUAGACUCAACAACUUCUUUUCCUCUCUCUGAUGGUCACUCUGUCAAUGACGGGAGUGACGGUCAGCUAAGGACCGCACAUCUAAGAUGGAAACCGGUUGACUUUUUUGACAGGUUUCCAUCUUUUACCCAAUUUCUUCUUUUUCUAAUUUUUAUGUUUUCUAAAUCACUCUGUCAAAGAUGGAGUCACAAUCAGCUAAGCCACACUCAAACUAAAACUUUGCCCAAGCUUUACGCGGACAUAUAUUGAUAAAUGUACUUUAAUUAUGUUUGUUUUCAUUUUUAUUUGUAUUAAUGUCAUUAAUUUGGGAUUGUUUAUGUUUGUUAUCCAUUAGGUAUAAAAUUACCAAGUAAAGCCAUAUGUCAUAUCAAACAUGAAAAAUUGAAAGUUUAUAGUCCAAUUUAACUUUUAACGAAGGCAUGAUGAAAAUUUAAAAAAUAAAUUUGAAAAUCGCUACUUCCUAUACAAAUUGGAUCCUACUUUUCAUUUUAUGAUAUGAGGAUUUCUUUUUUCAGUAUCAUAUCUUCAAAGGAUGUUUUAAUUCAACCUCAAUGGUUGAAUUAAACCUUUAGACCAUCUCAGCUUCUUCCUAGUGUAAAAAUUCCUAUGUGACGUCCAAGAUGAAGGAAAACCCUUUAGAAUAAGUCAAUUUUGGACGGUUGAUCCUUAUGACCAAAAAGCAUCCAGCAUCGAGUCUCUAUCCCGUGCUUGCAAUCACUUGCAUAUGUUGCCCACUAUUAAGUGCUUGUUUUAUCCCAAAAAAAAAAAAAAAAGUCACCAAAAAUCCUAAAUUAUGUUCACUGUGACACAUUGACACCAAUUUUUCUUUUCUUUUUACACUAAGAAUCCCAAAUUUGUAUUUAUGUGACAUAUUUACUCCCAAAUUUAUAUAGUGGGACAUAUCUAUCCUAAACUUCUUCUUAUGAUAUAAAAAAUCAUAAAUUUGUAUCCGUAUGACACAUUCAUCCUUAAAAUUUAGUGUCACAGAAAAAAGUUUGAGAAUUUUGAUAUUACAAAAAAAAAAGUUUGAGGUAAAUAUGUCAUAGAAAUAUAAGUUUAAGAUUUUUGAAGUCACAAAAAAAGUUUGGGUAAAUACAUCACAUGGGUGAAGUUUGGGGUUUUUGUGGAUUUUUCUCCUUUAUUUAUUCUUUCUUCUCUAUAUGGGCUAAAGAACGUAGAUGUUCAUGCUUUGACAAGUAGUGAUUCACCCUUGCUCUCACCAUGACGAAGAGGUAUCCUUUCAUUUGCUUAGCCACGACUAAUAUGGAGCACAAGCUCCUGGUUCAAACUUGUCUUACACACUCUAAUCAAUGUUUCUUAAACAUAUUAUGAUUUUCACCAGCGUUUUUCCUAAGCUGUAGAAAAUCACCAGGAUGGAGACCAAGGAUUUAGAGUGACGAUUCUCGUUCUUUGAUUUUGGAUGCCUCCAUCAUUCCAAGGACAUUAAAUGUGAGAAGUGAUGAGCUAAUGUCGCAAUUUUAUAGCAUCAACAACCCUUUUCCCCACUAAAACACUACUGAUUGAGACAUUUGAUGAUCGAGGGGCGUGAUUACGCUAUUUCCACCCUUUGUCUCCAGAAAAUGACUGAAUAGCUAUAGAAAUUUGCGAUCCUUGCCAUGAUAUUUCUCUCUAAGCAAGGCAGGUAUAGGGAUUUUUCUUUUGAUCAUCAGGUACAUAGACUCUAAUGAGAUUGUGGUUUAAAUUCGUUUUCUUUCACGUGGGGUCUGGUUGUUCCAGUAAAUUCGAAAUGCUGAUAAGAUGAAUUUUGCUGAUAUCGAGAAAGAAAUCAACAGUCUUGUAAAGAAGGCAAAUGCAAUGGAAUGGGAAGCAGCUGAUCUUUCUGUUGAUCGGAUCAUAUUUAUAUUUUGUUCCAAUGUCCCAUCAUCUAUCAUCAAUUCACCGCAUUACACGGAUCGAAAUCAGGUGGAAUUGUUAUUAAAUUCCUUAAGAAUGCAAUUUGCUAGCCAAAUUAAGAUCCGAAUAUUCCAUCCAAAUGUCCGGUGGGUACUGCUGUAGAAAGUCAAUAUCUUGCCUGUACACAACCCGAAAUCUAGCCUAAAUUACUUACUUUAUAUGCACCAUCCAAAAACUUUAAUUCGUAAAUAAAAUACGAGGAACCUUUUCUAUGUCCACCAUAAGUAAAUUUUCCUGAUAGGGAUGGACGUCGGGAAAAAGCUGAUAUUUUUCUGGAUUGGAUCAUAUUCAUAUGUUUGUUCAAAUGUCCCAUCAUUUAUGGUCAAUUCCCCGCAUUACUCGGAUCAAAAUUAGGUGGAAUCCUUAUUAAAUUACUUAAGAUUGCAAUUAAUUAGCCAAAUCAAGAUCCAAACAUCCUUAGAACACGGGGUUAAUUAGACAAUUUCGAGUGACAUUAUUGUUACAUUGAAUUUUAACUUUCCAGGAAUGUGGUGUGAUGUUGUUGUCAUGAGCGUGCUCCAACUACAUUAAAUUAGAAGACGAGGAGAUAUCUUUGGCCACCAUCACGGAAAGUCAAAUAAAAGCGUGGUCUAACAUAUAUAUAUACCAUUCAAAUGUGCGAUGGGUGCUGAUGUAGAAAGUCAACGUCUUGCCUGUACACAGCCCAAAUCUAGCCUAAAUUACUAACAUUAUUGAAUGAUUGUCUAAUUCAAAGGGAAUGAAUAAUGAACGUAAAGUUUGAAAUUCUAGAACUGUGACCCUUAGAUAUUGACUUUUAAUAAUUAAGUAAAGCAAUUUCCGAAUAUGAAAAGUAAAGAAACAACUUAAACUUAGACUUUUUUAUUAGUACGAUAUGCAUACAUGUCACACUACUUUACUUUGAUGGAGAAAAUGUACAUUGUAGCAUUUUAUGUCGGUUAUCGCUAGAUUAAACACUCAAGUUAUAAUUACUUUAGGGCCUUGUUGGCCGUAUUGCCCAAAUCCAUUGUGAGCGUAGGUCGAAUCAAGCCCAUGGGCCCUAAUUGGCCGACUGUGGCCCGACAAACAUUUGAUGGACUGGUUGGCCCCAGCCUUGAGGACUUUUGGUGCUUCAGAAAUAUAGUCAUUGGACAGUCGAUCCGUGUUUUAUUAUUUUUCUGCAAUUACUUUGUUUAUUAUUAAUAAUAUUUUUGUACUUUUUUCUUUAAAAAUUUGAGUUGCAUAGCUCGAGCAGAACUCCGAGCAUCGAAUAUCUAAUAGGAGUUGAGCUUGAGCUUGGCCUUAUUGUAUUGGCUUGACUCGAAAGGUAGUUAUAAAAAUAAUAGUUAUUUAUUUAGUAAUUAUACUAUUGUUUAAUAAUUAGUUCAUUUAUUUUUUUAGUAAUUAUAUUAUGGUUUAAUUAUAUCAAUUAAUAAAAUAAUGGUUACUUACAUUAGAAAUUCAAAUAUUGCAAUUAUUUAGAAAUUAUAGUAGGCUUUCAUUUAUGUCCUAUGAAAAUAUGAUAAUAAAAGAAAUUAGAGUUUGAUAUAUAUCAUCAAAGGGUAUUUUGGGUAUUCUUCACUAUUCCAAACAUAUUCUCCCUACUAUCAUGGCAAAACAAACCAAAUAAUUUUUUGAAUCCAUUAUACAAACCAAACUACAAUUUAGCUAUUCCAUUCCUAGUCCUACUCUCUUCCAAUUUUAUGGAAUAACUUUUCCAUUCCUAUCUUAUUAUAUCCCACAAUCAAAACAUCACAUGACACAUUUGAAAUAGCUUUUUUUAGUGAAGUCACAUUAUCAUGAGGUUAGAUCUCUCACCAUCAUUCAUAAAGAAACGUAGAAAUGUAAUCUCAACCGUCUAACUUUUUCACUUGAUAUAUAGGUUACUAAUUCUUGCAAUAAAAAUAUCUUAUCCUUGGAAUAAAUAUCUUCUACAUGGUAAAUGUCAUUUCUUUGAGGUAAAAAGAUUCAUUUGCGAUAAGGGAGCCCGUGAGUGGUCUCUCCAUGCCACAUUUCCUCAUUUUGUAGUCGAUCACCUAUGAUCUUCUGCCUUGAUAUAUUCAUGAUUUAUUUGAAUUACCCCAAUUAGACAACAGUUCCAAAGAGAUUCUUUCAAGCCAAGAGCAAAAGAAAAAAGCAUAUUCACCAAAAAAGUCACUAUGACUAUACUGAUGAAUUGUGCCAUGAAAUGUCAUAGCACAGUUCAUCGAACCCUUUUAAACAAGACAACAAAUAAGGUGAACAGCAUAGAAUCUUGGGCCCACGAUUUGUAUCCUCACUCAGAAUGCGGUGCUCUAAGCCAAAGAAGCUGUGGAAAUAGCGGCAGCUGCUAAAAUGUCGUGACUGCUCCAAAUUUGUGACUGGAAAUUGCAAACGUACCUGAUGAAUUAUUCUAUAAAUGCUGCGCCCCCAUACGAGAAUGAGAUUGUUGCAAGGAUUAACUACAACAGAUGCAUAAUAAGCCACCAUCAAAAUCUGCAGUUGAAAUUCUGAUAGGGGAUGCAGUUCUAGUUUUGGGGAGAGACGAUAGAAUUUGAUGAACGAAAAGAAUUUGUAUGGAGCCUUUCUCUUUUCAGCAUCUGAGACUGACGGCCUUGCCUUUGAAGCAACAGACUUCAAAAGAGUCGGUUAUAAUUGGCUUUUUCCCAUGCUGAUUGUUCUCGCCCCUGUCAAGAAGAUCAUGAACAGCUUGAAGCUGUGCAUCCGAAAACAGAGCUUCAAGAUCCGCUCCACUAAAUCCUUCUGUCAUAUGAGCUGUAGCAUCCAAGUCCACAUCACUGGCCAAAGGAACUGCACAGGGGCAUUAGAGCAUACACACAGCAAAACUUCAGCAUUGCCCAAUGGUUGCCAAUUUUACUGACUGAUUUGACAGAAUCGGAUUAAUAUAAUUAAAUCUACCAAAGGUAAAGUCUUAGUCCCAUCUCAUGGAGUCAGAUGUCAAGGCCUUUCUCAUUUUUCUUUUCUGAGCAACAUCAGUAUAUGUUAAAUCCACUAGUCUCAAGGUCCGAGGUUGAAAGUGAUUUACUAUUGGACAUUUAGACUUACCUGAGCCCCACCUUAGCAGGUUGCAGAUCCAACCCACGAAUGCCUUUUACAAUCUUCUCUUGUAAUUCACAAUGUUUAGGGUGAUUUGUAGCAGGACUUUUGGAGAACUCCAUGGGAGAAGGGGUUUUAACUUUUAACUUAACAUGUUUCACCAAAUGUACUCUAUCAGAUGCCACAAGUUCUAAACAGGAUCUUUAGCCGCUCAAUUGACUCUGUUUCUAACUCUUUUUGUUAAUUUUUAAGGAAUUUUCUAUUCAUAUGUAAUCUUUCUGAUGAUUUUUCUUGAAAAAGUAGGAUUGCAGUUAUAAAGUUCUUUUAACAAAUAGAACCUGUUUCAGACCAUGUCAAAGAUGAAAUGCUAAAAGAAAAGGCAUUGGUAGAUGGAUGUGAGCUAAGUUUCUACCUUCCUGGAUAAAAGUUUAACAAUAUCUAGCCUCUCCUGUAUAGAAGGAAAAUCACAGAAUUUAUGUUGAGCCAGCCAGGACUCAGAAGUGCAGCAUCAAGUGAGUGCGUUCUACAGCUUCACAUCAAAUGCAACUCAGUUAGCACAAAAAGCCCAUAACCUGACAAUUAUUAAAUAAAGAAAGAGCAUUCUUAGAAAGAAAAGUGAAUUAGAAUUACUAGGAAAUAGAUGAACCCGUGAAUUAGAAUUACUAGGAAAUAGAUGAACCCAUGAACCUUGAGCAAAACAAAAGAGCACCUCACGCAGCAAAGAUGUUAUGAUGACUAAGAAAUUGCAUAUGCUCGCUGUCACUAGACCCAAAUGAUCAACAUCAGUUGAUGCCGUUGUGGAGGCUCAAUACCAGCAUAUACACUUCUUUUAAGCUACUUCAGCAACGAAAAAGUAAUCCAUGCAAUCCCAUCUUUUAUCACCUUCUUUUUUAUACAUAUGUAGUCUAUCCAAUACUGUGCAUCGUAGUUCAUAAUCCUAGUUUAUGGUGAUCUUUGGUUGUGCAGUGUGACAUCCUGAAUUUUUUCAACUUGUUUUCUACUAAAUUUAUCGGGCAUUUCAUUGACGUGUUUCUAGGGCUAUUCUCAAAGCCGAUCACUCUUGAAAAAACUAGACUGUCAGGGUAAGCCAUUAAGAAUUUUAAGGCAAUAGACUCGAAAAUUCAAUCAGGAAUCGGCUUCUCAACCGUGCUUAUCAUUAGAGGCCGUUACGGCACAGUUAAAAAUCGAUUUGAAAUCAAAGAUAGGUCUGUUUGACUGAGAUGUGUGGCCGAUUGUGGGUGACUCCAGUAAAUUGGAAAAUUCUCGUCGAUUGAUACUAAUAUGAUUUUACAGUCAUUUUGGUAUCCUGUGUCCGUAAUUGAAUCCUCGAGAUUUUCAAGACAAUUGAGAGUCGCCGUUGAGUCGAGUGGGUUCAUUGUGGUUCAAAGAAAAUCGACCACGAGUCAUUUGCCUUAAAAAAUUCUGAAAACUACCCGGUAGUCUAGGUCACGCUAAAAACACGCCAAACAGAAAUUAACUGCGAAAUUCGAGGCCGAUUUCAGAAAUUGAAGUUUCUGUCAUGUCACAAUAAAUUUUAGGAGUGUCGACUUAGUCUUUGAAGAUUUUUUAGAGAUUCCGAGAUUUUUAUGGAAAAUUGGUUCGGACGCCGUGGAAAAUCAGCGGAAAUUCGGAUAGGCCAAAUUAAAGGAAAUUUCGACUUCCGAGCCGAGUAUUGAGUGUCAUGGACUUACAGAAAAUUGUUUGGGAUUUUUCUCCAUUGGAAUUGGACCUCAAUUUGGGAAAUUAAGUAAGAAGAUUUAAUUUAGUUGGGCAAAUUCGAAAUUGGAAAAAGGGCAGAAAUUUGAGGCUUCAAAUUGGAUAAUUUGGUGAAGAUUAAUCAGGAAAGAAAUUGGGAACCAUAGAAGAUAAGAUUGAAGAUUGGUGGGGCCAAACAUUCAAUCUAAUGGCUAAGGAUUAUUGACUUUCACCCCCCUCUUUGGCUUCUCCCUCACGCUCGGCACCCCCCAUCCGCUCAUUGUUCCUGCUUUUGUUUUCAUUUUCUCUACCGUGCGAAGCAGUCCCCACCCGGCCUCUCUACAGCUUCGUUGCUUCUCUUCCCCAACCAAAGUUCACAAGCCCCCGCUCACGCCAACCUCGAGAUCUUCAAUCAAGCUGCUCCUCUCCACUAGUUGCUGUCCCCCGCCAGUCAACUCUCCUCACUGAAGCCUGAUCGAAGCCCCGUCUACGGUUUGCUUCUCUCUCGCGCUGCCACCGAAGACCCAAAGUCCAGCAUCUUCGUUCGUGCCUUGCCAACAGCCACGAAGACUUGCAGCCACGCCAAGUAGCUGCUUCCUCGUCCGCGUGAAUUUCCCCGACGCCACGAAGACAGGAGCUGCUACCGCGCCAGCUCUCAAACGAAGCAGCACUGCUCGAAGCCGAGCGAAGCCACCCCCCAUCUUCGGUUUGGCUCCACGAAGCUGCCCCUUCGUCCUCAGUCUCCAACAGCAGCAACCCACGUGUUUCUUCCCUCGUUCCAGCCCGAUUUCCUGCCACCGUUUGAAGCCAGCGAGAUCUGCAAGCUUCGGUCAGCCCAGCAAGCCCAACUUCAAUUUCAGUCUUCAAGCCCAGUCAAAUUGCUUCAGCUGCAGCCCAGUCCAGUCCACGUGAGUUAAUUGGCCAAGCCCAAUUUCCAGCAAAGCAAUUAAAGUCCAGCCCAUAUCUUGAAGCCCAUCUUCAGCAGGUCCAACCCAACUUGGGUCCAGCCCAAAAGCAAAAACAAAUCUCAAUUGGGCUGAGAUUUGUUGGGCCCAAGUUUAAGGCCCGGUCCAAGCCCGCCGGUAUCGUCGAAAGCCUGAUUUCGGCUGCCGUCGCGUCGCCGUCGUGGUAUCCUGAUACCCGCUUUUAAUCAAGUGAGUAAUCUCACUAAUCCUUGCUUAGUAUACUAAUUAUGCUUAAGGAUUGAUUAGAUUUAAUUAAGUGUAAUUAGGUGGUUAAAUUAGAAUGGAUUAGUGAUUAUUAGUUAAUUGCAUUGCAUAUUAGUUAGGUGAUUAGUGUACUUAGCUAGAGAAUUGCCUAUACUAUUUAUUGAAUGCAUCUCGGGAUUUUUCCCGACCCUUAUCGGGCUUCAAUUAGGCAUUACGGGCCUAAAUUGGAUUUUUAAUAUUUAUUGAUUUAAUUUCGAAAUUAAUUAUUUAAUUAUUUAUUUUUCCGGAAAUUCAACCGGGAUGGCUGGUGACCGGAAUUUCAUGUUGAUUGUCGUGGUGCAGUCCAUUUAUUUAUUUGAGCUCUACAUUGUUCUAAAUUGAAUUAAUUGCGUGAAUUAAGGAAUUAUUCCUAAAUUGAUUGAAAUUAAGUGAAAUUGAAUGAUUGGUUGGUAGAUGGCCGAGUAUAGUUAUUGAGCAUUGUUAAUGCCUUAAUGAGUAAUGAGGUGGAGAGAAUCGUGAGAUUUAAUUGGGAAUACUUUUGGCUGAGACCAAUCAGAUACAAGGUAUAGACAGGCGUGGUUCCGUGAUUAAGGAUAUCACUGUGUGAAAAUGGCACAUUAAAGAAUGCACGUAGACUGUCUGUGACUUGUGGCAAGCAUGGUUCGAUGAUUAAUGAUAUCACUGUGCAAAAACGGCGCCUUAAAGAACGCACGUAGACUGUCUGUGAUCUGUGACCUAUGACAGGCGUGGUUCGGUGAUGAAGGACAUCACUGUGCGAAAACAGCGCCUUAAAGAACACAUGUAGACUGUUUGUUACUUACGUCACCUUGGCGAAAACGAUGGCCGAGAGUAUUAAUGGAGCUCUUUGACUAUGUGUACUAUUGGAGGUUAUAUAGUGGGUUGUGAAUGACCUAGAAGAGGUUUGACUGAUGUGUAAUCGACUAAGUCGAUUAAGAAAUGAUUUGAUCUGAUGUCGUAAUUUGAUUGACUGUUCGAUGUGAUAUAUGAAGCAUCUGUAUAUAACCUUAAAUUGCAGGUUGGAACUGAUGCCAAGGUAAGUCUUCUGACUCGUGCUGUGCUUAGGCAACCAUGUGGUGUAUUGGUUUCCUAAUCGAGUCUUAGUGGGGUAGAAUUUGCUGAGACGUAGUCUCAUCCCAGUUGUGGGACAACAUUUCAGGACCCUGAUGAGGAGCCUAAGGAGAAAGAAACUGAAGAGGAGUAUCUGGAGGAGAAUCUAGAGGAUGAUCCUGAGUACGACCAGGAUGAGGAUUGAGAGCCUAUCCGCUUUUUGUAAACCCUGUUUAUGUGUAGAUAGAGUGAGGCUUUAAAUUUGUGAACAGUUGUGAAGUACUCUGUAUUGUGUUAUGUAUAAGAGUUUGGUUAUGAGUUUCAAUAUGAAAAAUAUGGCAUUACUUUUCUAUCCCAUCGUUUUAUUGUCUGGGGAUUUAUAACUGCUUCCGCAUAUGCUAGAAAAAAAAAGAAAAUGUUGGUGAUACAUAGUCCUAGGAUAUUGCAUUAUAAAAUCAAUAAAGUAGAAGGAUGUGUGUGUGCCCGAGGAUUUGGGCGUGACAUCCCUUUUUGUGGUAUCAAAGCAAAGUUCAAGAUUGGAGUGAUAAGGAGCGAUGAGUCUUGGGAUAGUAAUAAGAAUGGCCUUUAAAUUCAUGCCGGUGCAUGUCUGUGUUAGCUAAAUGCUAGAAUUGCUUGUUGUUUGGAUCACUCUGUUUCUAAUUUGGUGUUGAAUUGGAAGUAGGUAUCAGUAGAUUAAAGUGACACCAUGAGCGAUUAGGAGCCUAGAACUCCUGCAAAGAGGACCAGUAAGGUCGUUGUUUGAGGGUAAAGCUCUGACUCGUGUCGGGACUCGAGGCGGAUGUGGUCGAGCGCGAGUGGAGUGAUUCCAUCUGUUGUAGGUGCCGGGGUAGCAGCCCCUAAUGAUCCUAGGUUGGAUGGGAUCUUGCGUGUUCUGGAAGCGAUGGGUACGAGAAUGGAUCAGCAAGCCGCUACAGUUGAAGCCGCCGCUUAGGUCGCCGCCACUGCCGCAGCUGCUGCUACUGCUCAAGCCGCCCUUGUCGCAGCACCUGCAGUUCCACCUGCCGUCGCCCCUACUGAAAUACUACCAGGAGUUGUUGUCACUGGGAGGCCGAUUCACCAGUUAGUGGAAUAGUUCUUAAAGAUGAAUUCGCCGAAAUUCAUUGGUACCGGAGACCUUGAGGCUGCGUCUCUAUGGGUACAGGAUUUGGAGAAGGCAUUUGCACUUCUGAUGUGCAAUGAGGAGGAAAAGGUGUUACUAGCUAUGUACCAACUUCAAGGUAACACCAAUAUAUGGUGGAGAGCCGCCAAGGAUACAGUGUUCCUGGAAGGUGUGGUCCAGGUAUGGGACACCUUCCUCAGAGCCUUUAAUGAUUAGUACUUUUCGAGUACUGCUCGGGAACAAAAGAUAGAGGAGUUCCACCAUCUCCUCCAAGGGAGCAUGACAGUUGACCAAUAUGGGGUCAAGUUUGCAGAACUAUCCCAGUAUGCUCCUAAACUGAUAGAAGACCCUAAAGGGAAAGCUCGGAAGUUCAAAAUCGGUUUUCGUGCUGAAUUGAAACAACCUCUACUACCAUGGGACUUGAAAGAUUAUAGAGAGGUUUAUCGUCGACCCCAGAUGAUAGAGCGAGGAUUGAAUGAACAAGCUGCCUCAUUUGGAUCGAGGUUUACCUCCCAUCGAUAGAAUAUCCGUCACGGGAAGAGACCCAUGUCUGGAGGUAGGCCUAAUGCUCCACCCUUCAAGAGAAGCGGGUUCAAUAGACCGAUGCCCAAUAGGGUUGAUUCUUUUCGCUCAUGUGGAAGACGACACGGGACAGCUCCCUGCCCAGCCAGGAUAGGAGCAUGUUACGAAUGUGGCCAACAGGGCCACAUCGUAAGGUAUUGUCCAAAGAAGCAGAGAGGACAACCUCAAUUGCCACCGCCACCACUAAUUAGACAGAUUAGAUGGUAUGCCCCUCAGAAUGCACCUUAGGGCGGACAGCAGAGACCUCCAGUUCAAGGCACCAUGUAUGCAAUUACGCAAGGCCAGGCAGAAGCUACGCCUGACGUGAUCACAGGUACAGUCUCGCUCAACAACCAACCUGCUUAUGCUUUGUUUAAUUCAGGAGCAACCCAUUCCUUCAUUACCGAGCAAUAUGUUAGGAUGCUAGGGUUGAGUCAUGUAUUAUUGGAGUCGGCAAUUUGCAUAUCUACACCCUUGAAAGAUAAAGUUAUUGUUGCUUUGGGAUGUUCGGGGUGCAAGUUAGAGAUUGGUGAGUGAGUGGGGAAAAUUGACUUGUUAGUCCUAGCCAUGUAUGAUUUUGAUUUAAUAAUUGGCAUGGACUGGCUCACCAAGCACCGAGCUAAAAUGGACUGCUAUCAUAAAGUGAUUCAGUUUGACCCGUUAGGGGGUAAGAGUUUCGAGUUUGUCGGGAAUCGAGGAGGACCCUCGAUUGUCCUGAUCUCGUCGCAAGAGACAACUCGUCUAUUAGACGAGGGUUGUUGAGGGUACCUGGCAACUGUCGUGGAUACGACAGUUGAGGAGCUGAAAAUGGAAGAUAUUUCAGUGGUACAAGAGUUUCCAGAUGUCUUUUCAAAGGAAUUGCCAGGGUUACCGCUAGAAAGAGAGAUUGAAUUUGUAAUUGAAUUAGCACAAGGGACAGAACCGAUUUCAAAGGCACCUUACCGAAUGGCGUUAUUUGAGUUGAAGGAACUGAAGGUGUAGAUGCAAGAGUUACUGGAUAAGGGAUUUAUUCGCCCUAGUGCAUCACCUUGGGGAGCACUAGUUCUGUUUGUAAAGAAGAAAGAUGGUUCGCUACGUCUGUGCAUCGACUAUCGGUAACUCAAUCAGGUAACGAUCAAGAACAAGUAUCCACUGCCAAGAAUUGAUGACUUAUUUGAUCAGUUGCAAGGGGCGUCGAUUUCCUCAAAGAUUGACUUGAGGACAGGGCAUCAUCAACUGAGAAUUAGGAAGGAGGAUAUUCCUAAGUCAGCAUUUCGUACUUAGUAUGGUCACUACGAGUUUACAAUGAUGCCAUUUGGGCUGACGAAUGCUCCAACUGCCUUCAUGGAUAUGAUGAACAGAGUGUUCAAGGAAUACCUGGAUCAGUUUGUAAUCAUAUUCAUUGAUGAUAUCUUGGUGUAUUCGAGAAGUGAUGGAGAGCACGAGAAUCAUUUAAGAUUAGUGCUUCAGACCUUAAGGACUCACCGGCUGUGUGCUAAGUUUAGCAAAUGCGAGUUUUGGUUGACUCGUGUUGCGUUCUUAGGUCAUGUGAUUUCCGGAGAAGGAAUUUCCGUAGAUCCGAGCAAGAUAGAAGCCGUAAUCAAGUGGCGAAGACCGACAACAGUGAUAGAGAUCAGAAGUUUUCUGGGUUUGGCAGGGUAUUACAGACGGUUUGUGGAAGGUUUCUCAUCGUUAGCCUCGUCUCUGACAAAGCUCACGAAGAAAAACGAGAAGUUCAUAUGGAUAGACAAGUGUGAGCGUAGUUUUCAAGAGCUGAAGGAAAAGUUGACUACCACACCGGUACUGACGAUUCCAUCUGGUCCUGGAGGAUUCGAGAUCUAUAGUGAUGCGUUUUUUAGAGGAUUGGGUUGUGUGUUGAUGCAACAUGGUAGAGUGGUUGCAUACGCGUCCUGUCAGUUGAGGCCCCAUGAGCAGAAUUAUCCAACGCAUGACUUAGAGCUCGCAGCGAUUAUCUUUGCCCUGACGAUUUGGAGACAUUAUCUAUGCGGGGAAAAGUUCCAAAUCUUCACGGACCAUCAGAGUCUCAAGUAUCUAUUCUCUCAGAAGGAGUUGAACAUGAGACAGCGCCGAUGGAUGGAGUUAUUGAAGGAUUACGAUCGUGAUAUUCUAUAUCAUCCGAGGAAGGCGAAAAAAGUCGCCGAUGCUUUGAGUCGAAAGUCUUUAGUAGCUCACCUACUAAUCAAGGAGUGGAACUUAAUCGAGAGAGCACGAGAUUUGGUGUUCAAAUUUGAGAUAGGCAACCUUUCGAGUUUUAUGGCCACCCUUAUAAUUAAACCGGAUGUUUAGGUUAGAAUCAAGCUACUUCAACCGACAGAUUCAGAUGUACAGAAGAUAAUUCAAGAGGACCCCAAUAAAAGAAAGGCUAAUUUUCAGGUUUAUGAUGAUGGAGUACUGAGGUUCCAUGGGCGGUUGGUUAUACUUGACGAUGUAGAGCUUAGAGAGGAUAUUUUAUUUGAAGCACAUCGUUCAUCCUGGAAGUACCAAGAUGUAUCAGAACCUGCGUCAACACUAUUGGUGGUUAGGUAUGAAGGCGAACAUCACCAAGCAUGUCGCCAAGUGAAAAUCACAAGCCCCCGCUCACGCCAACCUCGAGAUCUUCAAUCAAGCUACUCCUCUCCACUAAUUGUUGUCCCCCGCCAGUGAACUCUCCUCAUUGAAGACUGACCAAAGCCCCAUCUACUGUUUGCUUCUCUCUCACGCUGCCACUGAAGACCCAAAGUCCAGCAUCUUCGUUCCUGCCUUGCCAACAGCCACGAAGACCUAGAGCCACGCCAAGCAGCUGCUUCCUCAUCCGCGUGAAUUUCCCCGACGCCACGAAGACAGGAGCUGCUGCCGCGCCAACUCUUAAACGAAGCAGCACCGUUUGAAGCCGAGCGAAGCCACCCCGCAUCUUCGGUUUGGCUCCAAGAAGCUGCCCCUUCGUCCUCAGUCUCCAGGAGUAGCAACCCACAUGUUUCUUCCCUCAUUCCAGCCCGAUUUCCUGCCACUGUUUGAAGCCAGCGAGAUCUGCAAGCUUCAGUCAGCCCAGCAAGCCCAACUUCAAUUUCAGUCUUCAAGCCCAGUCGAAUUACUUUAGCUGCAGCCCAGUCCGGUCCACGUGAGUUAAUUGGCCAAGCCCAAUUUCCAGCAAAGCAAUUGAAGUCUAGCCCAUAUCUUGAAGCCCAUCUUUAGUAGGCCCAACCCAACUUGGGUCCAGCCCAAAAGCAAAAACAAAUCUCAAUUGGGCUGAGAUUUGUUGGGCCCAUGUUUAAGGCCCUGUCCAAGCCCGCCGGUGUCGUCGAAAGCCCGAUUUCAGCCGCCGUCGCGUCGCCGUCGUGGUGUCCCGAUACCCGCUUUUAAUCAAGUGAGUAAUCUCACUAAUCCUUGCUUAGUAGACUAAUUAUGCUUAAGGAUUGAUUAGAUUUAAUUAAGUGUAAUUAGGUGGUUAGAUUAGAAUGGAUUAGUGAUUAUUAGUUAAUUGCAUUGCAUAUUAGUUAGGUGGUUAGUGUACUUAGCUAGAGAAUUGCCUAUACUAUUUAUUAAAUGCAUCUCGGGAUUUUUCCCGACCCUUAUCGGGCUUCAAUUAGGCAUUACGAGCCUAAAUUGGAUUUUUAAUAUUUAUUGAUUUAAUUUCGAAAUUAAUUAUUUAAUUAUUUAUUUUUCUGGAAAUUCAACCGGGAUGGCCGGUGACCGAAAUUUUAUGCUGAUUGUCAUAGUGCAGUCCGUUUAUUUAUUUGGGCUCUACAUUGUUCUGAAUUGAAUUAAUUGCGUGAAUUAAGGAAUUAUUCCUAAAUUGAUUGAAAUUGAGUGAAAUUGAAUGAUUGAUUGGUAGACGGCCGAGUAUAGUUAUUGAGCAUUGUUAAUGCCUUAAUGAGUAAUGAGGUGGAGAGAAUCGUGAGAUUUAACUGAGAAUACUUUUGGCUAAGACCGAUCAGAUACAAGGUAUAAACAGGCGUGGUUCGGUGAUUAAGGAUAUCACUGUGCGAAAACGGUGCCUUAAAGAACGCACAUAGACUGUUUAUGACUUGUGGCAGGCGUGGUUCAGUGAUUAAGGAUAUCACUGUGUGAAAAUGACGCCUUAAAGAAUGCACGUAGACUGUCUGUGAUUUGUGAUGUAUGACAGGUGUGGUUCGGUGACGAAGGAUAUCACUGUGCGAAAUCGGCGCCUUAAAGAACACGCGUAGACUGUCUGUUACUUACGUCACCUUGGCGAAAACGACGCCCGAGAGUAUUAAUGGAGCUCUGUGACUAUGUGUACUAUUGGAGGUUAUACAGUGGGAUAUGAAUGACCUAGAAGAGGUUUGACUGACGUGUAAUUGACUAAGUCGAUUGAGAAAUGAUUUGAUCUAAUGUCGUAAUUUGAUUGACUGUUCGAUGUGAUAUAUGAAACAUCUGCAUAUAACCUUAAAUUGCAAGUUGGAACUAAUGCCAAGGUAAGUCUUCUGACUCGUGCUGUGGUUAGACAACCAUGUGGUGUAUUGGUUUCUUAAUCGAGUCUUAGUGGGGUAGAACUUGCUGAGAUGUAGUCUCAUCCCGGUUGUGGAACAACAUUUCAGGACCCUGAUGAGGAGCCUGAGGAGAAAGAAACCGAAGAGGAGUAUCUGGAGGAGAGCCCAGAGGAUGAUCCUGAGUACGACCAAAAUGAGGAUUGAGAGCCUAUCUGCUUUUUGUAAACCCUAUCUAUGUGUAGAUAGAGUGAGGCUUUAAAUUUUUGAACAGUUGCGAAGUACUCUGGAUUGUGUUAUGUAUAAGAGUUUGGUUAUAAGUUUCAAUAUGAAAAAUAUGAUCUUGCUUUUCUAUCCCAUCGCUUUAUUGUCCAGGGAUUUAUAACUGCUUCCGCAUGUGCUAGAAAAAAGAGUAAGGGUCGGCGAUAGAUAGUCCUGGGAUAUCGCAUUAUAAAAUCGACCAAGUAGAAGGAUGUGUGCGUGCCCGAGGAUCGGGGCGUGACAUGCAGCAUCAGAUAAUCCUAGUUCAAUCUCUGGAACCACAGGAAACAAAGAUUAUACAAAAGGGGGCAACCCAGGUUGUUGCAUUUGCCUAAUUGAAUUCAACUAUGAAUGACAAUCAUCAAAUUCCUAGACCUAGCUAACAGCAAAGGAAAAAGAAAAAUACAUAUAAUCUGCACAACAAAUAAGAAUUCAAGGAUGUAAAUGCCUUAUUGGGCGAAAAUACAUCUCUCCAUGUUUUUCCCCAAAUUCAAUUUUAGAUUGGUCCUUUCUAACACGCAUGACCAAGGUGAAAUGAGACAAAACAGAUGGACUAUAUAUCAACUCAAAACUAGCGCACAACAUAAAAAGUGAAAAGUCAAGCCCAAGAGGUUCUCAAUCAAAAUCGUUUUAUAUGGCAAGCUUGCUGUAAUGCAGUAAAUCUUAUGAAACCUAACCGAAAUCACUUGUCAAAAUGGGGAGAACAAAGUCUCUUGAAGUACACAUUGUGCUACCAUGAUUCGAGUUGCAAAACUAAAGAAUACGGUCCUACAACAACUUUUGAAUUUUUCAAGUUCACGUAAGUGCGACAUUACUCCACUCUUGGUUGUCACAAAUUAACAUGUCUUCCCAAUAUAUAGGCUCACGCCAGUUACAAAAAUCACGGCAACAGUAGUUCAACAACAAUAGACCUACCCCCAAACUGAAAUAGUAAACUGCUUGAAACAAACAGGGACCUUCAAGUUCCCAAAAAAUUCUGACGUACCUGUGUGAUCAUCACUUGGUCCCUCAAGAAUUGUAGAUCAGCAACAUGAACUUCUAAACUUGCUUUAGCAAUUUCUAGGUUCUUUUGUAGAAGAGUUGCCGCCUGUAACAUGAAUUAAUGCAAUAAAUAAGAUACUUGACAUCAUUAUUGGAGAUAAAGGGACAUUGCUUCAACUCAAGUACCUCUUCGCAUGAAUACUCCAACAUAACAUUUGCUCUCUGCCAAAAACAUACCGAAUCGGUAUGUUAGAUGUGAGCACAUGAAUAAAAUGCCUUUAGAGACUUCAAAAUCAGCAAGUGCCUGCAUCCACAAUAAAGAGCCAUAAAGGCCGGUCAGUUUGGCACCUAUUAUUAUAUUUUGCGUCUUAGAAGUUUUGAUGGUCUUAGGUUUUAAAGCCCAAUACAGUAAUCCCACCCCAUUUUGCUUUCUAAUAGGACCUUCAGACAUCAAAGCAUAACAUUAUUGGCGAUAUAUUUAGGUGUCCAAAUCUAAAACCACCGCACAAUUAUUGAGAUUAACAUGGGUUCUUUAAAGAACUAACCCAUAUUCUUAGGAACAUUGCUUCUGGAAGUGCAUUUGCGAAGGAAAAAAGAUAGUUGAAUAUUCCAUAUUUAGUCAAGUGCACCAAAAGUAGUUCCUAGUAUGGCAAGAAUAAGGCCACUAUAUCAUCUACCUGCUUUGUUAAGAUAAAAAGGACCGAUAUGAUCAACUAAGAGAACAUCGAGGAGCAAGAAGAUAUUUUAACAUGCAAAUUUUCUAGCAUGAUAAGAUUAUGCAAAAAUUUUAGUUCACAUCACACAUGAAAGAUGAUUGAUAGACUGUCAAGCAUUCCAGAUGAAAAGGAGAAACUGUGAACUAAAAAAUUGGUGUUUCAAUGACAGUACGAAGAACUUCAGGGGAUAAAAUGAGAAAGAACUCUGCAUUGGAAAAAUACUUAGUUAAAAUACAUGCACUGAGAAGCAUUCAGCUUGAAUUUCAAUCUUAAAAUCCAGAUCUGAGGCUAUGGUUCAAUAUUUCAGUAGUAUAGACACAUGCUUGUUGCACACACACAAUGACAUGCAUGCUCGAUCACAAGUCACUUUGCUAUAGCACAUCUAACCAUUCCUCUAGGGCUCAAAGAAAAUUUGGGAUCCAACCAGCGAGCUAUCUAAGUACAGACUUGUAGGUUGGAAAAGUGAAUGUCGAAAAAUGGGAGGGUCACUUUGGUAUAAGGCACCCUUUUCAAUUGGCCAGUUUGCUUCAGUCAUUAUGCAGGUUCCUAGUUGAGUGUCAAUUAAACUAGAGCCUAAAUAAGAGGAUAUCUUUGUGGCCAAAUGGAGUGGUGAGGUGAAGUAAUGGCCCAAUUUGAAAUGAUUGAUCAAUUCAAAUCCUGAAUUUUUCGUAUUGAGAAAGAUAGCACACCUUAUUUAUAUGAUAUCAGAGAGUUGAAGGUUGAAAACUAUUUGAGGUAGAAAACCUUAGUGCAGAGACAGAUGGCGGCAGGGCAUAGUACAACUUCUGCGCUCUGUCUGUGUUUGGCAGAGAGGCAGAGAUGCCCGGCUACCUCAUAGUUGAUUUUUUUAAGGACUAAUGGUGCAAAACAAAUCUAGCAGAUUCUUGUGCACUACAGAGAUAUCCAAAAUAAUAGCACGCGAGCAGGAUACUUCGUUGACGGCAGAAAGUACUGGAAUGUACAAUUUACCACUUGCAAAGAGACUGGUGACCAGAUGAGAACAAGAUUGUCAAACUCUGGUUCUCGCACACAAGUUAGCUGGUGUGAAAGAGAUGGGGAAGGACUUUAUUCAAAGAAGGCAAGGGCUGUUAACUACUUACAAGAUGAAAACCACAUGGACUUUAUUCGAAUGGUUAUCUGGCACCACAGGUUUUCCACAUGAGUCAUUGCCUUGGGAGUGUUUAAAAGUAGCCGAUAUACAAAAAGAAAAAAAGAAGGAUGCAUACAGAUCGUACUAGCUAUAGCAAAGUCGAUGAGAAUCCUCAGGUCACCCAUCUAUUAUGUUGCCGUUGGAUUGAAUCUCCUCAGGACAUGGAUCUGUCAAAGAGCCGAAGAUAAGAUGGUGACCAUGGAAUUGAGUCAUAUCCAAUGCAAACCUUGAGAUUAUGGUUUACUCUUUGUACAAUUAAUUUCUUACUUCCACUUUGUUAGAUUCACUUUGGUUUAAAUAACUCUAUUAAAAGGUUUGCUCCCCUUGGUGUGUUAGCAAGUAAACUAUUGCUUUAUGAAGAAUAUUACAAUAACACAGAAGCAUUGUCCUAUCCGAAUGAAGGGACACAUGAAAGAUAGUACUAGUAGCUCUGAGCUCCCUCAAGUGUUCAGUGAAAAAUUGAAAACAACCAACUAUGAAACAGUUUUAAGAAAGAGAAAACAAAAAAACUCCUGAAUUAGAUACAUCUCCACCUUUCUUUUGUCACUUUUUUGAAACAGUCUUAAAAAAGAGACAACAAAAGAACUCCUGAAUUAGAUUCAUCUCCACCUUUCUUUUGUCACUUUUUUGAAACAGUUUUAAAACACACAAAAAAAUAGAACUCCUGGAUUAGAUACAUCUCCACCUUUCUUUUAUUACUUUUUUGCAAUACUAUUAACUAGGCUCCGAAAUAGAAUAACAAGCAAAAUAAUACCUCGUCCUAUACUCUUGCAUUUUCUCAAAGGACAAGAGAAAGAUCCACAGCAGUGAUUAAUUUUUAAAUAGAACCUAAAUGCAGAUAAGUCCUAACCAUUUUAAGAUAACCGAUUGAAAGCAUCUAAUGCGUGACCGUCAAACACGGGAGGUAAUAUCAACAUUUUUCCAUGACAAAACCGAUGAAUAAGGUAUACCGUGCAAGAUGCAACACCUAAUCAGCAUGUUCCUCAUGCCAUUAAAUGAGAAAAUUUCCUGACGUGGGGAGCAUAAACAAGGCUUACUAUUUAGUGAUAUGCACCAAUAGUUUUUCAAUUCCAUAAUUUGGCUAAGCAAGCAUAUUAGAAGGAAAUUCACUUUCUUAUUCUAUUUCUAUGUGAAUGUUGACGUAAUUUGCUCUGUGGCAACUGCAAUGAUUUUCAAGAUUCAAGAACCUCGCACUUUCAGCACAAGGUUGUCCAUCAAGGUACCCCCAACCAUAUUAUUGGAGUCCAUAGAAAGGGCAGCUUGUCAUAUGAAAAGCAAACAACCACCACUUUCCCAUCAACUUGGGGAAAGAAAAGGAGAUUCCCCCAUAAUCUAGUUUACACAGUCAGAAGUAAGAGUCGCAUGACACAAUAAACCUCACCAAAACCCUUCUUGGCCUGCUGUGUAGCGACUAUGUCUAAACAACGAACCUCACUGAGGGCCAUAGUGGGAAAAAAGAACCAAGUGGACUCAGAUCUACCAAGUGCUGUAGCUGCUGCCUUCGAGAAUAUCCAGAACUUGUAAUUUUCUAAUUGCCGUUACUCUCAAAUAUUCAAAUUUCUCUAGUUAGCUGACAAAAUCAACCCCAUCAAUGUGUAGAAUAGAAAAUUCAGUCGACAUUUGUUCACUAAUUUCAAAUUUCUAGAAGAGAAAUCUUUCUCUUCAUCAAAUGGUCAUAGAAGAUCCUCUCAUUCACACGCAAGGAAACUCAUCGGUCUUUUCGUCUUGGCCACUUCAGUAGUUAUGGUAGGAUCGUCGUAGCUAUUGUAAAAAAUUAAGCCAUUGAAUGCAUAAGUGGAAUAGGACUAUUAGCCAUAUAUAGUUUGGCCGGCAAACAACUUUAAGUUGCUCAUAUAGAUCCCCACCGUUACACCGAAAGACAUUUCAGCGGGAAUAGUUGACUGCAUUCCAGGACUUCGCAUAAAUAGAUGAAAAAAAUUAAUAAUUAUGGCUAGAGAAGUAGAACUUCUACUUUAAGAAUGGGAAUGCUUGAAAAUUGCAACUAUAACCAUUGGCAUCAAAUGUGGAGCAAAGCUAACAGUGAUCUUUGAUUGUGCAGCAUUAGACAAUCCCAAUUCAAUCUAUGGAACUGUAGGAAACAAAAAUUAUACAAAAGGGAGCAACCAAGAUUAUUGCAUAUCACGUCCUGAUCCUCUGAGCAUGUGUCCAUCCCUCCAUGGUCGAUUAAAUAGUGACGUCCCAGGACGCGUGCUGACCCAUCANNNNNNNNNNNNNNNNNNNNNNNNNNNNNNNNNNNNNNNNNNNNNNNNNNNNNNNNNNNNNNNNNNNNNNNNNNNNNNNNNNNNNNNNNNNNNNNNNNNNUGUUAUCCCCACACGAGGUGAGACAAUGUCUCAGCAAAUUCACCUCCUAAGCCCCGACUUGGAAGAAAAUACGCCCCAAGGGCUGCCUAAGUACAAAAACGAGUCAGAGGACUUACCUUUGCCUCAGUUCCUUCCUACAAGUCAAUACAAUUCAUAAUCUCAUUGUGGCACCCCGAACCCUUCGUAGGUCGCCACAAGCGCCAAUGCUACACCUUAAUACCUUUCUUCUUGGAAGAGGCGUUGUAGUUCAUAGACAUAUAUUAUUUUUUUUUUAAAAACGGUCCCAGCGCGACUCAUUAGCGGGAGCAAAAUAAAACAUCACCAUCUCUUCCCCUACCAAACCAUGAUACAAAUACACACCACUAAUCACCAUAAUUAAUAGACAAGCCACGACAUUUUAUUUACAUAUAUUUUCAAGAUGGGACUUCUUUGGGUCGAUACAUCAAAAAGGAAAAGCCAGGACUCAGCCAUGUCCAGCCUAAAACCCCAAAAAGAACCCUCGACCCGCUACAACUCGCGUGCAUAAUCCCCAUCAUCAGUGUCGGCUAAACUAUCCCCAAAAAAAAUCCAGCUCCUACUCGUCACGCACGAGCCUCACACCCAAUCCGGUGCAUCAGGCGGUGGCGGUGGCAACAUCCCUCUCAUCACCCCAUCGCGACGAACGUGGACAGAGACGAACUCCUGGACAACCGGGCCCCCAGCCAGGCCUAUGUCGUACAUGACAAAAUAACGCACUCGUAUAUACGUUAAUCUAGGCACAGAAGGACAGCCAAACUCCUCGCACUCAACCUCUACAUCGGAUGGUAGACCGUAAAAUGCACCCCGCAUGACGGCAGGGAACGGCAUGCUGCUAAUCUAAAAUGUUGGUCCCCAAAAGGGGUGAGUACAACAACUUAGCAGGUAAAGGAAUCCAAUAACCACUCAAUGCAUCAUACAAGUCAUACAUGCAUUGCAGGCGUUACUUACCUAGAAGCCAUGCAUAUACUAUCAUGCAUCAUCACCAAAAUCAUAACACAUACAUGUGUAUCAUCAUGUCAUACUCAUAUCAUCGUCAUCAUGACAUUAUUAUAUCACACAUAUGUCAUCCUCAUCAUAUACGUGACACCAUCAUACCAUACACAUGUCAUCAUCAUCAUGGCAUCAUCAUAUCACACAUGUCAUCAUCAUCAUGACAUCGUCAUAUCACACAUGUCAUCAUCAUCAUGGCAUCAUCAUAUCACACAUGUCAUCAUCAUCACGACAUCAUCAUAUCACACAUGUCAUCAUCAUCAUGACAUCGUCAUAUCACACAUGUCAUCAUCAUCAUGGCAUCAUCAUCUCACAUAUCAUCAUAUCACAACAUAUAUGCAUGUCAUCAUGCCAUAUCAUAUAUCAUCAUCAUAUCAUGCAUAUCAUCAUGCCAUAUCAUAUAUCAUCAUCAUAUCAUGCAUAUCCUCAUAUCAUGCAUGUCUCAAUUUCCAUUUUUUUUAACAUUCAAUUUGAUCACCACAUCACCCUUCCUCGGAUCAUCAAUUUCAUCUCAUGUUUUACACUCGCAUCCCAUGCGAGAAAAACCUCCGGCAUUCAGCCCUUCAAGGCCACCGGGCAUCUGGCCCCCCACAUUCCGGGCAUCUAGCAUCCCAACUGGCAUCACGAGGCAUUCCCCUCGGGCAAAGACCUCCAACAGGGCUUCCGGCAUUUACACUCCCUGGCCGGGCAUCCCGCACCCCAAUCCUGGCAUCGCGAGGCAUUCCCCUCGGGCAAAGACCUUCGACAGGGCUUCCGGCCCCCCACAUUCCGGGCAUCCUGAAACUCCCAGGGCCAUCCGGCAAUGUAUCUCUAUACAUUCCGGGCAUUAUCCUCCGCCACAACAAUCUCCUCAUUUAACAUUAUCCAUGUUCACCAAUUUCGGUCUUAAUUUAGCAUGGCAUAUGAUGUAUUGGCAAUCAACACUCAUGUUCAGCAUUGAAUUCACACAUGCAUCUCAAUGCAUACAUCAAGACCUCACCACACAUACUACAUGGUGCAAUUAUUUAUAAAAUAAAAUUCAUGGAAUUUAUGCCAAUUAAAAUAAUCCAUUUAACAUGACCUUUUUACAUUUAUUUAAAUUCCAGCUUAUGCCAUUUUCAAAAAUAUUAAAUUUAAUUAUUUAUAUAAUCUCAAAAAUCAUAAAAUUAAGCAAGUAAUAAAUAAGACAAUCGGAUAAUGAUUUCAUGCAAAAUACACGGCCAAUAAAAAUUCCACACAAUUUCAUAAUUCACACAAAACAGCACAUAAUUUUCGGAUGAAACCAGAAUGCACAGUCUCCGAAGAAAUUCGAUUAAAAUAUCCAUACGACCUCCAAAAAUUACGAAAUUUUACCAUGUUAUAGCCAAGACAGUUUCGUACAUCUUUCAUGAAGAAUUACAAGCCAGAUUCUUUCUAGAUUAGUUUCUACAGUCUCACGAAGCUUCUGGAUCCAUCACCGAAUCGUCCAGUGCAUGCUUCUCCGAAAUACUGAGUUUUCACCUACCUAUUAUUUUUCGUUUCCUCUGAAAUUUAGAUAUGUUUUACAUCAAGAUGUUCUCUACAAGUUUCAUGAAGAUAUAUAAGUCAAAUAACCAGAGUAUAGUCGUCAUUUAGGUCCAUGAUGUCUCGGGUGUCCUGUAAUACAUCUCCAGAAUUUACCGUCUUCAAGAUCUAGUCGAUUUACUAGGUUAUACUUGUUCAUUUUGCUUCAAAUUUGAGUAUGUCGUAGUUUAAGAUGUCCCCUACAACUUUCAUGAAGAAAUCGAAAAGAUAUUAUUAGCACAAAUCAACAUGCAACCACAAAUCCAACAAGAAGUCAGCAAAAUCGUUCCAGAUCUGAGGUCUCCGUAGGAUGAGAGUUUAACCCCUUAAAUCUCCAUCAUUUUCCACCAAAUUUUAGUAUGUUGUAGUUUAAGAUGUUAGCUACAUUUUCAUGAAGAAAUAGAAGCCAAAAUCGGACUCUAAACAUGCAUGCAAGCUCUCACAACAUUCUGACUCGGGCGGGUUCAAACAAAACAACAACCUUACUCAAGAACAAGCCAUUCCAAGCUUCGGUUUUCCUCACCUAGUCACCUAAAAUUCGACAUACAUGUAACACACACACAUGCAAGAGCAGCUAGAGGACUCCAACUUGCCUCUAGACCGGACGGACGACGGCACACAGCGGUGAGCACGGCGGACGGACCGCGACGACUCCUCCUCGGCUCCUCCUCCCUCUCGGCCACUCUCCCUCUCUCUCUCGCGAAAUCUCUCUCUCUCUCUCUCCCUUUCUCUCUUGGCCGAAUCAACCGGCCAUUCUCUCUCCUCUCUUCCCUUUUUAUCUCCCCCAAACCUCAUCAUUUGCAAUCAUGAGAUUGCCUUUCAAUUGGCCAAUGCAUGGCAUUUCCCUUUGUGCCACUUGUCACUACACAUGCAUGGGCUUUGGGCUUGGGCUUGGGCUUGGGCCGGCCACUCUUGGUCGACAGCAGCCCACUUGUGGGCUUCAAUGGGCCGGCCAACUUGGCCCAUUAAAGAUCCACUCUUGGGCUUAAGGCCCAACCAAUUUUUUUUUAUAAUUUAUUCUAUAAAUUUUUAAAUUUUAAUUUUCCACAUGGCCAAAGUCUUGCGACAUUUUAUUUAUAGAAAUUUAGUCUAUAAAGUGCAUGGCCAAGCAUAGAUUAUCAUCAUUAAUCUAUCUAAUUUAAAAUCUCAUAAACACAAGCACAAAUCACCUAAUCUUAAAAAGACUAAUGGCUAAAGCAUUUAAACCAUAGGUAAUUUCAUUACCUAGUUAGAGGCUUUAACACACCUUAUAACUUGACUUUGAAUUUUGGGAUGCCACACUCAUAGAAUCACCUCAUCACAUCAAAUUAUCACAAUAGAUGAAUCAUCGAUCAAUCGACUUAGUUGAUUCCAUGUCAUCAUGACCAUUUCUUAGUCAAACAACUCAAUAUUAUCUAUCAAGUUCGACUUAGUCUAGAACUGCUCACCCUAAGCUAAAGAUAUAUAAUAUAGCCCACCCAAAGCUGAUAAUAUAGUAUACCGCUCACCCAAAGCUGAUAUAUCAGAGCCUUUAGGCCGAUAUAGUAUACUAAUAAUGCUCACCAGAAACUGACAAGGUAUACUGCUCACCCAAAGUUGACAUAUCAAGGCCCGUAGGCAGAUAUAACAUGUAUACCGCUUACCCAAAGCUGAUAUAUCAAGGCCUGUAGGCUGAUAUAGUAUAUCUAUGAUGCUCACCCUAAGCUGAUGAAGUAUACUGCUCACCCAAAGCUGAUAGAUGUAGUAUACCUAUUCUCACCAAUUGAGUAUGUCACCAUUUUUAUCAUUCAUAAUAAAAAUACUCGUGUGUGGGUACACAGUCGGCCUUAGCUAAAAUAUAAUAAUUUCUUUUCUACAAAUCCCACCAUUUAAUAAUGUCCACCAAAAUAUUUUUGGCUUUAUAAACCGACGCUCGGUUAUUUUCCAAUCAAUUACAGAAAAUAAUAAAUUUUGGGAUAAAUACUCCACAAUCACAAUCAACUCUCAAAUUGCACAAAAUAGUAGUCAAUUAAAUAAACCAAUCACACCACUACAAUCAGUACAAAAUUCCGGUCACCGGUUAUUCCGGUCUAAUUUUCGAUAAAUAAAUAAAUAAAUAAAUACGGAAAAUAAUUAUUAAAUGCUAAAAUGCAUACUUAGGCCCGUAAUGCCUAAUUAAAUGCCGAGACGGGUUCAGAAAAUUCUCGAACCUAUCUAAAUAAAUACUAGAGCAUAAUUACUCACUAUUUACACUAAUCUAACCACCUAACAUGCAUCAAGGAUUAACUAAUUCACUAAUCUAUUCUAACUAACCACCUAAUCCUAGCUUAACUUAAACUAAUCAACCCUUAAAUGUCAUUAAUUUACUAAGCAGGGAUUAAUGAGUUAAACUCGCUUGAUUCGUGAACCACUCGGACCAAAACGACGGGGAUGCGACGAGGAUUGACAAACUCCAAAGCAGCUGUGCCGUCGGGGGCCCGAAACGGGCCGAAAAUGGGCCACAGAAGGCCCACGGUUGUUGGACUGACUUCGAGAGGCUAUUGGUCAAAGCUCGACGGGCUGGUUCCUGCUUGUUUCGAAGUGGGAUCACGAUUGAUUGGGGCUAGAACGGACGACUACUAGGCUUCGGUGGUUCCGCUGGUGAUCGAUGGGCCUGCAACUUAAAGAUGGAGCUGGAUUGCAGGCUAAAAAUGGAGCUAUUAUGUGGGCCUCUACCUGAUCGAAAGGCCAAGAAGAAGCUACUGGUGUUGACGUCUGUUUGCUAGAGGAAAAAGGCUGACUUGGUGGGCUUGAUGAAGAAGCAGUGGGCGGGCUGCACGUGAGAUGGUGUGUCGGUGGUGUUUAGGUGAAGAAGAGACGGACGAAGGUAGGGGCGUCGGUGGGGCAGAGAACAUGCGAGGGAAGUUGAUAGCGAAGGAGAAGUAGAAGCAGACAGGGCAUCGACGAAGCGGGCAAGGCCAACGAGAAAGGGAUUGAAGGAGAGAGAGAGAAAGGAUAAGGUAGCAGGGGCUUGUCGGCUUAGAGGGAGAAGGGAGAAAGAAACGUGCGACUAAGGGAGAGAGAAAGAGAGGGAUUGAAGAGAAAGCCAGCUGGUUCAAAAGUCAAAGGAAUAUAAAAAGCAAAUAAAGACUGAAAUAGAGGGGGACGAUCGAACGAAGGAGGGGGUAAAAUAAAAAUAAAACGUCUUAUUUUUAUCCAAUCUUGGUUCCACAAAUUUCCAUGUAAAAUGCUUGUCCUCACUUGUUUUCCUGCACCAAAUUUCCUCCAAAUAACAAGUCUUGGGUAGCAACAAAGGCCAUUUCUCUCAAUUCCGAAUCCUAUUUCAUUUUUCUCGAAAUCCGAUUUCUUAACGAACUUCUUCGAUUCAAGCCCAAUUUUGUUGAAGAAAAAACCCCCAUGAUUUCCUUUCAUCAAGUAACUCACACCGGAGGCCAAAAAUCCCUUCAAAUUGGCCAAUCCAAAUUUCCGUUUGUUUUUCGAAUCGUCCGAAUUGAUUUUCUGCAAAAAAUCCCGAACUCGCCAAAAAUUCCUCAAAAGAUGAGUCGACAUUCCUAAAAUGACUCGUGACACGACAAAACUUUCAAUUUCUGAAAUUGGGUUCAAAUUCGCGGUUAAUUUCAAUUUGACGCGAUUUUAGCGUAAGCUAACCUACUGGGUAGCUUUUAGAAAUUUUUGGUGCAAUUGACCCAUGGUCGAUUUUCUUCGAGCCACACGUACCUAUUCGACACAUUGGCGACUCUCGGUGGUCAUGAAAAUCUCGAGGUUUCAAAUACGGAUACAGGGUACCCAAAAUGACAGAAAAUUGGUGUAGUGCCAAUCGACAAGAAUUUUGCAAUCAGGUGGAAUCACCCACACUUGAAUCACACAUCUCAGUCGAACCGACCUAUCUCUGGUCUCUGAUCAAUUUUUAAUUGUGCCGUAAUAACCCUUGUAGACUAACACGGUCGAGCAGUCGAUUCUAGGUUGAAUUGUCAAGUCUAUUAUAUUAAAAUCUCUUAAUGGCUUCACCGGAUAAGCUAGUUAUCUCGUGAGUGGCCAUUUCAAAGAAAAACACUAUAGUCACGUCGAUGAAAGGCCUAACUUAUCCAAUCGAAAUCAGAACUUGAAAAUCAGGAUGUCACAUUGCAUUUGCCUUAUUUAAUUUGUCAAUGAGUCAGAGUUAUCAAAUUCCCAGACCCAGCUCAAAACAGCAAAGGAUUCAGAAGUCAUUGGCACAACAAAUAAGAAUUCAAGAACAUAAAUGCCUUAUUGGGCGAAUUGCAACAUCUUCCUCAAUUGUGUUUGGUAAUUUAAGAUGGGAGGGAAUGAAUGAAUAGCAAACAAACAAACAAAUAAACAAAAUAUAAGUUUAGAAGUAACUAGAAAAGCACCUUCAAUUCUUCAUGAAGGAAGUAACUAAAUCACUCCUACUGCAUAAAGUGUAUCAACAAUUCACUCUUUCGCUAACUAGGCAUUAAUUCUUUUAUUUCAUUCCUCACAAAUCAUGAUUGUACUGUAUUGAAAUUGAAAAAACAUUCCACAAGGUAUGACCGAUUCUCAACUACCUAUGCCUUUCAACAAAACCUAGCAUUUGUUAGCAUCUUUAGUGUGCUUACUAUCUAAGCAAGUUACAUGCUGCCAAGCAUGUCAACCCUAACAUUAUGCUGAUGCGCAACAUAAACCAGCUAAGCAUCACCACAGUGGAGGCAAGUGAAAGUACCGCAUAUUCAUGACAUACAAUAAAGGAAUUUUGCUCAGAGAUAAGAGGACGAACAAAUACAAGCGGUGGUUCUAGAACUAAGAUGAAAGCUUAGUUGAAAGAAAACUCACAAGACAGGACGCAGCAAAAAACAAACUCUAGUUCUAUGGACUUACCAUCAUCGACUAUCUUUGCCAAUCAAAUGAUACAUACCUUAUCCAUCUCUAUUGAGCUUCGAGCAGUCAAUGAUGAUGAGUUCACAAGAUUUUGGCACACCCAAAACUGAAAGGAUCGACAUCUGCUGAUGCUGUUGAAGAGGCUAAAGACUAGUUAAAUACACUUCUAGUAAGCUACUUUAGCAACUAAAAAGUAAUUCAAGCGAUCUUGCCGUUUGUUACCUUCUUUGAUACAUAUGUAGUUUAUCCAAUACUAUGAACAAUUCUAAAUCAAAGGAAAGUCAUGUCUAGCAUUUAAUAGCCUGCCUUGAAGGUUAUUAUGUAGUCUCCAUAUUAAAUGCUUCAUAUUAAUUUUUUUGGCAAAGCAUUCAUAAUGGCCAUGCAAUUUCCAACAGCAGUUUACAGUUAGUGUGCUAUGGAAAGAGAGUACUUUUUGUUACCAUGUAAGACGGAAUUAUUACCUUGUCCCUGCUGACACAAACACACCACUUAAAACUUCAACACCAUCUGAAUCAAUAAAAACUGCACCAAUGAAUAACAUACCAUUAGUGAGUCAUACCAUCAACUAUAUUUCACAUGACCACUUUAUAAGUGCCACUGAAUGCAAGAAACUAAUUGAUUGAUGACAUGGUCAGUGAUCCCUGUAUUAUCAUACCCCCUCUUCAACACAAUGGAAUUAAAUUCAUGAAAAAAGAGAAGGCAAGGUGCUACAGCUGCUGCCUUUGAGAAUAUAUCCAAACCUGUAAUUUUAAAAUUGCCAUUACUCUCUAAUAUUCAAAAUUUCUCUAGUUUGUUCACAAAAUUAAUGCCGUCAAUGUGCAGAACAGAUGAUCCAGUAGACAUUUGAUCACAAAUUUCAAAUUUCUAGUAGAGAAAAACUUCAAAUAUCUUACAUCUUAAUCUUUCUCUUAAUCUUCAUAGAGGAUUCUCUCAUUCAUGCGUGAGAAAACUCAAGAACUGUUUUAACUUGGCCUCUUCAUUGAUUAUGGGAGAAUCCUAAUUGCUGUUGUUUAAAAUAAUAUAAUUAGAACAUCUUGGUUGCAAUGGUAGGAUCCUCAUUGCUGUUGCUAGUUAUCCUAUUUCGACUGCUGGCAUAGAUGAAGGGACCUCUAUUAAAUGCAUACAGAAGCAAAAGAAGAAAGCACAAAAUUGUGAAAUGUAUGGAAAUAACAAAGUUCAAUAGAAGAUUGCAUAGUAGAACUCAAUAAACAUCCGUGUAGUUGAAAAGAAGCCUCUUACAGCUUACUAAAAAGUACCAAUGUACCGAUCCACAACUCGCCCUUUUACUAAUAUGGAUUGAAGAGAACAAGUCGUUGCUAUAGCACCAACAAUAUGUCUUGCCAAAGCCUAGACAUCCAUGUAAAAGAACAUUUCACCAUGGUCUUGGAGGAGCUUGUGCAAAAGCAUUUUAUCAGCAAAUGUAAAAAUGAUAGACACAAAGAUCAACGGGUUUAUUUAACAAGUUAACAGUAACCACAUUAUUAGCAAAGACAGAGAGAGAUGAGGAAAGGUGCAAUAAAUCGGCUAAAAGAAAAAACAAAAUCUAGUCUUCAACAACACAAAGGUGCUCUUUCCUAACACUAGAAAUAGCAGAAUGCACAAUUUGAUGCAGCUAAACCUACUCUUCAACGAAAUAAUGGCUUGACCAUAUCGACAAGUUUACUCCAAUAUCAAUUGUCUCCCAGCACGAAUUUCACGCAUAAAUGGCUAAAUACUAGAAUGAAGAAAGAUAGUUCACAAAUCACACCAUGACUCAAGACUUUAAGCUUUUGCACUUCGGUUCAAAAGUAACUAGAAAAACACCUCCAAUUUUUCGUGAAGGAAAUAACUAAAUCACUCAUAUUGCAUAAUAGGUAUCAACGAUUCACUCUUCCGCUACCCAAGCAUUAAUUCUUUUAUUUCAGUCCUCACAAAUUAUGAUUGCUCUCUACUGAUAUUAAAAGCACUGCAUAAGGUGAGACUAGUACUCUCAAGUCUCAACCAACUUAGCCUUACAACAAAAACCUAGCAUUUGUUAGCAUCUUUAGUGUGCUUACUAUCUAAAAGUUGUUGGAGAAAACUCCUUUACUAUUUUGAAGUUGACAAAAAUUUUCCAAAAGUCUAGUCUGAAGACUUCCAGACUCUAGCGUCAAAGUUUGAAGACCGCCAGACUUUAGAUUCAAAGUUUGCCCACACUGACAAUUUCUAGACUGAAGAAUGAAGACUUAUCCAGAUGGAAGAUUAUCUUUAUUUCUUCAAGGAUUCGAUUCAUAUGGUUUAUGGAUAACCUUAUGGAUGGAUAUAACACGUACAUGAUUGAUUAUCUUUAUUGGAAUCAAUUCUGAUAUUCAAAUCUUUUGGAAGGCAAGCAAACUUGGAAGGUUCUACUUAUGGAAACCAAGAUCUUGAUUGUAUGGGCGAAUAGAAUUGACGGGCUUUCAUCACAAAUCGUCUAACGACUCGAGAUCUCUUUGAUUGAUUCUAUCCAACGAGUAGAUUGGAAGAAUUCCUUUGGAAAGUGCCAACGGUCGUGAAGGCAUGAAGGAGUAUUUAAGAUGGACUCUCCAGUUGUUCGAUAGUGAGCGUGAAAGAAAAAAUUCAAAAUUUGAAGCUUCUUAGUUCCUUGUUAUUCAUUGAGCUCAAAGUUGUAUACAAAAGAGAGAAACUCCUAGUGAGACUUUGUGAGAGACCAGUAGAGACUCUUCACUGAGAAGUCGAGAUCACAAGUUGUAAAAUCUCUUCUCAUUCUUAGUGAAAUCCAACCAAUGGAUAGUUAGCACGGGAGAGUUGACGUAGGCUUGAUCUAAGCCGAACCACUAGAAACCUUAUGUUCUUAUUCUCAUCCCUUAACUCCUUUAUUUUAUUUCGUAGCUUUAUUUAACUAUUCAAAACUGAAUUCUUUCAUAGUCUAUUAUCUUCUAUAAACAAAUUACUUCUACCGAAUCUUGCGAAAAUUUUUAUUCACACCUAUUCACACCUCUCUAGGUGUUGUUACUUGUCAUGUCCCAAUCCUUCGAGCCCGUGCCCAUCCUGCUUGGUCGAUAUAAUAGCGAUGUCCUAGGACGCAUUGCCGAUCCAUUUGUUUUAAUAUACGCAUGCGAAAGUAGAUAUAAAUCCCCAGACAAUAAAACAACGGGAUAGGAAAGUAGGGCCAACUUUUUGAAACCAUCACAACCACACUUAUAUAUACAUACAUAGCAAACCAUGUCAUAUAUCAUACAAGCUGGUCUAGGUAUGUAAACAUAUACAUAAAAGUGAGUCCUUAAACAGGGGGGUCUAGCCACCACGGCUACUCGUCCUCGUCAAACUCCUCUUGCUCCACAUCCUCAUCCUCAUUGGAGUCUUUUGCUAAGUACACCGAGGACUCUAACUCUUCCAGCUCCGGGUCCUUCGCGUCCUCCGCCGAACCAUCCUUAGGGUAUGCUGUACCCUUUCCAAAAGCAACCUCUAAAACGUAUAAAGGUACCUCAUUUUCCGGUACAAGGCCCACCCUUUGGCCAUGUGGCAUCUAGGAAUUUCAACCCGAAAUAUUGGUUUUGAGGGAAACGAUAUUUGACUUUGAAUGGCCAUAGGGACAAUUACAUCAUUGGCCACGGUAUUUUAUCUCUUGGACCGAACCCCUUAUGAAAACGUUAAUUGAUUAUGAGAAUGUUAAUUGAUUUCUAUAAAUAAAAAUCAAAAUCAAAUGCCCUAAAGUGGUGUAGGAAUUAUGGGCUAUUUAAAUUGGACAUAGGACGAUUUGAUAAAGAAGACUUUGUUCUUGACUAUACACUUUGUAGAUUUGAUGGAUUAAUGUCACAAAGUCUUUUGGCCAUUUUAUUAUGCAAUUAGAUAUUUAUUUAAAUGAGAAUUAAGAUGUAUUAUAAAAAAAUAAACUUGGGCCAUUUAAGUUUGGGCUUUAGGCCCAAGUGAGAUGGGCCUAAAGUGGGCCAUAAGCCCGGCCCAUGUCGUCGCAUGGAGGGGGAGGAGGAGGAGCCGCAUGGCCUCCAAGUGUCUUCAACAAAGGAGACACUUGUCUCCUUCUUAGGGACAAGUGUCCCCCAUGCAAAAUAAGAGUGCAUGCAAAUAUAUAUACAACCAAAAGAAAGAGAGAGAGGGAGUGGUCGGUCUAGGUGCCGAGAGAAAGGAGAGAAAGAGAGAAAGAGAGGAAGAGAGGAAGAGAGAAAGGAAGGAGGAGGUUCGUCGCCGCCAUGCCCCGCCGUCGAGCCCGCCUAGUCCCGCCGUCGUUCUUGCUGUGUUUUCCUUUGAAUUAAGGCAAGUUGCGAAUGAUUUCCACUUUUGCAUGUGUGCCUUGCAUGUGUGAUUUGUUGGUGGUAGGUUUCGGAUCAUAGGGUAGGCAAAACCGAAGCUAGAAUGUGACUUGUUCUUUUGUUUGCAUGCUGAUUUCGUGUGAACCGCCUGGACCAGAAUCUUGUGAGAGCUUGCAUGCAUGUUUUGAGUUGGAUUUUGACCUUUAUUUCUUCAUGAAAGUUGUAGCCAACAUCUUAAAAUAAAAAAUACUAAAAUUUGAGAUAAAAUGGUGGAGAUUUAAGGUGUCAAACCCUCAUCCUACGAAGACACUAGAUCUGGAACGAUUUCGCUGACCUUCUGGUAGAUUUGUGGUUGGAUGUCGAUUUUUAUCAAGAAUCUCUCUUCAACUUCUUCAUGAAAAUUGUAUAGAACAUCUUAAAUACUAACAUACUCAAAUUUGAAGUAAAAUGAGCAAGUGUAGCCUAGUGAAUCGACUUACUCUUGAAGACGGUAAAUCUGAAGACGCGGUACAGGACACCCGAGAUUUCAUGGACCCAUAUGGUGACUAUUCUUUGGAAAUUUGACUUAGAUCCCUUAAUGAAAGUUGUAGGGGACCUCUUGAAGUAAACCAUAUCCAAAUUUAAUAGGAAAUGAAAAAGAAUAAAUGGGUGAAAACUCGAUAUUUCGGAGACACCUACACUGGACGUUUCGGUGCGAGAACCAGAAGCUUCGUACGACUAUAGAAAAUGAUCUAAAACGAAUAUGGCCUAGAAGUCUUCACAAAAAUCUACUUUAGUGUCUUAGCUACAUCCUGGUAAAAUUUCAUAAUUUUCGGAGACCGUUCGGAUAUUUUAAUCGAAUUAUUUCGAAAACUGCACAUUCUGUUUCUAUCCGAAAUUGCAUGCUGUAUUUGUGUGGAUUAUAUCUUUUGUGUGGAACUCUAUUGGGCAUGUAUUUUUCAUGAAAUUAUUGUCUUAUUGCCUUGUCUAUCCCAUGUCCUGAUUUCAUGAUUUUUGAGAAUCAUAUGGAUAUUUAAUUUAAAUGUUUUCUAAAAUGGUACAAGCUGGAAUUUAGUAAACUUCAAAAAGGCAUGAUAAAUGGACUAUUCUAAAUUGUAUGGACUCCAUGAAUUGUAUUGUUAUGAAUGAUUGUGUCUUGCUGCAUAUAUGAUGAUGAUUGGAGAUGCAUGUAUGAAUCAAAUGAUGAAAAUGAUCUUGAUUGCCAUCACAUCACAUGCCAUGUUGAAAUUGAGCCAUAAUUGUGAAUGUGAAAUUGAAAAUGAGAUGUAUGAGAAUAUGCAUCGUGGUGAUGAGAAGACGGUUGGAGGUGUGAGCCGACGAUGCUUCGGGAGUGUCGAGAUGUCCGGUGGUAUACGGUACGUAAUUUCAGGGGAGGCCUGGUGGUAUGUCGGUACGUAAUUCCGGAGGGCAGGGGAAACCAUUUUCAUGGCGAGCCCCGGAGAUUCCCCGGGAGUGUCGGGAUGCCUGGUGGUAUACGGUACGUAAUUCCAGGGGAGGUUUGGUGGUAUCUCGGUACAUAAUUCCGGAAGCUCAGCAGGUAUUGUGCCGAGGGAUACCUCGCGAUGCUAAAUGGGAUGCGAGAUGCCUGGCUAGAAGGGUACGGCCGAUUGCCCAGUAGGUAUUGUGCUGGAGGGUCCUCGUGAUGCUAGUUGGGAUACGAGAUGCCCAGAGCGUGGAGGUGCCGGAUGCCCUGUAGCACCCCGAACCCUUCGGCGGUCGCCACAAGCAUCGAUGUUACGCCUUAUUACCUUUUUCUAUCUUGUACUUAGAACAAGCGUCGUUAAUCACAGGCUUUUUUUUUUUUUAAAGCGGUCCCAGCGCGACUCAUAGCGGAAGCAAAUUAAACAUCACCAUCUAUCCCCCUACCAAUCCAUGAUACCAAUACACACCAGCUAAACAUCAGGAUUUUAUAACCAAGCUUCGACACUUUACUUACAUACAUAUAUGACAAGAUGGGAUUCCCUUCGGGUCGGUAUAACAAAAGGAAAAGCUAGGACUUAGCCACGUCUAGCCUAAAACCUGAAAAAGAAACCCUCGACCCUCAACAUCAUACGAGUACAGACCCCCAUCGAAAGUGUCGACUAUCUACAUCAAAAAGAUCCAGCUCCUACUCAUCGCGCGCAGGUCUCACACCCAACCCGGUGCAUCAGGCGGUGGCGGCGGCAACAUCCCUCGCAUCGCUCCAUCCCGACGAACGUGCACAGAAAUGAACUCCUGAAUGACAGGGCCCCCAGCCAGGCCUAUGUCGUACAUCACUAGACAGCGUACUCGAAUAAAAGUCAGUCCGGGAACAGAGGGAUAGUCUAUCUCGGCACACUCGACCUCUACAUCGGAUGGUAGACCAUAAAACACCCCCCGCGUGACGGCAGGAAGCGGCAUACUGCUAAUCUGAAAUGUUAUUCCCCAAAAGGGGUGAGUACAACCACUCAGCAAAUAGAGAAAUCCAAUAACAACUCAAUGCACCAUGCACAUCAUCAUACGUUGCAGGCAUUACUUACCUUGAAGUCAUGCGCAUACUAUCAUGUAUCAUCAUAUCAAUUCAUAACACAUUCACAUGUAUUAUCAUUGUAACAUGCAUGUCAUGAUCAUCAUGACAUCAUUACANNNNNNNNNNNNNNNNNNNNNNNNNNNNNNNNNNNNNNNNNNNNNNNNNNNNNNNNNNNNNNNNNNNNNNNNNNNNNNNNNNNNNNNNNNNNNNNNNNNNNNNNNNNNNNNNNNNNNNNNNNNNNNNNNNNNNNNNNNNNNNNNNNNNNNNNNNNNNNNNNNNNNNNNNNNNNNUAUAAUAUCAUGGGUGAUCAUCAUUAUUUCACAUCACAUACCAUCAUCAUCAUCAUCAUCAUCAUGCAUAUCAUCAUGCAUAUAAUAUCAUGCGUAUCAGGUCAUGAUUUAAAUUUUUCAUCUUUAUCUUUAAAUUUGAUCACCACAUCACCCAUUUCUCAAUUCAUCAAUUUCAUCAUCCCUUCGAGCAAAGACCUCCGACAGGGUUCCCAGCAUUCAGCCUCCCAGGCCACCUGGCUUCCGGUCCCCCACAUUCCGGGCAUCUCGCAUCUCAACUAGCAUCACGAGGCAUUCCCUUCGGGCAGAAACCUCCGACAGGGCUUCCGGCCUUUACCCUUCUAGCCAGGCAUCUCACACUCCAAUCCUGGCAUCGCGAGGCAUUCCCUUCAGGCAGAAACCUCCGACAGGGCUUCCGGCCCCCCACAUUCCGGGCAUCCUGAAUCUCCCAGGGAAUUUCGGCAAUGCAUCUCUAUACAUUCCGGCCUCAUCCUCCACCACAACCACUUACUCACUUAUCAUUAUCCACAUUCAUCAUUUUGAUUUCAUUAUUACAUGACAUACGAUUCACACAUGCAUCACAACUCAUGGUCAUACAUACACCAAUGUCGUAUCAUACAUGUAACAAUGCAUAAUUAUUUAUUAAUAAAUUCAAUGGAAUUUAUGGCCAAUAAAAUAAUCCCCCUUUUAUUUUAUUAUUAUUAAUUUAAUUUAAUUUAAUUAUCAUAUUUAUUUAUUUUCAUAAAUAAAUAUUAAAUUCAAUAUCUAUAAUUUCCCAAAAUCAUGAAAUUCAAUUUAAUCAUUAAAAAAACCAAUAGGAUGACAUUUUCAUGCAAAAUUCAUGGCCAAAUUGAAUUUCACACAAUUUCACAAUUUCCACAAAAUAGCACAUAAUAUUCGGAUAAUAACCAGAAUGCACAGUUUCUAAAUAAAUUCGAUUAAAAUAUUCAUACGGCCUCCAAAAAUUACGAAAUUUUACAGGAUGAUAGCCAAGACAUUUUCGUACCACUUUCAUGAAGAACGCCAAGUCAGAUUCCUUAUAGAUUAUUUUAUUCAACCUCACGAAGCUUCUGGAACCCUUACCGCAUUGUCCAGAAUACACAUCUCCGAAAUAUUAAGAUUUCACCCAUCUAUUCUCUUUCGUUUCCUCUGAAAUUUGGAUAUGUUAUGUAUCGAGGUGUCCUUUACAAGUUUCAUGAAGAGAUUUAGGUCAAAUAACCAAAGUAUGGUCACCAUUUGGGUCCAUGAAGUCUCGGGUGUCUCGGAACACAUCACCAGAAUCAUCGUCUCCAAGAUCUAGCCGAUUUACUAGGCUAUACUGGUUCAUUUCUCUUAAAAUUUGAGUAUGUUGUAUUUUAAGGUGUUACAUACAACUUUCAUAAAGACAUCGAAGUCAAAUCUUCAACAAAAAUCAACAUGCAAUCAAGAAUCCAACAAGAGGUCAGUGAAAACUUCACAGAUCUGGGGUCUCCGUAGAAUAGGACUUUGACCCCUCAUAUCUCCAUCAUUUUCCACGAAAGUUCAGUAUGUUGUAGUACAAGAUGUUAAAUACAACUUCCAUGAAGACAUCGAAGCCAAAAUUGGACUCCAAACACACAUGCAAGCUCAAACAAGUUACUGACUCCCACAACCCGAGCAAGAACAGUCACCCGACUUAAGAACAAGCCAACCUUACCUCGGUUUUUCUCACUAAAAACACCCAAAAUCUAACAUGCAAACAAUAUACAAGCAUGCAAGAGAAGUUAGAGGACUCCACUUGCCUCUAGGAUGGACAAACGACGGCGUACGGUGGUCGGACACGGCGGUGACGGCGACUCUCUCCUUCCUUUCUCUCUCGGCCGCUCCUCCUCUCUCGCACACCUCUCUCUCUCGCACGGUGUCUCUCUCUCUCUCUCUCUCUCUCUCUCUCUCGGCCAAAUGGAGUAAACCGGCCACUCUCCUCUCUCUCUCUCUUUUUAUUUCCCCAUCUUCUCAUGAUUAGCAAUCAUGAGAUUGCCUACAAACCCACCAAUGCAUGGCCUUCCCCUUUGCCACUUGUCUUGAUCCAUGCAUGGGCCGGCCACCUCUUCCUUUGGGCCUUAAUGGGCCGGUCGAAUUCCCUCUUGGGCCGACUAGCUUGGCCCACCAAGCUUAGGCCAAUGGGUCCAAGGCCCAUUCGAAAAUUAACCUCCUUUUUCCUUUUUUUUUUUUGAAUUCCUUUCUAUAAUUAUUUUUAAAUUUCAAUCUUCAUCUUGGCCAAAGUCUUAGGGCAUCUUGGUUAUUGAAAUUUAAUUUAUAAAGUACAUGGCCAAGCAUAAAUUAUUAAUCCAUCAAAUAUAAAUUCUCACAACCAUAAGCACAAAUCAUCUAAUUAAAAGACUAAUGGCUAAAGCAUAAGCCAUGGAAAUUCUAUCACCUAAUUAAAGACUUUAACACACCUUAUGGCUUGGCUUUGAAUUCUUGGGAUGCCACAUGCCCGGUGGAAAUUGUGCCGGAGGGUUCUCGCAAUGCCAGGAUUGGGCACGAGUGAUGAAUGUGGGAUGCAAACAUUGGUCCCGGGAAAGAGAAAUGUGGCGGUCCAAUAUGAAAAGAUAAAAUUGAGAAAUUGAAAUUGAAAUAUGCAUGAUGAUAUAUGCAUGACAUGAUGAUAUGUGCAUGGAUGCAUGGUAAUGAUGAUGGCACGUGUGAUAUGAUGAUGAUAUGUGCAUGGAUGCAUGGUAAUGAUGAUGGCACGUGUGAUAUGAUGAUGAUAUGUGCAUGGAUGCAUGGUAAUGAUGAUGGCACGUGUGACAUGAUGAUGAUAUGUGCAUGGAUGCAUGGUAAUGAUGAUGGCACGUGUGACAUGAUGAUGAUAUGUGCAUGGAUGCAUGGUAAUGAUGAUGGCACAUGAUGAUGAUGAGUGCAUGGAUGCAUGGUAAUGAUGAUGGUACAUGUGACAUGAUGAUGGUAAGUAUAUGGCAUGAUGGUGAUGACUAUAUGAUGAUGUAUGUACAUGAGGUGUGAUGACAUGUGCAUGAUAUCAAGGUAAAUUGUGCAUGGAUGCUUUAAUGACAUGUAAUGCUAUGAUUGUGAUGAUUGUGGGGCAUGAUGCAUUGAGUGGUUUAUUGAUCCUUUACCUGCGGAGUGGCUGUACUCACCCCUUUUGGGGACCAACAUUUCAGAUUAGUAGAUGGAUUAAGCGGUUGGAUAUGACCGCCAGGAGAAGGAUAGCAAAUGAGGGAACUUUUGGACGCCGACACUGGUUGAUGGACCUUAAGCAUACGAUUGUGGGAGGAGAUGUCGGUCAUCUUGAAGUAUAGCCUAGUAUAGAAAACUAUGGCAUUUUGAUGUACCGAUGAAUGAUGUCCAUAUGGUUUAAAUGAAUAAAAGUGUACGGCUUUUACCUAUAAAUGUUUAGUUGGUGUGCAUCGUUUUCUGAACAUAGGGAGUUGAUGGAUGUGCUUCCGCUAUAUGAAUUGCGCAAGGGACCGAUGAAAAAAAAAAUGUGUAAACCCCCAGGUUGUAUGGACCCACUGCAAUAGAAAUGGUAUCAAAGUGACAUAUGAUUAGGGAAAGUGAAAGGUAAGCAAACUGUGGCGACCCUAUCGGAUCGGGAGCCGUCGAGGGGUGCCACAGGCCAUUAUGGUAAUGGCGAUACCAUGAUCGAUAUCGAUGGGGCACCUUAUGGGGUAAUCCCGCAUCGACCCAAACGGUGGAUUUCACCAACACAUAUUCAAGACCCUUAGGGUGUCUGUGUAUAGGAAUGUGGUAACUCAUUUCAGUGAACUUUUUAGGUUGUCCAAAAUGAUUCGGCGGAGCUACCAUCUACGGGCUUGAAAUGUUGUCCCACAACGGGGUGAGAUGACGUCUCAGCGAGUUCUACCCGCUAAGACCCGAUUAGGAAGAAAAUAUGCCUUAAGGGCUGCCUAAGCACAACCACAAGUCAGAGGACUUACCUUAGCCUUAGUUCCUCCCUUCAAGUUAGUUCAAUUCAUAAAUACUGACAAACAAAACACCCAAUCAAUUCAGAUCGAAUCAUCGAUCAAUCGAUUCAGUCGAUUGCAUGUCAACAAGACCACUCCCCGGUCAUCACAAGUAUUCCAUCUCAAUUCUCAAUCACAGCUCAACGAGUAGGGUCUAUCAAAUUCUCAACUAUAAAUCACAGUCCAAGGGAUACAACUUAUCUUAGGUGGUAAUCACGGCCCAAUGGGCACAACCUUUAAUAGGUGGUAGAUCAUGGCCCGAUUGGGCACAACCUCUAACAUAUGACAAAUCACGGCUUGAUUGGGCACAACCUCUAAUAGGUGUUAAAUCACAGCCCGAUUGGGCAUAACCUCUAAAAUGUGGCAAAUCACGGCUUGAUUGGGCACAACCGAUCCUAAUUCGGUGGCGAAUCUCGGCCCAAUUGGCACAGCCAUACUUCGACAGUUUUCUAGGUUCAACUCACAAUCUCUCAUGGUUCUUUUCCAUCCAAGUACCGACAAUCUACAAUUUUGGGAUAAAUUCCCAUAAUCCUCAAUUUCACUCAAUUUUCACAAACUUGUACUCAAUUAAAUAAACGGAAAGCACCAUUGCAAUCAGCACAAAAUUUCGGUCAUCGGCCUCCCGGUUGAAUUUCGGGAAAAUAAAUAAAUAAAUAAUUAAUUACAAAAAAUUAAUAAAUAAAUACAAUAAAUAGCAUAAAUGCUAACUUACACUCGAUAAAGCCUAAUUGGAAGUCGAGACGAGCCCGGAAAAUUUCCUAACCACUAUAGUUAAAUACUAGAGCUUGUCUAGGCUCUAAUUGCACUAACUAUCCACCUAACAUGCCAUCACAAUUAAUUAAAUUCAUUAAUCUAAUCUAAUCACACCACCUAAUCCAUCUUAGCCUAAAUUAAUCAAAAUCCCUAAGCAUAAUUAACUUACUAAGCGAUGAUUAGUGAGUUAAACUCACUUGUUUCGCGAUCCGUUCGGCUCAAUUGACGGGGAUGCCGCGGGGGACAACUUUCUCCAAAGCGGGCCUAACUUUUGGAGUCGAGAACAACCUCAAAACGGACCAAGAUUCUUGCUGGAAACCCAUUGAUUUGCUCUCUAUUUGGGGCUGAACUUAGCUUAAAAAGGGGCUCGGUUGGCCGGUUGAGGCGGAGACCGGUGAAGGCGAGGCAGACAGUUCGGCGAGGGCAAGUAGAGGCCGAACGGGAGCCCACAACGGCUCAGGCAGCGGGGCAACUUGUAAUCGGGUCAAGGCUCCUCCUAGGUACAUGGCGGAGCUAGAAUAGCGGUCCGAGAUGGUGGGGAUGCAUGCAUGGGUAGGCGAGGCGAGACAGGCUCUCGCGAGUAGUUCGGCGGGCUUCAACGGUGGCGUACGACGGUCUAAGCGGCUGCUGGCUUCUCCUCUGGAGUUCUGGAUUUCAAGCAGCAGAAAUGGAGAUGGGAAAGGGGGUUGCUCGACUGCUUGAAGGGGGGAGUGGACUGGUUCAGCAAGUGGGAUUGGUUUUGGUCCCCUUGACCGGUUUGUCCCCAUCCUUUUGGUCUCCCACCACCAGUUGGUGUCCACCCAUGAUUUUCAGAGCCAAUUGCCCUCUUCUAGAAGCUUGGGAUGGUCCAAAAUGUUGGCUCCAUGGGGUGUUACGAAUUUCAUGGGUUUUAGCUACAAUUGGACACUAAUUGCUUCUCAAUUCUAUCCAAUUUGGCUCUCAAAAAUUCAAUUAGCACCUCAUUGAUCAAGUUGGUAUUUUUCCUCACCAAUUGAUCCCACUUGCUUCCCAAUCGUGCAUUCAAAAACAGUUCUAACUUUUUCUGGACAUAAACGGCCCUAGGACGACUUUUUCCCAAAAAGUCUCGGUUUGCAGAAAAAUCUUCGCAGGCUAAGUCGACGUUCCUAAAAUGACCUAUGACAUGAUAGAAUUUUCAAUUUUUGAAAUUGGAUUCAAAUUUGCGGUUAAUUUUACUCUGGUGCGAUUUUAGCGUGACCUAACCCACCGGAUAGCUUUCAAAACUUUUUAGUGCAAAUGAUCCGUGGUCGAUUUUCUUCGAGCCAUAAUGAACCUCUUCGACACAUUGGCGACUCUCGAUGGUCGUGAAAAUCUCAAGAUUUUGAAUACGAACACAGGGUAUCAAAACGAUAGAAAAAUCAAACUUGUGCCAAUCGAUGAGAAUUUUUGCAAUUUAGUGGGAUCACCUACGUUUAACCACUCAUCUCAGUCGAACCGACCUAUCUCUGAUCUCUAAUCGAUUUACAUCUAUGCUGUAAUGUUCUCGACAGAUGAGCACGGUUGAGCAGCCGAUUCCUAGUCGAAUUCUCAAGUUUAUUUGCCUUAAAAUCCUUUAAUAACUUCCCCAGAUAGUCUAGUUAUCUCACGAAUGAUCAGCUUUGAGAAUAGCACUAUAGACACGUCGAUGAAAUGCCUAAUUUAUUCAUUUGAAAACAAGAUCGAAAAUCUAGGAUGUCACAACUUUUCCCCUCUUAUAAAAAUUUCGUCCUAGAAAUUUAAACCUUACAAUACUUAAGCAAAAAGGUGGGGGUACAAACGUCUCAUCGACUCUUCAAUCUCCCAGGUUGCUCCUUUAGUACCGUGGUGUUGCAAGACCACUUUGACCAUCGGGAUGGUCUUUGUACGCAGAACUUGCUCUUUUAUGUCCACGAUCCGAACUAGGCUUUCGACCUAUGACACUCGGUCAUCCACGUCCAAUUCUUCAAAAUUAAGCACAUAGAUUGGGUCAAGCUCGUACUUCCUCAAAAUCGACACAUGAAAGACGUCGUGCACUUGCACCAAUGUUGGCGGCAACACAAGACGAUACACCAAAGUCUCGAUUCUCUCAAGAAUCUCAAAUGGACCUACGUACCUCGGACUCAGUUUUCUUUCUUGCCAAAGUGCGAAGUUCCCCUCAUUAGUGACACCUUCAGAAAAACGUGAUCACCAACUUGGAAUUCCAAAAGCUUUCAACGCUUAUCUGCGUAGUUUUUCUGACGACUCUGAGCAGUCUUUAAUCUGCCUCUAAUAACUGCCACGGCAUCCACUGAUUACUGAACUAACUUUGGGCUUGUAAUCUUUCUUUCCCCAGCUCCAUCCCAACACACCGGUGUUCUACAUGCUCGGCCAUACAAUGCUUCAAAUGGAGCCAUCUGGAUGCUCUGCUGAUAACUAUUGUUUUAGGCGAAUUCCACAAGAUGAAGUUGUUCCUUCCAACUUCGUUUAAAGUCCAAUACACAAGCUCGCAGCAUAUCUUCUAGGGUCUGAAUUAUCCUCUCAGAUUGGCCAUCCGUCUAUGGAUGAUAUGCUGUACUAUACUGAAGCUUUGUACCUAGAGCACUCUACAAGCUCUUUCAAAAAACGGUAGUAAAUCUUAGGUCUCGAUCCGAUGUUAUCGUAAUUGGUACUCCAUGCAAUCGAACUAUCUGACGCACAUAUAAUUCAGCGUGCCUAUCCAAGUCAAGAUCCUUUCGCAUUGCAAUAAAGUGAGCCGACUUUGUCAACCUGUCGACUAUUACCCAAAUCGAAUCAUUACCCCUUUGACUCAUUGGUAACCUGGUCAUGAAAUCCAUCGUGAUAUGCUCCCACUUCCACUCUAGGAUCUCAAGAGGUUGCAAGAGUCCUCCUAGCUUGCAAUGUUGAGUUUUGAUCUGCUGAUACGUCAAACACUUGGUGACAUACCUGGCGAUGUCUGCCUUCAUACCUGACCACCAAUAGUGCUGGCGCAGAUUUUGAUACAUCUUGGUACUUUUGGGAUGAAUGCUAUAACUACUCCGAUGAGCUUCUGAUAAAAUAUCAUCUCUAAGCUUCGCAUCGUUAGGUAUAACCAAUCGUCCCUGGAACUUCAGUGUUCCAUCAUCAUAAACCCGGAAAUCAACUUUCCUCUCCUCGAUAUCCUUUUGUAAAAUUUUCUGAACAUUUGGGUCUGUCGGCUGGAGUAGCUUAAUCCUGAUCUGCACAUCCGGCUCAAUUAUGAGGGUAGCCAUAAGAUUAGAAAGGUGGCCUACCUCAAAUUUGAACAUCGAAUCUCGAGGUUGCUUGAUUAGAUCCCACUCCUUAACCAACAAAUGAGCAAUUGACGACUUUUGGCUUAAAGCAUUGGCAACCUUAUUCGCCUUUCCUUGGUGAUAUAAAAUAUCACAAUCGUAGUCCUUCAGUAAUUUCAUCCAUCGAUGUUGUCUCAUAUUCAGUUCAUUAUGAGAGAAUAAGUACUUGAGAGUCUGAUGGUCCAUGAAGAUCUGAAAUUUUUCUCCACAGAAGUAAUGUCUCCAAAUAUUCAACGCAAAUAUGAUAGCUGCGAGUUCCAAGUCAUGCGUAGGGUAAUUCAAUUCAUGAGGCCUCAAUUGGCGGGAGGCGUAUGCAACAACCUUACCAUAUUGCAUCAACACGCAACCUAGUCCUCUAAACGACGCAUCACUAUAGAUCUCGUACCUUCCAGGACCUGAUGGAAUCGUCAGCAUAGGUGCGGUAGUUAGCUUUUGCUUCAGUUCUUGAAAACUAUCCUCACACUUGUCUGUCCAUACAAACUUCUCGUCUUUCUUCAGGAGUCUUGUCAAAGGAGACGCCAAAGCUGAAAAUCCUUCCACAAACCUUCUCUAAUAACCUGCCAAACCCAGAAAACUUCAGAUUUCUAUCACGGUAGUCGGUCUCGGCCAGUUGAUCAUUGCUUCAAUCUUGCUUGGGUCCAUAGAGAUUCCUUCGCUUGAAAUCACGUGCCCUAAAAUCGCAAUACGAGUCAACCAAAACUCGCAUUUGCUAAACUUAACAUACAGUUGGUGGAUCCUUAAGGUUUGGAGCACUAAUCUCAAAUGGUCCUCAUGCUCCUCAGCACUUCUCAAAUACACCAGAAUAUCAUCGAUGAACACGAUCAUAAACUGAUCCAUAUAUUAUUUGAAUACUCGAUUCAUCAAAUCCAUGAAAGCAGCUGGAGCAUUCGUCAACCCGAAUGGCAUCAUAGUGAACUCGCAAUGACCAUACCGAGUACGAAAUGCUGACUUUGGAAUGUCUUCUUUUCUGAUCCUUAGCUAAUGAUAUCCUGUCCUCAAGUCGAUUUUCGAAAAUAUCGAUGCUCAUUGUAACUGAUCAAACAAGUCAUCGAUCCUCGGCAAUUGAUACUUGUUCUUGAUCGUCACCUGAUUGAAUUGCUGAUAGUCGAUGCAUAAGCGGAACGAACCAUCUUUCUUAUUUACAAAGAGAACUGGUGCUCCCUAAGGUGAUGCACUGGGACGUAUGAAUCCCUUAUCCAACAAUUCCUGCAUCUGCACCUUCAGUUCCUUCAACUCUGAUAGUGCCAUCCGGUAAGGAGCCUGAAAGAUUGGCUUAGUCCCAGGUGCUAACUCAAUCACGAACUCAAUUUCUCUCUCUGGCGGUAAUCCUAGCAAUUCCUUCAGGAAUACAUUUGGAAAUUCUUGUACAACGGAAAUAUCUUCAAUCUAACCACCUGUGGCGGCAGCGUAGUAGUUGAGCGUAGGUUCCUUUCGGGAGAGGUCCUGAUUUCGAAUCACUAUGUCGUCUGCCUUGCGAGAAAGGAACCCAUGACUUACCCGGGGCAGCAAGGGUGGUGGUGACUCUACUGCUCCUCCAUGGUUUACUCCGCCGCGAAGCGGCGCACGGAGGUUCCUUGGGUACCAAAAAAAAAAAAUAUAUCUUCAAUCUUCAGCUCCUUAACUGUUGUAUCCACAACAGUCGCCAGGUAACCUUGACAACCUUCGUCUAACAAACGGGUUGCCUCUUGCGACGAGAUUAGGAAAAUUGAGGGUCCUCCUCAAUUCCCUACAAACUUGAAGCUCUCACCCUUUAAUGGGUUAAAUUAAAUUGACUUGCGAUAGCAGUCUAUUUUUGCCCGUUGCUUGGUGAGUCAGUCCAUGCUAAUUAUCAAAUCAAAGUCAUACAUGGCUAGGACUAAUAGAUCUAUUUUCCCCUCUUACUCACCAAUCUCUAACUUGCAACCAGAACAACCCAAAGCAGCUAACACCUUAUCCUUUAAUGGUGUAGAUAUGCUAACAACAGAUUCUAGCAAUUCAGGAUUUAAUCCUAUCAACUUAACAAAUUGCUUAGCAAUAAAGGAAUGGGUUGCUCCUGGAUUGAAUAAAGCAUAAGCAGGAUGGUUAUUCUGCGAAACCAUACCUGUGAUCACGUUAGGCGCAGCCUCUGCCUGACCUUGAGUGAUGGCAUACACCGUGCCUUGAACUGGGGGUCGAAGCUGUCCUUCUUGCAGUGCAUUUUGAGGCACAUACCCUCUGAUCUGACCUAACGGUGGUGGCAACGGCAACUGUUGAGGUCUCCCCUGUCUCCAGGGACAAUUCUGGGCUAUGUGACCCUGCUGGUGACAUUCAAAAUAGGCGCCCGUCCUUCGGGGGCACUGGUUCGCUCCAUGUCACCUUCCACAAGCGUGACAUAACUCAAAUCGGUUUGACCCCGACUUAUCAAUUCCACCCUUCCUAUUGGGCAGAAUCUAAAUCUACCCCCAGUCAUGGGCUUCUUUCCCUAACAAAUUCCUUCUCUAAGAGAACUAAACCUCGACCUAGACGAGGCAACUUGCUCAUUCAAUCCUCUCUUUAUCAUUUGAGCUCAACGGUAGACUUCUUGAAAAUCAGUCAAAUCCAACGGCAGCAACGGUUGCUUUAGUUCAGAACGAAGGCCGUUCGUGAACCUUCUAGCUUUUUCCUUAGGGUCUUCAAUCAACCUCGGAGCAUACUGAGAAAGCUCUACGAACUUGGCCCCAUAUUGGUCAAUAGUCAUACUCCCUUGGUGGAGACGUUGGAACUCCUCCAUCUUUUGUUCUCAAGCACUACCCGAGAAGUACUGAUCGUUGAAGCUUUGAGGAAGGUGUCCCACACCGAGACCACACCUUCCGGGAAUACCGUAUCCUUGGCAACUCUCCACCAAAUGUUUGCACUGCCUUGAAGUUGGUACACAGCCAGUACCACCUUCUCCUUUUCAUUACACAUCAGAAGUGCAAAUGCUUUCUCGAGAUCCUGAAUCUAGAGUGACACGACUUCAGGGUCUCCCUUGCCAAUGAACCUCGGAGGGUUCAGCUUAAAGAAUUAUUCCACUAACUUAUGAAUCGGCCUUCCAGCGGCCACAUUCCCAAGUGGAACUUCAGUAGGGGUGACGAUAGGUGCAGCAAUAGGUGUGGCAGUGGGGGCGGCCUCAGUAGUGGCAGCAACAGCAGCAGUAGAGGCAGCUUGAGCGGCAGCUGCAAUAGCGGCGAUAAAGGUGGCAGCUUGAUCCCGGGCCUACUACCCCAUCAACUCUCUCAUGGCAUCCAAGGUCUGAUUGAUCCCGAUAAUUCCUUGCUCACCUGGGGUUGCUACCCCAGCACCCAUGGGAGGUGGUGCUACUCCACUGGCACUGGCCUGUGUCGGUGUCCUACCUCUGCCUCCUUGGGUACCGACCCUAGUCAGUGUCCUAACUCGAGUCGCAGGCCCGACAGAUCUUUUACUCGGAGUUCUCUGCUCCUGCUCGCUCAUGGUUCAGUUUUUCUACUGAAACCUGUUUCCUAAUUCGGUCACGAAUCUUGGCCUAAUUGGCACAGCCAUACUUCGGCAAUUUUCUAGGUUCAACUCACAAUUUCUCAUGGUUCUUUUCCAUCAAAGUAAUGACAAUCUACAAUUUUAGGAUAAAUUCCCAUAAUCCCCAAUUUCACUCAAUUUUCACAAGCAUGUACUCAAUUAAAUAAACGGAAAGCACCACUACAAUCCACACGAAAUUCCGAUCACCGGCCAUCUCGGUUGAAUUUUGGGAAAAUAAUUAUAUAAUUAAAUAAUUAAUAAAAUUAAUUAAUAAAUACAAUAAAUAGCAUAAAUGCUAACUUAGGCCCGAUAAAGCCUAAUUGGAAGUCAAGACGAGUCCAGAAAAUUUCCGAACCAGAACUAGAGUUUGUCUAGGCUCUAAUUGUACUAACUAUCUACCUAACAUGCCAUCACAAUUAAUUAAAUUCACUAGUUUAAUUUAAUGUAACCACCUAAUUCAUCUUAGCCAAAAUUAGUCAACUCCUAAGCAUAAUUAACCUACUAAGCAAGGAUUAGUGAGUUAAACUCACUUGUUUCGCGAUCUGGUUGGCUCAAAUCGACGAGAACGCUGCGAGGGACAACUUUCUCUAAAGCGAGCCUAACUUUUGGGGAGAACAACCUCAAAACGGACCAAGACUCUUGCUGGAAACCCACUGAUUUGCUCUCUGUUUGGUGGCUGAACUUGGCUGAAAAAGGGGCUCGGUUGGUUGGCUGAGGUGGAGAUCGGCGAAGGCUAGGCAGAUGGUUUUGCGAGGGCAAGUGGCGACUGAAUGGGAGCCCACGGCGGCUCAAGCAACAGGGUAACUUGCAAUCGGGUCGAGGCUCCUCCUGGGUACAUGGCGGCCGGAACAGUGGUGCGAGACGGUUGGGACGCAUGCGUGGGUAGGCGAGGAGCGACGGGCUCUCGUGGGCGGUCCGGCGGGCUUCAACGGCGGCGUACGACGGUCUAGGCAGUUGCUAGCUUCUCCUCUAGAGUUCUGGACUUCAAGCAGCAGAAAUGGAGAUGGGAAAGGGGGUUGCUCGACUACUUGAAGGGGGGAGGGGACCAGUUCAACAAGUGGGACUGGUUUUGGUCCACUUGACUGGUUUGUCCCCAUCCUUUUGGUCUCCCACCACCAGCUGGUGUCCACCCAUGAUUUUCAGUCCCAAUUGCCCACUUCUAGAAGCUUGGGAUGGUCUAAAAUGUUGGCUUCAUGGGGUGUUACGAAUUUCAUGGGUUUUGACUACAAUUUGACACAAAUUGCUUCUCAAUUCAAUCCAAUUUGGCUCUCAAAAAUUCAAUUAGCACCUCACUGAUCAAAUUGAUAUUUUUCCUCAUCAAUUGAUCCCACUUGCUUCCUAAUUGUGCAAUCAAAAUCGGUCCUUGAUUUUUUCGGGACAAAAACGGCCCUAGGAUGACUUUUUCCCAAAAAGUCUCGGUUUGCAGAAAAAUCUUCGAAGGCUGAGUUGAUGUUCUUAAAAUGACCUAUGACAUGACAGAACUUUCAAUUUUUGAAAUCAGAUUCAAAUUCGUGGUUAAUUUUACUCUGGCGCGAUUUUAGCGUGACCUAGGCCACCGAGUAGCUUUCAAAAUUUUUUAAUGCAAAUAACCCGUGAUCGAUUUUCUUCGAGCCAUAAUGAACCUCUUCAACACAUUGGUGACCUUCGGUGGUUGUGAAAAUCUCGAGGUUUCAAGUACGAACACAGGGUACGAAAAUGAUAGAAAAAUCAAACUUGUGCCGAUCGAUGAGAAUUGUUGCAAUUUAGUAGGAUCACCCACAUUUAACCACUCAUCUCCCUCGAACCAACCUAUCUCUGAUCUCUAAUCAAUUUAUAUAUGUGCCGUAAUGAUCUCAGCAGAUGAGUACGAUCAAGCAGCCGAUUCCUGGUCGAAUUCUUAAGUCUAUUUGCCUUAAAAUCCUUUAAUAGCUUCCCUAGAUAAUCUAGUUAUCUCACGAGUGAUCAGCUCUAAGAACAGCAAAAUAGGCGCGUCGAUGAAAUGCCCGAUUUAUUCAAUUGAAAAUAGAAUCGAAAAUCUAGGAUGUCACAUUACUAGCCAUUUCAAUUGGUAUCAGAGCCUACGUGCUUAUUUAUUGAAGUGUUUUUACUUCUUAAGCUAAAGAUCUAUGGCUAGUAUUUUGGCUCCAGGUUUGGUUGAAGGCCAAAGCAACACCAGACCUCCUUACUUUGAUGGGAAGGAGUACAAUGUGUGGAAGAACAAGGUGAAGGCAUUCAUGAGGUCGAAGGAUCCCCUAGAAUGGGAUAUGGUAGAAAAAGGGAUCAAUCCUAAAGCUACAUCAACCUCAGAAAGAAGAAAGGAAGUUGUAGAUGCUGGCGAAUUGACACAAGCAGAAUUAACCAAGAGACAAGCUCUUAAUGCUAAAGCAAUCUACUCCUUAUAUUAUGCUUUAUCUCCUACAAAGUAUAACCAAAUUUCUUCUUGUGAAAUAGCAAAAGAAGUUUGAGACAAGUUGCAUGUUACCUAUUAAGGAACUGAUCAAGUUAAAGAAACGAAGAUCAAUAUCCUACUCGGACAGUAUGAUGCCUUCAAGAUGAAGCCUAGAGAAUCCAUCACCGAUAUGUUCAAUCGCUUCACAGAGAUUGUAAACGGCAUAGCAUAUCAAGGAUAGCAAAUCUCAUGAUCAAUGAAGGUUAAUAAACUGCUCCGUGGACUCUCCAAAGAUUUGAAUCAUGUGAAGACAUCAAUUAGAGAAACCUAGAGGAUCAUGCCUCUUUCAGUUGACGAACUAGUUGGCACAGAUGAUGAAGAGCUAGCGCUCAUGAUUAGGAAGUUCAGAAAGCUGAACAGGAAAGGAAGAAAAUUAAACUGGAAAAAGCAGAGCACUCAAAAAUUCCAGAAGAAACCAACUACGGACAAUGAAACUAACAAAGAUGUGAUAUGCUUCGAAUGCAAGAAAAAAAGGGCACAUCAGACCCAACUGUCCUCUGUUGAAGAAAAAGAAAGGAAGAACAAAGAAAUACAAAAAGGCUCUCAAAAUAGAGACAUGGAGUGAUACCGAAUGCGAGGAAAGUGAUAAAGAAUAUACCAACAUAUGUCUAAUGGCCAAUUCAGAAUUAGACUUAGACUUUGAAACAGAUUCUGAUUCAGACUCAGACAAAAAAGUUGAGGUUAGCAAUUUCAAAAUUCCUAUUAAAGUCUCGAAAUAUAGAGAUGAACUCAGUCUCAGUCUCAAAACAUCUCUUAAAAGGAUUUUCGAGCUAAAGAGGGAAAAUUCUAAAUUGAGGUAACAAGAAACUUCUUGGAAAGAAAAGUUUGAAAAUUUGGAUAAAGUUUUGUUGAUUUGAAAGAAAAUUUAGAUUCUCUUUCGAAGGAAAAUGCCUUUUUGAAAUAAGAUAUUUCAAAUAUCACAAAAAGAUUUUCAAAAGGAUCUGAGAAGUUGGAGAAAAUUCUUUCUAUACAUAGACCUUAUUUUAACAAAUCUGGUUUGGGUAUGACUCAAGAAACUAUUCCUUUAAUUGAUUUUCCCAAAGUUAAAGAGAGAAUCAAAUAAAGACCUACAAAAACAUUUUACAAAAAUCAUUUUCAAAAGGUUUUUGUAAAACCUGUUGGCAGAAGUGCUCUCAAAUGUUCAAAGUGUAACAGUUCAUAACAUUUUGAGAAGAAAUGUCCCAAGGUUUAGAGACUUGUUAAGAGGGAUUGGGCAAAGAUUGUUUUCAAUACUAACUCCUCUGGAUCCAAGAAAGUAUGGGUUCCAAAGAAAGCUUGAGUUCUUUUCAUGAUUACAGGUCACUAUCAAGAAGAAAAUCAAAUGGUAUUUGGAUAGUGGCUGUUCGAGACACAUGAUAGGAGAUUUGAGUUGCUUUAUAAAGCUUGUUCAAAUAAAUGGUGGAAAAGUUUCUUUUGGUGGGAACUGCAAAGGAAGAAUUGGUGGAUGUAGAACCGUGAAUAUUGAAAGCCUCACUAUCAACAAUGUCUCCUUGGUGGAAUGUUUGAAUUACAAUCUACUCAACAUAAGUCAGCUGUGCAAUACCGGAUUCAGAAUUAAAUUCCAAGAAGGCAUCUAUUUGGGAACAAGUAAAUACCUCUCUCAAUCUUUUACUGGACAAAGACAUGGAAACAUUUACCUUCUGGAUAUAAAACCAGAAAGUUCUUAGUAUCUUAUAUCCAUUCAAGAUGAAGCAAAUCUUUUGCAUCGACAGCUUAGUCAUGUUAACAUGAAGUAGAUUGCCAAGAUUUCAUCCAAGAAGCUUGUUCGUGGUCUUCCCAACAUGAAUUAUCAAAAAAUUGAAUUAUGCACGCCAUGUGUUUUGGGAAAAUAGGUUAGAAGUUCUUUUAAACCUAUACAUUAAGUUUCUACUAAUCGAGUUUUGUAGCUUCUUCAUAUGGACCUCUUUGGACCAACAAGAACUCAAAGUAUUGGUGGAAAAAGAUAUUGCGUAGUAAUCGUGGAUGAUUACUCUCGUUUUACUUGGGUUUAUUUUCUAGCAAAUAAGUUUGAGGCUUUCUCUUACUUCUCUAAGUUUGCUAAGAAGGUUCAGAAUGAGAAAGGAUAUGCUAUUUCGAGCAUACAAACAGACCAUGGAGGUGAGUUUGAAUAUCAAGAUUUUGCAAAGUUCUGUGAUGAAUCUGGUUUCCAACAUAUUUUCUCUUCUCCAUACACUCCAGAACAAAAUGAGGUUGUGGAAAGAAAGAAUAUAUCCUUGUAGGCGAUGACAAGAACCCUCUUAAUUGAGAGCAAAAUUUCCUCUCGAUUUUGGGCUGAAGUAGUUUCUACAGCUUGCUACAUCAUCAACAGAGUGUUCUUGAGGCCUAUUCUAGAGAAAACUCCUUAUGAAAUGUAUAAAAGGAAGAAGCCAAAUGUUUCUUACUUUCAUGUGUUUGGUUGUAAGUGUUAUGUUUUGAAAAAUGAUCGAACUGGGAAGUUUGAAGAAAAAUCAGACGAAGGAAUUUUCCUUGGCUACUCAAUCUCAAGCAAAGCAUACAAAGUAUUCAAUAGGAAGACUUAGUAUGUGGAAGAAUCUAUAAACGUCAAGUUUCAAGACUCUAUGCAUAAUUAACUAGACCAGACUCAACUUGAAGAAUCUGAACUUGCUCCAGACUUUAUAAAGUCUACUUCCCCCGAAGUGGUUCAAACUUCUAAAGAUCAACAAUAAGCAGAACUAGAGAAUUCAACUGAAGCAUAAGAUCAGCAGACUCUUAGACCAACCAACAACUGGAAGCAUAAGUCAAGUCAUCCUAAAUAACUCAUCAUUAGCAAUAUUGAGGAAGGAGUUCGUACCAUAUCUAAAAGGCGAGAAGAGUCUAGUGCUUUGGCACUUGUUUAUGAGAUUGAACCUAAAAAUGUAGAAGAAGCCUUGACUGAUGAAAGCUGGAUUGAAGCUAUGCAAAAAUAGCUUAGACAGUUCAGCAUCAACGAUGUUUGGGAGCUAAUUCCUAAACCUAAAGGUAAGUCUAUUAUUAGAACUAAAUGGAUUUUCAAGAACAAGGUGGACGAGAAAGAAAAAGUGGUUAGGAACAAAGCAAGACUCGUGGCCAAAUGAUCUACGCAAGAAAAAAUGAAAGACUAUGACGAGACCUAUGCACCAGUAGCGAGGUUAGAAGCAAUUAGAUUAUUACUUGCUUUUGCUUGUUAUAAAAAUUUCAGGUUAUUCUAGAUGGAUGUACAAAGUGCAUUCCUAAAUGGAUUUAUCGAAGAAGAAGUCUGUGGAACAACCACCUAGUUUUGAAGAUCCAAGAAAGCUAGACUCAGUUUACAGACUGAAAAAGGCCUUGUAUGGAUUGAAGCAAGCACCUCAAGCCUGGUAUGAAAGGUUAAGUAAAUUCCUAACCCAAAAUGGUUUUGUUAAAGGAAAAGUAGAUACUACUUUGUUCAUAAAAAGAGAGGUAAUGAUUUUCUACUGGUUCAAAUUUAUGUUGAUGAUAUUAUUUUUGGAUCUCCUAAUAAAAAUCUAUGCAAGAAGGUCUCUAGAUGUAUGCAGGAUGAAUUCGAGAUGAGUAUGAUGGGUGAGUUAACUUUCUUUAUGGGAUUGCAAGUUAAACAAUCAAAGAAAGGUAUUUUUAUUCACCAAGAGAAAUAUGCGAAAGACCUCAUCAAGAAAUUUGAAUUGGAGAAUUGCAAAAAGACAGAGACACCAAUGUCAAGUUCUUCAAAGUUGGAUAAAGAUGAAGGAGGGAAGAAUGUUGACCAGAAGCUUUACAGGAGCAUUAUUGGUUCGCUUCUUUACCUUACUACAUCUAGACCUGACAUUUUGUUUAGUGUUUGUAUCUGUGCUAGAUUCCAAUCAGAUCCCAAAGAAUCUCACUUAAGUGUUGUAAAAUGCAUCAUCAAAUAUGUUGCAACUACUCCAAAGCUAGGUCUAUGAUAUCCUAAAGAAUGAGACUUUACUCUCUUUAGAUAUUCAGAUGCAGAUUUAGCAGGUUGUAAAGUUGAUAGAAAAAGUACUUCUGGUGCUCGUCAACUGCUGGCAACAAGCUGGUGUCUUGGUUCUCAGUGAAGCAGAGAACUGUAGCUCUUUCAACAGUUGAAGCUGAGUAUGUGGCUCUUGGGAGUUGUUGUUCUCAAAUUUUGUGGAUAAGGCAACAACUAAGAGACUUUGGAAUUGAAGAAUUGUGUAUCGAGAUCAAAUGCGACAACACCAGUGCUAUCAAUCUCACGAAGAACCCAAUUCUUCAUUUAAGGCAAAACAUAUAGAGAUUCGACACAAUUUCAUAAGAGAUCAUGUUCAGAAUGGAUAAGUUAUGAUUCAGUUUAUUGACUCGAAAAAUCAAUUGGCAUACAUAUUUACAAAGCCAUUGGAGAAAAGUCUAUUUGAGUCUAUUCGUACCAGACUUAAUAUCAUAUCUUCUACUCAUUAAAGUUUGAAGCUGAUCAGACUUAGAAUAUCAAUAAACUACUUCAGUAAGUUAAUUUCUCUUCAUUGCAGGUAAUUUAAUUUUAGCAUGAAAUUUUUUGAAAAGGUACGUUGAUUUUUGAAUCGUUACUUGCCUAUUUUAUUUUUAGAAAUUAUCUUUUUUGAAUUUUUGAAUUUUAGUAGUUUUUAUUUUUGAAAAAGGCAGUUUAUUUUUUCCUUUGUGACGGUUCGUAUACCCCGUUUCACUUGCUUUAUAUACUGUCGAAGUUCUUUUUCUCCAUUUACAUUUUCACAAACCCUAGAAUACAGAAUUCCAACUCUCGAACUUUUACUCUCAAGUUUACUCUCUAAGUUUUCACCUUUUUUCAACCGAACGAGUUCAAGAAAUCCUCCUCGACCGUGGAGAUGUCUUUCUAGAGGUAAUUGUCUCAGAUCACAAAUAGGGGACCACAGAAUAUGCUAGAGGGUACUACUCACUUUGACUUAACCGAGGAAAAAGAUUAUCCUCAACAACAAUAUUCUCAACAGUGUCAGCGUGCGACUCAAGAUCCUUCACGCCAUCAAGCAGAAGAAGAGACCAUAACCCGUAAGAAUGUUAAUACCCCAAUUUCUCUUUAAACUCUACAUUCAGUUAAAGGAGGGUGGUACUGCAAUGACAUUUAUUGAUGAGUUUCUACAAGAGAGAGGUUAUAAGAAUGAAACUUUGUUUCUACGAUCAAGGGAAAGGUUAGGCNNNNNNNNNNNNNNNNNNNNNNNNNNNNNNNNNNNNNNNNNNNNNNNNNNNNNNNNNNNNNNNNNNNNNNNNNNNNNNNNNNNNNNNNNNNNNNNNNNNNNNNNNNNNNNNNNNNNNNNNNNNNNNNNNNNNNNNNNNNNNNNNNNNNNNNNNNNNNNNNNNNNNNNNNNNNNNNNNNNNNNNNNNNNNNNNNNNNNNNNNNNNNNNNNNNNNNNNNNNNNNNNNNNNNNNNNNNNNNNNNNNNNNNNNNNNNNNNNNNNNNNNNNNNNNNNNNNNNNNNNNNNNNNNNNNNNNNNNNNNNNNNNNNNNNNNNNNNNNNNNNNNNNNNNNNNNNNNNNNNNNNNNNNNNNNNNNNNNNNNNNNNNNNNNNNNNNNNNNNAUUUUACUUAUGGAAACCCAAGAUCCUGAUUGUAUGGGCGAACAUGAUUGACGGGCUUUCAUCACAAAUCAUCUAACGACUUGAGAUCUCCUUGAUUGAUUCUGUUUAACGAGUAGAUUGGAAGAAUUCCUUUGGAAAGUGCCAACGAUCGUGAAGGCAUGAAGGAGUAUUUAAGGUGGACUUUCCGGUUGUCUGAUAGUGUGCAUGAAAGAAUAAUUUCAAAGUUUGAAGCUUCUAAAGAGACUCCUAAAGAGACUUUUUGAGAGACCAGUAGAGAUUCUUCACUGAGAAGUCGAGAUUACAAGUUGUAAAAUCUCUUUUGAUUCUUAGUGAAAUCCAGCAAAUGGGCUGUCAACGCGGGAGAGUGGAUGUAGGCUUGAUUUAAGCUGAAUCACUAUAAACCUUGUGUUCUUAUUCUCUUCCCUUAACUCCUUUAUUUUGUUUCGUAGCUUUAUUUAACUAUUUAAAACAAAAUUCAUUCGUAGUGUAUUAUCUUCUAUAAGCAAAUUACUUCUACCGAAUCUUACGAAAAUUUUUGUUCACACCUAUUCAACCCCCUCUAAGUGUUGUUACUAGCCCUUUCAAAAGUUCCCUUCCAUUUUAUCCAUUUUUUUCUAAGCAAAAUAGGUGCCAUGAAGCACGUCAAUCCCGACAUUAUGCUGGUGCGCAACAUAAACUAGCUAGGUAUCACCAUCGUCAAGUAGGCAAGUCAAAGUAUCACACGUUUAUGAUACAUGAAAUAGGAUUUUCCCUCAGAGACAACAGGAUGAACGAAUGCAAGAGGUGGUUCCAGAACCAAGAUGAAAGGUGUGACGUCUUGAAUUUCAAGUUCUACUUUCGAUUGAAUAAGUUGGGCUUUUCAUCGACACACCUAUAGUUCUUUUCUUUGAGUAGGCCACUCACGAGAUAAUUAACCUAUCAGGUGAAGCCGUUAAGGAAUCUAAACGCAAUAGACUUGAGAAUUCGACCAGGAAUUGACUGCUCGACCGUGCUAGUCUGCAAGAAUCAUUACGGCACAGUUAAAAAUUAAUUAGAGACUGGAGAUAGGUUGAUUCGACAGAACCAUGAGAUUAAGUGUGGGUGAUUCCACCUAAUUGCAAAAUUCUUGUCGAUUGGCACUAGACCGAUUUUUUUGUCAUUUUGGUACCUUAUAUCUGUAUUUAAAACCUCGAGAUUUCCAUGAUAACCGAGAGUCGCCAAUAUAUCGAAGAUGUACUUAUGGCUUGAAAAUAAUCAACCACAGGUGAAUUGUACUAAAAAUUCCUAAAAGCUACCUGGUAGAUUAUGACACGCUAAAAUCGCGCUAGAUUGAAAUUAACUGCGAAAUUGAACCCGAUUUCAAAAAUUGGAAGCUCCGUCAUGUCACAAGCCAAUUUAGGAAUGUUGACUCAUCCUCCGAAGAUUUAUCUGCAAACCAAAAUUUUCGGCAAGAAAUCCAAAGUAAGGGUAUUUUGGAUCGGGAAAUUCGUAGGCCUGCUUUUGGGUGCAUUUUUUGGAUUAAGUUGGUUCAAUUGAUGAGGAAAAAUCAUGGAUUAAGUAUGAACACCAUGGCUGAUUUGUUUGGACUUCAAUUCAACCAUGUCGGGAAGCUUCCUAAGGAAGAUUGAGGAUAGAGAAGUGGCUGAGGAUAAGGGCUGACAUGGUAGGGGCAUGUGAUGAGUGAAUGUGGAUGAGAUUGAAGGCUUUUGUGGCCAAAUGGUGGGUCCUCUUUAGCCAGCUGCUUCUUCUCCUUCCUUGGCUUCACUUUCUCCAUUGUUGAAGUGUUGAGAGCUCUAGAAAAUCAAAGGAACCAGCCAAGACUAGCAGAAAGCCAACCAAGCCUCACCUGAAGUCGUCCAAGCUCCCCCACGCCAGCCGCUGCCGUCGCGCGUCCCAGCCGUCCAGUUGCUGUUCCGUGUGCAUCUAGUUGUCCUCCUAUGUAAUCCAGCUCCCUCAGGCCGCCUGGAAGUCAACUAGCCUAGCCCCACAUGCCGCCUAGCCACGUAGCCAUUCGUCUCCGCCGUUUCCAGCCGUUCCAGUCGUUGGAGUUGCUCGAUUCUACUCCCUCAACCAACAAGUAGAAGCUGAAGUCCAAGCAAGAUCUGGAACUUCGUGGCAUGUUUCCAAGCCCUUCCCGACCUCGCGUGGUGUCACCACAAGCUUGUUUGUCACUCACCUUGGCAUUGGCGUCACGAUGUACUCAUCAGAUCGCAAAAUCGGUGAGUUUACUCACUAAACCUUGCUUAGGAGGUUAAUUAUGCUUAAGGGUUGUUUAGAUUAGCUUAAGAAUAGAUUAGUGACAUUCUAGAAUGGUUAUAUUAGCCUUAGAAUUGAUUAAUGUUAAUCUAAUUAGUGAGAUUAGUACCAUUGUGGAUGGAUUAAUCCCAUUUAGUGGACUUUCUGCAGUUCGGAUGUCUGGACCCUCACCAUUUGCUAUUGUUAUAGAUCAACAUGGGUUGUGAAUUUGAGGUUGAUUCCUUCUUGAGAAAAGUUUAAGAUUUCUUCAAAUAUAACAUAUAUCUGUCCCAAGAUUUUUGGGGAUUUAAAAGAAGGAGAUAUCAGCUCCAUCAUUUGCAAACAGAAACUCGAACAGUGCUGGAAUUUAUGACCUUUUAGGAUUCUAGGAGUUUUUAUCAACUCUUAGAGUUCGAAUUUCAAAAAGGUUUAUCACAAAAGUUAUUUACCACCUCUUCUAGUUUAAUAUAGUCAAAUUUCAGAUCAAAUGAACAAGUUUUGGAUCUCAAACCAAACCAAUUUUGGAAAAUAGACUUUCUAGAAAUGGACCCAGUUUUUGGUACUAGAUUGAGCGAUUUACUGGGCCGAAUCUAGAAAUAUCUGGGUUAAGGUGUCUUCAUAAAAAAAAAUUGUUCUUUUAUGUGUCCUUUACAACAUAUUCAAAUUUGGGAAUUUUUUGAACUCGUUUGGUUAGGUUUCUGGAUUUAAACUUGGAGACGUAAUAGUGGCCCAGUUUUUGCCAAUUAGGGCCGGUUAUGGUUUUGUGGUUGUUCUUGAUGUUGUGCUUGCUAAAAAGGUAUAUUUAGUGAUGUCGUGGACUUGUGGCAUGCUGAGAACUUAAGUGUGAGGUCAUGAGAGGGAUUGCUAUAUAUUAGUUGUUUACUGUUAUUGUAAAAAGGUGACCUCUUGGACUAUUAAAUAAAAAAUAAAUGAGGUGUCGGGUUUGGACGCCAAGUUUUAUAUGCUCAAUAAAAUGAGGAGGUUUUGUAUGAGGUGCGUGCAAAUUUUAGCGGGUUAAUUUCAAAUACGGGACCCUGUACGAAUUUACUUCGUUGAGUUUGAAAAAAAAAAGGGUGCCAAGUUUAUUUUAUAAAUGGAGUUUUGGUGUUUUGGCUAUAUGAAGGAGGCUAAGGUCAACCUGAUUGAUCAAGUGCCUACACAGUUAGGUUAAUUAAGUAGUUUAGUUUAAUUAAUCGUAAUUUAUUUAUUUAUUUACAUUUAUUUAAUUAUUAAUUAUUUUCCGGAAAUUAGACCGGGAUAGUUGGUGACCAGAAUUGAGUACUGAUUGCAAUGGUGUGGUUAAUUUCUGCAAUUGAGUGAUAAUUUGUGCAAAUUGAGUGCUGAUUGGAUUUUUGAUCAUUUAUUCCAAAAAUUGUGAAUUUCAAUAUUUAUUCAGAAAAUCCCGAGUAUCGGGUUUUAACACCGAAAAUAGUUUUAUAUACUAUACAAAACGGUGGGAUUUUAAAUUAAAGAAUAUCAACUUUUCGAGCUCGAUUCGACCACACGAUAUUUUCAUCGAAUGUUUUUAAUAAGAAGAAAACAGGCCAAGGUUGUUAUCUUAGUUGAGGCAUGUGAGUGCAAAGCACAAUGUCCUUGGCCGAAAUUGAAUGAUCGUGUGCCGGUUAAGAGAAUCCUUCCCCGGCGUGUGUCGGUGAAAAUUAUCUAUCCCCGGUGUGUGUCGGUUGAUAUUACCUAUCCCUAACGUAUGUCAAUGGAUAUUGAAAGGACUAGUAUGAACAUCUAGAUGGGAUGAAUAGGUGUGAAGAAAAAUUUUCGCAAGACUUAAUAAAAGUAAAUUGCCUUUAGAAGAUAAUAGACUAAGGACAUAAUUGGCUUUAAACAAUUAUAUAAAGCUAUGAAUAAAAGUAAGGAGUUCAAGGAAAGAGAAUUAGGACACAAGGUUUAUAGUGGUUCAGCUUAGAUCAAGCUUACGUCCACUCUCUCGCGUUGACAGCCCACUGGCUGGAUUCCACUAUGAAUCAAAAGAGAUUUUGCAACUUGUGAUCUUGGACUUUCUCAGUGGAGAGUCUCUACUGGUCUCUCACAAAGUCUCACUAUGUGUUUCUCUCUUUUGCAUACAACACUGAGCUUGAUGAAUGAAAGAGCAAGGAACUAGAAAACUUCAGACUUUGAAAUUCUUCUUUCACGCACUCUUUCGAACAACUGGAAAGUCAUCCUCAAAUACUCCUUUAUGCCUUCAUGACCGUUAGCGCUUUCCAAAGAAAUUCUUCCAAUCUACUCGUUGGACAGAAUGAAUUAAGGUGAUCUCGAGUCGUUAGAUGAUUUGUGAUUAAGGCUCGUCAAUCAUGUUCGCCCAUACAAUCGGGAUCUUUGGUUUCCAUAAAUAGAACCUUCCAAGUUUGCUGGUCUUUCAAAAGAUCUUCAUAUCGGAGUAGAUUGCAAUAAGAAUAAUCAAUCAUGUUGAUGCUAUAUCUAGCCAUAAGAUCUUCCAAAACCAUACUAGUUGAAUCCUUGAAGAUAUCCGGCAUCUGGAUAAGUCUUCAUUCUUCGGUCUGGAAACUGUCAGUGAGGGCAAACUUUGAAUCUUAAGUCCAGUGGUCUUCAGACUUUGACGGUAGAGUAUGGAGUUUUUCAAACUAGACUUUUGGAAACGUUUUGUCAACUUUAAAAUAGUAAAUGAGUUUUCUCCAACAAUCUCCCCCUUUUUGAUGUGACAAAACUUUUCUAUAGAUUUGAAAACUUUUGACCUGCAAAACAACACUUAAGCAAUACUCGAUAUCUUAUAAAAGUAAGCUGAUUAGGACCUGGAUAUCAUCAAUUAUGUAAUCACAGAAAACAAGUUAAUCCUGUAAGAUAAGAUAACUAUCCAUCCACAAUCAGUAUCAUAAGCUUAGUUUCUGCAGGCGUCAAAAUGAUUCAAAGUCAAACAUCAGUAAAAAGUCCAAAAUAUACCAAUCAAAAACCAAACGAAAACGUUAUCCAAAUCAAAUCAAGCAAAAAGUACCCAAAAGAUAAAGUUAGGUCAAAUCUGCCACAAAACUCUCCCUCUUUUUGUUAGGCAGAAGAUCGCUUCAAGUGCCAUAACUUACGAAAGUGAUACUUAAGUGUCACAUUUGAAGAAAAGUGGGACACUUGAGUGCCACCUCUGGCGAAGCCAGCCGAAAAUCAUAUGUGGCAAUUAAAUAUUAAUAUUUCUCGCUGAGGUGGCUCGCCGGAGAGCUGACUCAGCUCUAAUUCACCCACAAUGACGUUGUUUCAGCCAAAACAACGUCGUCUCCCCAAUUGCCCUAAAUCUAAAACCCUAUGUGACAUCCUGAAAUUCGACCACAUUUCAAUAAAGUGAAAUGGACAUUUCGUCGACGUGCCUAUAGUCCGUUUUCUCUGAGCUGAUCACUCAUAACCUAUUGGAUGAAGCCGUUAAGGGAUGUAUCCGCGGCAAAAUCCCUAAAAGCUACUUAAUUGGUUGGAUUGGACUUAAAUCACGUCUGAUCGAUUCUAACCACGAAAUUGAAUUCAAUUUCGAAAAUCGAAUAUUCGAGCAUGUCACGAUUCAUUUUUAGGACCUUGUCUCAUCAUCCGUCGAAUUAUCGAUGAUUCCGAAAUUUCUGAAAAGAAAUUAUUGGAGGAAAAAUCGGAGAUUGGAAGAAAAUUAAUAAGGGAAAGAGAAAAGAUAAAUAAUAAGAAUAAUAAGGAUAUUAUUAUUUUAUCAUUUUCUCUCUCUCCCUUUUUCUUUCUCUCUCUCUUUCUUUCUUCCCUCUCAAUUCUCACGCCACCUCUGCCACCUUUGCUUUUUCCCCUUAAUUUAUUCUUUCUUUUUCUUCUCUCUCUCUCUCUCUCCUCCGUUCGAAACCCCCUCCCCACGCCGACACUCCCUCUUUUUUCCCUUGCCGUUUUCUACUUUGCUUUCUCUUCCCCAUUUGACUUUUCAAACCAUAUCCUUCUCUCUCGACACUCUCUCUCUCUCUCGUUACUCUCUCUUGCUCCUCUGGUUCGAGCAAGCCAGCGAAACAGAAGAAGAAAAAGAAGCGAAGACAGCAGCCACCGAGAGAAGAAGACCGGAGCAGCUCGCCGUCGCUGCUCGCGCUCCGCCACCCGCGCAUCGCCUGCGCGCCCCUUCGCUCACCCCUCACGUCCUCGCCGCCCAGCCGUGCCAUCCAGCUCCUGUUAGGUCUCGGCUCAGCCUUGUGAGCGACUGAGGAAGCUGCCGAACCGUCGCCCAGCUCCGUCGGACCAUCGUUCGGCCCCACUGGAGCUUCCCUCACCCUCCACCGGCCUCGCUCCGCCUUUUCAGCCCCCGGAGCAACUUCGUUUGGCCAAGAACAGCAGCUGGAAAAUGGGUUUCCAGCAGCGGUUCUAGGCCCGUUUUGAGAUUUUCGAUCCCCGAACUCGGGACUUGUUUGUCUCACUAAGCCCUUAUUAGUAAGUUAAUGACGUUUAAGGGUUGAUUAGAUUUAAUUAAGUGUAAUUAGGUGGUUAGAUUAGAGUAGAUUAGUGAUUAUUAGAUAAUUGUGAUGCAUGUUAGGCAAUUUGAUUGUGCAAUUAACGAAUUGACAUGUGCUAAUAUUUAUUGAAUGCAUCUCGGGAUUUUUCCCGACCCUUAUCGGCUUCCAAUUAGGCAUUCCGGGCCUAAAUUGGAUUUAUUGUAUUCAUUUAAUAAUUUUCGGAAUCAUUUAAUUAAUUAAUUAUUUUUCGAAAAUUAAGCAGGGAUAGCCGACGAUCGGAAUUUGAUGCUGAUUGUUGUGGUGCAGUCCGUUUAUUUAAUUGAGCUUUAUUUUGUGCUAAAAUGAAUUAUUUGUGAUUAUAAGAUUAUUUUCCUGAAUUAAUUAAUUUGGAUAAUUAAUUGGAAAAUAACCGGGUGUCGGUUGACAGCACCAAAAGUGUUGGUGGACUACAGAUAAUGGUGGGAUUUGUGGAAAAGAAAUUAUAAUAUUUUGACUCAAACCGAUCAUGUACCCACAUGAAUAUUUUAUCGGGAAUGAUAAAAAGGGUGAUUUGAUAAAUAUUAUUUUCAGCAUACUAUAAAAGUAUGGCUAGCAACUUUUGGUGAGCAUAAUAAACAUAUUAGAUCAAUGAAUCUGGCAGCUUCUAGUGGGCAUAUUAUUAUUAUAUCGGAUCAGUGGAUCUGGCAGCUUCUGGUGAGCUAUACUAUCUAUAUAUCGGCUAGAGUGAAUAGUCCUAGACUAUGGUCGGACUCAUAGAUAGUAUUAAUUGAGGAGACCGGGGAAUGGUCAUGUUGAUAUGUAAUCAAUUACGUCGAUUGAUCAAUGAUUCGAUCUGAUUGAAUGAUUUGACGUGGUGAAUUAAUUCGAUGAAUUAUAAAUUGUAUUGACCUGUAGGAAGGAACUGAGGCAAAGGUAAGCCCUCCGACUCAUGAUUGUGCUUAGGCAGCCCUUAUAGCAUAUUUUAUUCCUAAUCGAGUCUUAGGGGGCUUGAACUUGCUGAGACGUCGUCUCACCCCGUUGUGGGAUAAACAUUUCAGGUCUCUAGAUGAUGGUCGUGGAAGAUCGAGAUCCCUGGAGUUUGGAAGAUGAAGGCUGAAGAAUUGGCAAUCGGGUCUAACUAGUGGGUGGUAGGACAGUCCCCUUUUUGUUAAGCCAACAUUUUUGUAAACAGCCUAAUUUUGUAAUUAACCCGUUUUUCUAUAAAAGACUUGUCUUGGUUUGAAAAUUUUAGUUCUGCUCUUCUAUCCCAAUUGUUUGUUGUCUGGGGAUUUUAUAUCUGUUUCCGCAUGCAUAUUAAAUAAAAGGGUUAGCGACGCGUCCUGGGACAUCGCUAUUAUUUGACCAAGGAGGGAUGGGCGCGCGCUCGGAGGAUCAGGGUGUGAAAUACCCGUUUAAUGGUAUCAGAGCAUGCUUUAGGAUUUGAGUGAUAAGGUGAGAUGGUAUUUGGGAUAGUUAGUAGGAUUGGUCUUUAAAUUCACGCUGGUGCAUGUCUGUCGAUAGCUAAUUGGUAGAAUUAUUUGUUGUACUCACUCGACUUCUAAUUCGAUGUUGAAUUGGAAGGCAGGUCUUUGUAGAAACCCUGUAAGAUGAGUGAUCAGGAGCCAAGGACUCCUAGGCAGAGGACUUUAUCUUCUGUGAGUCGGGCUAGAACGCCGACAAGAGUCGGUGCCUGAGGUGGCCGAGGUAGAGCGCAAGCUGAGGCUAGCGCAACUGGAGUAGCACCACCUCCCAUUGGUGCUGGGGUAACAGCCUCAGUUGAUCAGGGAACAGUUGGGAUCACGCAAGCGUUGGAUGCUAUGCGUGAGACGAUGGAGCAGUAGGCCCAGGAUCAAACAGCCGCCUUUACUGCUCCCGUUGUAGCUGCCGCUACUACUGCUGCCAAUGCUAUUGCUACAACCGCACCUGCCAUCGUACCUGCUGAAAUCCCGCCUAGGAGACCGAUUCAUAACUUAGUGGAAUCGUUUUUGAAAUUGAAGCCAUCGAAGUUCACUAGGGCAAGAGACCCCGAAGCUGCUGCUUUGUGGAUCUAUGGACUAGAGAAAACCUUUGCCCUAUUGAUGUGCUCUGAGACUGAGAAAGUGGUCCUCGCAGUCUACCAGUUAGAGGGAGUUGCGAGUACUUGGGUGGAGAACCACCCAAGGAGCGAUAUUUCUCGAAGGUGUAGCCAUAGAAUGGAAUGCCUUUGUUGAGGCCUUCAACAGGAAAUACUUUUCAGAAACUACUAGAGAGAUGAAGAUGGCUAAGUUCCAAUGCCUUCGCCAAGGCUCUAUGACUGUGGAACAAUAUGAGGCGAAGUUUGCUGAACUGUCGCAAUACGCUCCUAAAUUAAUUGAGAAUCCAACAAACCGAGUGAGAAGAUUCAAAGAUGGACCUGGGCCGGAGUUGAGGAGUCCACUAAUUUUACUGAAUCUAAGAAAUUACAAUGAACUAUAUGAGCGGGUCCAGAUGAUCGAAAGAGACCAAAAUGAGAGAGCCGCCGCAUCUGGAUCGUAGUUUGGAUCGAGUAGGGAAGGAAUCCGACAUGGGAAGAGGCCCAUGAUUGGAGGAAGAUUUCAAAUUCCGUCCAUCCGGAAGGGUGGAAUUGGGAAGACAGGGCCUGGUCAUAAUGGUCUGUGUCACUUCUACGGAAGGCAGCACGGUACAACCACAUGCCCUCAAAGGAUGGGUGCUUGUUUCGAGUGUGGCCAACGGGGUCACAUGGCCAGGGAUUGUCCUAGGCGACUAAGGGGACAACCACAAUUACCGCCACUGCCGCAAAGAGGACAGAUAAGAGGGUAUGCACCUCAGAAUGCACCGCAAGGAGGACUGCUUAGGCCCCCAGUUCAAGGAAUGGUGUAUGCCAUCACUCAAGGCCAGGCAGAGGCUGCAUCUGACGUGAUCACAGGUAUGCUUUCGCUAAACAACCAUCCUGCUUAUGCUUUAUUCGAUCUAGGAGCAACCCAUUAUUUUAUUGCCGAGCAAUAUGUUAAGCUAAUAAGAUUGAAUCCUGUAUUAUUGGAGUCGGCAAUUUGCAUAUCUACACCCUUGAUAGAUAAAGUUAUUGCUGCUUUGGGAUGUUCGGGGUGCAAGUUAGAGAUUGGUGAGCGAGUGGGGAAAAUUGACUUGUUAGUCCUAGCCAUGUAUGAUUUUGAUUCGAUAAUUGGCAUGGACUGGCUCACCAAUCAACGAGCUAAAAUGAACUGCUAUCGCAAGUUGAUUCAGUUUAACCCGUUAGAGGGUAAGAGCUUCGAGUUCGUAGGGAAUCGAGGAGGACCCUCGAUUUCCUUAAUCUCGUCACCAGAAGCAGCUCGUUUGUUAGACGAGGGUUGUCGAGGGUACUUAGCAACUGUUGUGGAUACAACAGUUGAGGAAUUGAAAAUGGAAGACAUUUCAAUGGUAUAGGAGUUUCCAGAUGUCUUUCCAAAGGAGUUGCCAAGGUUACCGCCAAAAAGAGAAAUUGAAUUUGUAAUUGAACUAGCACCAGGGACAGAAUCGAUCUCAAAGGCACCUUACCGGAUGGUAUUAUUUGAGUUGAAGGAACUGAAGGCGCGGAUGCAAGAGUUACUGGAUAAGAGAUUUAUUCGUCCUAGUGCAUCACCUUGGGGAGCACCACUUAUGUUUGUUAAGAAGAAAGAUUGUUCGUUGCGUCUAUGCAUCGACUAUCAGCAACUCAAUCAGGUUACGAUCAAGAACAAGUAUCCAUUGCCGAGGAUAGAUGAUUUGUUCAAUCCGUUGCAAGGAGCAUCGAUUUUCUCGAAGAUCGACUUGAGGAUAGGAUAUCAUCAGCUGAGGAUUAGGAAUGAGGAUAUUCCUAAGUCGGCAUUUCGUACCCGGUAUGGUCAUUACGAGUUCACAGUGAUGCCGUUCAGGUUGACGAAUGCUCCAGCGGCCUUUAUGGAUUUGAUGAAUAGAGUGUUUAAGGAAUAUCUGGAUCAAUUUGUGAUCGUGUUCAUCGAUGAUAUCUUGGUCUAUUCAAGAAAUAAUGAAGAGCACGAGAAUCAUUUGAGAUUAGUGCUUCAGACCUUAAGAACUCACCAGAUGUAUGUUAAGUUUACCAAAUGCGAGUUUUGGUUAACUCGUGUUGCGUUCUUAGGUCAUGUGAUUUCCGGAGAAUGAAUCUCUGUCGACUCGAGCAAAAUAGAAGCCGUGAUCAAGUGGCCGAGACCGACAACAGUGACAGAGAUCAGAAGUUUUCUAGGUUUGGCAGGGUAUUACAAACAGUUUGUGGAAGGAUUCUCAUCAUUCGGAUCGCCUCUAACAAAGCUUACUAAGAAAGAAGACAAAUUUAUAUGGACAGACAAAUGCGAGCGUAGUUUCCAAGAGCUUAAAGAAAAACUAACUACCGCACCGGUACUGACGAUUCCAUUUGGUCCUGGAGGAUUCGAGAUUUAUAGUGAUGCGUCAUUUAGAGGAUUGGGUUGCGUGUUGAUGCAACAUGGUAGAGUGGUUGCAUACGCAUCCUGUCAGUUGAGGCCUCAUGAGCAUAAUUAUCCGACGCAUGACUUAGAGCUCGCGGCGAUUAUCUUUGCCCUGAAGAUUUGGAGACAUUAUCUAUGCAGGGAAAAGUUCCAGAUCUUCAUGAACCAUCAAGGUCUCAAGUAUCUGUUCUCUCAGAAGGAGUUGAACAUGAGACAACGCCAAUGGAUGGAAUUGCUGAAGGACUACGAUUGUGAUAUUCUAUAUCACCCAGGGAAGGCAAAUAAGGUCGCCGAUGCUUUGAUCGAAAGUCUUCAGUUGCUCAAAUAUUGAUUAAGGAGUGGAACUUAAUUGAAAGAGCGUGAGAUUCGAUGUUCAAAUUUGAGGUAAGCCACCUCUCGAGUCUUAUGGCCACCCUCAGAAUUGAACUAGAUGUUCAGGUCAGAAUCAAGCUACUCCAACCAACAAAUUCAGAUGUACAGAAGAUAAUUCAAGCGGACCCCGAUAGAAGAAAGGCUGAUUUUUAGGUUUCUGAUGAUGGAGUGCUGAGGUUCCGUGAGCAUUUGGUUGUACCUAACGAUGUAGAGCUUAGAGAUGUUAUUUUAUCUGAAGCGCAUCAUAGCAGCUAUAGCGUUCAUCUUGGAAGUACCAAGAUGUAUCAGAACCCGCGUCAAUACUAUUGGUGGUCAGGUAUGAAGGUGGACAUCGCCAAGCAUGUCGCCAAGUGUUUGACGUGUCAGCAAGUAAAGGCCCAGCAUUGCAAGCCGGGAGGACUUCUGCAACUUCUCGCAAUCCUAUAUGAAAUGGUAGCAUAUCACGAUGGAUUUCAUGACUGGAANNNNNNNNNNNNNNNNNNNNNNNNNNNNNNNNNNNNNNNNNNNNNNNNNNNNNNNNNNNNNNNNNNNNNNNNNNNNNNNNNNNNNNNNNNNNNNNNNNNNNNNNNNNNNNNNNNNNNNNNNNNNNNNNNNNNNNNNNNNNNNNNNNNNNNNNNNNNNNNNNNNNNNNNNNNNNNNNNNNNNNNNNNNNNNNNNNNNNNNNNNNNNNNNNNNNNNNNNNNNNNNNNNNNNNNNNNNNNNNNNNNNNNNNNNNNNNNNNNNNNNNNNNNNNNNNNNNNNNNNNNNNNNNNNNNNNNNNNNNNNNNNNNNNNNNNNNNNNNNNNNNNNNNNNNNNNNNNNNNNNNNNNNNNNNNNNNNNNNNNNNNNNNNNNNNNNNNNNNNNNNNNNNNNNNNNNNNNNNNNNNNNNNNNNNNNNNNNNNNNNNNNNNNNNNNNNNNNNNNNNNNNNNNNNNNNNNNNNNNNNNNNNNNNNNNNNNNNNNNNNNNNNNNNNNNNNNNNNNNNNNNNNNNNNNNNNNNNNNNNNNNNNNNNNNNNNNNNNNNNNNNNNNNNNNNNNNNNNNNNNNNNNNNNNNNNNNNNNNNNNNNNNNNNNNNNNNNNNNNNNNNNNNNNNNNNNNNNNNNNNNNNNNNNNNNNNNNNNNNNNNNNNNNNNNNNNNNNNNNNNNNNNNNNNNNNNNNNNNNNNNNNNNNNNNNNNNNNNNNNNNNNNNNNNNNNNNNNNNNNNNNNNNNNNNNNNNNNNNNNNNNNNNNNNNNNNNNNNNNNNNNNNNNNNNNNNNNNNNNNNNNNNNNNNNNNNNNNNNNNNNNNNNNNNNNNNNNNNNNNNNNNNNNNNNNNNNNNNNNNNNNNNNNNNNNNNNNNNNNNNNNNNNNNNNNNNNNNNNNNNNNNNNNNNNNNNNNNNNNNNNNNNNNNNNNNNNNNNNNNNNNNNNNNNNNNNNNNNNNNNNNNNNNNNNNNNNNNNNNNNNNNNNNNNNNNNNNNNNNNNNNNNNNNNNNNNNNNNNNNNNNNNNNNNNNNNNNNNNNNNNNNNNNNNNNNNNNNNNNNNNNNNNNNNNNNNNNNNNNNNNNNNNNNNNNNNNNNNNNNNNNNNNNNNNNNNNNNNNNNNNNNNNNNNNNNNNNNNNNNNNNNNNNNNNNNNNNNNNNNNNNNNNNNNNNNNNNNNNNNNNNNNNNNNNNNNNNNNNNNNNNNNNNNNNNNNNNNNNNNNNNNNNNNNNNNNNNNNNNNNNNNNNNNNNNNNNNNNNNNNNNNNNNNNNNNNNNNNNNNNNNNNNNNNNNNNNNNNNNNNNNNNNNNNNNNNNNNNNNNNNNNNNNNNNNNNNNNNNNNNNNNNNNNNNNNNNNNNNNNNNNNNNNNNNNNNNNNNNNNNNNNNNNNNNNNNNNNNNNNNNNNNNNNNNNNNNNNNNNNNNNNNNNNNNNNNNNNNNNNNNNNNNNNNNNNNNNNNNNNNNNNNNNNNNNNNNNNNNNNNNNNNNNNNNNNNNNNNNNNNNNNNNNNNNNNNNNNNNNNNNNNNNNNNNNNNNNNNNNNNNNNNNNNNNNNNNNNNNNNNNNNNNNNNNNNNNNNNNNNNNNNNNNNNNNNNNNNNNNNNNNNNNNNNNNNNNNNNNNNNNNNNNNNNNNNNNNNNNNNNNNNNNNNNNNNNNNNNNNNNNNNNNNNNNNNNNNNNNNNNNNNNNNNNNNNNNNNNNNNNNNNNNNNNNNNNNNNNNNNNNNNNNNNNNNNNNNNNNNNNNNNNNNNNNNNNNNNNNNNNNNNNNNNNNNNNNNNNNNNNNNNNNNNNNNNNNNNNNNNNNNNNNNNNNNNNNNNNNNNNNNNNNNNNNNNNNNNNNNNNNNNNNNNNNNNNNNNNNNNNNNNNNNNNNNNNNNNNNNNNNNNNNNNNNNNNNNNNNNNNNNNNNNNNNNNNNNNNNNNNNNNNNNNNNNNNNNNNNNNNNNNNNNNNNNNNNNNNNNNNNNNNNNNNNNNNNNNNNNNNNNNNNNNNNNNNNNNNNNNNNNNNNNNNNNNNNNNNNNNNNNNNNNNNNNNNNNNNNNNNNNNNNNNNNNNNNNNNNNNNNNNNNNNNNNNNNNNNNNNNNNNNNNNNNNNNNNNNNNNNNNNNNNNNNNNNNNNNNNNNNNNNNNNNNNNNNNNNNNNNNNNNNNNNNNNNNNNNNNNNNNNNNNNNNNNNNNNNNNNNNNNNNNNNNNNNNNNNUACAAAGUCAGCUCACUUUAUUACAGUACGAAAAGACCUAAGUUUGAAUAGACACGCGGACCUGUAUGUGCGCCAGGUGGUUCGAAUGCAUGGAGUGCCAGUUACGAUAACGUCCGAUAGAGACCCGAGGUUUACUGCUACUUUUUGGAAGAGCUUGCAGAGUGGUUUAGGUGCAAAGCUUCAGUACAGUACGGCAUAUCAUCCUCAGACGGAUGGCUAGUCUGAAAGGGUAAUUCAGACUCUCGAAGACAAGUUAAGAGCUUAUGUAAUAGACUUCAAAGGAAGUUGGGAAGAUCAGCUUCAUCUGGUGGAAUUUGCCUACAACAACAGUUAUCAGCAGAGCAUCCAAAUGGCUCCAUUCGAAGCGUUGUAUGGCCGAGUGUGCAGAACACCGGUGUGUUGGGAUGAUGUUGGGGAAAGAAAGAUAACAGGCCCAGAGUUGAUGCAAUAGUCAGUAGAUGCCGUGGCAAUGAUUAGAGGCAAAUUAAAGACAGCACAGAGUAGGCAGAAAAGUUAUGCAGAUAAGCGUCGAAAGUCUUUGGAAUUCCAAGUUGGUGAUCACGUUUUUCUGAAAGCGUCACCAAUGAGGGGAACUUUGCGCUUUGGUAAGAAAGGCAAACUGAGUCCGAGGUACGUAGGUCCGUUUGAAAUUCUUGAAAGGAACGGGAACCUAGCGUAUCGUCUUGCAUUGCCGCCAAAAUUGGCACAAUUACAUGACGUCUUUCACGUGUCAAUGUUGAGGAAGUAUGAACCUAACCCGACCCACGUGCUCAAUUUCGAGGAAUUGGACGUGGAUGACCGAGUGUCAUACGUUAAAAGCCCGGUCCAGAUCGUCGAUCGUAAAGAGAAAGUUCUGCGUACAAAAACCAUUCCGUUGGUCAAAGUGGUCUGGCAACACCACGGCACUGAAGGAGCAACUUGGGAGACUGAAGAGUCGAUGAGACAAUUGUACCCCCACCUUUUUGAUCAAAGUGUGUAAUGGUUUAAAUUUCGAGGACAAAAUUUUUAUAAGAGGGGAAGAGUUGUGACAUCCUGAAAUUCGACCCCGUUUCGAUAAAGUGAAAUGGGCAUUUCGUCGAUGUGCUUAUGGUCCUGUUUUUUUGAACUGAUCACUCAUGAGUUAACUAACCUAUUGAGUGAAGCCGUUAAGAGAUGUAUCCGCGGUAAAAUCCCUAAAAGCUACUUAAUUGGUUGGAUUGGACUAAAAUCGCGUCUGAUCGAUUCUAACCACGAAAUUAAAUUCGAUUUCGAGAAUCGAAUAUUCAAGCGUGUCACGAAUCAUUUUUAGGACCUUGUCUCAUCGUCCGUCAAAUUAUCGACAAUUCCGAAAUUUCGAAAAAGAAAUUGUCGGAGGAAAAAUCGGAGACCAAAAGAAAAUUAAUAAGGGAAAGAGAAAAGACAAAUAAUAAGAAUAAUAAGGAUAUUAUUAUUUUAUUAUUUUCUCUCUCUCCUCCUCUCCCUUGUGACCCAUCCCUUCUUUUUCAACCGUUCAUCCAUUUUUUUCCCCUUUGCCAAUUCUCACACCACCUCUGCCACCUUUUCUUUUUCCCCUUAAUUUAUUCUUUCUUUUUCUUCUCUCUCUCUCUCUCUCUCUCUCUCUCACUCUCUCUCUCUCUCUCUCUCUCUCUCUCUCUCUCUCUCUCUCUCUCUCUCUCUCUCCUCCGUUCGAAACCCCCUCCCCACGCCGACACUCCCUCCUUUUUCUCUUGCCGUUUUCUACUUUGCUUUCUCUUCCCCAUUUGACUUUUCAAACCUUAUCCUUCUCUCUCCUCUCUCCUUCUCUCUCGACACUCUCUCUCGCUCCUCUGGUUCGAGCAAGCCAGCGAAACAGAAGUAGAAAAAUAAGCGAAGACAUCAGCCACCAAGAGAAGUAGACCGGAGCAACUCGCCGUCACUGCCCGUGCUCCGCCACCCGCGUGUCACCCGCGCGCCCCUCCGCUCACCCCUCACGUCCUCGCUGCCUAGCUGUGCCAUCCAGCUCCUGUUAGGUCUCAGCUCAGCCUUGUGAGUGAUUGAGGAAGCUACCGGACCGUUGCCCAGCUCCGUCCGGCCACCGUUCGGCCUCACAGAGCUUCCCUUGCCCUCCACCGGCCUUGCUCCGCCUUUUCAGCCCCCGGAGCAGCUUCGUUUGGCCAAGAAUAGCAGCUGGAAAAAGGGUUUCCAGCAGUGGUUCUAGGCCCCUUUUGAGAUUUCCGAGCCCCGAACCUGGGACUUGCUUUGGGAGGAAUCGAUCCUUGUAUCAUCCAUGUUGGAUUGAUACGUUUUGCGCAAAAAUCCGGUGAGUUUAUCUCACUAAGCCCUUAUUAGUAAGUUAAUGACAUUUAAGGGUUGAUUAUAUUUAAUUAAGUGCAAUUAGAUGGUUAGAUUAGAGUAGAUUGGUGAUUAUUAGAUAAUUGUGAUGCAUGUUAGGCAAUUUGAUUGUGCAAUUAACGAAUUGAUAUGUGCUAAUAUUUAUUGAAUGCAUCUCAAGAUUUUUCCCGACCCUUAUCAACUUCCAAUUAGGCAUUACGGGCCUAAAUUGGAUUUAUUGUAUUUAUUUAAUAAUUUUCGGAAUUAUUUGAUUAAUUAUUUAUUUUCCGAAAAUUAAGCAUGGAUAGCCGACGACCGGAAUUUUAUGCUGAUUGUCGUGAUGCACUCCAUUUAUUUAAUUCAGCUUUAUUUUGUGUUGAAAUGAAUUAUUUGUGAUUAUAAGAUUAUUUUCUUGAAUUAAUUAAUUUGGAUAAUUAAUUGAAAAAUAACCGGGUGUCGGUUGACAACACCAAAAGUGUUGGUGGACUACAGAUAAUGGUGGGAUUUGUGGAAAAGAAAUUAUAAUAUUUUGGCUAAGGCCGACUGUGUACCCACACGAAUAUUUUAUCGGGAAUGAUAAAAAGGGUAAUUUGAUAAAUAUUAUUUUCGGCAUACUAUAAAAGUAUGGCUGGCAGCUUUUGGUGAGCAUAAUAAACAUAUCAGAUCAAUGAAUCUGGCAGCUUCUGGUGGGCAUAUUAUUAUUAUAUCAGAUCAGUGGAUCUGACAGCUUCUGGUGAGCUAUACUAUCUAUAUAUCGGCUAGAGUGAAUAGUCCUAGACUAUGGUCGGACUCAUAGAUAGUAUUAAUUGAGGAGACCAGGGAAUGGUCAUGUUGAUAUGUAAUUAACUAGGUCGAUUGAUCAAUGAUUCGAUUUGAUUGAAUGAUUUGACGUGGUGAAUUAAUUCGAUGAAUUAUAAAUUGUAUUGACUUGCAGGAAGGAAUUGAGGCAAAGGUAAGCCCUCCGACUCAUGAUUGUGCUUAGGCAGCCCUUAAGGCGUAUUUUCUUCUUAAUCGGGUCUUAGGGGGAUUGAACUUGCUGAGACGUCGUCUCACCCCGUUGUGGGAUAAACAUUUCAAGUCUCUAGAUGACAGUCGUGGAAGACCAAGAGCCCUGGAGUUUGGAAGAUGGAGGCUGAAGAAUCGGAAAUCGGGUCUAACUAGUGGGUGCUAGGACAGUCCCCUUUUUGUUAAGCCGAUAUUUUUGUAAACAGCCUGAUUUUGUAAUUAACCUGUUUGUUUGUAAAAGACUUGUCUUGGUUUGAAAAUUUUAGUCCUGCUCUUCUAUCCCAAUUGUUUGUUGUCUGGGGAUUUUAUAUCUGUUUUCGCAUGCAUAUUAAAUAAAAGGGUCAGCGACGUGUCCUGAGACGUCGCUAUUAUUCGACCAAGGAGGGAUGGGCGCGCGCUCGGAGGAUUGGGGCGUGACACCCUAAAUCGGACAAAAUGCCAUUGAAGCACUGAAGCCCUAAUCUCAAACCCUUAUUCGAUUUGCCCCAAAUUUUACAAUCAAAUAUUGGAAAUGGAGAGCAAGACUUUCAGCAACGGCUCAAAUUUCUCUUGCCGAAGUGAGGAAGAAGGCGAGCGUUUCUGUUUUUGUGGGAUACCAAGUCCAACAAGAACAUGGUUACAAAAAAAAGUCCAACAAGAACAUCAUGGACUCGAAUGAAUUCCAAGAGAAGAUUCUAUGGAUGUGCCCAAUAUAGAGAAGGGUCGAAGUGCAAAUAUUUCAAAUGGAUCGAUGCGAAAUUCUCUCACUGAGCCACAGAGGUGAUAUUGGACCUACUUGAUGGAUGUCAUCAACCUCCAUCUACGCUUGUGGACAACUUGGACGAUGUUGACUCAAUACAAGCUCAAGCGUCUUCUGCUAACCAUUUGAAGAAUGAAGUUUCAAGAAUGAAAAUUGAACGGAAGUGUUACCAAGCGUUUAUUGUGUUGCUGUUUUUUUAUCUAUCCUACUUUAUGAUGAAAUGUAAAGUACUGGAAGAAGAGAAGGAGUUUCUCCAACUACCAUAGUUGUAAAUGAGUGGAGAAAUGCACUUGUUUUGAAUGAAAUGUAACUCAUUGUUUUGGAAGAUAAGAAGAAGUUUUGUGUUGUCUACAAGAUCGUUGUGGUGUAUUUUUUUUUUUUUUUUGGAGCUGUCAUAUGUAUUAUGUGUUAUUUAUUGUGCUUGUGGGGAGGUCAAGAAAAGGGAAUGAAUUAAUGAGAUACUGUUUGUACUAUGUUUUUGCUUAUUCUCAAAUAUAAAUUGGUGAUGAUGAAAUGUAUAUUGGGUCGAUGUGUUAUGGUGACUUCUUUACUUAAACUGAAUGUAAACCAAUAGCAAACAUUGGAUUGAAUGAAGUUGCCAUAAGUUGAACGUAUAUAUAAACCAACAGCUUCUCUGGUUUGCUGCAAAUCACUAUAUACAUAAAACAGACACGAGUGAUUACUCGAGUGCUAUAAGUUGUAUCUAGUGAAUACUCAAGUGCCAGUUGUAAUAAAAAAAAAAGAGUCAUUUAAGUGUCAAGUUAUUAUUAAAAGUGAUCACUUAAGUGCAACUUGUGUUUAAAAGUGAACACUUAAGUGCUAGAUUUUUUAGAAUGUGAUCAGUUAAGUGCCUUUUUUUUUUUGUACAUUUUCCUCUAUAAAUUGCACUAGCCAUCAGCUACUACCAGCCACCAUCACCGCCCACCACUAGCCACCAUUGGCCUCCAGCCACACCAAGCAUCUCAGGCAUCCAUUUGAGUCACCACCAGCCACCACUAUGCUGGUGGUAUGCUGUUGCAGAAGUUGCUAGUGCAAGGUGCUUUACACCAGCUUGCACCAGCACUACCUAGUGUAAGAUGUGCAUAUUGCAAACUUAUAUCUUGCACCAGGUGCAUCAAAAACCCUAACCCAACCCAUAUAAUAGACCCACCAUAAGUAGGCAUCAGCAAUCACCACUGGCCACCACCACUAGCAACACUAACAUCCUAGCUACCACACCAAAAUGUAGCCACCACCAUAAACCCACCAUUAGCAGCCACUGUUAGUGGUGAGUCGUGGGUUUGUUGCAAAAGGGGUUCGUGUAAGCUAGGCUAUGCACACUACACUCUUGCACCAGUACUAGCUGCAGCAAGAGGCCCCAACCCAACCCCCACAACGGACCCACCACCAUCAAGCUUCACCAGCCGCCACCACCAACCACACGAGCACCCUAAUCACCACCACAGAUCCACCACCAAAAGCAAUAAGUACAAGUAAAAACAAAAUCAAAAAAAUAAAAAAGACAAAAAUGACAAGCAACAAGAUUGUUCCAUUGAUAUUAAAUUUAAGUCUCACAAACUCAAUGACAAACUAUUAUAAUAAAAUAAAAUAAAAACAUCCAUACUAAAACAACUGACUCCUCAACCCUACAAACCAUAUCACAUCCCAUUUCAUCAAUCAAUAUGCACAAUGCCUCUCGUUCGUGCUCCUUUUGAUGGACCUUGCACUCGAUUCAUAAUCCUUGCACUUUUUCUAACUGGAUGUGAGACUUCUUUUUCAACUAUCUCGAGAUGCGUUGAUUCUGAUGAAGCUGCAAUUGUCCUAGGCUGAACUGAUUCAGAUGGACCUGCAAUUGGGUUCUUCUUACUCUUCUUUCUUGUUGGUGCAGCAAAUGUCUUCUUUUUUGUUGAUGCAGCCGUUGAUUCUUGAGUUGAGCCUUGAGAGAUAAGAACCUUUGAACUUCUCCCAAGCUUAAAAAAGAAAACUCAAUUAUCAACAAAAGUUUGCACUAUAAAUUAAAUUAAAUGCAGCCUAUAAAACUUACAUUAAGAAUAAUUGUUCCAGAACACUCAUCUGUAUAAAGGCCAUACUCAUAUUGUUUUAGCCUCUUCCCAAGAGCCCCUCUUGUUCGAAGGGGAACGUCACUUUUAGGUAUUUGUGAUUAGUUGGCUCUUCUUCUUGCAUGUGAUUUCUUCGGCUUUUGUUGUGGCUAUUCAGCUACAGUGGGGGCUUCUUCGGCCAAUUCUUCAGCUAGGCGUCUUCUAAAUGGCCUUCUUGUAAGUGGCUCUUGAUUUGGCUUUCUUCUGGUUGUUUUUCUAAUUAGCUCUUUAGCUUCAGUGACACCUUUUGUUGGCUUUUGUGGUGGCCUUUGUGAUAACCCUUUUAGUGGCCUUUGUGGUGACCUUGGUGAUGGAUCUUGUGGUGGCCCUUCGGUUGGGCCCUCUAUUGGUAGCUAAGCUCUAGCUUGCCUUCUUUGAAUCUGAGAAAAAGGCAAAGGCCAUCAUAAAUAUAACAUCAGACCAUAUAAAAACAUAAAUGAAAACUAAACACAAAUUAUUGAACUCACCGGGUAUUUUUUUCUCUCUGCUGCUGAACAACAGUCGACUUAACAGGCCCUCCAGUUGCUUCGGCCAAUCCUCAACUGGCUGUCUUCUACCUUGCCUUCUUUAAACAAGCCCUUCAAUUUCAGGUACAGCAGAGGCUUCAGCCAAUUCUUCACGUGUCAUUCUCGUAACUUGACAAAGACAAAAACAUUACAUACAUGUCACUUAUAUCUAUGUACAUAUUUGUAAUAAAACAUAAAGCAACAUAAACACAAUUGUCGUGACUUACUGGGUUUAUUGUUGUCGAUUGAAGAACAAUCGACUCACUUUGCCUUUUUGUUUGUCAUUCUCCAACUGUCCUUUCACUAACCCCUUUGGUUGGCCUCAACUUUUCCUGCUGCUUCCUUAAUUGACAACCUUUAGUAUUGUGCCUUGCUAUGUGACAAAAAGAGCACUUUAUCGGUACACUUUUCCUAUUCAUCCUACACCGACAUGAGACCUCUCCCUCCGUCAUUCUUCGUUUUCACUUUGGUCUUCCCAUUUUCUUCUUUAGUGGCAAAGGUUGAGGUGUUUCGCGAUCUGUUGGCUCCCAGAACUUGCUACUUCUGAUUGGCUGCAACAUGAAUUGGUACUAAGCAAGAUAUUUCGGUUUCUUGUACCAUUCAUCAAUGUAGUCUUUUAUGUUGUGGCCCUUCAAUUGAAUGGCACAUGUUGCAUGUGCACAAGGAAUUCCACUUAGUUGCCAUGCUCGACAUGAACAAUUCCUCGUACCUAAAUGGACAACAUACUUAUCGGAACCCUUCAUUAUCUCAUAUCCUUCAUCCCCAUUCCAAAUGAGAUGGCAAUACCUACUUGCAGCUAAGUUGUCAUCCAAUUUCUUAGCAAUUCUAGGACCACAUUGCCUAGUCCAUUUUGCAGCCUCAUCUCUUUGUCUGUGCAACCGAGUCAUGACCAUAACCCGUAUGUCUUCAAGCAUCAAGAUAAUGGGUUUGCAUAUGGCACUUAUUUAUCCUCCCAUUGAAUGCUUCGCAGAUGUUGUUAUCGAUGUUAUCGCACUUGAAUUCCUCACUAAAGAACGCCCUACACCAAUACUUCAGUUCUAUUUGGAAUAGUGCAUCAUAACCUUCCUUCAAUUGAAGUAGUUCUUCUUUGGCCAUCCUAAAGUCAGCCAUAUUCGUACUCUUUGCUAGCUGCCAAAAUUGCGACUGCCACUUGUCCCAUUUAUAGUUGUUUGCCCAAUUUGCGUAUAUGUGCCAUGCAUACAUUCGAUGUUCAGCAUAAGGCAACAACUCAGCUAUUGGUGGAACUAGUCCUUGCAAUAAUUCAAAAUAAGAAAUGUAAGCAAAUGACAUGUUGAUAUCAAAAAGCAAACGAUUAACCAAAUUUUUUAAAAAAACAAACAUUACCUUUUGUUGGUCACUCAUGAAUGCCCACCCUACCCCGUUUGUUAUCUCCAAAUCAGUCAUCAAAUUUUUUAGAAACCAGGACCAAUUGUCCUUGUUCUCUACCUUCACAACAGCCUAAGCCAAUGGAAACAUUUGGUUAUUUGCAUCUCUUCCAAUUGCAGUCAACAAUUCUUUCUUGCACAAGCCUUUCAAAAAACACCCAUCUAAUCCUAUAAUCCGUCUACGACCAGAUAAAAAUCCUCGUUUGCAUGCAUCGAAGCAAACAUAGAACUUAUCGAACUUGGUCCCAAUAUCAGGAAGUGGUCUUUCCACGACCUCUACAUACACUCUACUUGAAGGAUUUUGCAGCCUACACUCUCAAGCAUAAUCCCACAAUUGUCCAUAUUCGCUAUUGUACUGACGAAUGAGUAUCUUCAUCACAAUUUGCUUCGAUAUUUUGCAUUGAUUCCUGGAUAUAUUGAUGCCUACCUUCUCCUUCACUAGCAUCAUGAACUCAAUACUAUUCAUCUAAGGCAUCAGCCUAAUCAAAUCAAAGAAGUGUUUGGACAAUCAUGCACUUGUUACCCUUUUAUUUUCAAAAUUAAUGAAACAAAUAUGUUCCUCUUGAUAGGCUCUAAUCUGGAAUGAUCCACUUCUCCUAACAAAUGCGCCAUAGAUCUUCCAUGGACAAUUUUGCUAUGAACACCUAGCUCUUACAAACGUCGUAGUGUUUCUAAUGACGUCAAUAUUCCUCUGUGCAGCAAUGGAGUUCUUCAGUAUAGCUUCCCUAAAUUGUUUCGCAUCUUGAAAUUUCAUACCUAUGACAAUGUAGGAGAGGCAAUGGAUGGAUCAUAAGAAUGAAACUUACUUUUCCUUCUAUGCACAACUCCUUCAUCUUCUUCAAGCUCAUCUUGGGAAGUAGCAUUCUUGACGCUUUCUUCAUAAUCAAUCUCCUCGCCAGCAGCACCGGCAUCUGCAGGGCCUUCAACCCUAUUUGGAACUUCAUCAGCUACCUGCAAAGCUGCAAACUUAUCUAUAAAAAAAAUCCCUUAGCUUUUUUCUUGACUGUACAAUCUUCUUGUUGUCAUUAUCACUUAUGAAAUUUUCAGCAGGCAACCCUUCAUCAUCAUCAUCACUUGAUUUAGCUACUUCACAAUCUAAUCCAGUGAUUGUGACAUCACCUAUGUCAUAAUCACUUUGGUGAACUACAUCUGCACUCCUCUCCUCUCCAUCAUGUCUAUCCUGCCCUCAUUUAACCCAAACGUCAGUACUACCUUGAAUACCAUCUCCAUCUUGUCUUACUUGGGCCCUCUCUCCAUCAUCAUCUUCGUCCUCACUUUCACUAUUGUACUCAACAUAUAUUUUUACCUCUUCACCAUGAAGAUAAUGGUAUAGAACAUCUCUAAAAUCAUUAUCAUCUUCUAAGCUUCUCAAACCAUCUCUUAAGCCUUUCCCAGGAAUACAAUAUAACAACUUUUGAACUUUACAAGGCAAAUAAGUCACUAUAUCCCUAACAAAUCCUAUAUAAGAUGCUUUCUUUAUCUUGACAAAGAUAAUGCCCUCAUUUCUACCCUCAUCCUCCCCAAUCACAAAAUCCCCACCGUAGCAAACUAUGACAAUGACAUAAUCCUUGUUAUAAGCCAUUUAUGCACCAAGAACAAAAAAAAAAAAAAAUUAGUUUUUGGGACCACAUCCACAAAGAACAAUAGACAAUUGCACAUGGGAGUCCCCCCACUCUCAUGGACUUUAUUAAACAGAGGUCCCCACAUUGACAAUAUGCCCCUACAUGGCAGCCAAAAAAGAGGUCGUCACUUUAAUUAUUUGCCUUCCUUUCCCUUAAUAUAUUAACCAAAAACAAAGGUCCCCACAACAAGCACAACCCAAGCAAUUUUGUCUACUAUCUUUUGCUGAACUAAACUUGCGAUGUGAGAAUGUACAUCAACUUAAUCAAAUCAAAUCAAUUUUUCCUGUGAAAACACAUAUAGAAAAUAAAGGAAAGCUCGAUGUAAAAAUAUAGGGUGAAAGUUCUAUUUCUCAUCCAACCAAGAGAAAUCAUACCCGACUCUAUGAUGUUUGGCCAUUAAUAUAUUGUGUCAAUAGGUCGUUACACUGCCCAAGAGAAAUUCAGAGGAAAAUCAAGCCCUGAAUUUAUCCAUUGCACAGUAGAUUGAUACUGCAUGUCAAAAGAGCUAAUAGUUUAUAAACUUUAAAAUGAGGUACUUACAUGUGGUUUCAAAUAUGUCCCUUGCAGGUAACAAACUUAUAUAAAGUAUCAAAACAAAUUUUACACUCCUCAAUGAUCCCUGCAUAUAUGUUGACUAUUUGAUUAGAAANNNNNNNNNNNNNNNNNNNNNNNNNNNNNNNNNNNNNNNNNNNNNNNNNNNNNNNNNNNNNNNNNNNNNNNNNNNNNNNNNNNNNNNNNNNNNNNNNNNNUCUAGGCAUGAAUAGCGACGGAGAGAAGGGCCUGAGAUCUAGUGUGAACGCGGACAAGGAGGAACGGCAAUGGCUAGGUUUGCUUAAGCCAAAAUAACCUAAACGACGUCAUUUAACACCAAGGAAAAACGACAUCAUUUAGGUCAGCUUAGUCGAUGUGGAUAGACGACGUCGUUUUUAUCAUCCGUGUAGGCUUUUUUUUUUAAAUGUUUGCCACCUCAGUAAAAGAAGUCGCCAGAAAAUGCCACAUAUGCAAUUUGGCCGGAUUUUCCUGUCAAGUGAUCCAUUUUGCUCCGAUUUUGGCACUUAAGUGUCACUUUUGUAAGUUAUGGCACUUAAGUGUCCUUUUGUGCCAAGUUAUGGCACUCCAGGGGUUUGCGCGUCCUUUUUGUCAAUAGCAAAAAGUGGAGAAUGACUAUAAAAGGAGUUGCGUAAAAAUCAUAGCUGUUUGGGGAUGCGAAUGAGUUGGAAAUCCCCCAUAGACUUGACAGUCUCCUCUAGCUUCCUUAGAGUCUCCUUCAGUUGGUCCAAAUCUUCACCCUUUGCAGUGUCUUGCAUUUGAAUCUUCAGGGCUUGUAGCUGUUCUUGCAAAGAAACUGAAGUGGACUAGAAAGCUUUCUUAAGGUCCUUUAACUCAAACUCCAAGCCAUAUUGAUGUCUUCAAAUCCCAAAGGAUAUCCAGCAGUCUUGGAAAGUCUGCUGUUGGUUCUGGAGUAACACUAGGUCUAGCCAAAUUAGUUCCAGGAGUCUUAAGAUGUAAGGGAAUAUCCGCAGUUUGAUCACCGGGACUAGGAAUGGAUGCCUCAACGUCUGCUUCAAGGUAGUGAGAGGCAUAGACAUCCUCUGGAUCUGCUGGAGAUUUACUAACAUCACUUAUAAGAGCAAGUGAAGAAGUACCUCUUUUGUUAGUAGCUCCCCCUGUUUCUGUGCUUUCAGGUGGAGAAAAGAAUUCUUCUUCCUGUUCUUGCUCUACUUCAGCACAUGAGUGAUGUUUUUCUCUUUCUUUUCUGGCAGUUCCACUCCUUGUUUUCUCCGAGUCAUCUGACAAGGAUACAGCAAAAGUAGGCUCAAAAGAGUCAUCUUGACCCUCUUCUUCCUCUUCCUCUCUUCCUCUUUCUUCUUUCUUCUCUUUCUUCACCUCUCUUCUAUGUUUCUUCUCUUUCUCUAUUAUCUCUGUCCUAUGGCUCCUGAAGACUAACAAAACUUUGUAAAUUUCCUAAGGCAAAAGCGGAGAGAGUGAUGUCAUCCUCAUCUUCUUCGUCCUGCAAGAUAAUGGCUCUCCUCUUCUUGAUAGGUCCGCUCAUGGGCUCCUUGCCUUUUCUUUUCCUUGUUGCAGAGUCUUGUUUUGCCUUGAUAGGGGACUUCUCCUUCAUAUGCUCCAAAACCCUAUUCAACUCCUUCAUAUGCAUCUUUGAAACCAUUUUCAGUCCAGUCACCAUUGGAGCAAUGGUUCUAACACAUAAAGUAGCAGGAAGAUGAAUUUUGAAGUGUGGUAGACGGGAUCGAUAAGCGCAGAGUAAGGGAGUUGCCCCUUGUCCUUCACAACUGUCCUAUACAUGUGCAUGAGGAUAGUGUGAGGCAGUGAGAACUUAAAGCCAAUGUUGAUUGCAUACAUCAACUUUGCUUCAGAAUGAGAGACAUCAGUCUUUGACGUGGAUUUAGGUCUGAUGCAGUUGAUCAUGAUAUUGUGAAAUAAGAUAUUGGAUGCAGUCAUUCUAGAGUAAGAAAUCCUGCCCUUAGCAAAUCUGUCCUAAACAAAUUCCAAUGUAGCAUGACCAACUGACAUACCGAUUGGUUGGAAACUCCCUCUUUCCACACCAAUCAAAUCCGCCAAUGUGUCCACAUCGACCACAAAUUCUUUGUCCCUAACCGUAAAAUAAAAUCUAUUCGCAUCUAAGGAAGAUAGAUUUGAAUAGAAAUAAGCUGUUAGUUCUGGGUAGGCGACAGUUGUCUCAGAGCAAAAACUUUCAAGUUGAAGGAGUGCAAACUUCUCCCUUAGUUUCACUUUCAACGAAUCAAGAAAAUUGAAAUCCACAUUUCUAGGGUUCAUAACCCCUCUCUUCAGCAGUUUCGAGUAAGUCUUCCUGUGGUCUUUGGAAUGGAAUAAACUCGCUCCCUCACCAUGAACACUUGCAGCAACGUCCAUCCUAGGCUGAAAAUUUGUGAACAUCCUUUCAUCAUCAUCCUUACCUCCAGGCUGAUUAAAAGUGUUGAACCGUGGAUCACUUUGAAAGUUGGCAAAGGUCCUUGCUGCCAAACCUUUAGGAGCAAUCCCAUCCUUUCCAUGGAUUGUAAGAACCAAGUUUCGUUCUUGUAACCCCUCUCUCUCAUGAACUCAUCGAUGAAUGUCAUCACAGUACCACCCUCUUUCAACGUAGAAUAAAGUUUAAACAGAAAUUCGGGUUUUAGCGUUCUUACGGGUUCCACAUCUUCCACAAUUUCUUCUUCUACUUGUUGCUGUGGAGGAUCUUGAGUCCUGUGCUGAGAAGAGUGACGUGGUUGAGAAUGUUGUUGUCGUUGCUGCUGCUGAGGAGAAUCUUCUUCCUCGGUUACAUCAAAGUGCGUAGGACCCUCACGCAUAUGCUGUGGUCCCCUGCUCCUGAUUCUAUAGGACUUUCUUUGGGAAGACAUUGUCACUUUCUUGGAGGAUUUCUCGAACUUGCUAUUGAAAAAGGUGAAAGCUUUUUGGAUUAAACUAGAGGGAAAGUGAGAGAAAGUAGGAUUUUUGUAUUCUAGGAUUUGUAAGCGUAAACGGUGAAGAAGAAAAUCGAUGGUAUAUAAAGCAAGUGAAACGGGGUAUAUGAAUCAUCACAAAGGAAAAAACAAAAACUACCUUUUUCAAAAAUGAAAAACUGCCAUAAAUUUAAAACUCAAAAAAGAUAAAUUCUAAAAAUAAAGUAGGCAAGUAGCAAUUCGAAAAAUCAACGUACCUUUUCAAAAAAUUAUUCUAAAAUAAAAACACAUGCAUUUAGAAAGCAUUAACUUACAGUCGUAACUUCUGGAUAUUCUGAGUCUGAACACCUUUAGACUUUGCCCAGUAAAAGAUAUGAUGUUCAGUCUGGUGCGAAUAGACUGAAAUAAGCUUUUCUCCAGUGGCAUUGUAAAUAUAUAUGUCAACUGUUUCUUCGAGUCAAUGAACGGAAUCAUAAUUUCUUAAUUCUGAACAUGAUCUCUAAUGAAGUGAUGUCGAAUCUCUAUAUGUUUUGCGCUUGAAUGAAGAAGUCACAUUUGAUCUCGGUGCACGACUCUUCAAUACCAAAGUCUCUUAGUUGUUGCCUUAUCCAUAAGAUUUGAGAGCAACAAUUUCCAAGAGCCACAUAUUCUGCUUCAGCUGUUCAAAGAGCUACGGUGCUCUAUUUUCUUGAAAACCAAGAUACCAGCUUGUUGCCUAGCAGUUACAUAUACCAGAAGUACUCUUUCUAUCAACUUUGCAUCCUGCUAAAUCUGUGUCUGAAUAUCCAUGAGAGUAAAGUCUCCUUCUUUGAGAUACCACAAACCUAGCCUUGGAGUAGUUGCAAUGUAUUUGAUGAUGCGCUUUGCGGCACCUAAAUGAGAUUCUUUGGGAUUUAAUUGGAAUCUAGCAUAGAUACAAACACUAAACAAAAUGUUAGGUCUAGAUGCAGUAAGGUAAAGAAGCGAACCAAUAAUGCUCCUGUAAAGUUUCUGGUCUACACUCUUUCCUCCUUCAUCUUUGUCCAGCUUUGAAGAACUUGACAUAUGUGUCUGUCUUUUUGCAAUUCUCUAAUCCAAACUUCUUGAUGAGAUCUUUUGCAUACUUCUCUUGGUGAAUGAAAAUACCUUCCUUUGAUUGUUUAACUUGUAAUCCCAAAAAGAAAGUCAGCUCACCCAUCAUGCUCAUCUCGAAUUCAUCCUACAUGCAUCUAGAGAAUUUCUUGCAUAGAUUUUCAUUAGGUGAUCCAAAUAUAAUAUUAUCAACAUAAAUCUGAACAAGUAGAAAAUCUUUACCUUAUCUUUUAAUGAACAAAGUAGUGUCUACCUUUUCUUUAACAAAACCAUUUUGAGUUAGGAAUUUACUUAACUUUUCAUACCAGGCUUGAGGUGCUUGCUUCAAUCCAUAUAGGGCCUUUUCCAGUCUGUAGACUGAGUCUGGCUUUCUUGAAGCUUCAAAACUAGGUGGUUGUUCCACAUAGACUUCUUUUUGGAUAAAUUUAUUUAGGAAUACACUUUUUAUAUCCAUUUGGAAUAAUAUGAAAUUUUUAUAGCAAACAAAAACAAGUAAUAAUCUAAUUGCUUCUAACCUUACUACUGGCGCAUAGGUCUCGUCAUAGUCUAUCCCUUCUUCUUGCGUAUAUCCUUUGAUAACGCGUCUUGCUUUGUUUCUAACAACUUUUCUUUUUUUCGUCUACCUUGUUCCUAAAAACCUAUUUAGUUCCAAUAAUAUAUUUACCUUCAGGUUUAGGAAUGAGUUCCCAAACAUCGUUUAUGUUGAACUAUCUGAGCUAUUCUUACAUAGCUUCAAUCCAACUUUCAUCAGCCAAGGCUUCUUUUAUACUUUUGGGUUCAAUCUCAGAAACGAGUGCUAAAGCACUAGACUCUUCUCAUCUUUUGGAUCUGGUGCGAAUUCCUUCAUCAAUAUUGCCAAUGAUGAGUUCUUUGGGAUGACUUGACUUAUGCUUCCAGUUGCUAGUUGGUUUGUGAGUCUGGUGAUCUUCUGCUUCUGUUGAAUCUUCUAGUUUAUCUUAUUGUUGAUCUUCAGAAGUCUGAACCACUUCGAGGGAAGUAUAUUUUAUAACGUCUAAAACAAGUUCAGAUUCUUCAACCUGAGUCUGAUCCAAUUGAUUCUACAUACAGUCUUGAAACUUGACGUUCAUAGAUUCUUCCACAGACUGAGUCUUCUUGUUGAAUACUCUGUAGGCUUUGCUUGAGGUUGAGUAGCCAAGAAAAAUUCCUUCGUCUAAUUUUUCUUUAAACUUACCGAUUCGAUCAUUUGCAUUUUUCAAAACAAAAUACUUACAACCAAACACAUGAAAAUAAGAAACAUUUGGUUUCUUCCCUUUAAAUACCUCAUAAGAAGUUUUCUCUAGAAUAGGCCUCAAGAAUACUUUGUUAAUAAUAUAGCAAGCUGUAGAGACCGCUUCAGUCCAAAAUCGAGAGGAAAUAUUACUCUUAAUUAAGAGGGUUCUUGCCAUCUCCUACAAAGAUCUAUUCUUUAUUUCCACAACCCCAUUUUGCUCUGGAGUAUAUGGAGAAGAGAAAACAUGCUGAAAACCAAAUUCAUCACGGAAUUUUGCAAAGUCUUGAUUUUCAAACUCACCUCCAUGGUCUAUCCGUAUGCUUGAAAUAAUAUAUCAUUUUUCAUUCUGAACCUUCUUGGCAAAUUUUGAAAAGUAAGAGAAUACUUCAGACUUACUUGCUAGGAAGUAUACCCAAGUAAAGCAAGAGUAAUCAUCCACGAUUACUAGGCGGUAUCUUUUUCUACCAAUGCUUUGAGUUCUGGUUGGUCCAAAGAGAUCCAUAUGCAGAAGUUGCAAAACUCGAUUAGUAGAAACUUGAUUUAUAGGUUUAAAAGAACUUAUGACCGGUUUUCCCAAAACACUUGGUGUGCAUAAAUCAGACUUUUGAUAAGUCAGGUUGGGCAGUUCACGAACAAGCUUCUUGGAGGAAAUCUUAGAAAUCUACUUCAUGUUAACAUGGCCAAGUUUUUGAUGCCAAAGGUUUGCUUCAUCUUGAAUGGAUAUUAAACACUAAGAACUUUCUGGUUUUAUAUCCAAAAGAUAAAUAUUCCCAUGUCUUCGUCCAGUGAAAGAUUGAGAGAAAUCUUUACUAGUUCCUAAACAAAUGCCUUCUUGGAAAUUAAUUUUGAAUCCAGUAUCACACAGUUGACUAAUGCUGAGUAGAUUGUAAUUCAAACCUUCCACCAAGGAAACAUUGUUGAUUGUGAGACUUUCAAUCUUCACAGUUCCACAUCUAACAAUUCUUCCUUUGCUGUUUCCACAAAAAGAAACAUUUCCACCAUUUAUUUGCAUGAGCUUUAUAAAACAACUUGAAUCUUCUGUCAUGUGUCUCGAGCAGCCACUAUCCAAAUACCAUUUAAUAUUUUUCUUGAUAGUGACCUCGACUUCUUCAUCUGAGUCUGAGUUUGAGUCUAAGUCCGUCUCUGUUUCAAAGUCUGAGUUUGAAUUGGCCAUUAGACAUAUAUCCGUGUAUUCUUCAUUACUCUCCUCACAUUCAGUAUCGCUCCAUGUCUCUACUUUGAGAACCUUUUUGAAUUUCUCUAUUUUUCCUUUCUUUUUCUUCAACAAAUGACAGUUGGGUCUGAUGUGCCCCAUUUUCUUGCAUUCGAAGCAAAUCACAUCUUUGCUGGUCUCAUUAUCCAUAGUUAAUUUCUUAUGAAAUCUUUAAGUGUCCUGCUUCUUCCAAUUAAACCUUUUUCCUUUCUUGUUCAACUUCCUAAACUUCCUUAUCAUGAGUGCUAGCUCUUCAUCGUCCAAGUCAGAAUCAUCCUUAGAUUUUAAGGCAAUUGACUUCUUACCUUUGGAAUCUUCUUCCUCAUUGAUUUGCUCUACUUCAUAUGAUUGAAGUGUGCCAACCAAUUUCUCUACAGAAAGAGGCAUGAUCCUUUGGGUUUCUCUUAUUGAAGUCUUCACGUGAUUCCAGUCUUUGGAGAGUCCACGCAGCAAUUUAUUGACCUUCAUUGGUCCUGAGAUUAGUUGUCCUUGAUAUGCUAGACCGUUUACAAUCUCUGUGAAGCAACAGAACAUGUCAGUGAUGGAUUCUCCUGGCUUCAUCUUGAAGGCUUCAUACUGUCCGAGUAGGAUAUUGAUUUUUGUUUCUUUAACUUGAUCAGUUCCUUCAUAGGUAAGGUGCAACCUAUGCUAGACUUCUUUGGCUAUUUCACAAGAUGAAAUUCCGUUAUACUCAAUAGGAAAUAAAGCACAAUUUAAUGAAUAGAUGGCUUUAGCAUCAAAAGCUUGUCUAUUGGUUAUUUUCGCUUGUGUCAAUUCUCCAGCAUCUGCAACUUCCUUUCCUGAGGUUGAUAUAGCUUUGGGAAUAAUCCCUUUUUCUACCACAUCCCAUUCCAGGGGAUCUUUCGAUCUCAGGAAUGCCUUCAUCUUGUUUUUCCAAACAUUGUAUUCAUUCCCAUCAAAGUAGGAAGGUCUGGUGUUGCUUUGGCAUUCAACCAAAUCUGGAGUCAAAAUACUGCCCAUAGAUCUUUAGCUUAAAAAGUAAAAACACUUCAAUAAAUAAGCACACAAGCUCUAAUACCAAUUGAAAGGGCUAGUAUGAACACCUAGAGGGGGGUGAAUAGGUGUGAAGAAAAUUUUUAGCAAGACUUAGUAAAAGUAAAUUGCCUUUAGAAGAUAAUAGACUAAGGACGUAAUUAGCUUUAAAAAAUUAUAUAAAGCUACGAAUAAAAGUAAGGAGUUCAAGGAAAGAGAAUUAGGACACAAGGUUUAUAGUGGUUCGGCUUAGAUCAAGCCUACGUCCACUCUCCCACGCUAACAGCCCACUAGCUGGAUUCCACUAUGAAUCAAAAGAGAUUUUACAACUUAUGAUCUUCAACUUUCUCAGUGGAGAGUCUCUACUAGUCUCUCACCAAGUCUCACUAUGUGUUUCUCUCUUUUGUAUAGAACUUUGAGCUCAAUGAAUGAAAGAGCAAGGAACUAGAAAGCUUCAGACUUUGAGAUUCUUCUUUCACGCACUCUUUCGAACAAUCAUCCUUAAAUACUCCUUCAUGCCUUCACGACCAUUGGCACUCUCCAAAGGAAUUCUUCCAAUCUACCUGUUGGACAGAAUGAAUUAAGGCGAUCUCGAGUCGUUAGAUGAUUUGUGAUGAAGGCCCGUCAAUCAUGUUCACCCAUACAAUCAGGAUCUUUGGUUUCCAUAAGUAGAACCUUCCAAGUUUGCUCGUCUUUCAAAAGAUCUUCAUAUCGGAGUAGAUUGCAAUAAGAAUAAUCAAUCAUGUAGAUGCUAUAUCCAACCAUAAGAUCUUCCAAAACCAUACAAAUCGAAUCCUUGAAGAUAAUCUGACAUCUAGAUAAAUCUUCAUUCUUCGGUUUGGAAACUGUCAGUGAGGGCAAACUUUGAAUCUUAAGUCUGGCAGUCUUCAGACUUAGAUGGUAGAGUCUGGAGUUCUUUAAACUAGACUUUUGAAAACGUUUUGUCAACUUCAAAAUAGCAAAUGAGUUUUCUCCAACAAAUAUUACCUAUCCCCGACGUGUGUCGAUGGAUAUUACCUAUCCCCGACGUGUGUCAAUGGAAAUUAUCUAUCCCCGGUGUGUGUCGGUGGAUAUUACCGUCCCCGGUGUGUGUCAGUGGGCAUCACCUAUCCCGGGUGUGUGUCAGUGGAUAGAGGACCGAUGUGUGUUGGGUAAAACUACCCAUGCAGGUACUAAUAAUUAAUUAAAACGCAUGUUGAGUGAAAUUGAUUAACCGAUAUGUGUUGGUAAUUCUUGCUUGUGUGGGCAGUGAUUAAAUUGUAAUUCUUGCUCGUGUGAGCAGUGAUUGAUUUAGACGUUCCAAAUGGUGUGUGAAUUUGCUAUAUACACAUGAUUGUGAUAUGAACUAUGCUGACCUGCAGGGAGGAUCUAAGACAAGGUAAGUCUCUGUGGUUGUAUGACUGUGUGGUUAGAACACCCUAGGCAUAUUACCCUCCUAAUCGGGAUUUAGAAUGGGAACUUGCUGAGAUUUAUAUCUCAUCCCGUCGUGAGCUUAAAUUUUCAGGACCGUAGAGCGGAGAAUCUGAAGCCGAGCUGAGGUGAUCUAAAGUGUUGGUCAAAUAGGACAGUUUCUUUUUUAGAGUCAAUCAUUUGAAGUCUUGCGACUAUAGAUUUUUGUACUUGACUCGGUGUGUAUUUAAAAGCAUGUUUUGUUUGAAAAUAUGUUGUCCUGCUUUUCUAUCCCAAGAUGGUUACUAUCAGGGGAUUUGUUAUUCGCUUCUGCAUGUGCAAUAAAAAGAAAGGGUCGGCGACUCGUCUUGGGAAGUCACAAAAUUUUAUCGACCAUCGAGGGAUGGGCACGCGCUCGAGGAUAGGGCGUGACAUCCCCAUUUAGUGGUAUCAAAGCAGAUCGAUAGUUGGAGUGAUAAGGUACGAUGGGUUCUUGGGAUAGUUAGUAGGAAAGACUUUUAAUAUACUAAUGCAUGUGAGUGAUAACUGAUUGGUAGCUUGUUUGUGUGGUCACUCAGUUUCUAAUUUAGUGAGGAAUUGGAAAACAUGUUUCUAUAAAGAUCCUGUGGCAUAAGUGACUAGGAGCAAAGAACUCCUUGGAAGAGAUCGGUAGGACCUGUAUCUUAGGGUAGGAUGUCAACAAGAGUCGGUACCAGAGACAGAACACAGGCUCAGGCCAGCGUGAGUGUGAGAGUACUGCCGUAAGCCGGUACCAAGAAUGUAGUAGCACCGAGUGAUCCUAGGUUUGAUGGGAUUGUUCAAGCGCUAGUCACCUUUGGGAACUUGUUGCAUCAGUAAGCUCAGGAUCGAGCCAUCGCUGUUGCCCCCAUAUCUACCGUUGCUAGUGCUGUAACCGCUGAUGUUGCUGCACCUGUUGAGACCUAACCUGGAAUUGUGAUCGGGGAGCAAGCUACCGCAUCUGAAUCAAGAUUCAGUUCCAAUAGAGAUGAUAACCAACUAAGGAAGAGACCGAUGUCAGAAGAAAGGUAUUCCAUCCCUCUCAAUAAGAAUGGUAAGAUAGGAAAGUCAGCGUCAUGCCAAAAUGUCGUGUGUCGCUUUUGUCGAAGACGGCAUGGACCAACCUCGUGCCAUUUUAGGACUAGUGCUUUUUUUAUGUGUGACUAGCAGGAUCACCUGGCCAGAAACUAUCCACGCAAGCAAAUGGGAUCACAUAGCUGCCGCCACCACCAUCGAUGGAAUGGAAUAGAGAGAGUGCGUCGCAAGACACACAGUGGGGUACUUGGAACAGGCCUCCAGUGCAAGGAAGGGUGCAGGCUGUCACCCGAUAGGAGACAGAGGACUCAUCAAAUGUGUGCCAAGUUUGUGCAAGGAAGCAUGGGUCAGCCUAAUGUCCAAGUAUAUCGGGAGCAUGAUUUGAAUGUGGCCAGCACGACCAUCAAGCGAGGAACUGUCCGCGUAGGUCCAGGAGAGCAUAAGCACCAUUACUGCAGAUAGGGCACCACUAGGAUGGCUAAAGGAACGAGAAUGGACUGACCAUGCAUCGAUAAGGGGAAGAAUGUUUUUGGGGUGAUUUUAUUAGAGUAGCGUAGCAAAGUUGUGAUUAAGGUUGUAGAACUUUAGUUUGUUGUAAUAAAGUAGAAGGAAGAAUCACUGGCUAGAAUUGUAUUUGACUAGUUUACUUAUGUAUAACUUUGACGUCAUGUAUAAAAAGGUUUGGCUCGAUGAGCUUUUUGUUGUAAUAAAUUGUUGUUGCAAGGUAAUGUAGUCUAACCCGUUGGCGGAUGAAAGUUUCAAAUUUAUCGAAAGUCGAGAAGGACCCUCGAUCCCUUUAAAUCUCAUCGCUUGAGACAACCCGUUUGUUAGACAUGGGUUGCCAAGGUUAUUUGUUAACCUUAGUGGAUACGUUAGUUGAGGAGCCGAAGAUGGAGGACAUCACUGUACGAAAGGACUUUGCAUUGGACAGAUGUGCUGAAUUGUACAUGUGACAAAUAGUUUGUCUUCGGGAGUACUAGGGACAGAUAAAAGACUGCUCAGAAUCGCUAGAAAAGUUACGCAGAUAAGCACCAAAGACCAUUGGAAUUCCAAGUUGGUGAUCACAUUUUUCUAAAGGUGUCACCAAUGAGAGGUACUUUGCGCUUUAGUAAGAAAGGAAAGCUGAGUCCGAGGUACAUAGGUCUAUUUGAGAUUCUUGAAAGAAUCGAGAUCCUAGCAUAUCGUCUUGCAUUGCCAUCGAGGAUUGGCGCAAGUGCAUGACGUCUUUCACGUGUCGGUGUUGAAGACGUAUGAGCCUAACCCGACCCAUGUACUAAAUUUUGAAGAGUUAGGCGUGGACGACAAAGCGUCGUACGUGGGAAGCCCGAUUCAGAUUGUGAAUCGCAAGGAAUAGAUUCUGCAUACUAAGACGAUCUCGUUGGUCAAAAUGGUCUAGUAACACCACGGUACUGAAGGAGCAACUUGGGAAAGUGAAGAGUCAAUGAUACGACUGUACCCCCACCUUUUUGUUGAAAGGUUUGUAAAAGUUUAAAUUUCGAGAACGAAAUUUUUAUAGAAGGGGAAGAGUUGUGACAUCCUAAAUUUUAGGUUCUACUUUCGAUUGAAUAAGUUGGGCUUUUCAUCGACGCGCCUAUAGUUCUUUUCUCUGAGUAGGCCACUCAUGAGAUAACUAACCUAUCAGGUGAAGUCGUUAAGGAAUCUAAACGCAAUAGACUUGAGAAUUCGACUAGGAAUUGACUGUUCGAUCAUACUAGUCUGCAAGGAUUAUUACGGCACAAUUAAAAAUCAAUUAGAGACUAGAGAUAGGUCGAUUCGACAGAACCAUGUGAUUAAGUGUGGGUGAUUCCACCUAAUUGCAAAAUUCUUGUCGAUUGGCACUAGACCGAUUUUUCUGUCGUUUUCGUACCUUGUGUCCAUAUUUGAAACCUCGAGAUUUCCACGAUAACCGGGAGUCACCAAUGUGUCGAAGAUGUACUUGUGGCUUGAAAAUAAUCAACCACGGGUCAAUUGCACGAAAAAUUCCUAAAAACUACCCAAUAGAUUGGGACACGCUAAAAUCGCGCCAGAUUGAAAUUAAUCACAAAAUUGAACUCGAUUUCAGAAAUUGGAAGUUCCUUCAUGUCACAAGUCAUUUAGGAACGUCAACUCAUCUCUAAAAAAUUUCUACAAACCAAAAUUUUCAGUGAGAAAUCCAAAGUAAGGGUAUUUAGAUCGGGAAAUUCGUAGGCCCGCUUUUGGGUGGAUUUUUUGGAUUCAAGUUGAUUCAAUUGAUGAGGAAAAAUCAUGGAUUAAGUGUGGACACCUUGGCUGAUUUGUUUGGACUUCGAUUGGAUUGAUUUGAGUAAGAAUUGAAUGGAAUUUAAGAAGAAAUGUACAAAAUUCGUAGCCUUAGAGGGGUGCAACAAUUCAGCCAUGUUGGGAAGCUUCCUAAGGAAGAUUGAGGAGAGAGAAAUGGCUAAGGAUAAGGGCUGACAUGGUGGGGGCAUGUGAUGAGUGAACGGGGAUAAGAUUAAAGACUUGUGGCCAAAUGGUGGGUCCUUUUCAGCCAGCUGCUUCUUCUCCUUCCUUGGCUUCACUUUCUUCAUUGUUGAAGUGUUGAGAGCUCUAGAAAACCAAAGGAACUAGCCAAGACCAGCAGCAAGCCAGCUAAGCCCCACCUGAAGUUGUCCGAGCUCCCCCACGCCAGCCGCUGCUGUCGCGCAUCCCAGCCGUCCAGCUGAUGUUCCAUGUGCGUCUGGCCAUCCUACUAUGUCAUCGAGCUCCCUCAAGCUACCUGGAAGUCAGCUAGCCCAGCCUUGCAUGUCGCCUAGCCCCGUAGCCACCCGUCUCUGCUGUUUCCAGCCGUUCCAACUGCUGGAGUUGCUCGGUUCUGCUCCCUCAACCAGCAAGCAAAAGCUGAAGUCCCAGCAAGAUCUGGAACUUCGUGGCCUGUUUUCGAGCCUUUCCCAACCUCGUUUGGUGUCGCCACAAGCUUGUUUGUCGCUCACCUUGGUGUUGCCGUUGUCGUGGACUCAUCGAAUCGUAAAAUCAGUGAGUUUACUCACUAAACCUUGCUUAGGAGGUUAGUGACAUUCUAUAAUGGUUAUAUUAGUCUUGAAUGGAUUAGUGUUAAUCUAAUUAGUGAGAUUAGCACCAUUGUGGAUGGAUUAGUCCAGUUCAGUGGACUUUUUGCAGUUCGGAUUUCUGGACCCUCGCCGUUUGUCAUUUUUGUAGAUAGAAAUGGGUUGCGAAUUUGAGAUUGAUUCUUUCUUGUGAAAUGUUUUAGACAUCUUCAGAUAUAACAUAUAUUUUUCCCAAGAUUUUUGGGGAUUUAAAAGAAGGAGAUAUCAGCUCCGUCAUUUGCAAACAAAGACUCAGACGGUGCUGGAAAUUAUGACUUUUUCAGAUUCUAUGGGUUUUUAUCAACUCUUAGAGUUCUAAUUUCAAAAUGAUUUCUUCACAAAAUUUGUUCUCCAUAUCUUCUAGUUUAACAUGGUUAAAUUUCAGAUCAAAUGGACAAAUUUUGUAUCUCAAACCAAACUGAUUUUGGAAAAUAGACUUUUUAGAAACGGACCCAGUUUUUGGUACUGGAUCGAGCGAUUUACUGGGCCGAAUCUAAAAGGAUCUAGGUUAAGGUGUAUACAUAAAAAAUAUUUUUUUAUGUGUCAUUUACAACAUAUUCAAAUUUGGAAAUUUUUCAAACUCGUUUAAUUAGGUUUCUUGUUUUUAACUUGGAGACGCACGAAUGGCCCAGUUUCUGCCAAUUAGGACCGGUUAUGGUUUUGUGAUUGUUCUUGAUGUUGUGCUUGCUAAAUAAGGUGUAUUUAGUGAUGUGGUGGACUUGUAGUAUGCUGAUAACUUAAGUGUGAGGUCAUGAGAGGGAUUGCUCUAUGUUGGUUGUUUACUAUUAUUGCAAAAAGGUGACCUCUUGGACUAUUAAAUAGAAAAUAAAUGAGGUGUCGGGUUUAGACACCAAGUUUUAUGUGAUCAAUAAAAUGAUGAGGUUUUGUAUGAGGUGCGUGCAAAUUUUGGCGGGUUAAUUUCAAAUAUGGGACCCCGUACAAAUUUACUUCGUAAAGUUUGAAAAAAAAAAGGGUGCCAAGUUUAUUUUAUAAAGGGAGUUUUUGUGUUUUGGCUAUAUGAAAGAGGCUAAGAUUAACCUGAUUGAUUAGGUACCUACAAUGUUAGGUUAAUUAAUUAGUUCAGUUUAAUUAAUCAUAAUUUAUUUAUUUAUUUAAUUGCAUUUAUUUUAUUAUUUUGUAAAUUAUUUAAUUAUUAAUUAUUUUUUGGAAAUUAGACCGGGAUAGCUGGUGACCAGAAUUACGUGCUGAUUGCAAUGGUGUGGUUAUUUUCUACAAUUGAGUGGUAAUUUGUGCAAAUUGAGUGCUGAUUGGAUUUUUGGUAAUUUAUUCCAAAAAUUGUGAAUUUCAAUAUUUAUUUAGAAAAUCCCGGGUGUCGAGUUUUAACACCGAAAAUAGUUUUAUAUACUAUAUAAAAUAGUGGGAUUUUAAAUUGGAGGAUAUCAAUUUUUCAGGCUUGAUCCGACCGUGUACCCGCUCAAGAUAUUUUCACCGGAUGUUUUUAAUAAGAAGAAAACAUGCCAAGGUCGUUAUCUUAAUUGAGGCAUGUGACUGCAAAGCACAAUGUCCUUGACCGGAAUUGAAUGAUCGUGUGCUAGUUAAGAGAACCCUUCCUCAGUGUGUGUCGGUGAAAAUUAUCUAUACCCAGUGUGUGUAGGUGGAUAUUACCUAUCCCCAGCGUGUGUCGGUGGAUAUUACCUAUCCCCGAAGUGUGUCGGUGGAAAUUAUCUAUCCCCGGCGUGUGUCGGUGGAAAUUAUCUAUCCCCGGUGUGUGUCGGUGUAUAUUGCCAUCCCCGGUGUGUGUCGGUGGGCGUCACCUAUCCCCUGUGUGUGUCAGUGGAUAGAGGACCAGCGUGUGUCGAGGAAAACUGCCUGUGCGGGUACUAAUAAUUAAUUAGAAUGCAUGUUGAGUGAAAUUGAUGGACCAAUAUGUGUCGGUAAUCUUGCUUGUGUGAGCAGUGAUUAAAUUGUAAUCCUUGCUCGUGUGAGCAGUGAUUGAUUUAGACGUUCCAAAUGGUGUGUGAAUUUGCUAUAUAAACAUAAUUGUGAUAUGAACCGUGCUGACCUGUAGAGAGGAUAUGAGACAAGGUAAGUUUCUGUGGUUGUAUGAUUGUGUGGUUAAGACGCCCUAGGCGUAUUACCAUCCUAAUCGGGGGUUAGAGCGUGAACUCGGUGAGAUUUAUAUCUUACCCCGUCGUGAGCUUAAAUUUUCAGGAUCGUAGAGUGGAGAAUCUGGAGCCAAGCUGAGGUGAUCUGAAGUGUAGGUCAGAUAUGACAGUUUCUUUUUUAGAGUCAAUCAUUUGAAGUCUUGUGACUGUAGACUUUUGUACUUGACUCGGUGUGUAUUUAAAAGCAUGUUUUGUUUGAAAAUCUGUUAUCCUGCUUUUCUAUCCCAAGAUGAUUAAUGUCAAGGGAUUUGUUAUUCACUUUCACAUGUGCAAUAAAAAGAAAGGGUCGGUGACUCAUCCUGAGAAGUUGCAAAAUUUUAUUGACCACCGAGGGAUGGGCACACGCUCAAGGAUCGAGGUGUGACAAAAGGUUAGCUAAAGGAAAACUCACAAAACUGGACACAACAAAAAAAACGAACUCUAGUUCCAUGGACUUACCAUCAUCGACUAUCUUUGCCAAUCAAAUGAUACAUAUCUUAUCCAUCUCUCUUGAACCUCGGGCAAUCCUCAACCAUGAGUCGACAAGAUUUUGGCACACCCAGCACCCUCUCCAAUGAUUCACAUCUCCAGAAUCUCAAAUGUUUCAAAUUCUGUAGAUUAGAAAGAUCAAAUCCAUUUAAUCUUUUGAUUGAAUUGCAGGACCAGAUAGACAAAUCCUGCAAUGAUUUCAAUUCUCCCAAACCCCGAAUCUCAAUUAGCUGAGGCAAUAGGUGCGGGAACAAACACUGGAUCUCCUUCAAACAAGGCAGAACGGGCAGCGUCUUCAGCAAUGGACAGUCUAUCAUCCGUAAUUCAUUGAAUUUCCCUAGCUCUCCAAGCACCUCGAAUCGAAUCUCUCUCAACGAAUAUCUAUAAAUAGACAGCUCCAACAAAUUCUCUAAGUUGGAAAAGACUGACCAAUCUAUCGGUGACUGGACAUCCCAUAACGACAAUUUUUUAAGGCUGGAUGGGAGCCCAAUAAGAGAUUGGGGCUCGACACAACUUAUGUCGAGGUGUUGUAGCUGAGAGAGGGAACUGAAAUCGGUUGGAGGCAAGGCCAUUUUUCCAACGUGGAGGGUCAUUCGUUCCAGAGCAAGUAGUCUCACGAUCCCCUCUGUGUUAAGUUCUUCAAUUGAAUAUCCAAUUAUCGUAAGGUCAACUAAAUUGGUUAGGUUUGAGCAGUCAGGGAUUGUGGUCAUCGAAUUCAAUGUAAGCCAUAAAAAAGUUAGACUCUUGGGAAGCUCCGGCAACUGUUGGAUUGAAUCACAGGACAUUAACCAAAGAUGUUGAAGAUUUGUAAGCUGAUUGAUCGUUGUGGGCAAUCCACUAAAGCGACCUUUGGAUAAGUCUAGAUAUCUCAAUGAGGAUAGUGCCCCGAUUUCACUUGGAAUUUCCUCCACCAGAUGUUCAGAGCAAGCAUAUAAAUGUUCCAGAUUUUCCAACAUUCCUAUGGUUUUCGGAAGUUCACUUAUGCAACUAUCAUCGAGAUUUAGUACCUUCAACUUUAUGAGAUUUCCAAUACAAUCAGGUGAGCUCCUGAUUCUUGAAUAGCUCAGAUCCAACUCAACCAAUGAUUGGAGCCUCCCAAUUGAGUCUGGUAGCUUUUCUAGAUAGGAAUUCGUGAUGCGUAAAACUUUUAACCUUUCAAGAUUUCCAAUAGAAUGAGGUAAUUCACUAAUUUUUAAAUAUUGGACAUCUAGCUCAAGUAGUGACUCCAAUUGUCCGAUAGAGUCGGGAAGCUUUUGAAGUUCCUUGCAUGGCAAGAUUAGAGACUUCACCUUUGCUAAAUUGCCAAUCGAGUGAGGCUUCCUUGAGGGUGUCCGUUCUAUUCUUAGCACUGUCAAAGAUUUUAGACCGCCGAUGGACUCCGGUGGCGACUCAAUAGCUUCACUCCUUAUCUCUAGGUAAUCAAGAUGUUGUAAAUUGCCGAUGGACUUGUCAAUCUUUCUUAGUUGAAUGCAUCUAAGAAUCAAUUUCUCCAGCUGCGAGAUUGUGGAGAACUUGGGCAUCUUUCUAAGGAAUGGACAGUCCUCGAGCUGUAGGAUUUUCAAUUGUUUUGCUACCUAUAAAGCAAUUGAGUAGACACUCAGAAAAGAGGAAGAGUGAAUAUAAUGCAAAAGGAUGUCAUGAGAUCAUACCAUGAUUUGACACCAUCCUCCCCAAUCUUCAGUAACGUUAUUCCCAGAUAACAUGAGAAUCGUUAAGUUCUUCAAUCCAAAGUUGCUAGCUCGGAAUUUUGAAGGGCAAUUGCUCCAAGAGAGCCAUCUCAGAUUAAAGAAAACAUUCUUAAAGUCUCCUUCAAAAUUUCCAUGGUCCAAUUGAAGGAACCUAAGGUUGACCAAGCCCAUAAAUUGCUUGCGCUUAAAUCUAUACGUCUUAUUCGGGCUUGGUGUACCAAGAUUGAGUGCCACUAUGUCUUUGGUUCCCUAGAAAACAAAAGUAGCAACCAAUGAGUACAUAUGUCACUUUGACUCGAAAUUAGAUAAUAAAAAAGGUGGCGACGCUAAUGGAUGCAUUGGAAAACAUUUAGAGGUCAAGAUUACCAUUUCUGUCUGCACUACAUGGAAGGCAUCCUUGGGAGACCACAAUCUGCUACCCUUCAUAUGGAUUUCGCCACUUUCUAGAUGGACGAUACUCCUUCCAAGGUGUCUAAGUUGGUCGUGCAUCAAUAGUUUAUUAUCGUUGGAUAUUUUUAUCAAAGACAUGCGUUUGAGGAUAUUGACCUCGAUUUCGGUCGAAUACCCAAAAAUCGCAUCCCAAUAUUUAACUACAGUUGUUUUCUCUUUGUUGAAGCAAAAACAUGCGAUAUCAAGAUAAAUUUGUUGUUGGUUAGAAUCCAAUGCUUCGUAGCUUAUCAUCAACUUCUUCUUGACAUCCUCAUUCAUCACCUUCUUUAACUUACAUAGGGCAACUUCCCAUGUUCUUCGGCAUUUUCCACGGAGCGUGGAACCCACAACAUCGAGAGCUAACGGAAGUCCUCCUAGUGCAUUGACUAGCUUUUCUGUGAUAUCCAUGUAACUAGGCGGAGGCUUGGCACAUCCCAAGGCACGCUCACAGAAAAGUUGAAGAGCAUCAUGUGAAUUCAUCUCCAACAUAUCGUAGAAUGAAAAAUGUCCACUAUUAGAGAUUGGGAGAUUGUCAUCCUCACCUUCCUUAACCAGGAAUUCAAUAUUUCUUGUUGUUAUGAUGAUUCUACUACCCCCACCAAACCAGUUGGGCUCACCUGCAAGCCUCAUGAUUUGGUCCCGGUUGUUGAUGUCAUCAAGAACAACAAGGACCUUCUUGCCAAGAAACCUUGUCUUGAUCACUUCAUCAAUGAAGAAGGGGUUUGUGCAACUAAGAUUGAGAACGUCAAACAACAAUUUCUUUUGUAAGCCUAUUAUAUCAUGAGUUCGAACAUCUUUAAGAAAACAGCAAUGAUCUCGAAAUUGAGGGUAGAUUUCCCGGAAGACGGCCUCAGCUAGUGUCGUUUUUCCGAUGCCACCCAUACCAUGAAUCACAAUAAACCGUACAUCAAAAGAUCCUACAUCUAAUAGCUUCAUAAUGUGAUCCAUUCGAUCCUUAAUUCCCACCAAAUGAUUAGACAUGUCCAUCUGUCUUGUCCAUAGCAAAUUUGAAACCUCUUCCACCAUGAGGUUUGUAAGUUUAUAUAGGCUGCCACAUACAUAACAUACAAUCAUCUCAGAUAAAAAAAAAAAUCACAUAUGGGAAUCUAUGCCAGCAUAACGUGUCACUGGAAGGUUAUCAUCAAAUUCAAAGUAAUUGACUUUGAAAGCAACCAGCAUGAAAUGAGUGGUCAUUCAUGCUGCGAGCCGUUUGCCACAAAAAAGGAAAAAAGAAAAAAAUGAAAAAUGAAAGCUGCUACUGUCGGGAUUCUUUGGUCCGGUAAAUGGUAGGAAAAAAGUUAUUUCAUGACGAAGGUCUAAUUGGGCUUUGACUAGAAUUCCUCGGUGAAUCCGGUCUUUUUUAUCUCUUCAGCCACUAAGGAUGAGUUUGAAGAUUGACAUAAAAGAAAAAGAUUUUCUCACCAGGUAGUUACCUGGAAUUUAGGAAACAAGAAUAAAAGCUCAAAAGCGUUUUUCUUAAUGUACCCGAGUAAUGGGGUAGUAACCGAAAAUGAGGAACACUUUCAGAGUAUUUAUCAGCCUUCAUUUGAGUUGCCAACAAUCAUUUUUCCGAAUAAGCUACCAAUUGUUUAACUUAGCAAUUUCAUCGGUCACAUUAAAUUUGUUGGUAAUUUAAUUGGAAUAAGUUGGUAAGUAACUCAAAUUAUGCUUGGUAUUUUGAUAAUUGAGUUCCUAACCUCAGAAUAUUUGUGAACUAUGCUAAUCAAAGCGGGUCCGUUGAUAACAAAAGUUUGUUACAAAAGGUGGGAAUUUUCAACAAAUAAAUAAACAUUGAUAAGUGGCUCACAUAGGAAUGGGUGACUUAAAUUAGUCAGUAACUUAAUCAGAGGUUAGCUAGUAGGAAACUCAUAUUUGAGUCAGUAAUUUGUUUCACGUAUUGGUAAUUUUGAAAUGUGAAGUAAACAAUUCAAAUAAGAGAUGGCAGGUUUUAUAAAAUUUGUAAAUCGGCAAACGAUCAAAAAAAAUUUAGUAAAUGACUCAAAUAAACACCGGUCACCUUAAAUUAGUUUGUAAAAUAAUCAAAAAGUAGUUGGUAAGACACAAACUAAGGUUGGUAGCUUCAUAUAAAAAUUGACAACUUUAAAACUAGGAUGGUCACGAAGCUGAGGAAAUCCGCACCCUGUGGUACCCAAUCUGGGGCCGUGAAUAGGUCAAAGCAAGAGAAACGACCAAAGUUUUUUAAAAGCAUUUUGCUAGCUGAAAAGUGAGCUGCGAAGUUAAGAGAUUUAAAUUUUUACUUUUCACACAUAUGUUGUCUUACUAUUUCAUCAACUCUUAGAUUUUCGUAAAGAUAUUUUUUUGCAUUAUUGAUUAAUUAAUUAAUUAAGUUGAUAUAGCUUGAGACUAUUGUUGCCAAAACUUGGGAUAAAAAGUGAAAAGUCAAUUUGUGCAAGAAACCUUGCUCCCUGAGCAAAAUUCCUGCCUCCCUCACUCCGGCCGAUCCAACCAUACAUCACAUAAGAUUGGACAGCGCCAAACUGAAAGUUCUUAUUUUGGAAAAAGUAUCAUAAAAUAUAAUCUCGAAAUUGAUGAAAUGAAAAUAAACUUAAUGGAAGAAGCUAAUAAUACCGUAAUCUUUUAGAUUCCAUCCUUUAAUUCUGACAACCUCUCUUAAAGCCUCCUCCCACUACUUUGCCAUAUCCUUCCCAGAGUCACUGGGUCAAUCCCAAAGGGGUCAGCUCUAUCAUUUCUUCCUCUUCGCUGUUAAGUUUUAGAAAAGUAUCCCAAAGACUUCCUCUAUGUUUCCUGCGCAUUUUUUCGUCUCCCUCGGGUACAUCAUACACUAACAAGUAUGAACUAACUAUAACCAUUAUUAGCUCGGACGCAUAAAGAAGCUCCUUACUAAGCUCUCCUAUUUUGGGCCAAUUCUUCCUCAGCUUUCAUUAGUAUAACAAAAGGAAAGGAUAUAAUAUUAAACUCGAUCUAAUUUUUCAGGCAAACAUCAUAGGCAUAAGGUCAAGAAAAAUGUAACACGUCUUUAACUUUAUGUACAGAAUGCAAUUGAAGUUAAGAAACUUAAAUAUUUUUAUUUUUUGCACAUAUAUAGUCAUACUAUAUUAACACAUCUUAGAUGUUUAUGGAUAUCUUGGUUUUUUUCCAUUAUAUAUUAAUCAAUCAAGUUGAUAUACCUUAACAUUAAUUGUUAUCAAAACUUGGUUUUAAAAAUGAAAAGUCAAUUUGUGCAAGAAACCUCGCCCUCUGAGCAAACUUGGUUUAAAAAAUGACAGAUCAUUGCGUCAAAUCCAACCAAACAUUACAUAAGUUUGGACAGCAGCAAACUGAAUCUAACUAUUCUCUGAAGGAAUAAGAAAUCGAAAUUGUCAAUAAGAAAAUAAAGUCAAUGGAGAAGCAAACAAUACCCGUAAUCUUUUAGUUUCUUUCCACUAAUUCUGGUAACAUCUCUUAAAGCCUCCUCCCACUGCUUUGUUAAAUCCUCCCCAGAGUCAUUCUUGUGCUUUUGGAAGGCAUCCUUAUAUAAAUCGGUCUUAAGCUUGACAUCGUCCACGUCCACAUCGUAGAAGAUAGGGAGGAUCACUUUCUCAUCAUUAUCUCUCGAUAAUUCCACUAUGAGUGCCAGCUCACGGAGGCACCACUUACUUGAAGCAUAAUCUUUGGAGAAAAUCGGGAUGUAAAUUCUGGAGUCAUUGAUUGCUUGCAAGAGGCCGCCUUGAAUCUCUUUGCCAAAUCGGAGCUCUUCAUCAUCUUUAAAAGCGCGGAUCCCCGCAUGGAUCAAGUCAUUGUAAAGACAAUCAACGAUGGUUAAGCGGGUGUCAGGUCCUCUGAAGUUCAAGAACACCUCAUAAACCUUCCUUGAUCCAUCAUCACGGCUACUACUUGCUGAAGCUGUCAGAGCGGCCUCUUCUCCCUCCCGCUUUCCCUUCAUUCUGAGAGGACGAUGGAGUGAUUGAUCCCUGAAUUGAGUCCGCCCGGUAACUCGGGAAGUUUGAGCCUGAUCCUUGCAACAACUUGACGAAGCAACGGAGUGAAAUCGCUCACUUCCACUGCGUUUCCUGGGAAAUCACCUGCGGUUUUCCGUUAUAAGCAAACAAAAGCAUUCAGGCUAAGUUGAGUAAAUAAUUGAUAGAAGUGGUCGAAGAGGAGGAGGUGGUCUUGGAAGUAUAAGUUGUGUGUUAAUGAAUGGUUAAAUGGUGGAUGUAGCUGGACAACUUAAAAUGAGUUUCUCUUGCCAUUGCUUUGGUACUACGCGUCGUUUGCCUGGAAGCCACCUGCAUCCUUCCUUUGUAAAUAAAAGAAUCCAAAAAGCCAUUCAUACUCGUAAUUAGUCGCUUUUGCAAUAAAGUUACAUGAACUUGAAUAUAGACCAUUAUUACAAGUUAUGAUUGCACUUCGAUGUUAGAUUGAGCGGUAACAAAAUAAAAUUGCUCGCGGAUUGAAAUUGUACACCAAAUAAAAUUGCACGCUGAUAUUUAAAUAAUGUUGAUUCUGUCGGGAUUUGAUUCGUCUCUAUCAUUUGUUUUUGGUUGAUUUAGCAUUGGACUCAUAUCGCUUAAUUGGACGUUGAUCUCUUAUGGAAAUUUCCAAGAAAAUGUGGUCCCUCCUUCACAAUAAUUCCAAUAAAGUUGAGAUUCUUCAAACAUUUUAUUCUCGAAAGUUUGACUUUUAUGAUUUUUUGAUAAUAUCAACCGUAGUUUCCCAGUAUUUUUCAGGGCCUGAAAUUUCAAAAUGCUCUUUGCCGAUCUUCCAAGUGGGUUGCCAAUCUCCAAACGGAACUUGUAAGUAUUGACAUCUUUCUUUUAUGCAAUUUGAGUUUCACUUUGCAAACUACUUGUACAAAAUAGAUCCCUUUCGUCAAGCUAAAAGGGAUCUAAGCAGGAGACUUUAGCUGAUUCUUUUGUGGUAAUUGCGAAGAAGAUACAGUUCCUCCUCCACAAGGAGAUCAACAAAGUUGAGAUUUUCCAAACAUUUUUAAUCUUGAAUGAGGGUCUUUAUGCUUUUUGAUGAUAUCACCUGAGUUUCUAGGUAUUUUCCAGGUCCUGGUCCUGAAAUUGCAAAACACGCCGUGAGUGUGUGAACACAUGAACAAACAAGUCUAUUUGAUGUGGAAUUUGGCUAUGUACAAACGAAUUGACUAGACAAACAUGCUUAAGUGCUUUUUCUUUUGCUUUUGCUUUUGCUUUCACCAGAGGGUCGGACAAAGACUUGAGGAAAGACUUGCGUCUAUCUUAAGCAAAGAGAACUAAAGUUCAUCUUUGUUUCUUAAGGAAAUUCACUCUCUCUCCUAACUCAUGUAGACUUCAUUGGGUUAGACUUGCCAAUACUCGGAUCUAUUAAUCGGGUCCAUCAAAAAUCGUUAAUCACAUAAAUAAUACAUGGAUUACCUACAAAUUAAUGGAUGUGAUCACAGUUGGUCUGCAGACCAUGAUCCAUGCAACUAUUUCUAUUCCAUGAUUAGUUGAACCAUCAAUACCUGUCAUAAUGUAAACUGCAGUAAUUUGUAAAAACUUGAAAAGCUUUGUUUUCACAAUUGAGAUCCAUUAUUUUGCGAUUUAACAAUUGCAGGCCCUCGUAGGUUGCUUUUUGGAAAGAUAGUAGAUGUUGGAAAUUUGUUUGUUAAAACAAAAAGAGUGCAUUUUCCUUUUCCUACAUAGGAAAAGUAGGAGGAAGUGGGCUAAUUAAUAAGUGUGGGCCUUCCUUUGUGUACUUAAAGGAAUGAUUGAGUGGGGCUAGACUCCACCAUACCUGCGUGAAGGUGCGCGAUUUUGGUGCACUUAGCACUUGGCGCGCCCGCGGUUUAAUUAGCACUAACCCCUUUAUGUUAUUAAUUUUUAAUAAAUUCAAAGGUUGCCUUUUAUUUUUGAGAAUUUCAGAAAUAAAAUAUAAAAAUGAAAAUUCGAAAUUUUAUCUAUUUAAAAAAAACUAUUAUUCAGAAUUUUUUAUUUGUGUUUUUUCGAGACAACCUUUGGAAAAGGUACUUAUUCAGUUUGCAAUUUUCUCGAAUGAUUGCAAUUGUUCGUUUUUCAACUUCUUCUGAAUGGACGCAUUUGUUCAAUUGGACAAUUUCCGAAAGGACGCGUUUGUUCAAUUUUUCACAAUUUUUCACGAAGAGUUGCAUGUGUUUUGAGACUGUUUUAUAUAUAUACUCGUCAUUUUUCGGAAGAACGAGAGUGAUCAUUUUCAUCUUUUCGAGCUUUCUGUCUAAAGAAAACUACGGCCAUUUUUUCAAUUGUUUCCUAGAGAUCCUAGAGAAAUACUAGAGUUGCUAUCUAGUAUUCUCAUCCGAGACUUUGUUGUAUCCUGGAGGAUUUUUGCCGGUGACCAUUAGCAACGUUGUGGGGCAAAUAAAUCCUUAAAAAAUGUGAUAUCACGCCUCAAAGUCCGAUCUGAGUACUCUAAAUAUCCGUCUUCAUUGUUCAACCAAAUUCGAAGCCAUAUUUUCCCAACAAUUCUAAGGAUUUAUUUUGCUACAAUGGAGUUGGAGACAAUCAAAGUCAUGAAUCAAGAUAUGGUUAAACUGGACCGGUUCGAUGGGAACAAUUUUGCUCGCUGGAAGGACAAGAUGAUGUUCUUGCUCACUACUCUGAAGAUUUCCUACAUACUGGAUCCUAACUUGGCGCCUAUAGAAGAUCCUAAGCCUACUGUUAAAGGAGGACAACCAAGUGCGGAAGCCAUUGAGAGGAUUAAUAAGGAAAAGAAGAAACGCGCAGAGGAUGAAUUACUUUGUUGAUGACACAUUCUGAAUACACUCUCUGAUUGUCUGUACAACUUAUUCACUGAAAUGAAGUUGGCUAGAGAAAUUUGGAAUGCAUUGGAAUUCAAGUACAAAGUGGAGGAGCAAGGUACCAACAAAUAUCUAAUUGCAAAGUAAUUUGAUUUCAAGUUUAUUGAUACUAAACCCUUACUAGAACAAGUCCAUGAAUUGCAAGUGCUUGUGAAUAAGAUUCGUGCCCUCAAGAUUGUUAUUCCAGAAGCUUUUCAAGUUGGAGCAAUUAUUGCGAAAUUGCCUCCAAGUUGAAAAGACUAUGGAAAAAGGCUGAUUCACAAGUCAGAGGACUUUACUUUGGAGCAAAUACAGAAACAUCUUCGCAUUAAGGAAGAGUCACGUUUACGUGAUAAUCUGUUUUGUACAAUUCCAAGGUGAAUGCUCUAGAUAAAAAAAGGGAAAAUCGGCCAGAACUUCAAAGUAAAAAGCGGGCAUAAAUUUAAGAGAACACAAAAGAAGAAAAAGGGUUGCUGUUUUGUUUGUGGCAAACAAGGACACUACGCCAAGGAAUGCAUUCACCGCAAGAGCAUUUCAAAGGACAAGUAUGUUCCAACAGUGAAGGCAGAUGCAAAUCUGGUUGAAGAAAAUUAUGUAGCCAUGAUUUCAACCAUGUUUUCGAACAUAAAAAUUUCUGAAAUUAAUGAUGCGAUAGCUAUGGUUUCUGAAAUCAAUUCUACCACUGUCUAAUCUGGUUGGUGGUUAUAUUCUGGAGCAACAGUCCAUGUGUGCAAGGACAAGUACAUGUUCAAGCAAUUUGAAGAGAUUGUUGACUCAAAUAUUCAAGAGAUCCUAAUGGCGAAUAAUGCUCUUGCAAAGGUUGCUGGAAAAGGUACAGUGGAGAUAGACUUCACUUCUGGAAAGAAAAUAACUCUUCUUAAUGUGUUAUUUAUACCCAAAAUUAGGAAGAACCUAGUUUCUAUUGAUUUACUUUGUAAGAGGGGGUUUCGGGUUUUGUUUGAAUCCGACAAGGUUAUCCUAUCGAAGAAUGGGCUGUUUGUUGGAAAGGGUUAUGCCAAUGAUGGCAUGUAUCAACUGAGUAUCAAUAAUAAUGUUGCUAGUUCUGCUUAUAUUGUAAUUAGAGGUGCUUGUCAAAAGCUUUCUAAAAUACCCAAUUUGCCCAAUUCAGAUAGCCAGAUCUCAAUAUAUCAAGUUUUUCUAAGCACGGCUGUACGAUCUUGAGGUGUCGGAAACUUUAUGAUUUUAUCUGAUAGAUUAGUUCAACCAUAAAGAUUAUAUCAUAAGCUUUCCAACACCAUCAAAAUCACAAAGAUCGGAAUUUUUAUGACAAAAACAUCAGAACUUUUUGCCAAUUUCAAACUGGCCUGACCGCCCAAAAUCCGCAAUCUGAGGUGAACCGCAUUUUAGCUAAAUUGAAGUCACCAGCUUUCCAUGGGGGAAAAAUCGGUUCAAUUGUACCUUAUACGAAAAAGUCAUGCUUGACCAAAUUCGGUCAAAUUUAGGUAGAAUAUGGGUAACAUUAUUUUUCGAGUUUUUCGAAGAAAAAAUGUCGACGCUUCGUGGAAGAAGACAAUUACUGCAAUAUGUACUACUUAUUUAUAAGACGCAUUUCUAUACUGUUUGUUGUUUAAUUCAAUUAUUUCGGCUAAGUUUAAAUUAAUUGUUUUGCCUAAGCCUACCUCUAGAUAAAAUCAUUUUUUUUUUCGUAUUUGAAGAUGUUAAAUUUGGACUUUAUCUAUAAAUAGCACUGGAAAAUAACACAUUGCACAGGAUGAUAUGUAAAUAAUUUGUAAGGUCAUUGGGCCACAUGGCAACACAAUGCCAAAUUUCAUGUCACGUCAUAAGUAUAGAGCUAUAGAGAAGUGUCUCGUGAACAGUAUAGGAGCAACCGCUCUCUCAACUUUGGUUUAACUCUACAUAAUAGAUUGGGCAAUUUUAGUUGGCUAACCUUCUUCAAAGUCUAUGUACUUUGAUUUCACCUAAUGGUUCAGAAAAUUGAAAGAUAUUGGUUAAAGUUUUCUAUGUUCUUUAAUUUUAGGUCCAUGCUAAUGUUAAUCUUUUAUGCAAUUUGAGUUUCACUUUGCAAACUACGUGUACAAAAUAGAUCCCUUUCGUCAAGCUAAAAGGGAUCUAAGCGGGAGACUUUAGCUGAUUCUUUUGUGGAAAUUGCGAAGAAGAUACAGUUCCUCCUCCACAAGGAGAUCAACAAAGUUGAGAUUUUCCAAACAUUUUUAAUCUUGAAUGAGGGUCUUUAUGCUUUUUGAUGAUGUCAACCUGAGUUUCUUGGUAUUUUCCAGGUCCUGGUCCUGAAAUUGCAAAACACGUCGUGAGUGUGUGAACAAACGAACAAACAAGUCUAUUUGAUGUGGAAUUUGGCUAUGUGCAAACGAAUUGACUAGACAAACAUGCUUCAGUGCUUUUGCUUUUGCUUUUUCUUUCACCAGAGGGUCGGACAAAGACUUGAGGAAAGACUUGCGUCUAUCUUAAGCAAAGAGAACUUAAGUUCAUCUUUGUUUCUUAAGGAAGUUCACUCUCUCUCCUAACUCAUGUAGACUUCAUUGGGUUAGACUUGCCAAUAGUCGGAUCUAUAAAUCGGGUCCAUCACAAAAUCGUUAAUCGCAUAAGUAAUACAUGGAUUACCUAAAAAUUAAUGGAUGUGAUCACAAUUGGUCUGCAGACCAUGAUCCGUGCAACUAUUUCUAUUAUAUGAUUAGUUGAACCAUCGAUACCUGUCAUAAUGUAAACUGUAGUAAUUUGUAAAAUCUUGAAAACCUUUGUUUUCACAGUUGAGAUCUAUUAUUUUGCGAUUUAACAAUUGCAGGCCCUCCUAGGUUGCUUUUUGGAAAGAUCGUAGAAACAUCCAUGUAACCACCGAAGGGCUUUAUUUCUUUUUUCUUCUUUUUGUGAGGAAAAUUUUCUUUCUUAUAAGUGCCAAGCCCAAAAUUUCAACUUUGUCAUGGUUAAAUUGACUACAUUUUGCUAAUGAAUUGAUGAUGACAUCUCUAAUUAAUCGAAGUCACUGAACCUUUCUCUAUCUCCAUUGAAUGUGGUCUAGAUUUACUCUCCAUUUCUGAAGAUUAUUCACACAUGCACAUACACAAAAUGUGAUCAUGUCCUGAACAUGUUAUUAUGUCCUUUUAAAGGUGGGCACCAAGUUUGAAAUCUAAUAUUAUGCAAUUGUACAGAGACUCACUUCACACACGUGCAUACAGAAAUUUAAAAUGUUUUAUUGAUAUUGACGAUUAAUUUCUUGUAAAAAUUAAGCUUCUAAUACAGACGCCUAAAUUUGAGGGAAAAAAAAAAAGUGAGAGGGAAGAGGCUUGCAAAUCAAUUAGAAUUGCAUCCAAUUUUUCACUAUCUCAGAUUUGUAUUUUAAUUGAAGUUAUGCAAUCCAAUCAUUGCACGAACCACGGAAUCCCAAUCUAGACGCCUGUCUUAAUGCCUUUUUCCUUCUAGAUAUAUAUAGAAUUAUAAUAACAUAAGAUGAUGUAAGCAGUCUGCUCCACAAGCAGACGAUUUGGCGUCACCUCUAAGGAAGCAUAAUGUAUCCCCUUCAAUCUUUUUAUCCGUAUUGUUUCUGGUGAAAAAUCUCUUCCUUGAUUUCUAGUCUAGAAAACAGCAGGCCGUUAUUGCUUUUGUUCUGCUCAUUAAAGGGUUGGCUUUUCUCAGCCAGGGCUAGGCUUCCACUCUGCUUUUGCUAAGCCAAACAAAACAGAUCUUCUCAUAUUUUAUCCAGAUAAUUGGCAUGAUCAAUGUUGCCUUUGUUCCACCUACUACUCUUUUUCCUUUGUCAUGGCAAAAUCGUCAAAUGUGAAAUUGGUGCAAAGUCGCCUUUUGCGCCCGAGAGAUAUAGAUCAACCAUGACGCAUGGUGCACUGUUAAAAGCCAAAUGUUGGUGCAAUCACACGGAAUUUUUCUAAAUCUACUAAUGACGUCAGCACUUAUCAUCUUGGUAUAUUAUGAAUAAAUAUCGUGAAUAGGAGCUAACAUUCUUUUUACAUGGAAAAGAAAAUAUUAUCUCAUCGUGACUAUAAUUUCCCCAUUAAAUUUUGGGCGGCAUCAUUUCCACCCUAUAUGACUGAAUCCAUCACAACUAGAAAGGCUAAAUUGCUUUCAAUCAUUCAAUUACAAUUUAAAGUGACAGCCACAUUCUUUCUUUUUCCUGUUUUUCUAUUUCAAUUAAGGAUCUAGUUGCCAUUACCAUGCAUUUCACGUGUUUUAUUUUUCUUAGUGUAUUAAAGAAUUUUUUUAGUGUAUCCUUAAAUAUUAUUAUAAUGUAUUACAUGCUCUAUGUAAAAGUCCCUAGUAAAAAAAAGUUAAUUAUUUAAUAUAGAAACUUGAAAGUCUCUUGUCAUCAUUGCUCUAAUAAGAACUCAUUUAGUUUUUCUUCCUCUUAUCUCAAAGCUAACUUUCUUGGUGAAUUAUUUUCUUUUAAGUUCAUUAAUCUAAACUAUAUGUCAAGUUUUUUUAUUUAUUUACUAUAUUAAAGAACUUAUCUUUUAUCCUCACUAUUGGUGAGAUGCUUUUACAUAGAGGUAAGGCAUUAUGGUAAUAUCUAGGAAUAUACUAAAAACAUUGUGCAUAAUGAAACAUCUUGAUAUUUUUUUCGUACACACUUUGUAGAUGAUAUUAAUUUCUGUCAAUUGAAAAAAUGAUAUUUUAUCAACAUUUUUAAAAAAUUUCUUAUUUUAUGCAAUUUUUCAAUUUAAUCAAAUUUUAUCUUUAAAGUUUUCCAUUGGAGAAUGUAAUUGUGAUUCUAUUUGGGAAAAUCUUUAAAGGAUAUAUUUUUUUUAUGUGAUUAACCUUAUAUAUAGAACAUAACUGAUAAGAAAUAAUUUUUUUUUUUAAUUUAACGAUAAGACGGAGUUUGAUGGGGAUAUGCACAACAAAAUUGAAGAUCUGUAAACAAGUGAUUGUGUUAAAAAAAAAUUAGCUAUAUAAUAUUUUUUUUUCUAGAUUCUAUUGGACAACUUAUCCUUAAAUUUGCUCGACAACUUGGAAAAGAACUGGGUUUCUUGGAAAUUAUUUUUUCAACAAAACUAAUUUUUAUGGUAGAAAAAUCUAACGGUGAAAAACUAGACAUUUGAAAUUCUUAAUUCUAGUAACUGAAUCCUACAUUGACAUACCAAAACUAAUAAAAAAUAAGAAAGUUCAUGAAUUUGGGGCUACCAAUUAAAUUGCAAUUGAAUGAUUUGAAGUAAUUUUGUCUUUUUAGUGAAAAUUGGGUAAAUUUAAUUAUACAUGGGAUGGAUUUAUCCAUCAACCUUUUGUUGUGGCCAGGUGAGAUUUGGUCAUCACUCAUCAAUAAAAUGUGUGCAACUUGUGAAAUAAAUGCAGGGAUUAUGGUAAGAAUGCAUAAAUUGCUGGUGUGGGGAUAAACUUUGCUAUAUUUGCUCUUUGAAGAUACAAACUUCUGAAGAAUCAAUCCAUAAUUGGUUAAACAACCAAAACGUCCAAAUCACCACUAGAUCACAAACAACAUUAGCCGGAUCAUCAAAUGCAUCAUUCUUGCAACAAAAAUCUCUUGCAAUAGCCCCACCUUGCUACUGCACAAUCAUCACAUAAAUAUGUUGCUGUAAUGGAGAAAAUCAUGGAGUCCACCAACAGUGAAAAGCUCCUACCAAUCAUACUAUAGCGGAGGUACAAAAGAUGAUGGCUGGUAUCGGGUCAGUCGAUCUGUUAGAAGAAGAACAAAAUCACAAAGAGAAUAUAGCAGCCAGAAACUAUGGAAACAUGUGCAUUAAUAUUGUUCCCCGUCUAAUCACUAUAGCAGAACUAUUGCUUACUUUGACUUACUUUGACUGUGCCGGCAGGCUCUAGUAUUGGCAUACAAGAUGUUGUUCACCAUCAAAUCAUUGCAACAAAAUUAUUACUUACUUUCAUAGUACAAUCACGUGCAAUUACUUUUGUUUUGCUCAUUAUAUUCAAAAGAUUUUCUUUUGUCAGUUGGAGUCCAUUCCGCUUUUGCUAAGCCCAACAAAGCAAAUUCCCUUAUAUUUAAUCCAAUGUCACAUGAAGUGGCAUGAUCAAUUGAUCUUUGAUCAGACAAGAGAGUAAUUAUAUUUGUAAUAAGUAAUGCAUUGAAAUGUAAUGCACUAUUAAAAUAUUUGCUAGUUCUUAUUGAUUUAUAACAAUAAUUUAAAGACCCUUUGAUAAACUAUCUAAAUUUGUCUAAUAAAUUCAAGAUUUUGAUCUAACACUCCAAAUCUUUAUCUUCAAUAGGGAAAAAGCCACGAAAAACUCUUAACUUUGCCUAAAGUGAUAUAUUUAUCUCAAAUUAUUUUUUGGAACACUAAAAAUCCCAAAUGUUGCCUAUUAUGACACAUUUACUCCAAACUUUGUUUUUAUGUGAUAUCAAAAACCUUUAACUUUUACCUGUAUGACAUAUUUAUCCCAAAUUUUUUUUAUAACACAAAUUUUUGGGAUAAAUGUCUCACACGGGUAAAAGUGUACGGUUUUUUGGUGUCACUGAAAAAAAAAAUUGGGAUUUUUGGUGUCACAAAAAAUAAAUGUGAGGUAAAUAUGUCACACUAUAUAAAUUUGGGAUAAAUGUGUUAUAUGAAUAUAAGUUUUGGGUUUUUUGUGUAAAAAAAAGAGGAUAAAUGUGACAUAGUAGGCAAAUUUAGGGUUUUUUUUUUUUAUGACUUUUACCAUUGAUUUAAAGAAGAAUAACAAUUGUGCAACACGCCUAUCAUGUCCUCAACAUGUCAUUAUGUCAUUUCAAGAGGACACUAUGUUUGAGAUCUAAUAUCCUAGUAUUUUAUAGAUAUAAAUAUAAAAUUUUAUAGAUUACUGCCAACUAUUCUAAAAGUUUAAGCUAUUAGAUAAAAGCUUGUUUAAUAUUUGAAUAUUCUAACAAUAACUUAAAUAUAAAUGUUAAAUAUUUUAUCAAUAUCGGAUAACUUCACAAAAAAAUUAGGCUUCUCAUACACGCACCUCAAUUUUGGAAACAAGAAGUGAGACAGACAAGGCUCACAAAUCAAAUGAAAUCGUGUAUAACUUUUUUGGUGUAAAUCAAGGGAUCCCAAUCGAGAUACUUUUUCUAGUGCUUUUGCUUUUAGACAAAAUUGAACUAUAAUAACAUUAUAAAAAAGAUGAUUUUAAUUGGCCACUUAGCUCCCCUCAAAUCUCGCGUGACCACAAAGGAAGCAUAAUGGAUCCCCUUUAAUCUCUUUCUUUGUUUUGUUUUUGGGGAGGAAUCUCUUCCUUCAUUUCUAGGCUAGAAAAGCAGAUUUUUAUUGCUUUUGUUUUGCUCAUUAAAUUAAGAAGGAUGAGCUUUUCUCAGCUGGAGCUAGAAUUCCAUUCUACUUUAGCUAAGCCAAAAUAUGAUAUAGAUGUAAACAUAAAAUUUUAUGGACUAUUGCAAACUAUUAUGAAAGUUUAAGCUAUUAGAUAAAAACUUGUAUAGUAUUUGAAUAUUCUAAUAAUAAAUUAAAUAUAUAUGUUAAAUAUUUUAUCAAUAUCGGCAACUAACUUCACAAAAAAAAAAUGAGGCUUCUCGUACACACGCCUCAAUUUUGGAAACAAGAAGUGAGACGGAUGAGGCUCACAAAUCAAAUGAGCUCAUAUAUGACUUUUUCAGCGUGAAUCAAGGGAUCCCAAUAGAGAUGCUUUUUCUAGUGCUUUUGCUUUUAGACAAAAUUACAUUAUAAUAACAUUAUAAUGGAUCCCAUUAUAAAAAAGAUGAUUUUAAUUGGCCACUUAGCUCCACUCAAAUCUCGAGUGACCACAAAGGAAGCAUAAUUGAUCCCCUUUAAUCUCUUUCUUUGUUUUGUUUUUGGGGAGGAAUCUCUUCCUUCAUUUCUAGGCUAGAAAAGCAGAUUUUGAUUGCUUUUGUUUUGCUAAUUAAAUUAAGAAGGAUUAGCUUUUCUCAGCUAGAGUCCGAAUUCUGUUUUGCUUUUGCUAAGCCAAAGAAAGCAAUCCCAAUUCGCACUAAUUGGUAUGGUCAAUUGAUACUUGCCUUUAUUCCACUUACUAAUAUAUUUUUCUUUUGCCAUGAAAAAGUUGUGAAAUGUGAAUUCGACUCUAGGUCGCCUUCCACUUUGAAGAGUCGUAGAUUGAUUGUAAUGCAUGAAGUACCAUUUAUAGAUUAUUUUAAGAAAAUAUACAAAUUUUCCCAAAUUUAUUGAUGGCCUUCUACAUUCAAUCAUCUUGGUAUAUUCAUAAUUGUAGGAAUAAUUAGCAUGCGUAGUAAAUAUACAUUCCUUCUACACAAAAACAAAAAUAUUAUCACAUUGUGACUUUUAAUUGUCGCAUUGAAUUUUGAUCAUAUACUUUUUUCCAUCAACUUCUCUAGAAAUUUGCAUUUAUUUAGAAGUUAUAACACAUCGGGUAAAUGUGCAUGACCCUCCUACCAAGGAAGAGCUUACAUCACAUAACAUGGAGUUCAAUGUCAGAGAUACUAUUGGCCCAUAGAAGUCCUCAUGGAUAUAUCAGACUUUGCGGGCCUAGCACUAGGGGUGAAGUUGAAUCCAACUUAGGAUUAAUUCAAGCUUGACUUAAUAAUUAGUUGUAAUCGUUUGGUCUCGAGUCGGGCUUACACUGGAGCUACACCAAGUAUUUCAUCGAGUCAAGAUCGAGCUUACUAAGACUUUGCUUGAGAGACUCGCAAUUCUGAUCCAAUUUCUAUCACUUUGUCCAGAAAAUAAUUGAUAGUUACGAAAAUCGAGGGGAAGAUAUUUGAAAAUUGUAGUAUACCUAAAGACAUAAAUGUAGAGGAUAAUAUUUGAAGUUAUUGAGCUCAAGCACAAGCCCAUAUUUUAAUUUGAUUAUAUUGAAUCAACUUGAUCUUGAAUAUCUCUAUUCUGUUUAGGUGAAGCUCGAACCAAAAAUUCACUACUCAAUGAUUUGAGGGGAGUUUUGAGCAUCGAAUAUCUAAUGGGAGUUGACCUUGAGCUUAGCACUGCUGUAUUGGCUUGAAUCGAAAAUUUGAUUUAGUAUUGUACUUAUGUUAAAUACUUAAAAGUUGCAAAAAGUUGAUUUUAGUAAUAUAUAUACAUAUUGUCAUGGAACGGACUUUGUCACCAGACUAUACCUGCAUUGCUCUAAUAUAAUAGGAAUCUCUAAGAUCUGACAACAGGAGACCCACCAUAUUACAGCACCAAGUCACUUGAUCCAAAAACACUCUUGCUGACAUGUAUUCCACAGUGGACCUCAGGUAGGCCCAUGUUUUUCCCCCGAAUUCAAAUUUAAAUUUGGUCCUUACUAAACAUACAGUCAAGGUGAAACGACACCAAAUAGAUGGACCUAACAUUAACCCAAAACUAGCGCACCGAACACCAAAAGUGAAAACUCAAGCCCAAGAGGUUCUCAAUCAAAAUCGUUUACAUGACAAGCUUUGUGUAAUGCAGUAAAUCUAAGUAAACCUAACCAAAAUCACUCUGUGGUGGGUCAUAACCAUUGCGAUCGCAGAGCGGCGCAUAAUUCAUUCACCUAAUUGAAAAUGGGGAGAUCAAAGUCGUACUCUCAUCCAGGAGUACACAUUCUGCUACCAAGAUGUGAGCUGAAAAGAUUCCUUUAAGAGUCUUUGGCAGGAGCACCAACUUGACGGAUUCUCUUUUGGGAACAUCCCAAUUAUACACACGAGCAAACGUAACCUGCCAAAUAAAAAUUCACCUCUCAAGGGCUGUUUCACCCCCCCAAAACAGAAAAAUUUCCCAGGGCCACCAUCCUAAUUGCCAUGAUAAACUAAAGGAUAUGGUCCUACAACAAGCUUUGAAUUUUUUCAAGUUCACAUUCGUGCAAACAUACCACACUCCAGUUUAUCACCAAUGAACAUGUCUUCCCAAUUUAUAUCCUCAUGACAGUAACAAAAUUCAGAGCAACAUUAGUUCGACCCUAAUAGACCGACCCAAAACUGACACAGUAAACAGCUUGAAACAAACAUGGACCUCCAAGUUCCAAAUCAUUCUGACUUACCUGCAUGAUUGUUACUUGGUCCCUUAUGAAUUGUAGAUCAGCAACAAGAACUUCUAAACUUGCUUUAGCAUUUUCUAAGUUCUUUUGUAGAAGGGUUGUGGCCUGCAACAUAAAUUUUUGCAAUAAAUAAGAUACUUGACAUCAUUAUUGGAGAGAGGGACAUUGCUUAAACACGAGUACAACCUCUUCACAUGAACACUCCAACAUAACAUUUGCUCCCAGCCAUAAACAUACUGAAUCAGUAUCUUCAAUACGAGCUUGUGAAUAUAUGCCUUCAGAGACUUCAAAAUCAGCAAGGAGUGCCUGUAUGCAAUAUAAAGAGUCAUUAAAACCAGUCAGCUUGGUGCCUAUAAUCUUUUGCGCCAUACAAGUUUUGAUAGUCUUAGGUCUUAAAGCCCAAUAAAGUAAUCCCACCCCAUGUUGGUUUCUAAUCAGAACUUCAGACAUCAAAGCAACUAGCUAAACAUUACUGGUGAUAUUCAGGUGUUCAAAUCUAAAACCACCUCAUUAUUGAGAUCAGCAUGGGCUCUUCAAAGCACUAACCUAGAUUAUUAGGAAUGUUGCUUCCAGAAGUGCAUUCGCAAAGGAGAAAAGACCAUUGGAUAUUUCACAUCAUGUCAACCACACCAAAAUUAGUCCUAGUAUGGCAAGAAUUAAACUAGGCUAUCCUCCAUUUGCUUUAUAAAGAUAGAAAGGGAUGAUAUGAUCAAAGAGAGCAAUGAGGAGCAAGAAGAUUUUUGUAAGAUAAUAUUUUUUAGCAUAACAAGUUUAUGAUAAAAAUUUAGUUGCCAUGAUAUAUAAAAGAUCACUGAUCGACUGUUGAGGAUUCCAGAUGAAAAACAGAAACUGCGAAGGAAAAAAAUUGGUGGAUUCUAAGACAAUACAAAGAACUCCGGAUUGAAAAAAUAAUGAUCUGGUUACGUGAUAACAAGUUUACUUUGUGAAAAGCCUCAACGGUCAACAGCAUGAGUCUGACAGAUACAAAUUAAGUAUCCUCAGUCAAAAUACAUGCAUUGAAAAUUGUUCAGCUCGAGUUUCAAACUUAAAUUCCAGUUCUGAGGCCAUGAUUCAAUCUUACUGUAAUAGAAACACAUGUUCAUUAUGCACGCAUAUAAUGGCAUCCUCAAUCACAGGUCACUUUGCUAUAGCAAAUAAGCCAGUUUGCUUCAGUCAUUAUGCAGGUUUACAUAUCAAAUAAAUAAUAGACGAAACAAGAGAAAAUUGUUGUGGUGGAAUGGUGUGGUGAAGUAAUUGUUGCACGAAGGUGCCCCAAUUUGAAAUGAUUGAUAAAUUCAAAUCCUGGAUUUUUGUAUUGAGAGAAAUAUCAUAGCUUUGUUUAUGUACUGUCCGAGGGUUAAUGGUCAUAGCCUAUUUAACAAAGUAAACCUCAGUGCAAAGAAAGAUGGAGGCAGCACAUACUAGUACUUGUGUUUCUGUGUGUUUGCAUGUGUUUGCAUGUGUCUGUUGAGAGAAAGAAAGAGAGAGAGAGAUAGAGAGAGAGGGAGGGAGGGAGGGAUGGAUUUUGGUGGAGGGGCUAAGAAGCCUGGCGACCUCAUAGUCGAUGUUUUGGAAGGACUAAUUGUGCGGGAUAAAUCUCACAGAUUCUUGUCCACUGCAGAGAUAUGGAUUUACAGCACAUGAGAAGGAAACUUUGUUGAUGCAAGAAGGUAUUGUCAGGAUUCACCAUUUAUGCAGAGCCUGGUAACCAGAAGAGAAUGAGAUGGCCAAAUUUUUAGUUUUCUUACACGAGAUAGCUGGUAAUAAAGAAAUGGGGAAGAAUUCUAUCCAAAGAAGGCGAGGGGGUAUUAGCUGCUUAGAUGAAAACAAUAUGGCACUAUUCGGCAUCACAGGUUUUCCGCAUGUGUGAUUGCCUGGGGAGUGUUUGCCAAUAGCCAACAUACAAAAAGAAACCAAAAACAAGAAGAAGGGUGCAUACAAACAGAUACUAGCCUACGCAAAAUCAAUGAGAAUCCUCAGAUCACCAACUGAUAUGUUGCCCUUGGACAAGAUCUCCUUGGCACAUAAAUAUGCAGGAAAAGAUGCAGAUAGAUAUGGUGACCAUGGAAUUGAAUCAUACCAAAUCCAAAUAUUGACCUUUUUGUUAGUCUAGAGAAAGAAAUAAGAGAGCCUUUACAUGUUGCAUUAAGGAAAAGGAUGGCUUUAGACUUCACAUAUGGUUAACAAUUUCUAAGGCUAACUUCUUACCCCCAGUUUGUUAGAUUCACUCUGAUGUAAAUUAGUCUGUUAAAAGGUUUGCUUGAUAAAGCUAUUGCUUUCUGAAGUAUAUUCAAUCAGCAAGAAAGCAUUCUCCCAUUUAAAUGAAGGGAUGCAUGAAAUAAAUGAAAUGCUUAUUUCGUUCUAUACACAAGAUACUGAUACCAGCUCUGAGCUCCCUCAAGGGUUCAGUGAAAAAAAGAAUAACAGCGAAUGAGAAACAGUUUUAAAAAAACAAAAAAGAAAAAAAAAACUCCUGAAUUAGAUAUAUAUCCACCUUUCUUUUUAAGAUUUUCGCAAUACCAUUAACCAGGCUCUGAACUAGAAUAACAAGCAAAACAAUAUCUCUUCCUAUACUCUUGCGCUUUCUCAAAGGAUGAGAAAUAUCCACCGAAGUGAUUUCCUUUUCUAAAUAGAACCUAAAUGCAAAUAAUUCCUACUCAUUUUAAGAUAAGCGAUUGUAAGCCUCUAAUGCACGACCACCAAACAUGGAAGAUAAUACUGAUGUUUUUCAAUGACAAAACCAUUUGAUGUGAUAAAGUGUAAGGAAGAUUUAUAAGUAUAACAAGCAGGAUGCAACACCUAAUAAGCAUGUUCCCCGUACCUUUAAAUGAGAAAAAUUCCUAAAGUGGAGAAAAUAAACAAGGCUUAAUAUUUAGUGAUGUGCAUCAACAUUUUUCAUUUCCAUAAAUGGGCCAAGCAAGCAUUUUAUAAGGAAAGUCUCUUUCUCAUUCUAAUUACCCGUAAACAUCUUGACCUAAUUUACCCAAAGGUAAGUAACUGCAAUCAUCUCAAGAUUCAAAGCCUCGCAAUUUCAACACAAGGUCGUCAAUCAAUUGGGCACCCCUCAACUAAAUUACUGAAAUCCACAGCUUGUUGUUAAAAAGCAAAUAACCACCAUUUCCCUAUCAACUUGUGGAAAUAAAUGAUAAUUCCCCCAAAAUCUUGUUCAUGUAGUCAAAAGUAUGAGUUGUGUGAGACAACAAACCUCACCAGAACCCUUCUUGGCCUGUAGAGUGGCAACUAUGUCUAAAAACUUUUCAAUAUCAGGAAUUUUUGCCUGGCAUUUAAUAUAGACAUUGAAUUAACAACCCAGUAAAAAGCAAAUGAACAAGUAUCAUGCUGACAUAGUAACAAUAACAUACUAGCAAAGUGAUCAAGUUCUGUGGGAACAAAGCACAAAGUGCACUUGGAUCUAUCAGGUCAAUGUAAAGAGAAAUUCAUCGUGAGACGUCAAAGAGGUGCUAACCAUCUGGAUUUGUUUUAACUUGUUAUUCUAGAUUAGAUAAAAAUAAUUGCAGCAGUGAGCCAAUUUCUCAUUCUUUUUUAGGGGAAAAGUGAAACUCACUUGAAUUUGUGAAGAGUUUUAAGUUGAAUAGAAAAACAGAACUCAGAACCGACAAGCAUCCUUCAUAAUUGAGGAUAUGCCCAUUCCAUUAAUGAAAAAUGUAAAAUAUUGAAUAAACAAUGCACUACAAAAGACAGAACUCAGAACCGACAAGCAUCUUGUUGUGUUACUUGUCCUAGUACAUUUCUUUUUCCUGAAACUAAAUAUUCAUCGUGAUUAAGCCUUUGGUAUCAAUAUCUCUAGUCAUGUCUUUACACCUCUUAAGAAUCAAGGAAAAAGUAGCACACUUAAAUGCUUCAAAGUUCUUUACCCACACAUGCACGUCCGCCCACCUCCAUGUUAACCAUUGCGCAACAUUUCAACACUGCAUUGGUUAUACUAUACCCAAAAAACCAAAGAAAAAGAAGAGAAAUAAACAAGGUCCGGUGCUAGCACAAGGGCCGACAGGAGGGAUGGUGUCUACGGUAUUCAGCAGAACAUUUGAAUAUGGAUCUUUGUCUGUGAUCACUUGAAGAAAAUGAACAACGAAAUGUAACUCAACAGCGAAUUCAAUAGCAGAUAUAACGAUACAAAAGAAUCAGUCGAUGAGAAAUUAUACACAAACAUCUAUAGGGAUGUCGAUAAUAACAAAUCCCAAAACUAGCAUCGAUAGAGUCAGGAAACCUUUGCCAGCAAAAAUACGAAUUAGAGAAAGGCAGCGAUUACGCCAAACUGACAUAGCAGAAUACAACAACACACCUGAAGAUCCCUCUGUUGAGCUAGGAGUUUCAUCUCAACCGGCUUGUAUUGCUGCAGCCUGCAAGCAUCAUCCCACCAAUCGCCACAAGUACUCUUAAGACCCCCCCCCCCCCCCCCCCCCCCCCCAAAAAAAAAAAGAAAAAUCCAAAAUUUCAACAAACAUCUCCUUCACCAGCACCUUCAGCCUAGCGGAAGCAAAAGCCCCAAACUCAGGAACACCUCGUAACCCCUCCCCGAUCCGCCAUCACGGCUGCUGCCUGUCCCAGCUGCCGUCGCCGUCUCUUCUCCCUCCCUCUUUCUCUUCAUUCUGGAAGGACGACGCAGAGAUGGAUCUCCGAAUUGGGUCUGCCCGGUGACUUGGGAAGUCCGAGUCUGAUCCUCGUAGCAACUUGACAAAGCCACGGAGAGAGAUCUCUCUCACUUUCGCUGCGUUUGCCUGGAAGUUACAUGCGGCCUUCCUUCGUAAGUGAAAAAGCCAUUCAGAUUGACAAAUUAAUUGCUUCGAAGAGGAAACACGGCGGAAGAGAGAGAGAUGGUGGCUUGGCCGAGACGGGACGCGAAACGAUUGGCGCAGGCGAUGGCCGGGGGCGGCUCGACGACGAGGGGUGAUGGCACGGGAAGGGGUUACGACGGCGACGGCGACGUGGCGGAGGCUUGCGGUUACCGAUUGGUGGAGGGAAGAGACCGAGGGAAGAAUAGGGGAUUUUUCGUAGUCCGGAUAUUUUUUUAAGGAAAUUCGUCAAAAAAGUGAGGGCAGUUGGGUCAUUUAGGAGGGUAGCCGCACCAUAUACACACGGCGGGUGAACAGAUAUACCAGAGUCGCGUGUUUGGAGUGCUUUGCGAUAAGAAAGGAUUAAAACUAAAACUAGGUACUUUGCCCAAUCUUUACGAGAUAUCAUAAUAAAUGUACUUUAAAUAUGUUUAUUUUCAUUUUUAUUUUAUUAUUGUCGAUAAUUUUGGAUUGUGUAUAACACUCUGUUUGCUAUCCAUUAGGUAUAAAAUUACCAAAUAAAACCAUUUGUCAAAUCAAACAUGAAAGUUUUAAGUCAAAUUUAACUUUUCAUAAAGGUAUAAUAAAAAAUUAAAAAAAUUGAAUAUUGCUACUUUCUAUACCAACUAUUUGUGGAUUUUUUUUUUAUCCGAUACAAUAUCUCCAAAGGACAUCUUAAUUCAACCUCAAUGGUUGAGUUAAACCUCAAGGCCAUCUCAACUUGUUCCUUGUAUAAAAAUUCCUAUGUGACAUCCAAGAUGGAAAGGAGAACAUGUUAGAAUAAGUCAAUCUUGGACGGUUGAUUGCCAGGACUAAAAAGCAUUCAGCAUCGGGUCUCUAUCCCACGCUUGCAAUCACAUUACAUCUAUUACCUGCUAUUAAGUGCUUGUCUUGUAAAAAAGAAAAAAGAAAGGGUAAAAGUCAUCUAAAAACCUAAAUAAUAUUUACAAUGAUACAUUUACCCAAACUUUUUUUUUGUAACACCAGGAACUCUAAAUUUGUAUCUAUGUAACAUAUUUAUCCCAAAAUUGUACGGUGAGACACAUUUAUCCCAAAAAAAAAAAUCUAAUAUAAAAAAUCCUAAAUUUGUAUUCAUAUGACACAUUUACAUUUGAAAUUUGGCAUCACAGAAAAGAUUUUGGGGACUUUGAUGUUACAGAAAGAAAAAAAAAAUUGAGGUAAAUAUGUUAUAUAGAUAUAAGUUUGGGAUUUUUUGUGUAAAAAAAAAAAGUUAGUGGCAAAUGUAUCACACGGGUAAAGUUUGGGAUUUUUUUAUGACUUUCUACCUUUUAUUUAUUCUUUCUUCUCUACAUGGGCUAAAGAACGUAGAUCUUCAUACGUUGACAAGUAGUGAUUCACCUUUGCUCUCACCAGGACGGAAGGGGUUUCUUUCAUUUGCUUAGCACCGACUUAUAUGGAGCACACGCUCCUGGUUCAAUCCUGUCUUACACACUUUAAUCAAUGUUUCUUAAGCAUAUUAUGAUUUCCGCUGGCGUUGUUCUUAAGCUGUAGAAAAUCGCCAGGAUGGAGACCAAGGAUUUAGAGCGACGAUUCUCGUUCUUUGACUUUGGAUGCCUCCAUCAUUCCAAGGACAUUAAACAUGAGAAGUGAUGAGAUAAUGUCGCGAUUUUCUAGCAUCAGCAGCCCUUCUUCCCCACCCCAAGAAAACACUACCGGCAGCCCUUCGUCUCCAGAAAAUGACUGAUUAACUACAUAAAUUCCCAGUCAUUUCCAUGAUAUUUCUCUCUAACCGUGGCGUAGGUAUAGGGAUUUGUCUUUUGAUCAUCAAGUAAAUAGAUUCUAAUGAGAAAUUGUUGUUUAAGUUAAUUCGUUUUCUUUCACUUGGGGUCUGCUCCCGUAAUUCAGAAUGCUGAUAAGAUGAAUUUUGCUGAUAUCGAAAAAGAAAUCAACGGUGUUGUGACGAAGGCAAAUGAAUGAUGGUUCCAUCUCCUAUCAUCCACCCUCGUCAAGUUUGCGACCUUAUCAUCUCAAGUUGAAAUCCCGUAAUGUAACUUUUUCUCUCCAAUUUUUGCGAUUGGGUUUGCUUUGUAAUCGGUGCAUGUCUUAAAGCAUAACUUCCUCUUUUUUUAACUUGAAGUCUUCUGGCAUUUUGUUGAAAUCUGACAUAAAUUUUCCUUUUGAACAGCCUGCGAUAUUAGGCAUACCCUGAGAAAACCAGUAUCACGAAUUCAUUCUUAUUCCUGACUUAGAACAAUAUUCAUUUCCUGGUAUACUUGAGAAAACCAUGGAAUGAUAAAGCAGUUGAUGUUCCAUUUCAUUUCUUCUAAUUCGGCGAGUCCUUCUAGUUGCGGCCAUUGCAGAUUGCCAUUGAACUGACAUUUUAUUGGAAUAUGAACUUAAAGUCUAUCUCGAGGGGAUCGAGUUGCAUAUUGUUAUAUAGCCAUACAUGUGCUGAUAACAUUCUAUACUAGCGAAGACUAGUAGCUGUCUCAUUCUUAUGCUGAAUUACAUCCCCUACAUGUAGUUAUCACAUGAUUGUGAGAGGAGUUGCAAUAAAUCACACUCAUCUUUCGGUGCAAGUUUCACGAGCCCACUCUAAGGAUACUAGUUUUGGGUAUUCAACACGACUUAUGGUAGCUUAAUUUCAGAGUCAAUGCUUCAAAGAUAAUGUGGUAAGAUGUUGUCAUGACUUAUCUAAAAGAAGAAAGAGCAUGUCCACUGUAUAUCUUUUCAUAUGUUGUCUCUAUUGAUUCUCAAGCCAAUUGAACUGAGAAUUCCUUCAAUAAGUAAGCAAUUCCAUGAAUUGCAGACUGGGCUUCAUUUCAUAAUGAGCCGCGCUUUUCACUCCAAACCACGUUACAGGGUAGAAGUGGAUAUUUUCCUUGAUCAAACAUAAAUUAAAUUUGAGAGAGGUAUUAUAUUAAAAUGAAAUGCUCUAUUAAAAUUUUUGAAUUCUUUUUAUUAACUGUCUAAAUCUGCCAGGUAUACUCAAGAUUUUGAUCUUGCACUCUAAAUUCGUGCAACACACGUGUUUAUCUUCACAGACACACAAAAUUUAUGACGUUAUUAUGUCCCAAACAAAACUUUAUAGAAUUAUUACGUCACUGCUGAGGUGGGCACCAUGUUUGAAAUCCAACAUUAUGGGAUUAUCUAGGUAUAGAUCAGACAACAUAUGCAUUUUAACUUUUUUGACCAGAGCGUUGUAUUUAAUCCAAAAUAUGACAUUCAAUCAUCGGGUGAAUUCAAGGAUCCAAACGAGAUGCUUUUCUAGUGCGUUUCCACUUAGAAAUAUGAAAUUCUAUAGUAAAAGCCCAAGCGGACUCAAUUUCAAUUGGAUUUCCCACCUUCCGUGGAAAUAAAUGUAGGCUUUUACAAUGAGAAUGCAUAGAUGGGACAAACUUCCUAAUUACUUGGCCUAUUUUUGCUCCUUGAAGAUGCAUGCACUACAAAAAUCCACAGUUCUCAUACUAAUUUUGCAAAGCGAUUAACUUCUCAGAAGCUGUAAAAUGAGUCUAUAUAAUCAUGUCAAAGCACGUAGAUACCAUUUUUAUGACAGCCCGCAUGAUUUAUGAGGUAGCUAUUCCUUGAGUUCACUUUUGUCGUGUUUUUAGGUGAUAUUCUGUUUAAUUUAAAAUAUACUAAGUUCAUUUCGCUUUCUGAUAUAUAUAUGCUACCCUCCUAGAAUUAGGAGAUAUGUACAUAUGCAAUGAUAAUCUUAUUUAGAGUUGCAUCCUGAAAUUAUGUCAAGACAUAAAUAAUUGUAUCUUUGGGCCAUUUCAUGACACAAAAAUGUUUACUGUUGGUGCUUUGAAAUUUUUUCAUGCAUUCCGAUCUAAUUAUUUUAUUUUUCAGAGUAUUCGGAAUCUCCACGUAUGAUUCUAGGAAAAGCAUUCAAUUCCUCUAAGUUCUUUUAUAUAUAGAUCUAGGCUCAGUGCAAUAUCUCAUAGAAAUUGCCCAACAUCUGGCGUAACCAAGCGUAAUGGAUCCCCUUUUACCUUUUUGUCUGUUUUGUUUUUUUUUUUUUUUGUGAGAAAUCUCUUCCUUUAUCUUUAGGCUAGAAAUAUUAGAUAUUAAAUGCUUUUGUUUUGCUCAUCAUAUUAAAAAAGAUUAGCUUUUCUAAUUAGCCUAUUAAUAACUGAUAAGUGGCAACUUCUGAAUAAAUAAGAUUUUGCAUGUUAAAAUAAUUAACCUCCAAAAUUGCGAUGGAUGGAGUUUCGGAGAGUUGACAUUAAGUUUUCGAACUUAGUAAUCCACUUACUACCUACCGAGGGAAGGUCGCAACAACUUUGGUUUAUGAGAUUAGCUUCUGUACAAAUAUGGGUAUUAUCUACUAUUCCUAACUUAUUCUCCUUGCUAUCAUGGUAAAACAAACAAGAGAAUAGUCUUGAAUCCACUCUACAAACCAAACUACAAAUUAGCUAUUCCGUUCCUAGUCCUACUCUCUUCCAAUUUUAUGAAAUAUCUAUUCCAUUCCUAUCUUAUUAUAUCUUGCAAUCGAAACAUCACGACACAUCUAAGAUAGCUUUUUCCAGUGAGUCACCUCACCAUGAGAUUAGAUCUCUCACUAUCAUACAUGAAGAAACGUAGAAAUGUAAUCUCAACCAUCUAACUUUUUCACUUGAUAUAUAAGUUACUCAUUCUUGUAGUAAAAAGAUCUUAUGUUUGGAACAAAUAUCUUCUACACGGUGAAUGUCAUUUAUGUCAUUUCUUAGAGGUAAAAAGAUUCAUUUGCUAUAAGGGAGCCGCAAGUGGUCUCUCCAUGCCACAUUUCCUAAUUUUUAGGCCGAUCACCUAUGAUCUCGUGUCUUGAUGUAUUCAUAAUUUAUUUGAAUUACAUCAAUUAGAAAACAGUUCCAAAGAGAAUCUUUCAAGCCAAGAACAAAAGCAAAAAGCAUAUUCACAAACAAGAGUCACUAUGACUGUACUGAUGAAUUACGCCAUCAUCAAACCCUUUUACACAAAGACAAAAUGACAACAAAUAACAUGAACAACAUAGUGCAAACGACUUCAUCUGAAUUACUCAAGCUCAUAAUUUUCCAUUGUCCUUCAUAGCCAAAUCUUGAGCCCACGAUUUGUCUCAUCACUUUGAAUGCGGUGCUCUAAGCCAAAGAAGUUGCGAAAAUAGCAGCUCUUACCAAAAUGUCGCGACUACUCGAAAUUUAUGACUGGAAGUUGCAAAUUCACCUGAUGAACUGUUCUAGAGAUGUCGUGUUCCCAUACAAGAAUGAGAUUAGUGCGGGGAUUAACUCCAACAUAUGCAUAAUAAGCCACUAUCAGAAUCUGCAGUUGAAAUUCGGAUUGGAGAUGCACAAUUCUUGUUGUGGGGACAAAUGAUAGAAUUCAACGAAUGAAAAGAAUUUCUACGGAGUCUUCUCUUCUCGGAAUCUGAGACUGACGGCCUUGCCUUUGAAAUAACGGACUUCAGAAGAUAGUCGGUUAUAAUUGGCCUUUUCCCAUGCUGAUCGCCCUCACUACUGUCAAGAAGAUCGUAAACAGCUUGAGGUUGUGCAUCUGAAAGCAGAGCUUGAAGAUCCGCUCCGGUGAAUCCUUCUGUCAUGGGAGUAUAGCAUCUAAGUACACAUCACUGGCCAAAGGAAGUUGCACGAGGGCAUUAAAGCAUACACUUAGCAAAACUUUAGCGUUGCCGAAUGGUUGCCACUUUACUGAUUGAUUUUAUAGAAUCGGAUUAAUAUAAUUAAUUGAAUACACCCAAUAUCUUCCUAAUUAGUGAACAGAAAAGAAAAGGAGAGGAUAAAGAUGUCUUAGAAAGGUUAUACUAAAUGAUAACCAAAGGCAAGUCUUAGUCCCGUUUCUCAUUUUUCUUUCUGAGCAACAUCAGUAGAUUUUAGAUCCGAGUUUAAAAGUGAUUUACUAUUGGACAUCUAAACUUAAUUGAGCCUCACCUAAGCGUGUUGCAGAUCCACCCCACAACAUCUUUUACAAUGUUCUCUUGUAAUUUACAAUGUUUAGGGUGAUUUGGGGUGCAAGGACUGAGAACUCCAUGGGAGAAGGAGUUUAGCUUUUAACUUAACAUGUAUCACCAAAUGCACUCCCUCAGAUGACAUAAGUUCAAAAUAGGAUCUUUAGCAGCACAAAUCGACUCUGCUUCUAACUCUUCUUGUUUGUUUUUAAGCAAUUUUCUGUUCAUACGUAAUCUUUCGGAUGCAUCUUUUUGGAAAAUGUAGGAUUGCGGUUAUAUAUUUCUUUAACAAGUAAUCCCAUAAAUUUCAAUAUGUACAACCUGUUUCGGACCACGUCAAAAAUGAAAUGCUCAAAGCAAAAGCACUGGCAGAUCGAUGGAAGCUAACUUUCUACCUUCCUGGAUAUAAGUCUAAGAAUAUCCAGCCUCUCCUUUAUAGAAGGAAAAUCACAGAACAUAAGUUGAGCCAGCCAAGUCUCAGAAGUGCAGUGUCAAGUAAGCGUAGUCUACUGCUUCACAUGGAAUGUAACUCAGGUAGCACUCAAAGCACAUGAAUAGACAAUGAUAAAAAGAAAAAGCAUCCUCAGAAAGAAAAGUGAAUUAGAAUUAUUAGUAGAUGGAUGAACCCUGAGCAAAACAAAAGAGCACCUCACAUGGCAAAGAUAUCAUGACAAUUGAGAAAUUGCGUAUACUCGAUGUCACAAGACUCAAAUGAUCAACAUCAGUUGAUGCCGUUGUAGAGGCUCAUGACUAGCAUAACACUUCUUGUAAGCUACUUCAGCAACUGGAAAGUAAUUCGUGUUGUGACAUCCUGGAAUUUCAAUUAUGUUUUCAAUUAAAUAAAUCGGAUCUUUCAUCGACGCACCUAUAGUGCUAUUCUCAGAGCUGAUCACUUCUGAGAUAACUAGAUUAUCUGGGAAAGUCAUUAAGGAAUUUUAACGUAUUAGACUUGAGAAUUCAACUCGGAAUCGACUACUCGACCGUGCUCAUCUGUAGAGAUCAUUUCGACACAGUAAAGAUCGAUUAGAAAUUAGAGAUAGGUCAAUUCGACUGAGAUGUGUGGUUAAACGUAGGUGAUUCCACCAAAUUGAAAAAUUCUCAUCGAUUGACACUAAACUUAUUUUUCUGUCGUUUUAAUACCUUGUGUCCGUAUUUGAAAUCUCGAGAUUUUCACGACAACCGAGAGUAGCAAAUGUGUCGAAGAGGUUUAUUGUGGCUUGAAGAAAAUCGACCACGGGUCAUUUGCGCUAAAAUUUUUUGAAAGCUACCCUGUAGCUUAUGUCACGCUAAAAUCACGUCAAAUUAAAAUUAACGGCAAAUUUGAAUCCGAUUUUAGAAAUUGAAAGUUUUGUCAUAUCAUGAGUCAUUUUAGGAACGUCGACUCAGUCUUUGAAAAUUUUUCUGCAAACUGAGAUUUUGGUGGAAAAAGUCAACAUAAGGCCGUUUUCGAUCGGGAAAUUUCGAUGACCCUUUUUUAUUGCAAAAUUGGGAUGCAAGUAGGUUCUAUUGGUGAGGAAAAAUACCAACUUGAUUGAGGACUUGAAGGUUGAAUUUUUAGAGGACAAAUUGCAUCGAUUCAAGGAGGAAUUGAAGUUGAAUUUGAGGAGAAGACUUCCAAAAUUCGUAGCCCCCUUUCCUCAACCUUUGGACCCUCUCAUUUGGCUUCCAAGACAAGUUUUGUGGCUGCUUUUGGGCUAGGAAUCUAGAUAGCAAUGGUGGGCCUCACCAAGAGGACAAGAAGAUAGAGAGAAGACCUUGGUGGCCCCCUCCAAAGCCCAACCGGUCCCCCUCCUUCUCCUUCCUCCUCAUCCGUCGACCCCCUUCUUGUUUAGUAGCUUGAAGCUUCUAGCAACCUAGAAAAUCGACCAAACCGGCUCCCUCCUCAGUCACAUGCCCGCCAGAGCUCGAGUGCCACUCGUCCGCCCAUCGCAAGCCGCAUCGUCGCUGCUCGCAUCUUGUUGCUUGCCGUGCAUCCCCAACCGCUGCCCCGCCUAGCUCUCAUGUCCAACAAGUCGCCAAGCUAUUAUCCGUCACCACCGUGGUCACCGGAGCCACCGCUUGCCCCCACCUGGACUCGCUUCAGCCCCUCUGCCCAUCCUUGCUCGUUUCCACCUCAACCAGUCGCCAGUUCCAGCUCUCUUGGCCAAGAGCAGAAGCCGAAGCUAGUGCAUUUUCAAUCACUGUUUGGCCCUUUUUGUGGCCUUCCAGACCUUGAAAAGCGCACCCGCUUUGGUGUUUAUCGAUCCUCUCCACGUUCUCGUCGUUGUGGUCCAAGCAGAUCGUUAAUCAAGUGAGUUUAACUCACUAAUCUCCGCUUAGUAAGUUAAUGACGCUUAAGGAUUGAUUAGUUUAAGUUAAGUAUGGUUUAGGUAGAUAGUUAGAAUAGAUUAGCAAUUUAAUCAUUCGAUAUUGCAUGUUAGGUGGUUAGAGUAGUGUAAUUAGAGCCUAGAUAAGCUCUAGUAUUUAGCUAGAGAGGUUCAAAAAAUUUCUAGGCCCGUCUCGGCUUUUAAUUAGGCUUUUCCGGCCUAAGUUGCAUUUUUGGGUAUUUAAUAAUUAAUUUUCGGAAUUAUUUAAUUAAUUAUUAUUUUCCAAAAAUUGAAUCGGGAUAACCAGUGACUAAAAUUUUAUGCUAAUCACAAUGGUGUGAUUUGUUUAAUUAUUUGAGUGUUAUUUUGUGCACAUUGAGUGUAAUUUGUGAUUUUGGGUAUUUAUCCCGAAAUUUAUUAAUUUCAGUAUUAAAUUAGAAAAUUACCGAGCAUCGGUUUAUAACGCUAAAAAUAUGUUGAUAGACUAUAUAAUUAGUGGGAUUUUAUGAAAUAAAAAUAUUAUAUUUUUAGCUCAGGCCGAUCGUGUACUUACACACGAUUAUUUUUAUCGGGUAUUUUUAACACGAAGAAAAUAGACCAGGACAUUAUUUUAAUUGAGGAAUUCAUGUGGGAAGCUCAAUGUCCUUGGCCAUGGGUGAAUAAUCAUGUGGUGGUUUAUAGUCGCGGUAAGAUGACUAUUGAAGGAUGAGGUAACGUAUGUUGUGCAUGACAAUAUGGGAUGGGCCAAGAAAACCACCGAAAUAUGGAUGUGCCCAUUGGGUCGUGAUUAAUCGCUGAAGUAUGGUUGUACCUAUAGGGUCGUGAUUAACUGCCGAAGUAGGCUGUGCCUAUAGGGCUGUGAUUUAUUGCCGAAUUUGGAAUAAGUCGUGCCCAUCGGGUCAUGAUUUACCGCAACAUUUAGUAGGGCGUGCCCAUGGGGCCAUGAGUAGUAGUUGGAAUGAGUGAUUGAUUGAGAUAUAGUACGAUGCGUUCCAAUUGUUGAGUGAUGAUUGGACUUAUAUGAGAUAUAAAUUGUACAGACUUGUAGGAGGAAACUGAGGUAAAUGUAAGUCCUUUGACCUGUGCUUGUGCUUAGGUAGCCCUUGGGGCAUAUUUUUUUCCUAGUCGGGUCUUAAGGGGGUGAACUUACUGAGAUGUCGUUUCACCUUGUUGUAGGAUAUCAUUUGUAGGUCCCUAGAUGGCAGCUCCUCCCGAGCCGUUUGGACAGCCAAAGAAGGUCACAGAGCGAUAUCUUUCAUCUCGCUUCAUGGGAGCCCAAGAGGAUGGGUCUAUGAGCUCAUAAGGUCAGUGGUUUGGGUUGAUGAGGCUUUACCCCACAAGGUACCCCAUCAAUACAAAUCAUAGUACCAACGUGCGCAGGAUAGACAAAGAGAGGGUCCUAUACCGAAAUGUAAGAUACCUGUGUAUGUGCUAAAGGUUACUUUUGGGAAAGGCACAUCAUAUCCUCUCAGUGGUUCAGUGGUAGACUUGUAUUUGUUGGAUCCAGGAACUCCGGUAUAUUCAACUGAAGGCUCUAAUGAGGAUGAGGAUUUGUAGUUUUAUUAAACCCCCCUAUUUUACAGACCCUGUUUUUAUAAACUGGUAUUGUAAUGACAUAGCUUGAUAUAUAUAUAAACGUGUUGUGAUUUUCAGUUCGAAAAAUUAUGGCCUUACUUUUCUAUCCCAUUGUGUUGUUGUCUAGGGAUUAUUUAUUUGCUUUCGCAUGCAUAUUAAAAUGAAUGGGUCAGCGAUGCAUCUUGGGACGUCGCUAUUUAAUCAACCAAAGAGGGAUGGGCACGCGCUCGGAUGAUCGGGCCGUGACAUGUGCAAUCCCAUCUUUUGAUACUGUGUAUCCGAAGUAAAAUAGUUCUAAAUCAAGGCAAAGUCAUGUCUAGCAUUUUAUAGUCUGCCUCGAAUGUUAUUAUAUAAUCUCCAUACUAAAUGCUUUGUAGAAAAUGUUCGUUGAACCAUUCACAGUAGCAGUGCAAUUUCCAAUAGCAGUUGAUAGUUAGUGUGCUAUUGGAAGAGAGUACUUUUUGUUAUCAUUUAAUAUGAACUUAUUGCCUUGUUUCGGCAAACACAAACACACCUGUUAAAACUACAACACCCUGUAAUUCAGUAACAAACUGCACCAAUCAAUAACACAUCAGUAAUGAGUCAAACGAUUAAUUAGAUUUCAUAUGACCACCUUAUAAGUGCUAUAGAAUGUAAUAAAAUAACUUGAUUCUCGACAUGGUUACUAACCCCAUAUUAUCAUGCCCCCUCUUUGCAACAAUAGGGAGAAGUACACUAUCAAUGCCAUAAGUUGUAUACGGUGCUCACUUUGAUGUCAAAAAUUUCCGUCAAAUCAUUUAAGUGCCAAAUCGGAGGAAAAACGAUCACUUUGGUGCCACCGGCGAGAGAUUCCUGCCAAAAUGAUUACGUGGCUUUUAUAUUUUAAAAAAAAUUGAGAAGCCUUUUAAAUGACAUCAUUUUUUGUCCUCUUUAAGAAAACGACGUCGUUUUGCCGUCAAAUGUGGAUGGCCUCACAAAAACGACGCCGCAUAGCUCAUUUGGGAUUGAAAUUAGGGUUUUUUUUUCUCAAUCCUUGCCGAUCUAGCUUACUCAGCCACCGUGCUCGACCACCGUCGCUCGGCCUCUGUCGUAGUUGCUCGACUAGGUGAGCAAGGAGAGUCUGAGGUUGUUUUUCGAGCAAGAAGUGAUGGGAAAAUAGGAGGCGAGGGCGGAGGAGGAGGAGGAAGAAGGGGGGUCGAAGGUGCAGAGAGAGAGAGAGAGAGAAGACGAGGAGUGUAAGGGAAACAAUGAGGGCGCAGAUCGAGAUGGUGGAUUGGGCUCUGUUCAAAGAGUGGCUGGUGCUGGUGUUGUUCUUCGGAGAAGACAACGUUGCCAUGCCUUCUCUCUCUCUCUCUCUCUCUCUCUCUCUCUCUCUCUCUCUCUCUCUCUCUCUCUCUCUCUCUCUCUCUCUCUCUCUCUCUCUCGAUUUGGGGAUUUAAGGUUUCAACUUAGGGAAAAGACACCAAACGAUGUCGUUUUGUGAUUUACAUGUUGACUGUGCUCUCCAACGAGCCACAUCAGAUUUUCGGCCAAUUAGAUCGACAUUGACACUAAAAUGAUCGUUUUUCAAAAAUUUUGGCACUUAAGUGAUCUGACGGAAAUUUUUGGCACCAAAAUGAGUACCGUACACAACUUAUGAUAUUGAUAGUGUACUUCUCCCUGCAACAAUGUAAUCAAAUUCAUCGAAAAAGAGAAGGCAAACUGUUGUAGCUACUGCCUUUGAGAAUAUAUCGAAACCACUUUUAACCUAAAAGGAAAUCUAAUGGAAAAGACAAAAAAAAACCCCUAAAAACAAAUAUUUUGCUUCAUCUAUAACAAUCGAAAAUCUAGUAGACAUUUGAUCACCGAUUUCAAAUUUCAAAUAGAGAAAAGUUUAAAAUAUUUUACAUGGUAAUCUCUCUCUUAACCAAAUGGUCAUGGAGGAUCCUCUCAUUCAUGCAUGAGGAAACUCAUCAACCGUUUUAAUUUGGCCACUUCAAUAGUUAUGGGAGCUGUUGUUGACAAUAAUUUAGUUAGAAAACCUUGGCUACAGCAGGAGCAUCCUCAUUGCUGCUGCUAGUUAUCCGAUUUUGAGUGCUAGUAUACAUGAAGGGGCCUCUAUUAAAUGCAUACAAAAGCAAUAAAAGAAAGCACAAAAUUGUGAAAUGUCUGAAAUAUCAAAGUUUAGAACAAGAUUGCACAAUGGAAUUCGAUCAACAUUGGUGAAGUUGAAAAGAAGCCUCUUACAGCUUGCUCAAAAGUACAGUGUACUUAUUCAACGUCUCAGCCCUUUCACUUAUAUGGAUUGAAAAGAACAAGCUGCUACUGCAGAACCAAUAAUGUGUGUCUUGCCAAAGCCCAGACAUCCAUGUAAAUGAACAUUUGACCAUUCCUUAUAGGAGGUUGGCCCAAAAACAUUUUACAUCAGCAAAUGUAAGAAUGAUAAGACACGAAGAAGAAAUAGGUUUAUUUAACAAGUUAACAAUAACCACAUUUUAGAGAGAGUUAGAGGGAGAGCAAGAUGAGGAAAGGUGUUAUGAGUCACUAGAAAGAAUAAACAAAAGCUACAUCUUAGACACAACCCAUGCAAUUAUAGAAGCUUUCUUGAACAAAUCCAUGCAUAAUCUAGCUCACUCACAAGAAUGUAGAAUGCAUCAGGGAAACAAUAAUAGGUAGUUAAGCCCCACAAUCUUAGGUAAACCUAUCAUCUCAUUGAAGAUUCUGCAGAACAUGACAACAAGCUCCCUUCACUAGAUUGUCAAUCUGCAAAAGAAGGUUUAGACAGCUUAUCAUAAAAAGACAACUUUGACGUUAAACGAAAAGUAAAGCACUUAAUGGAGAACAGACACUUGGGAACCUACUACAUAGAUAAGUAUUGCUUGUCCAAAUACUUGAUCAGGAAAGACAAUUAUAAAAUAAUAAUAGGAUCCUCGCACAUUUUGAGUAUGAGGAACAACUCCUUUUUUUAACAGCAUAACAAAUCCCUCAUCCAACAAGAUAAAGUGAAUUAAGUGAUCAGAUAGCAUGAAGUAUGUGGGAAGCACACUCAAAAAUAUGACAGGAAGUUGCGGAUCUUUCAAGUUUCAGUUCUCGAACACGUCUAUUACUUGACUGACUCAAUUAAGAUCUAUGAAAUAAAUGAUGUACUUUGAUUAAGCUAAUCAUGAGUACUAAAAAUAAGUACUUCUGGAAACAAAAGCUAAGGUUAAUACUUAGUACAUUAAGCCAUUGAAUGCCUAAGCAAAAUAGGACUAUUUGUUAGAAAAAGUUUGCCCAGUUAGCAACUUCAUAUAGAUCCCUAGCCGUUACACCUGAAGACAUUUUAGCAUGAAUAGUUUAUUGCAUUCUAGGACUCUACAGAAAUAGAAGAAAGCUUACAGCUAUUAGUGGGGAAGCAUAAUUUUAAGAAUGGGAAUACUACAAAAUUGCAACUAUAACCAUGGGCAUCAAAUGUGGAGUAAACCUCACAAUAAUUGAUGACAUGGUUAGUGACCCUCGUAUUAUCGUGACCCCUCUUUAGCAGAAUGGAAUCAAAUUCAUGAAAAAAGAGAAGGCAAGGUGCUACAGCUGUUGCCUUUGAGAAUAUAUCCAAACCUGUAAUUUUAAAAUUGCCAUUACUCUCAAAUAUUCAGAAUUUCUCUAGUUUGUUCACAAAAUCAAUGCCAUCAAUGUGCAAAACAGAUGAUCUAGUAGACAUUUGAUCACAAAUUUCAAAUUUCUAGUAGAGAAAAACUUCAAAUAUCUUACAUCUUAAUAUUUCUCUUAAUCUUCAUAGAGGAUUCUCUCAUUCAUGUGUGAGAAAACUCAAGAACCAUUUUAACUUGGCCUCUUCCUUGGUUAUUGGAGAAUCCUCAUUGCUGUUGUUUAAAAUAAUACAAUUAGAACAUCUUGGUUGCAGUGGUAGGACCCUCAUUGCUGCUGCUAGUUAUUCCAUAUUUUGACUGCUGGCAUAGACAAAGGGACCUCUAUUAAAUGCAUACAAAAGCAAAAGAAGAAAGCACAAAAUUGUGAAAUGUAUGAAAAUAACAAUGUUCAAUAUAAUAUUGCAUAAUGGAACUCAAUAAACAUCCAUGUAUUGAAAAGAGGCCUCUUACAGCUUGCUAAAAGUACCAAUGUACUUAUCCACAGCUUGCCCUUUUAUUGAUAUGGAUUGAAGAGAACAAGUCAUUGCUGUAGCACCAACAAUAUGUCUUGCGUCAUUGCUGUAGCACCAACAAUAUGUCUUGCCAAAGCCUGGACAUCCAUGUAAAAGAACAUUUUGCCAUGGUCUUGGAGGAGCUUGUGCAAAAACGUUUUAUCAGCAAAUGUAAAAAUGAUAGACACAAAGAUCAAACGGGUUUAUUUAACAAGUUAACAGUAACCACAUUAUUAGCAGAGAGAGAGAGAGAGAGAGAGAGAGAGAGAGAAGAGGAAACGCACAAUAAGUCAGCUGAAAGAAUAAACAAAAUCUAGUCUUGAAUGACACAAAGGUGCUCUUUGCUAACACCACAAAUUGCAUAAUGCACAACUCUAUGCAGCUAAACCUAGUCUUCAAUGAAAUAUUUGACCAUAUCGACAAGUUUACUCCAAUAUCAAUUGUCCUGCAGCACAAAUUUCACGCAUAAAUGGCUAACUACUAGAAUGAAGAAAGAUAGUUCGUAGAUCACACUUGACUCAAGACGUGAAGCUUCUCCACUUCAGUUCAAAAGUAACCUGAAAAACACCUCCAAUUCUUCGUGAAGGAAAUAACUAAAUCACUCAUAUUGCAUAAUAGGUAGCAAUGAUUCACUCUUCCGUUAACCAAGCGUUAAUUCCUUUAUUUCAGUCCUCACAAAUCAUGAUUGUUCUCUAUUGGUAUUAAAAACACUCCAUAAAGUGAGACCACUACUCUUAAGUCCCAACCACCUCCGCCUUAUAAGAAAACCUAGCAUUUGCCAGCAUCUUUAGUGUGCUUACUAUCUAAAAGUUCCCUUCCACUUUAUCCUUUUUUUUUUCUGAGCAACAGGUGCCGCGAAGCACGUCAAUCCCAACGUUAAGCUGGUGCACAACAUAAACCAGCUAAGUAUCACCAUCGUCAAGUCGAGGCAAGUCAAAGUAUCACACGUUCAUGAUACAUGAAAGAGGAUUUUCCCUUAGAGACAACAGGAUGAACGAAUGCAAGAGGUGGUUCCAGAACCAAGAUGAAAGGUUAGCUAAAGGAAAACUCACAAAACAGGACACAACAAAAAACGAACUCUAGUUCUAUGGACUUACCAUCAUCGAUUAUCUUUGCCAAUCAAAUGAUACAUAUCUUAUCCAUCUCUAUUGAACCUCGGGCAAUCAAAGACCUUGAGUCGACAAGAUUUUGGCACACCCAGCACCCUCUCCAAUGAUUCACAAUGAUAAAACCACAAACUUUUCAGAUUCUGUAGAUUAGAAAGAUCAGAUUCGUUUAAGCUUUUGAUGGAAUUGCAUCCCCAAAUAGUCAAAUCCCGCAAUGAUUUCAGUUGUCCCAAACCCUGUAUCUCAGUUAGCAAAGGCAAUUGAUAUAGGGACAAACGCUGGAUCUCCUUCAAAUCAGGCAGAACAAGCAACGUCUUGAGCAAUGGACACUUGUACAUACACAAUUCAUUGAAUUUUCGUAGCUCUCCAAGCACCUCAAAUCGAAUCUCUUCCAACGAACAUGCAAGAAUAUACAACCUCGACAAAUUCUCCAAGUUGGAAAAGAUUGAUCAAUCUAUCAGUGACUGCACAUCCCAUAACCCCAAGUCUCGAAGGCAAGAUGGGAGCCCGAUUAGAGAUUGGGGCUCAGGACAACUUAUGUGGAGGCUUUGUAGCUGAGAGAGGGAACUGAAAUCGGUUGGAGGCAAGGCCAUUUUUCCAACGUACAAGAUCAUUUCCCUCAGAGCAUGUAGUCUCACGAUCCCCUCUGUGUUGGGUUCUUGCAUUGAAUUGCCGAUUAUCUCAAGGUAAACUAAAUUGGUUAGGUUUGAGUAGUCAGUGAUCAUGGUCAGCAAAUCCGAUGAAAGGGCUAAAGAUGCUAAACUCUUGGGAAGCUCAGGCAGCCAUUGGAUUGAAUUACAACCCUUUAAAUUAAUUUUUUGGAGAUUUGUAAGCUGAUUGAUGGUUGCCGGCAAUCCACUAAAGCGACCUUUAGAUAAGUCUAGAAUUUUCAACGAGGAUAAUGCCCCAAUUUCACUUGGAAUUUCCCCCACCAAAUGUUCAGAUUCAAACCAUAACUCUUCUAGAUUUUCCAACAUCCCUAUGGUUUUCGGAAGUUCACUUAUGCGGCUGAAAUUGAGAAUUAGUACCUUCAACUUUUUUAAAUUUCCAAUACAAUCAGGUAAGAUCUUGAUACUUGACCAAGUCAAAUCCAAAUUGACCAAUGAUUGGAGCCUCCCAAUCGAGUAUGGUAGCUUUUCUAGGGGGCAAUGUGAGAUGCGUAAAACUUUCAACCUUUCAAGAUUUUCAAUAGAAUGAGGUAAUUCAUUGAUAUUUAAAUUUUGGACAUCUAGCUCAAGUAGUGACUCCAAUUGUCCGAUAGAGUCGGGAAGCUUUUGAAGUUCCCUGCAUGGCAAAAUUAGAGACUUCACAUAUACCAAAUUAUCAAUCAAGAGAGGCAUCAUUGAGGGUGUCCGAUUUAUUCUUAGCACUAUCAAAGAUUUUAGACUACCGGCGGACUCCACUAGUGACUCAAUAGCUUCACUCUUUAUCUCAAGGUAAUCAAGAUGUUUUAGAUUGCCAAUGGAUUUGUCAAUCUUUCUUAGUCGAAUGCAUCUAAGAAUCAAUUUCUCCAGUUGCGAGAUUGCAAAGAACUUGGGCGUCCUUCUAAGGAAUGGACAAUCCUCGAGCUAUAGGAUUUUCAGUUGUUUUGCUACCUAUAAAGUAAUUGAGUAGACACUCAGAAAAGAGGAGUAAAUAUAAUGCAAAAGGAAGUCAUGAGAUCAUACCAUGAUUUGACACCAUCCUCCCCAAUCUUCAGUGACGUUAUUCCCGGAUAGCAUGAGAAUCGUUAAGUUCUUCAACCCAAGGUUGGUAGCUCGGAAUUUUGAAGGGCAAUUGCUCCAAGAGAGCCAUCUCAAAUUAAAGAAAACAUUCUUAAAGUCUCCUUCAAAGUUUCCGUGGUCCAAUUGAAGGAACCUAAGGUUGACCAAGCGCACAAAUUGCUUGUGCUUAAAUCUGUACAUCUUAUUGGGGUCAGGUGUACCAAGAUUGAGCAUCACUAUGUCUCUGGUUCCCUGGAAAAUAAAAGUAGCAACCAAUGAGUACAUAUGUAAGUUUGACUUGAAAUUAGAUAAAAAGGUGAUGACGCUAAUGGAUGCACUGGAAAACAUGUAGAGGUAAAGAUUACCGUUUCUAUCUGGACUACAUGAAAGGCAUCCUCGGGAGACCACAAUCUGGUACCUUUCAUAUGGAUUUCGCCACUUUCUGGAUGGACGAUACUCCUUCCAAGGUCUCUAAGUUGGUCGUGCAUCCAUAGUUUAUUAUCGUUGGAUAUUUUUAUUAGAGACAUGUGUAUGAGGAUAUUCAACUCGAUUUUUGUCGAAUACCUAAAAAUCGCAUCCCAAUAUUUAACUGCAGUUGUUUUCUCUUUGUUGAAGCAAAAACAUGCGAUAUCAAGAUAAAUUUGUUGUUGAUUAGGCUCCAAUGCUUCGUAGCUUAUCAUUAGCUUCUUCUUGACAUCCUCAUUCAUCACAUUCUUUAACUUACGUAGGGUGUCUUCCCAUGUUCUACGGCAUUUUCCACGAAGGAUGGAACCUACGACAUUGAGAGCCAAUGGAAGUCCUCCUAGCACAUUGAUUAGCUUAUAUGCAAUAUCCAUGUAAUCAGUUGGAGGCUCGGCACAUCCCAAGGCACGCUCACAGAAAAGUUGAAAAGCAUCAUGCAAAUUCAUCACCGGCAUAUUGUAGAAUGAAAAUUGUUCGCUAAUAGAGGCUAGGAAAUUGUCAUCCUCACCUUCCUUUACUAGGAAUUCAAUAUUCCUAGUUGUUAUGAUGAUUCUACUACCCCCACCAAACCAGUUGGGCUCACCGACAAGUCUCAUGAUUUGGUCUCGAUUGUCAAUGUCAUCCAGAACAAUGAGAACUUUCUUGUCAUGAAAUCUCGUCUGGAUCAUGUCAACCCCUUCAUCAAUGAAGGAUAGUUUUGUGCAACUCAAAUGGAAAAUGUCUGACAACAAUUUCUUUUGUAAGUUUAUUAUAUCAUGAGUCCGAACAUCCUUAAGAAAGCAGCAAUGUCUCUGAAACUGAGGGGAGAUUUGUCUGAAGAUAGCCUCACCCAAUGUUGUCUUUCCGAUGCCACCCAUACCAUAAAUCACGAUAAAUCGUACAUCAAAGGCUUCUAGAUCUAACCGCUUCAUAAUCUCAUCUGUUCGAUCUUUAAUUCCCACCAAAUGAUCAGGCACAUCUGUCCUUCUUGUCCGUAACAAACUAGAAACCUCUUUGACUGUGAGAUUCAUAAGUUCAUAUAGGCUGCCACAUGCAUGACAUGCAAUCAUCUCAGAUUGAAAAACCAUAUAUAUGGAAACUGUGCACACAUUACAUGGCACUAGAAGGUUAUCAUCAAGUUCAGAAUAAUUUUCUUUAAAAGAAACCAAUACAUAAAAGCUAUCUUUCAAGCUGUGAGCCAUUUGAAAACAAAAAUCCAUAAAAAAAAAAAAAAGAUGUUAUUCAAGAGAGGAGGAGGAGAGGGGACUUUAUUCAUGGUUGAAAGCUAAUGCUAUCAAAGGUUCUUUGGUUUAGUCAAUGAUGGGAAAAGGUUAUUUUGUGACAAGGGUCUAAUUGGGCUUCGACUAGAAGUCACUCUGGCAAAUUGUGACUAACUAGUGCUAUGAGCCGUUGUGUUGGAAUAGGUUGUGGGCCUUUGUUCCAUUUUAUGGCAAAAUUAUGCAAUCAAUCUUAAAUUUAUUAUACAACUGUCAAUUCAGUCAUAAACUUUUAAAUUUCAAUAAUAUUAUCCUAAAACUUUAUACAAAAUUUCAAUGUAGUCCUUGCAGUCAAUAUCCACCGAAAAUUGCUGAAGUGGCAUCUAUGCAUGAUUUCAACUAGCCACAUAGGACAAUGGCGAUGAAUGGAUGUCAUGUUAGUAAUUUCUCGCAGCAAUUGAGCAGAAAGAUUACAUUAAAAUUUCACGCAAAUAUUUAUGACCACAUUGACAAAAUUAAAAUGUCUAGUACUCAAAUGCCAUGCACAAUAAAUUUAGAACUAAUUUGAUAAUUAUGCCUCCACUUCAUUUUAUACUUUUUCACAAUGGUUGGUUUCUUCUUGUUGCACACAGCUAAUAGCGAGACCUCUAGAAGUUUGGUUGAAUAUCAAGUCCUCGGUAAACUUAGUAUUGAUAAUCUCUUCAAGCAAUAGGGAUGAGUUUAAAGGUUAACGGAAAAUAAAAAAUCUCACUCGUAGUUGCCUUGAAUAUCGGAAACAAGAAUACUAUCUCAAAAACAUUUUUCUUAAUGUACCGAUGGAUAGAAUACUACCCGAAAAUGAGGAAGAUUUUCUAGAAUAUAUAUCAACCUUGAUUUGAGUUGCCAACAAACAUUUCUCCAAAUAAGUUAGAAAUAUUUAUGCUACCCAUUCUUUUUAUAAUAUUGGUAACAGCAAACUAGUCGGUACCUUAAUCGGAAUAAAUUGGUGAGUAACUCAACUUAGGAUUGGUAAUUUAACAACAGAUUUCGUUGCCUAAUAAUGUUUGUAACCAGUGCAAAUAAAAGUUUAUGCGUUAUUAACAAAUUUUUUUAUGAAGGCUUGUAGUUUUGAAACAGAUAAUAAAUACUAAUAAGUAGCUCAAAUAAGAAUGGGUAGAUUAAACUAGUUAUUAACUUAAUUAGAGAUUAGUUAAUAUGACAAUCAUAUUAGAGUUAGUAAUUCGGUACAAUAUUUGGUAAUUUUGAAAUGUGGAGUAAACAAUACGGUAAGUUGUACAUAAGUUGUAAAUCGGCAAACAAUCUAAUAAACUUGGUAAAUGAUUCACACAAAAGCCGGUAAGCUAAAACUAGUUUGUAAAACAAUGGAAAAAGAAGUUGGUAAGACACAAAUUAAAGUUGAUAAUUUCAUAUAAAAACCGAUAACUUUAAAAUUAUGGAUGGGCAUGGAGCAUGGGAAAUCUGCGCCCCGCAGUGGCCUACCUUGGAUGAGGCAAUUCUUUUGAGGAAAAAUUUUCUCAAAACAAUUGCCUCCUUGGGAAUGUUGCACGACACAAGUUGGGCAUGGGCAGUAAUAGGCUAGCCCUUCCUGUUCUUGAGGAUUGAAACUAUUAAUGCGUUUAACGAAAGAUAGAAACGGUAAGGUUUAAUGAAGAAGGAUGUAACUAAGCAGAGAGUAAUGGCUAGGGUUCAUAGAAAAACUAUCACAAACUAGGAUAGAGGAUAGCUCCAUAUCUCAAGGUAAUUUACAAUUGUUAAAGUACUUAUCUAUUUUCUAGAGGCUUUUAGAUUUCUCCAACCAUAACUACAACUACAUGGAAGUCCCUUAGGUGAAUUUUUGGUUAAUCAAGAUAUGAGGCCAUGAAUAGGUCCAUGUUUAAAGCAACAACAAGAACCAAUUUUUAUGUUUUAACAUUCUACUAUAAAUCACUAUAGAAGAAUAUUCAGUUUAGGGUUGCAGAUCUUGUCUGUGCACAGCUGGCCACUAGAGGAGCCUAUGACCCCUGCCCCACCACAAUGAAAACAAAAGCCCAAGAUUGAUAACACACCUGAACCUAAGUCAGUCCUUUGCAAACUAAUCAAGAAUUACUAUAAUAAAAAUAUACUGGAAGAUUGAACCUCUAACACUUACAGAGAUCCUUUUUUUUUUUUUUGGUUCUUUUGAAUAAUGGCAUACAAAGAUCUUUGCAAUGUUCGGUCUUGUAUACUCAAACCAAAUAGAAAAACCAUGACCUCUAGUAUCCUUUAAAGGGGUUAUAAAACUAUCAUCAUAAAAAUAUCCGUUAUUUUUGUGUAACUUGGUGGUGCGACCGUAAUUAGCCGGUUAUUUCAAGCAAAACAGCAGCAAAGCAUAUGAAUUCCCUUGGGCUGAAACCAAAACCACAAGGAUCGGUUUUUUCCUCUUGGCCGUAAGUUUUUGGAUAUCGUAUAGACUGCGAUAGACUAAAUAUAUGCUAUAAUAUCUCUAUGUUUCCUUAAUGUAACAAAAACAGAAAGAUCUGACAUCAAACUCAAUCUAAUUUUUCAGGAAAACAUUAUAGGCAUAGGGUCAAGGAAAAUUACACCAAAAGUCCUUAAAUUCAUAUACGCAAUGCAAUUGAAGUUAAAAACUUAGAUUUUUUAUUUUUCACAAAUAUAUGGUCUUACUAUUUUGUCACAUCUUAGAUCUUCAUGGAUUUCUUGGUUUUUUGGCAUUAUAGAUUAAUUAAUUUUUCUAUGCCCUAACUUUAAUUGUUAUAAAAACCUGAUAUUAAAAGUGAAAAGUCAAUUUGUGAAAGAAGCGUCGCCCUCUGAGCCAAAUUUCUAGCUGCCUCAUUGCGUCAAAUCCAACCAUAUGUUGCAUAAGGUGGACAGCAGCAAUCGAAGAACUAUUCUUUAAAGGACGAGAAAUCGAAAUUUCACAAAGAAAAUAAAGUCAAUGGAUAAACAAAUAGUACCCGUGAUCUUUUAGAUUCCUUCCUCUAAUUCUGGCAACCUCUCUUAAAGCCUUUUUCCACUUUUUUGCUAAAUCUUUCCCAUAUUCGCUCUUGUGCUUUCGAAGGGCUUUCCGAUAUAACUUAGUCUUAAGCUUGACAUCAUCCACGUCCACCUCGUAAAAUAUAGGGAGAAUCACUCUCUCAUCAUUACCUCUUGAUAGCUCUACUAUGCGUGCCAGCUCACGGAGGCACCACUUACUUGAAGCAUAGUUUUCGGAGAAUAUCGGGAUGUAAAUUCUAGAGUCAUUGAUCGCUUGCAAGAGGCCACCUUCGAUCUCUUCACCAAAUCGGAGCUCUUCGUUGUCUUUGAAAACGCGGAUCCCCGCAUGGAUCAGGUCAUUGUAGAGACAAUCAGCCAUGGUUAAGCGGGUGUCGGGCCCUCUGAAACUCAGGAACACCUCGUAACCCCUCCCCGAUCCACCAUCACGGCUACUGCCUGUCCCAGCUGCCAUCGCCGUCUCUUCUCCCUCCCUCUUUCUCUUCAUUCUAGUAGCAAGACGGAGUGACGGAUCCCCGAAUCGAGUCUGCCCAGUGACUUGGGAAGUCUUGAGUUUGAUUCUUGUAACAACUUGAUGACGCAACGGAGAGAGAUCUCUCACUUUCGCUGCGUUCGCCUGGAAGUUACCUGCGGCCGGCCUUCGCAAGUGAAAAAACCAUUCAGAUCGACAAAAUAAUUGCUUCGAAGAGAAAACACGGAAGGAGAGAGAGAGAGAGAGCUGUGCAUCAGUUUUCACCUUCAAGCAAUAAGUGUGUUGCCCACAGCCGCGAAUAGACGGAGUGAGGCUGCCUCGAGGAGAGAGAGUCGGAGACAGAGAUGGUGGCUUGGCUGAGACGGGACGCGAAACGAUCAGCGCAGGCUAUGGCCGAGGGGCUCGACGGCCAGGGGUGAUGGCACGAGAAGGGGAUACGACGUCGACGGCGACGCAGCAGCGAGGUGGCGGAGGCUUGCGGUGACCGACAGGUGGAGGCGAGAGACUGAUGGAAGAGUACUGGAUUUUUCAGAGUCCGGGUAUUUUUUCUUUUUUCUUUUUUUUAUAGAAAUUCGUCAAGAAGAGAGGGCAGUUUGGUCAUUUAGGAGGGGUAACCGCACCAUGGGGGAAAAGAGACUCCCGGAGUCGCGCGUUUGAAGUACUCCGUCAAUGACGGAGUGACGGUCAGCUAAGGACCGCACAUCUAAGAUGGAAACCGGUUGACUUUUUUGACAGGUUUCCAUCUUUUAUCCAAUUUCUUCUUUUUCUAAUUUUUACGUUUUCUAAAUCACUCUGUCAAAGAUGGAGUGACGAUCAGCUAAGCCGCGCUCAAACUAAAACUAGGUACUUUGCCCAAGCUUUACGUGGACAUAUAUUGAUAAAUGUACUUUAAUUAUGUUUGUUUUAAUUUUUAUUUUUAUUAAUGUCAUUAAUUUGGGAUUGUUAUAACACUCCGUUUGUUAUCCAUUAGGUAUAAAAUUACCAAGUAAAACCAUUUGUCAAAUCAAACAUGGAAAAUACGACCCGAAAGUUUAAAGUCCAAUUUAACUUUUAACAAAGGCAUGGUAAAAAAUUAAAAACUAAAUUUGAAUAUUACUACUUCCUAUACAAAUUGGAUUCUACUUUUCAUUUUAUAAUAUGCGGUUUCUUUUUCCAGUAUCAUAUUUUCAAAGGACGUUUUAAUUCAACCUCAAUGGCUGAGUUAAACCUUGAGACCAUCUUAGCUUCUUCCUAGUGUAAAAAUUCCUAUGUGACAUCCAAGAUUGAAAGGAAAACCCUUUAUAAUAAGUCAAUUUUGGACGGUUGAUCCUUAUGACCAAAAAGCAUCCAGCAUCGAGUCUCUAUCCCAUGCUUGCAAUCACAUUGCAUAUGUUGCCCACUAUUAAGUGCUUGUUUUAUUAAAAAACAAAAGUCACCAAAAAUUCUAAAUUAUGUUCCCUAUGAUACAUUUACCCCAAACUUUUUUUAGACACUAGGAAUCUCAAAUUUGUAUAUAUGUGACACAAUUAUCCCAAAUUUAUACAGUGAGACAAAUUUAUCCCAAACUUCUUCUUAUGAUAUAAAAAAUCCUAAAUUUGUAUCUGUAUGCCACAUUCACCCUUAAAAUUUGGUGUCACGGAAAAUUUUUUGGGGAUUUUGGUAUCACAAAAAAAGUUUAAGGUAAAUAUAUCACAUAGAUAAAAGUUUAAGAUUUUUAGGGUUACCAAAAAAGUUUGGGUAAAUGCAUCACACAGGUGAAGUUUGGGGUUUUUGUGGAUUUUUCCCUUUUAUUUAUUCUUUCUUCUCUACAUGGGCUAAAGAAUGUAGAUCUUCAUGCUUUGACAACUAGUGAUUCACCCUUGCUCUCACCAUGAUGGAAUAGGUUUCCUUUAAUUUGCUUAGCACCGACUAAUAUGGAAACUGCUGGUUCAAACCUGUCCUACACACUCUAAUCAAUGUUUCUUAAACAUAUUAUGAUUUCUGCCGGCGUUUUUCCUAAGUUGUAGAAAAUCACCAGGAUGGAGGCCAAGGAUUUAGAGCGACAAUUCUCGUUCCUUGAUUUUGGAUGCCCCCAUCAUUCCAAUGACAUUAAAUGUGAGAAGUGACGAGCUAAUGUCGCGAUUUUCUAGCAUCAACAGCCCUUUUCCCCCUAAAACACUACCGGUCGAGAUAUUUGACGAUCGACGGGCACGAUUGCGCUAUUUCCGCCCUUUGUCUCCAGAAAAUGACUGAAUAGCUACAGAAAUUUCCGGUUCUUGCCAUGAUUUUUCUCUCUAAGCGAGGCAGGUAUAGGGAUUUUUCUUUUGAUGAUCAGGUACAUAGACAAUAAUGAGAUUGUGGUUUAAGUUAAUUCGUUUUCUUUCAUGUGGGGCCUAGUUGUUCUAGUAAAUUGGAAAUGCUGAUAAGAUGAAUUUUGCUGAUAUCGAGAAAAAAAUCAACAGUCUUGUAAAGAAGGCAAAUGAAUGAUGGUCCCAUCUCCUAUCAUCCUAUCAUCCACCCUCCUUAGGUUUGUGACGUUACCAUCUCAAGUUGAAAUGCCAUGAUGCAACUUUUUCUCUCCAAUUUUUGUGACUGGGUUUGCUUUGUAAUCGGUGCAUGUCUAGAAGUAUAAUUCCUCUUUUCUUUUACAUGGAGUCUUCUAGCAUUUUGUUGAAAUCUGACAUAAAAUUUCCUUUUCAACGGCCCAAGAUAUUAGGUAUACCGUAAGAAAACCAGUAUCACGAAUUCAUUAUUAUUCCUAACUUAGAACAGUAUAUGCAGAUCAACACAUACCAAACGGAUUGACUAGACAAACGUACUUUAGUGCUUUUUCUUUGUCUUCACAAGAGGGUCAGACAAGCACUUGAUGAUGGACUUGCGUGUGUUCUAAGCAAAGAAGAAAGGCCACAGAUUUAUUUCUAAUUGAAACUAUUCAAUUCAAUCGUGGCGUGAAUCAUGGAAUGCUAAUUAAGAUGCUUUUCUUAGUGCAUUUCCAGUUAGACAUUCAUAAGAUUGUAAUAAUAUAAAAUGAAUUAUGUAGCAUGAUUCUUAAAAUGGUUAAUACAUUGAAAAACCCCCCAAACUGGUAUACCUGUGACAAAUUUACCUCAAAUUAUUUUUUCGACCACCAAAAACCCGAAACUGGUAUAGCUUUGACAAAUUUAUCCUAAAUUGGUACAUUUGUGACAAAUUUACCCAUUCGUUAAAUUUUACUAUCAAAUUAUUAAGUUAAAUGACACAUGAAAGUUGAUUGGUAUACCAAUUUGGGAUUUUACGCUCUGCUUGUUACAGUUUACAAUUUUUCUCUCUGUUAGUUUUCGAAGAUGAGGAGGUCGUUUCGGAAAUAUAUCAUAUGAUUGCAUAUUCUUUAGAUGUUGGACGUAUUGGGCAACCUGACAUCUGUUCCACUUUCCAUUACCUUGUUAUCAUGUUCCAUUUGCCUGGAAGUAGCCUGCGGCCUUCCUUCAUAAGUUAUUAAAAAAAAAACCUUAAAGAAAAACCUUUAAAAAAAAAAUUUGGACUCGCACCAAAUGGGAGGCUAAGGCUGCGCAUGGUAAAAUUUCUGUUUCUCAAUUUCUCAAUUUCUCUAUUCCCCGGAACAGGUUUGGAACAGAAAUCCGUUUGGUAAUGCAAAUUGAUUUCUCUAUUUUUGUUUCAAAUUUCUAUUUCAGAAAUUGUUUUGGGUAAGAAAUGAGAAGCUAAAAAUUUUAGCUUCUCUAUUUCCUGAAGUAGAAAUAGAAAUUGUUUCUAUCCAUCCCCUUCUUCCUUCAGCAAAUAUCGACUCUUCUCUCCUCACUAUCGUAGCUUUCCCAUUCCUUCUCCUCACCUCAAACCAGAAACCCUAACGACUCCGAAGCUGUUCAUCAUCACCGUCGCCGCUCAUCUCGCCGUCGCCGUCGCCCUCGCCGCUCAUCUCCACUGGCCAAUUUGCUCCGGUCGUCCCGUCCGACCUGCCUCGUCCGUCCACGUCCCCAGUCGCCAUCGCCCAGUAGCGGUCGUCGUCGCCCAACUCCAGUCGCCGUCGCCGUCGCCCAACUCUAGUCGCCGCGCCCAUCUCCAACCGUCGCCCAUCUUCGUCCGCGGAUCCAGUCGCCCAACUCCAGUCGCCGUCGUCGUCGCCCAACUCCAGUCGCCGCGCCCAUCUCCAGUCGUCGCCCAUCUUCGUCCGCGGAUCCAGUCGCCCAACUUUAGUCGCCGUCGCCGUCGCCCAUCUCUGUCGCCCAUCUUCGUCCGAGUCCCCUUCCGCUCUCGAUUCCGCGGAUCCAGUCGCCGUUGCCCAUUUCUGCUUUCGAUUCCUCACAAGGUUCGAUCGAUCCUUCCCUUUUCGCCUCUUUCUUGGUUGUGUUGUCUCUGUUCUUGUUCAUUUGUUCGGUUUUGGGGGUACUUGGCUUCAACCCUAGAGUUUUGGCUUGCGGAGUUACUGUGAUUACUGGGGAGUGCUUAGUUCCGGGGCUCGCCUGCGUUUGUCCACGGGCAUUUUUUGGCGAGGGGAGCUGGGCCGGUCAUUCUGGAUUGGGCGGUUUCGUGGAAUAGGAGGUAGGGAGUGCUGGAUUUGUGUGGACGGAUUGUGGUAGGUGAUCAAGACGGGAUUUUGGGAGGUUUCUUGGGAGCCGUUCGCCACUAGGAAAUAUGGAGCCCUUAUGCGUGAGGAAGGGGGGGAUUCCUGCCACCGGAAUUCCUAGGAUAGUUUCCUGAAAUAGCUGUGAUGGUUGAUUGUGGCGGAGUAGAUGGUGGUUCAUGGCUGCAUCUCGAGUUCUGUUAAUUUUUUGGCCCUUGACUUGUGUUGGAUAUCGAAGUUUUUCACAAAAGAAUCGAAACCUUGCUUAGCGUGCAUAAAGACGCAUGGAGUUGUUAGACCAGUUAAAUUCUGUUAAUUCCAUGUUCUACCUCUAUCCAUUCCUUACCUUUUGAACAUGUGAAUGGAAAGAUCGAAUUCAUAUCAAUGCUGCAUCGCUUCUUUUUACAGCUAACAGAAGAGGUGUGAUACUCUUUCUAUUUAUAUCCAAUUCAAUGUGGUCCUAUGUAGCACUCACUUUGAGGCUCCUUUUCAUACCAAGAUUAACCUUACAACUUCAAUUACUCUUUAUUUUUUGGUUGGGACCUGCACUGGUGGACUAGAUUUGGUAGUUUAUGCAGUCAAUUAAAAAUGAUGACUGAAAGGUUUAGAAAAGGGAAUUUCUAGCUCAUGAUGUUUUUGUUUGAGAAAAUUUAUUCAGAAAUAAAAGAAGUGACAAUAUCCUUAAAAAAAAUGAGGAUAAAUGGUGUACUUUUCCCCGGUUGACAUUGCUUAGUAGAAGUCUUAUAUUAUUGUAUAAAUUUCUUGCUGGUGCAAACUCUAAAGCCGGGAGUGACUUGCUUUUGGAUUCCAUGCAUUUUGUGCAAUCAAGCAUUCACUGUUGUAUCAUAAAUUUCACCAUUUAGCUUCUAUUAAUCUUAUGUAACUGUUUUUCUUGUUAUUUGUGAUUCUUUAACUUCUAAUUUCAGCUUAUCCUACAUGAUGUGCUUGUUAAUCACAAGCUUUUGUUCUUGAAUUGGUGCAUCAUCUGAUCGCUUUCAUUGAAUACUGAUUCAGUUAAGGUUAAAUGGCACCCCACAAAGAAGCAUUUAUAGCAAAGUGGACUGAGUCUUUGACCAAUGUGCUUAUAAGUUUGUUGGUGGAAGAGGUGAAAAAGGGAAAUCGCCCCACCUGCACCUACAAUAAAGUAGGGUGGAAUAACAUACAUGCCGAGUUCAAUAAACAAACAGAACUCCACUAUAAUGUAAUUCAAUUGAAAAAUAAGGUAAACAAACUAAAGAAGCAAUAUAGUAGUUUUAAGAAGCUUCUUUCACAAUCUGGAUUUGGAUGGGAUAAUGUCAACAAAACAGUUACUGUGGGGGAUUCAAGUGUAUGGGAUUCUCACAUCAAGGUAUCACUUUACUUGGGUCCAUUUUCUCUUAUUGAGGCUUCAAUUAUAUUGUUAAUGUAUGUCAUUUCAAUGAAAUUUGCAGGAUAAUACUGAAUGGGCUAAAUUCAAGAAUGAGGGGUUUCCUCAGUAUCCAGACCUUUGUAUUGUGUUUGGUGAUACAUAUGCUACUGGGGCGUAUACAGCAGGAAAUGCAGAAGAAAAUGCAGAAGAGUAUGUGGUGUCGGAUGAAGAAGACAAUGGUGUUAGUGGCGACAAUGGUGGUGGUGCUACCAUAGGUGAUGCGGAGGAAUCUAAUGAAAACUAUGUUGAUACGGGAGUCCUUGCAUCUGACGCGACUCCCACCUCAGUUCGUGAGAAACACAAGUUGAAUAGGACCCCAAAUUCCAAGAGGAGAAGAAAGAGUAACAACCAUGAACUCGGUGUCACCAUGAAAGCCAUUCAAGAAAUGAUCAAAUUAAGGACCGCCAAAUCAACAAGUGACUCCAUAACCUCAGAGGCCCCACCUCCUGUAGCCCCACCUCCUGUAGACCCCCACUCCAUAGCAGUUGUGGUCGCCGUUCUAAAUGGCAUGUCUGAUUUGGAGCAAAAUCUUUACAAUAAGGCUGUGAAUCAGGCAUGCCUUAAUGCCACUUGGAGAAAGGCUUUCAUGGUUGCUCUACCUGAAAGGAGGCAUGGACUUAUUGAAUCUCUUGAGUAGUUGUUAAGAAACAUGCUAUAGAUUUCUAUUUUGUUUAAUUUCAUUCCAUGACUUAUGUAUUUGAGACUUUGUUUGUUUAUGUUUUUAUGUUGCACUUAUGAUGACAUUAUUGCUAUCGUUGAUUAAUAUUGGAGUCCUUAUCUAAUGGGUUUAUAUUCUUAUUUUGUGUGAUGAUAUAGGUAAUAUGGAUGAGGGUGAAAGUAGCAUGUCUAAUGGUCAAGUAGCAUCAGUUGAAUCAAUUGGACAGGAUUUUGAUGAUUUUGAUCUUGAUAUACCGAUAGCAUGGUUGGCCACUGUUGCAGUGGAUCUGUCUAUGCAUAUGAAAAAACCUAUUAGGGAUAGCUUAUUAUCGGGAGCGCAAUGGAUAAGCGAGGUUCUUCAUGGGCAUUCCGAUAGAGUAUAUGAAGCUUUUAGAAUGGAGAGACAUGUCUUUCUCAACCUUUGUGGUCUAAUGAAGGAAAAAGGUUGGUUGGAAGAUACUCGAUAUAUUGGGGUAGAUGAACAAAUCGGGAUUUUCUUAUCUAUGAUUUGUCACAAGAACUCAAAUAGAAAAUUAUGUGAGAGAUUCCAGCAUUCUGGACAAACUAUAAGCAAAUACUUCACGAAAGUAUUGCAAGCAGUUCUCAAAUUGGCAAAAGAGAUUAUCAUACCACCUUCCUUUGAUGUUGUUCCACAAGAGAUUCUUAUGGAUCCUAAGCAUAAACGUUACUUCAAGGUAGAAUUCUCAUAUAUUCCUUUACACCAUUAAUUUUAUUUGGUUGAUAAUUUUGUAUAAUACUAGUCUUUGAUAAAAUGACAGGGCUGUAUAUGUGCUAUUGAUGGCACCCACAUUCAUGCUUCUAUACCUGUGUCGAAGCAAAUCCCAUUUAGAGGUAGGAAAAGCACCACCACUCAGUAUGUGCUGUGCGUUUGUUCGUUUGAUAUGAAAUUUACUUUUGUAUAUGCUGGUUGGGAAGGCUCUGCCAACGAUUGUUGAGUGCUUGCAGUAGCAUUGGAGACUCCUCACUUGGAAUUUCCUCGGCCGCCACCAGGUAUUUGUUUGUCCUUUAAGGAGUAAUUUUCUUUAUGAUCAUAUUUAUAGUUACAAAUUAUAACCAAUGUAUAAAUACAUUAUUGUAGGCAAAUACUAUGUCAUGGAUUCUAGUUAUGCAGCUACUCCGGGAUUUUUAACUCCUUUUAGAGGUGACCGAUAUCAUUUAAAUGAGUAUAGGGGUAGAGCGAGACGGCCAACAACUGCAAGAGAAUUGUUCAACUAUAGGCAUUCUUCUUUAAGGAAUGUCAUUGAAAGAUCAUUUGGGGCAUUGAAGAAUCGCUUUUUCAUUUUGAGGCACAUGCCCUCAUUUGCACUUCGAAAGCAAGCACAUAUCGUAAUUGCAUGUUGUGCCAUCCAUAGUUACAUCCGUGAUCAAGACAAGAUGGAUAUGAACUUUUCCCUAUAUGGAGAUCCGAUGUACUUGGCUAAACCUACACAGGAUGACCUUGCAAACAUUCAGUUGACCGAGGAGGGAAACCAAAUAAAUACGCUUAGGAAAACCAUUGCCAAUAAAAUGGCAAGGGAUAAUAAUAUGCCGGAAAUUCCAUGAAAUUGUAUUUUCAACUUUUGUAAUGCGUUAGUGUUAUUUCGACUAUUAUUUUGUAUUUGAGGAUUUUCUAUGUUGUUAUCUAAUCAAUUUCUAUUUCUAGCACAAUUUCCAUUUUAUCAAUUUUGAAUCUCUCGCAAAUUGCGCGUACCUCUAUGUCAACUAGUACCUACCAUAAAAUCACUUCGUGGUCUCAAAAGAAUGCAAAAAAAUGUAGUGACUUAAACCCGAAUCUUGAAUGAGGAGAAUAAAUACAUUAACUAUUUGCAUAUUAGCAUUUGAAACUACCAAAUCUUUUAUAGUUUGCAUAUUAGCAUUUUUUAUACUAAUUACUAGAUUUUAUUUACAUAAAUUGCUAAUGUUUUGAAGUUCUUAACUACUUUAUCGAAUUACCAAUAUAAAUUAAAGUGAUUUACCAACUUUUAUCAAAUUAAAUUACCAUCACAAGCACCAAGAAGAGUGAGAUAAAAGGAAGGGGACAACAUGAUUCAUAGAAAUAGAAAUUUUUUUUCUGUUAUCAAACGGAUUUUUGUUUCAGAAAUAGAAAUUUUGAGUCGUUAUCAAACGGAUUUCUUUGCUCAGAAACUUGUCCGGGGAAUAGAAAUUGAGAAAUUGAUUUCUGGCCAGAAAUCAAUUUCUGUUUCAGAAAUUUUACCAUGCGCACCCUAAAUUGAGGAAAUAAUUGACAAAAGUCUUCAAAGAGCAGGAGGUUGUCUCGGAAAUAUUUUAUUACUGCAUGUUGGUCAGAUGUUGGACAUUUUGGACUGUUGCAUUAUAUUAUUGUAUGUCAGUUAGAUGUUGGACUUAUUGGAGAACUGAAUAUAUUAUAUUAAAAUUUAGUUAGAUAUAUGUUGGACGUAUUGGACAAGUUAAUACAUGUUCCACUUGCCAUUACUCUGUUGUUAUGUUCCAUUUGCCUGGAAGUCACCUGCGGCCUUCCUUCAUAAAUUCAAAAAAUUAAUUGAGAUUCACACCAAUUGGGCAGCUAAGGGUAAUGGCGGAUAAGUAGAGUCUUCAAGUGUCUUUAGUUCAUGAACUUAUGCUCCGUGUAUGAUACUGUAAAAAAACAUAGACUUUUUCGAAUGUUGAUAUGCAAUAUGAAAUUUUAUAAUUACAUGUCUAUACAUUAUGAAUGAAAAAUUACAUUUGAACUACAUCAAUAUGCACAUUACCAUGAUCUUGCCAAGAUGAACUUUGAAAGAAUUUAAUGAAUCGUUAGGCGGAGACAUAUAACUCUCUUACAAUGUGGUGCUUACGCAAUGUACAAUUCUUCCAAAUCCCGCCAACCACAACUUGAUUUCUCUUUUAUUAAAUAGUUGAAUUUUAAUCAGAGUUGCCACUAACCUAUUAUAGGCUAGUUGUGAGCCAAGUAAGGCAUAGGAGCUCGCCCCACUUUGGUGAACUAGAGGCUUUGGAUGCAAGAACUUGGUUAAGCUAGUUUUGCCUAGCACCUAUCACUAGUAACUUUUUUCUUUUAAUAAAAAUGAUUUCUUCCAAUAUAUUUUCAUUUUUUAUUUCUUAAACAUGUAAAUCUAUAUUAUCAUACAUAGAUACUCAUACAAUAAAUUUGACCAAUCAAUGAUAAAUAUAAAGACGGAACAGAAUAAAAGCAAUUUCAGCCGUAUCAAACCAAAUUAAUACAACGCUUUGUUAUAAAUUCCUAAAACAGGACCUGUGAGCUAUUCAUAAGAAGAGACAUGCACUAGUCUAAUAAAUGAAAAUUUUUUAAUCUUUGUAAUCAGAAAUUAAUCCUAAAUGCAUUAUGAUGCAACUAACAAUAGUCAAUAUUAAUCUCAUCCUAUAUUGUACUGCGAAAAAGCCGAUACGCAUUAAAAAUGCUUCUUUUAUACUUUAUAUAUGUGUGUAUAUUAAUACGAAGGGAUUAUCUAUAUAUGAGAAAAAAAAUAAAACUAAAUUUAAAUGUUGGACUAUAAUAAGAAAGAGACGUCAUCUAAACUCUGAGUCGGAAGAUGGCAUUGGCUAGACUGAUACCUAUUCGACAUCUCCAUUUUCAUCUGUGUAUGAAAAAGACACAUUCGGCCUAUCCCCGAGCUUAAAAAGAGGACCCAAAGCAUGCCUCGACAAUCCUAGAGUGAUCACAAAGCAAAGGGACCAUGGAGGACCGACCCGGAGAGUCUCAAAUAGACCAAAAGUGGGAUGGAUGCCCACGGCCUGAACAAUGGGCAUCCGAUCCAUUCCCGAUCGUCGACACCUAAUUUUGGCUAAUGGAUUAGUCAUUCAUUAAACGGGAAAUUAGGGAUCAAAUCAGACUUUAAACAAAUAUAUCAAUGUUGCAUAAUUUGCAUUAGCAUUAUAUUUGCAUUUUUAUUACACUUCAGUACUGACAAAUAUACAGGGAACUAGAGGUGACCUCGAGAAGUGACUUGGCAUGAGAUAGAACUUCAAAAUCCAACUUGCCAUGAGAGAAGUGAGCUUAAAUGGGCAAUCAUGGUGAAGAAAUGUGCUUAAAUUGACAUUCACAUGAUUUUUGUAGCUCAAGCAUAGAAAUUAAGCUAGAACGUAAAUUUCCCACCUUUUUAGUGCUCAAACCCGAGUUCGAGAGGCAAUGUGGGCCUAGAAUCAAAUUGCUAACGGCUGCAAGGUCAAGUUUAGUCAAUGAGCCAUGGAACAUCCUCUCCAAGAUUGUUGAAAUUUUAGGGUCCAAACAGUGAGUUAAACGAUAAUCCCAAAGUUUUGAGAAAUCAGCCAUAAUUCCAAAUUGUGAGAAAUCAUCCAAAUUUAGAUCGAGCCGAUAACGUAGCAUUUUGUUUCAAUAGCUGUUAUCGCAUCAAACACUUCCCGCUUAAUCCAACUGCCAACCACCCCUCUUCAUCUCUCCUCACCCCAUCUACGUCCUCCAUUUUGAAGUCAUUUUAGUCUCGUUAUUUAACCGAUUGUAAGCUCCAUCCCGUCUAGUCCUAAUGCUAACCCAAUUAGGACCUGUAAAGGCUUCAUAAACCUCCUAUGGCCAGCCAAAAUGAAGACACAACUCAUUCAGGAUAUCUCAAAUUGCAAGCCUCUCUAGGCUCUUCUUGGCCUUGCUCAGCGGUGUCCUCUCCUCUUGGUGUCCAACCGGUGGCUCCUCCAUCCUUAGGCAUUCUUCACCGGCAUUCAAGGUUCGGUAGCCACCACUUCUAGCUGUUUUGAUCCUCUUUAUAUAGGCGUUCCCCCUCCAAUCCAACCUUUGAAGAUGCUUCUGAAGAGUUAAAGAGGCGUUGGGAGUUGGUUGUAGCAAAUGUCAACGUUUAGGCUGCCCAUAUAGUUCGCUCCUGCCGGCAAAAAAAAAGGUUUCUUGAAAUGAAGUUUGUUAUACUAUUCCAUCAAAUAUAUAGUCUAACACACUGACCAAAAGUGCCAAAGAUGUCCUCACUUGUUUUUUGUCCUUCGGCCAUGGAUUCCCGACUUGUUAACAACAAUUUUCUUCCAAUUCAACGGUCAACCUAGGAUGGAUUAUUGAACAAUCCCUUCUAGGAAUUGAUAUUUGCACCAUCAAUUGCUCGUCAUCACUUGUUUGUUAAUAUUCUGUUGAUGAUAUCGAUUGUAUUCUUUGUGGAACAACUUGCAAUUCAUUAUCCAAUGGUCUUCCUGAGCAUACCAGUAUCCAAGGGCUUAAUCACCUUAUCUUGGUCCCUCCAAGUCCUCAUGAACCGCUCAUCAUAUCUAACUUGUUCUCCUUUUGUCAAGGCCUACAUCUUUGUGCAUGUCCAUCACUAAGCUUUACAGACACCAUUGAUAUAAUCAAUUCGUCCUAAAAUUAUCAUCAAUUUAUCAUGACAAACAUCUACAAUCAUGUAGUAGAUAUUAAACCAAUGAUAGUUUUGAAAUCAUCAAACUAUCAUUGGAAGUUUUCCCAACACUUAUCAUUGUACACUAUCGNNNNNNNNNNNNNNNNNNNNNNNNNNNNNNNNNNNNNNNNNNNNNNNNNNNNNNNNNNNNNNNNNNNNNNNNNNNNNNNNNNNNNNNNNNNNNNNNNNNNGUCCACCAAAGAAUGGAUGAUCUUCACACUCGUUGAAAGACAUCGAUGUAGUUUGUUGAUCUUGAGGUUGAGUUAGGGGUUUGCGCGACAUGAAUUUGAAUCAUCCGGUUUUUCUAUCAUGCCGUCAGUGUCCUGCAUUUGUUGCUGUUUCUUGGGUGACCCAGGCACAUAGGGAGUGUGUAGCAUCUCGGGAUUAGUGUAGGAAUUGAAGUGCCACCUCAAGCUCGAAGAUUCUUAAUUGCCAUUUGAGAAGCGGUUGGGAUCCAUUACGAGAUUGAAUGAAGUAAAUCAUAUAUAGAAAGUGCAAAUUUGCAAGAAAUUACAGAUUUGUAAAAGAAUGAGAAUUUGGGAGAGAGUGAUGAAUGGUGAAAAUGAGAGAAUGGGGCUCUAGUUUAUAGAGAAUUUGUGAAUUUUUUUUUUCCAGUGGAGGCCCACUGUUGGGCUGAAAGCAGUCACUAAUUAAAUUUGUCAAAUGGGUGGAUCGGGUCAUGUCAGGUCAGGUCAGAUUUGGGUCAAGCCGAGUCAAAAAUGGUCCUAUGUAAAUUGAUCAAUUUAACCCUUUUAGCUCAUUUUCAUACAACACAAAUAUAGUGAUCUAUACCCAACCCAUAAUGUUAAAAUACUUAUAUAUUUAACUCAAAUUAGGAAAAUUAAUACCCAAACUAAAGUGAAAGCAUAGAAUAAAUGAACGUGAAAGAGAGUGAAGAGAGAGUUGUAGAAGUAAGUUUAGUCUAAGUAAAUUGCGAACUCAUUUAACACCCACAUUAAACCCAUUUAUGAUCCAUAGAGUUAGGUCUAAACCCAUUUACUGAACAUAAAUAUAACUAACACAUAUAAUAACUUUGUCCAUCAAGAAUGGGUUGAGAAAUUAGUUGAAGACCUAUUUAGAUAGAUCUAUCACUGACCAAUGAACCCUUUUGAGAAAUGGAUUGGCCACGUGUGGCCCAAAAGCCCACUGAGCCCAACCAAAUGCCAACUUCAUUCAAAAGAACUAGGCCUAGGCCACUCCACUAGGUCCAAUGCAUGGCACGAGCCCAGGGUGAGCUGAUAUAUUGAGAUACUGAUGACAUAAUCACCGGAGCAUGCAACUAUUGAUGCAUGUUAGACAAAUUGAAUGUACAGGUCAAAAUUAAAAAACAGACAUCGAGGAAGAAUAGGCAACCUUGCCUUUUUAAAUAGUCAUGGGAUGGUAUAUCUCGAGAUACUUGUACAUAAUUAUCUUAAAUUCGAGUAGUUACAAUUAAAAUCCCUAACACUAGGUGAGGUAGCUAGCAUCUUUUUUGCAUUGAAUCUGCGUGCAUCUAAGUUAUGCUAAAAGUAUGUUCAGUUCCUGAAAUUGUCAAAAUUCAAACUUGCUAUGCUUUAGACGUUUAUAGAACAUCCAUUUGAUCUCAUCCGUAGUCUUGUUUAAGGUGCUUUCAUAUAUUUUUUAAACGGUUGAAUUUUCUGUUUAACUUAAUCUUUCCGUUUCUUAUGACUCUCUUGGAUAUGUGUGAAUAUGGAAUUAAGUAAAUCCAAAGAACAAAAACAUCAUAAGAGGUCAGCCAUGCUUGCGACAAGCCGAGGGGAAACAAAUAUAACAAUUCAACUAAAAUUUGCAAAAUAAUGUAUUGAUGAUAUAGUUCAUAAAUUGUUAUUGUUUCUGUAGUUGCUUUCUGCAAAUUGCUUUUUAUUUCGUGUUAGCUCAAUCAGAAAAGAAAUGCUCCAAAAAACAAAAAUCUUCUACCAAUCCUUUUAUUUACUUGUAUAAUAAUUGUUCAAAAAAAUUAAAUUAACAUAUUCUUUAUGUAAAUAUAGUAAAAUAGUUCAAAAUACAAUACGGAAUAUGUCCUAUUUAAAUUUAGUUGUAUUUUACUUUUUAGUGUUGAAGAUAUAACUUGCAAUAAAUUAAUCAAGUUAGAAUUAAAACACACGAAUGUCCCUUAAAUAGAAUUUUACUUUUGCUCGCGUUCUCGUCAUUAAAUGUCAAUUUUUUGAACCAAUACAUAUUUCAUGCAUAAAAUCUAAUAUAUCUCAUUCAUAAACUACUAGAGCUGUUAACGGUUUGAAUUUUUCCUUUUUGCAGAAAUGACCAAGGAGAUUAAAAUUAUUGUCAAAAAAAUUUCUCCAGAUAAUUAUCAAAAAAUUCAACAUGCCACAGCUUUUGUAGUCAGUAUUAACAUUAAUUUGUUGUGCAAUUUGAAGUUUGCAAACAUAUAUACAAAACAGAUGAUCUAUCUUUGGCCAUAUGUAUUGUGGGUUAGAAUCUAUGGAUUUGUGAUUUCAAGUGUAUAAUUAUUUAAUUUAUACACUAUAGUACUUUGGUUCAAUAAGGAUUUAAUUAGUAUUUAAAAAGGGGUUGAAAUUUGAUUUAAUUAGGCUUGGGCCUUAGGCCCAAGAGUGUAGACCUUUGAUGGGCCAAAAGGCCGGCCCAUGAAGCCCAUGGAGAGGGCUGCCGUCGACCAAGGAGAGGGGGAGUGGCCGGCCCACUUCCAAGUCCAUUAUGCAUGGGUCUUGCCAAGUGGCAAAAAGGGGACUCCAUCCAUUGGCCAUUGUGGGAGGCAUCUCAUGAUGACUAAUGAUUGUGAUUAAGGGGGAAUAAAAGGGAGAGAGUGGCCGGUUUAGGGGGCUGUCGCCCAAGCCAAGUGAGAGAGAGAGAGGGGGUUGCGAGAGAGUGAGGAACCGAGAGAGAAAGGGAGAAGCCACGCAAAGGGGAGGUCCGCUCGUCCGUUGCCCAUCCAUCCGCUCGUCCGUCGCCGUCCGUGUGCUGUUGUUUACUCGAUUUGAAGGCAAGUUGGGAUCCAUAUUCUGCUCUUGCAUGUUGUCUCUUGCAUGUGUGUUUGAGUGGUGGUAAAUCUUGGAUGUUUAGGGUAUGAGAAACCGAAGCUAGGGUGUGUUGUUUUUGAGAUAGCAUGCUGUUUUCGAGUGUGCCGCCUGACCCUAAACGUUGUAAAGGCUUGCAUACGUGGUUUGAGUCAGAUUUUGGAUUCGAAUUCUUCACUAAAAUUUGUAGACAACAUCUCAAAGUAUAACAUACUAAAAUUUGAGACAAAAUGGCUGCGUUUUAAGGGGUGAAACCCUUCCUCUACGAAAACGCUAGAUCUGAAACUGUUUUGUUGACCUCUUGGUGGUUUUGUGUGUUGCAUGUCACUUUUUACCGCGAAUCUCACUUCGACUUCUCAUGAAAGUUGUAGAGAAAAUCCUGAAGAUUAACAUAAUCAAAUUUUAGGUAAAACGAGCAAGUGUAGCCUAGUGAAACGAUUUUCUUUUGAAGACGGCAGAUCUGGAAGUAUGGUAGUGGACUCCCGAGACUUCGUGGACUAUAUGGUGACUAUCCUUUGAGAAUCUCACUAAGAUCCCUUAAUGAAAAUUGUAGGGGACCUCUUGAGGCAAAAAAAUAUCAAAAUUUCAGAGGAAAUGAAGAAAGAUAAGUAGGCGAAACCUCGAUUUUUCAGAAACAGCUAAACUGGAUUGUUCGGUAUUAGGAACAGGAGCUUCGACCGUCUAUAGUUAAUUAUCUAGAGCGAAUCUGGCCUAGAUGUCUGUAUGAAAAAUAUACCUUAGGGUCUUGACUAUAACUUGGUAAAAUUCCAUAAUUUUUUGACGUCAUUCGGGUAUUUUAAUCGAAAUAUUUCAAGAACUGCACAAUCUGAUUUUAUCCGAAUUUUGCAUGAUGUAUUGUGUGAGCUAUAUCUUCUUGUGUGAAGCUCUUUUGGGUAUGUGUCCUUCAUGAAAUUGCUACCUUUAUGCCUUGUCUAUUACAUGCUCUGAUUGUAUGAUUUUUUAAGAUCAUAUGGAUAUUUAAUUUAUAUGUUUUCCGAAAUUGUGUAAGCUGGAAUUUGGUAAAUUUCAAAAAAAAAGACAUGAUAUGUGGAUUAUUCUAAGUUGUAUGGACCCCAUGGAUUGUAUUGUCAUAAGUGGUUGUAUCUUGCUGCAUGUAUGAUGAUGAUUGAAAAUGCAUAUAAGAAUCAAAAGAUGAAAAUGAUCUUGUUUGCCAUCACAUCAUAUGCCAUGUUGAGAUUGAGCUAUAAUUGAAAAUGUGAACUAAGAUAAGUGAGAAGGUCGUUGGGGGUAUAAGCUGACAAUGCCUCGGGAGUGUUGGGAUGCUUGGCUAAGGAGUGUAAAUGCCGGAUACUCAGUGGCCUUAAAUGGCUGAAUGCCAGAGGGUUCUCGGGAGUUUCGAGAUGCCCGAAGCGUGGGGAGACAGAAGCCUGGAGGUUUGUGCUGGGGGAUACCUCGUGAUGCCACUUGGGGUACGAAAUGCCCGACAGGUGUGUGCCGGAUGCUCGGAGGUUUGUGCCGAAGGUUCCUCGAGAUGCCAGGUGGGGUGCAAGCGAUAAAUGUGGGAUGCAAAUACUGAUCCCGAGAAAAAGAGAAAUGUGGCAGUUCAAAAUGAAAAGAUAAAAUUUGGAAAUUGAAAUUGAAUCAUGCAUGGUGUGACAUCCCAAAUUUUCAACCCUGUCUUCUACUGAAUAAAUCGGGCAUUUCAUUGACGCAUCUAUAGGGUUAUUCUCAGAGCCGAUCACUCUCGAGAUAACUAGACUAUAUGGAGAAAUUAUUAGGAAUUUUAAAGCAAUUAGACUUGAGAACUCGAUCAUGAAUCGGCUUCUCAAUCGUGUCCAUCUUUAGAGGCCAUUACGACACAGUUAAAAAUCGAUUUGAGAUCAGAGAUAGGUCUGUUCAACUGAGAUGUGUAGCCGAUCGUGGGUGACUCUACUAAAUUGGAAAAUUCUCGUCGAUUGGCUCUAGACUGAUUUUCUUAUUGUUUUGGUACCCUGUGUCCUUAUUUGGAUCCUCGAGAUUUUCACGACAAACAAGAGUCGCCAAUGAGUCGAGUGGAUUCAUAGUGGUUCGAAGAAAAUCGACCACGAGUCAAUUGCCUUGAAAAGUUCUGAAAACUACCUGGUAGUCUAGGUUACGCUAAAAACGCGCCGAAUGAAAAUUAACCGCUAAUUCAAGUCCGAUUUCAGAAAUUGAAUAUUCUGUCGUGUCACAAUAAAUUUUAGGAACGUCAACUCAGUCUCAGAAGAUUUUUAGGAGAUUCAGGAUUUUUUACGGAAAACCGUUUCGGACGUCGUGGAAAUUUGGCAGAAGUUCAGAUUGGCUAAAUUGAUAGAAAAUUGGACUUCCAGACUGAGCCGUUGUGUGUCAGGGAUUUAUAGAAAAUCAUUUGGGAUUUUUCUACACCAAAAUUUGACGUCGAAUUUGGGAAAUUGAGUAAUGAAGUUAAAGAUCAAAAUGUGAAAUUCGGAUUGGAAAGUGGCAACAAUUUUAGGCUUCAAAUUUGAUUGGUUUAUAAAGAUUUUUACAAGAAAGUAUUAGAGGCCAACCAAGAUAAGGAUAAAGAAAAAGGAGGGAGACAAGCAAUUAAGGGAAUGGCUUAGGUUUGUUGAUUUUGGGUCCCUCCCGUCGCUGUCUUCAUCAUCACCGCUUCUGCCUUCUCCUCCGUUCCUAUCCAUAUUCGUGAACUCUCUCUCUCUCUCAUCGAGGAAGCCUACGAAUUCCACCAAAGUGUUUCUCCAUUUUCGUUCAUCCCUCUGCCACACGAACAGUCCAUUUCAACAAAAAGAAUUGACUGGCUUCGACGCCAAGAUCCCACCGAAGCCCUCAACUCCACGCGUCCAUCUUCCACUUCGCUGUACCAGUCGGCAAUCGAGUUGAAGAUGCCGAGGCAGCAACCGAAGCUGCCCCAUCUCACACACCACCGAAGCAAGGAAAUCUGCAGAAGCAAGAACGGCCGCACGUCUCCACCAUCGAAGACCUUCGCUUCAGCCAGCGCCUCCACGCGUCCUCAACCAGAGCUCCUUCGGUCAACCGCAGCAAGCCCACCGAAAAUCAGUGGUUGACUGAGCAGCUUUGUUCAGCUGCCACUUGGCUGUGAGGCCUUCGGUCGGUGCCUCCCUCACACGCCCACCGAGCUGAGCUCCUAUCUGCUGGGCCGAAGUUGUCUCAACUGAAGUCACCAAUUCCCCAGCAGCAACUCCACGUCGACGCUGCAGCCCCACUUCGGCUUGUCUUCAACAGAGUCAACGGAACUAGCAGCUUCUUCUCUUCUGUUGACUGAAGCUGCCAGCAGAUGCCCCUUCUCCACUGAGGUUGGUCGGCCACAGAAGCCAGCAAGCUGUCCGAGAAUUUUCUCCAUCGUCAACCGAAGCCGUAGCACCUUCCAGUGAAGACCGAAGCAGCCCACUUCGCAGCCCAAAUGAUCAGUAUUUUGGUCCAUCAAGCAGCCUGCAGUUUGACAUCUUGAGGCCCAGCAAUUUCCUUGUGAACUCAGCCCAUCAUCAAUUAGAAUUGAAGCCCAGCAAAAUUUGGCCCAAGCUUCAGCCCAAGUUGUUUGAAAGGCAGGCCCAAUUCAGCUUUGCUUCAAGCCCAAGUUCAGGCUCAGUCCAAGGAUUCCAGCAGGCCUAAGCCCAGAAAUUUCUGCAGGCUUGUGAGGCUUUUGAGCUCGGCCCGAGUGUCCGCCGACGCCGCCGAAAGUUUGGAAUUCGGCCACCGUCGCGGUGUCCCGGUCCCCGUUUUUAAUCAAGUGAGUUUUACUCACUAAAGCUUGCUAAUUAUGCUUAGGGUUGGUUAGAUUUAAUUAAGUGCAAUUAGGUGGUUAGAUUAGGUUAGAACAAUUAAUUUAGUGACUUAAUGAUGCACGUUAGGUGGUUAGACCUAGCUAUUAGCAAGUAGAAAUGUUUGGUUAUUUAUUGAAUGUAUCUCGGGAUUUUUCCCGACCCGUUUCGGGCUCCAAUAAGGCAAUAUGGGCCUAAAUUGGAUUUUUAUUAUUUAUUUAUUUAAUUUUCUAAAUUAAUUAUUUAAUUAAUUAUUUUUUUCCGGAAAUUCAAUCGGGAUGGCCGAUGACCAGAAUUUCGUGCUGAUUGUCGUGGUGUAGCCCAUUUAUUUAUUUGAGCUCUACGUUGUGUGGAAUUGAAUUAAUUGUGAAAUUUGAGAAUUUAUCCUUAAUUGUUUGUUAUUGAAUAUUUGAUUGGUAAUGGCCAAGCAUGGGUAUAUAGCGCUAGUACGUUGAUGGGCUAUAUAGUAGGGAGAAUGGUGAGAGCUAACUGAGAACAUUAUUGGUUGAGACCAAUCAGGUAUGAUAUUAUUGGACAUACGUGGUUCGGUGAUUGGAAGUAUCACUGGCGAAAACGGCGCCUUAAAGAACGCACGUAAAUGACUUAUAGACAAACGUGGUUUGGUGAUUAUGGAAAUAUCACUGGUGAAAACGACGCCUUAAAGAACUCACGAUGUUGUCUAUUGUCGAUGUCACCUUGGCGAAAACGGCGCCCUAGAAAGGACACGUGGUUGGGUGAUCGAGGAUAUCACUGGUGAAAACAGCGCCUUAAAGAAGGCACGGUGUCAGUGAUCGGUAUGUCAUUGGCGAAAACGACGCCCGAGAAACACAUGUGAUUUGAUGAAUAAGUGCACCACUGGGAAAUCGUGGUAUGAGUGGAAAUGACCUAGAGAGGGUCUGAUUGACAUGUAAUCGACUUAGUCGAUUGACUAUCUAUGUUUGAAUAUCUAUGUUUAAAUAUCUAUGCUUAACCUUGAAUUGCAGGUUGGAACUGAGGCCAAGGUAAGUCCUCUGACUCAAGUUGUGCUUAGGCAAUCGUAUGGCGUAUUAGUUUAUUAAUCGAGUCUUAGGGGGUAGGACUCGCUGAGACGUGGUCUCAUUGGUUAUUGAAUAACCAUUUCAGGACCCUGAGGUGAAGCUAAGGAAGAGAAACCUGAAGGGGAGAAAGACUUUUGAAGAAGAAGAAGAUCCAGAGAGGGAUCUCGAAUAUAACCCGGAUGUGGACUGAGAUCCCAUCCCUUUUGUAAACCCUGUCUUAGCAUACAUAGGUGUGAGACUUUUAUGCUGUAAAUAGUAUUGUAAAAAUACUAUAAGUUGUGCUGUUAAUCAAAGUGUGGUUGUGAAUUUCAAUAUGAAAAAUAUGGCCUACUUUCCUAUCCCAUUGUUUUAUUGUCUGAGGAUUUAUAACUGCUUCUGCAUGUGCUUAAUAAAAAGAAAGGGUCGGCGAUACAUAGUCCUGGGAUAUCGCAUUCUAAAAUCGACCAAGUAGAAGAAUGUGCGCGCGUCCGAGGAUUGGGGCGUGACACAUGGUAUGGCAAUAUGUAUGCAUGGAUGCAUGAUGAUGGUAAGUGCAUGGAUGUAUGUGCACCCAUGGCAUGAUGGUAUGUGAGACAUGAUGAUGGUAAGUGCAUGGAUGUAUGUGCACCCAUGACAUGAUGGCAUGUGUGACAUGAUGAUGGUAAGUGCAUGGAUGUAUAUGCACCCAUGACAUGAUGGCAUGUGUGACAUGAUGAUGGUAAGUGCAUGGAUGUAUGUGCACCCAUGGCAUGAUGGCAUGUGUGACAUGAUGAUGGUAAGUGCAUGGAUGUAUGUGUACCUAUGGCAUGAUGGUACAUGUAUGAUAUGAUGGUGAUGAUUACAUGAGGAUGUGUGUACAUGUUGUAUGAUAACAUAUGCAUGGCUCCAAGGUAAAUUAUGCAUGGAUGCUUGAAUGACAUGUCUUAUGCUAUGAUUGUUAUGAUUGUACUGUGUGAUGCAUUGAGUGAUUUAUUGGGUCCUUUAUCUGCUGAGUGGCUGUAUUCACCCCUUCGGGGAUCAACAUUUCAGAUUAAAAAGAUGCCGCCCCCUACUGUCACAUGAGGCUUCUUUUACGGCCUUCAUUCGGAUGUGGAGGUCGAGUGUGUGGAGAUCGACUAUCCCACCAUCCAUGGUCUGACGUUCAUUCGAGUUCGCACAUUAGUGAUGUAUGACGUGGGCCUGGGUAAGGGCCCUGUCAUUCAGGAGUUUAUAUCUGUUCACGUUCGUCGAGACGGAGUGAUGCGGGGGAUGUUGCCGCUGCCACCGCCUGACGCACCGGCAUGGGUGUGACUGCACACACGCGAGAAGUAGGAGUUGCAACUUUUUGGAUAAUAGCCGACACUAGUAGAUGGAGGAUUUUGCAUGAUUGACAUAGAGAAUCGAGUUGUCUCUUUUUGAGGUUGUGGUCAAGUGUGGUCAAAAGUCUUGGCCCUUCUUUUGUUAUACCGACCCAAGAAAAUCCAUCAUGAAAAUAUGUAAAUAAAAGUUGCUCGACUUUAUCUUUUCCUAUGGCGCUUAGUGAUGUGCAUUGUCUCAUGAUAGAUGGAGGGAGAGAUGAUGAUAUUUCAAUUAUGCUUCCGCUAAUAAGUUGCGCUGGGACCGAUAUAUAUAUAUAUAUAAAGAAAAAAAAAUGCCUAUGAGCUGUAAUGCUUCUAUUAAGAGAUGUGACUAGCGUUCAUUAGGUAUAGUAACAGGCACCUGUGGCGACCUAGGUGUUUCGGGGUGCCACAUAUAUCGUCCAACUUCCAAGUCGAAUGUGCUAUUAGGACUACAUCGAAUCAACUCAGCCUUAUAAGAUUGCAGCAACUCGUAUUGCUCGACAAAUGGACCUCUAAUGAUCUCAACAGCUCUAGUAAUCGCUCUAUAACAAAUCCUCCUAUUUAGUGUCAAUGCCCACCUCUCCAUUGCAUCCGCCUGCAUUUGUGAUGUUGUAUACUUCAAGUUAGCUCUAAUUUUAGGCAAAAACUGCUUCGCAAGCCAUAUAUACGAUGCAUUCUUUAAAGGUCUUCUCACUCUACAUCCAACUAGCAUAAACUCUUCAUUCACAGCCACUCUCACACCUACCAUCCAUUUUUUUUUUCGCUUCACUCUUCUUCCAUCCAAUGUUAAAUCUGUUUAUGAUUGCGUAAAGUUGCACAGCUUUCUUUAAUUGAGCACGUGAGACAAAUAUCAUUCCUACUUUAAAUUGCAUGUCUUUAUGAUCAGAUUUGGGGUCAUAUCUAAUGGUUUUUGAUCUUCUUUGGUCACAGACUUCUUCAUCUCCAUCAGAGUUGGGAGGGCUCAAAUUCUCAUCUCCUUCUUCUAGAUCAGUGUCUCCAUCAUUUUCACCCCCAUCCUCAUUUUCAGGAAUGUUAACAGCAACUGUAUUAGUAAUAGCAGCAGCAUCGGCCUCUCUUCUUAUUUGCCUAGCAAGAAAGAAAUCCUCGUUACCACCACCGAGAAUGUAAUCAGCAUCACUUAAAGAUAAUGUAUCAGGAUCUUGCUCUAGUUCACUAUCUCUAUAGCUAUCACUCUCACUAUUAUGACCACUAGUAGAAGAACCACUAUCAUCACCAAGAGCAGCUCCUUCAAUAUAUACUUCAAUAACACCAAAACUUGAUCCUAGACCCACCAAUUCUAACACUUGAUCAUCACCAACAAUCUGCACAAGACCACUUCUCAAGGAAUCCCCAGGAGUUGCGUACCACAACUUUUUAACUGAGUAUCCUAGAUCAAGAACAACCUUAACAAUUGCAUUAUAGUUCACCACCAUUGACUUACAACGAUGGAGAUAUUCUACAUGGUAGCCUAUGUACUUUGUGAUGUCUCCAAACUCCAUAACUCCACCUAGGUGAAGUCCAAUUGUAAAUCGUUAAACAUCUGCAAGGGAACAACAAACAAACCAAUUAGUUUAUAAAAACCUCUCACAAAUAACUAGCAAAGAUGGGAUGAUCAAGUUUGACAUGAAAUGACAAAAUCGAGUUCGCCAAACAAGAUGCUUGGAAGCCUUGAUAGGAAAUAUGAGGCACCUACGUCUAGAAAGAGACCCAGAGUUAUUUCAGUCAUAGCAAAAACUUGCAACAAGGUUAACCAAAUGCUGAUAAAACUCUGGAAAUCUUGAUAUUAAACUAACAAGAAACUGGACAAUCACACCUGCCAACUACUUGCUUACAUUAGGCACUCAGAUUGACACAUAUCUACAGUACUAGUUAGAUACUCUAGGUUAUGUAACAAAUUGCAUAAUAAGUGGCAAAAGAUACUGAGAAGGUAAUCAUUUUAUGUUUCACAAGCAAACAUCAGCUUUACGAAUUGCCAAUCGACAUCUAUCCCACCUUAUUUAUUAAGCAAACAAGAAUUUCAAUCUCGUUAAAUGGGGUUAACUGAGCUCAAGUCACUAUUCCAAAUAAUAUAUGGGUACACAUAAGUGUGUGUCCUUGUAUAAUUUCAAUGACCAAAGAGUUCACAAAAGGAAAAAAGCUUGUCAUUGUACCGUGACUAUCAUAUCAGCUUCUUUAAUAUCAAUUAAUUGAUUGUAAUGAUCCUGAGGGAUAACCUGGUUCAUGUACAAGGCAAAGCUUGGCCGUGCGAGUCGCCCUGGACUAGGAGGACCAGAGAAAAGAUGCCUUAUAUUCUAUUCAAAGUAAUGAUUGAGAUACAUAAUAUAACUUGUUUCUGCUGCAAAAUCGAACCUUGAAACCUUAAUCAAAAUUAUCCAUGUAGAUAUGUAUAUUAUCCACGUACUAAAGUCGGCGUAAUAUUAUAAUAUUCAAAUGUACGUGCUCUUUUAGGACUAAGCAUAUUUAUGAAAUCUCAGGAGACAUGUUGAAUCACACUCAAAGUACACCUGAAAUCAGUAACAAACAUAAAUGAUUUUGGUUCCGGCAUUUCAACGAGCAUGUGAUGUAUGAGUCAAUCGUACCAUUCACAUGCAAGUUUCAUGUCAAAAUUUUGACACACUUACGAUUCAAGGUAUGAAAGACUAUGUAAUACUAAUAAGGACAUGAACUAACACGAAGGACCAACAAAGCAAGAGUAAUAAGUAAUCAUACAAACAGAUUGCGGACAAGCAGUAAACCAUGUGGGGUUGAGACAUAUAAUCAUAAAGCCAAGUUUGUCACAAACCAAAAACGAGCGAAGCAACCACGAUUAGAAGAAUAUGACUCGAAGAUCCAACAAAAAUGAAAGAGAGGAGGUCCUCAGAAACAUAGAGCUCUAACGCGACGUGGAAUAGAGAGCUCUUGUUUUCCUACCUUGAUAACAUGAAACCACUCAAGUGCAAAUCCGCCACAUUGGUCCUCAAAUGACAGAAUACCACAAUUCCACUCACCAAUCACAGGAUAAACCAAAGGCGCUCCUACUUAAAAACUCAAACUUUCCACGCCCGGGAGCAAUUCACUCACUUUGAGUCUCCUCGGCCUGCGCUGACAUCGCGACCCCGAUGAGUGACCGGAUGAACUCGUCGAACUUCGACCGGAGCCACGCCCUAUAAAUCACCUCGGGAAAGAAGAGCGUUUGUCAUGAAUUGAACUUAAUUUGUUGUUAGGGUUUUUUUUUUUUUGUGUGUGUUAUAACGAAGGGAGAAGAGAGAACGUGAGGUACAUAAGAAGGCGUGAGAAAUGAGAAUUUAUUAGGGCUUUUUAAGAUAUCUUUUUGUUUUUCCCUUCACUGUUACAAAGUUAUUAUUAUUUUAUUUUGAAAAAAAAUUAAGUUAUUUCCACAUGGCUUGCCACGUGAGCAACCACGUCAUCAAAGUUAAUGGCAAAAUCUAACCAAACUAACGGAGGGUAGAUCUGUCAUAAGUGUACCAGUUUGAGGUAUUUGAUGGUAAAAAAAAAAUAGUUUGUGGUAAAUUUGUCACAAUGUACCGGUUUGGGGUUUUUUUUUAAGGUAUUAACCAUUAUUUAAAUAUAGCAAAAUAGUUCAAAAUACAAUAUGGAAUGUGUCCUAUUUAAAUUUAGUUGUAUUUUAUUUUUGAGUGUUGAAGAUAUAACUUGCAAUAAAUUUAUCAAGUUAGCAUUGAAACACACGAAUGCCCCUUAAAUCGUAUUUUACUUUUGCUCGUGUUCUCGUCAUUAAAUGUAAAAAUUUUGAACCAAUACAUAUUUCAUGCAUAAAAUCUAAUAUAUCUCAAUCAUAAACUACUAGAGCAGUUAAUGGUUUGAAUUUUUCAUUUUUGCAUAAAUGACCAAGGAGAUUAAAAAUGAUGUCAAAAAAUUUCUCCAGAUAAUUAUAAAAAAUUUCAACAUGCCACAGCUUUUGUAGUCAGUAUUAACAUUAAUCUGUUGCGCAAUUUAAAGUUUACAGAUAUAUAUACAAAACAGAAACAUCGUAGUGGGAUAUUUUCGGAAUCAAUUUCAGAUUAUUUUGAAAUUUUAAUAGACACGUGUACUCUCUUUUUUUUUUUUUGUCAGAAUAUACACAUGUACUUAAUUUAUGACUUUAUCUGCAACAUCAAUUUAAGGUGCAAUUCCCACUAUUUAUCUUCACAUAUUCAUUGCUUUUUUGGCAGUUUCUCACAGUGGGGCAAAGAAAAAAAAAACCGACGCUUCCAUCUCGAUGAAUCAAAUUAUAUCUUAUGCAAAGCUUCCAUUUGAAGCCCAAAAGUUCAGCAAUCGCAUUAGUUUCCAACAUUGAUUAUUGCUAUGCGCAUGCUUUUCUUCUUCUUUUUUAUCGGAAAAUAGUCCAUUUUCCUUUAGGGAGAAGCCUGACGACAAGGCAAAAGGGCUUCUGAACAUAAUAAUAACCCCAUACUCAUACUAAAAUGCUGACGGAUUGACCAGGAACAGGCAGGAACAAAUCAACGUUGAAGACAUCUAGACAAAACAUCAAACAGGUCGCGAAGGACUCUCGGCGAGACCCAUUUUUUAACUUCAACCAAUCGAGAUCAAUAAAAUCCCGAGGAUUCUCCCUUCGACUGAAACGAAACUCACGAGCCCGCUUCAGACAGCUUCACUCUCCUAUAUCUCGGUUCGAAGGUGGAUGGACACAGAUCCCGAACGAUGGAGCAGAGCGAUGAGGAGAUUCUGAACACGUAAUCGACUCUAAAGGUCGAUCGGAAUAGAAACGACCCGGCAGGGGUAGUGCCGAUUCCUAUCCUCCUUGGUUCCCUUCGGCCGAGCUCUUCGAUGGCCAAAUCCUUUUUCAAGCGAGCGUCCAGCCAUCCUCUCCUUCUCGCUUUCGGCUGACUCUCUUUCUCCCCCGUGAAUCUCUCUUCAGCCUAUCUCUCUGCAACUUGCCUCUUCAACGGCCGCCCUCUCCGAAAGCCGGCGGCGUCUCUCCUCCUCCUGUUAUGCGAACAGGAUCCUCUUGAGGUGAGCAUCCUUUCCGGCGAAGAUGCUCCUCGGCGAGCAGCUCCUAUCUCAUCUUUUCCUCUCGGAUCAGCACGCUCCCCUCGCCUCACCGAUCGAAUCUUUCUGUUAUUUCUCUCGCACGCCAGCUAGCACGGCUCUAGAAGGUGCUGGCUCAGCUCUCGUCACGGUUUGUCGAGCCUCCUUCGCUCACAGACGCACGCGCGCUUGGCCUGUCUUUCUUCCUUGCGUCACGGACGCUGUGCUCGCCGGGGGAGUUGAGGGGGAAGCGCGUGCGAGGGAAGAGGGAGGCUGAGGCUGGGGCUGGGCUUUCUUUUUGUUUGGUUCUAUGAUGGGCCAAGGAAAGACAAAAGGACAUGGGCUAAAAAGGAAAUGAAGAGAUGGGCCAAAGGAAUUAAAAGAAAUGGGUUGGACUAAUGGAGGGAGGGGAGGGGGCUUAGAAGGCUGUAAACUUUGCUAAGGGGCCGGCCCACACGACUUCAUUUAGCUUUUUUUAAUAUCUUUUUUAUUUUUUUGUUAUUAUUAUUUAUUAUAAAUUUUCAGAUUUUUGUAAUAUAAAUGGAUACCUAAAACGUUGAUAAAAAUUUGAAUAUCAAUAGCAACGACCAGAGCAGAUAAUAUCAUGUUUACCCUCCAAUGAGGCUACCUAUAGUGGUGUAUUAGGCCAAGGUGGCGAUGUUAGGUUUCUGAUAUUUAAUUGUUCCCACUUACCUCCAUAUGGGCUAUUGUGCUUGUAGGUAAAUCUUGCAUGACUUUAAGAGUGGGAAUGUUGGCUUUUAUGUAUGUCUCUAAUCCCAUAUUGCCUAAAUACGACCUGUAGCACUUAAAGUAAGCGUGGGUGAGUUGUGACCAAAGCAAAAAAUAUCAUGCCCAAGCCUGGAUAGGGGUGUUUGGGACACUAAGGCGAAACUUCAAGAGUAAGACAGUGAUCAAGUUGAGCUCAAUGCAAUGAGACCACUCAUUGAAGAAGAGUCAUUAAAGAGUUUACACAUCUAGUAUGCUAGUUUCAAGAAGGGGUUUUAACCCUUCCAACCGCCAAACUAGGUAAAUUACUUAAUCAUCUCAUCUAUCAUCGACAACUUGUCAAAAUUCUAUAGAUACAAAAAGAUGAUUUGAUAUGUAGACACCCUUAUACUCACCUAGCAAGAUGUGAUAGUUAUUUCCGUGUAAUUAAUUAUCUUAUUUCUUCCCUUUAUUUUUUCCUCUUAAGCCUACAGAGCCAAAAAAAAAACCUAUACCAAAAGUGGUUAAUCUCUUAGAACUAAUUCAUCAUUAAUGACAUCUCAAAAUUCAAUAAGGAAAAAAAAAGAUAUUUAAAAUUUAGACACUCCAAUACUCACCCGGCUAAAUAUAAUAUUUUUAUUUGCUAUAUAUUUUGUAUUCACCGAUAAUAUGUGAAACUUGAAGACUGAAAUUGAGAAACAUAAGAAGAAUGAAUCCUCACAACCAUACUUCAAGAUAUGACCCACCAAUCCACGAACGGCAUACUCGCCGGCUUGGCCUUCAAGUCCCGGACCGGAUCUCCUGUUACUACAGUUCGAUCGCUGGCUUUGUCUUCAAGAGACUCGCAUGUUUCUAGCUUUAACAUUUUCCUCAAUGCACAUCUUUUAAGCGAUUUCAUCACGUCCUACAUCGUGCUAGACAAUUGGUGAUUUUGAAUCUCCAAAUAUAUUUAUUGAAGAGACAUCCUCUCUGUCGUCUAUUGUGCAUGCAACGGUGGCGUCUUUUGGUCUAUCUUAAUUGUGUGCUUUGUUUGGGUAAUUCACUUUCGAUUUUUUGUUCUGUAUAACUAAUGCAUUUACCCAUACUUCGUAUAGGUUGUCUAUCAAACUUUACUGAGAAAUUUGUGUCCACUAAAAUUUCGACGAAGAUAAAAUAGUAAGAAUGAUCAUCGUGAAGUUUGGUAAACAAGACAAUGAAUGAAGAAGAAAAUAGAAAUGUCCAGGGAAAAACAAUUUAAAUCACGAUUGAAAGUACCACGACCUAAUUAUCUUACAUAUAUUAUAAAUAUGUCUCAAUCACCAAAGGCAUUUUGCGUAGUAAGAUCAUAUUUAUUAAUAUUGACAACUCCACAAAUCCUCCCCAUUACAUGACAUUGGAAAAGAUCACUGAUGAGCUCAAUCUUUCUGUGUAAAAUUAUAAAUUCCAUCCUCUUUGCGAGAGCAAGAGAAGCACCGGCGCCAAUAGCCAAGGUUAAAAGACCACUUUCGUUAAGGUUUGUGUUUCGCUGACUCAUCAGAGGAUAGAGAAAUAAGUGGAGAACCAUUUUUUCUAUAUGUGCCGGUUAACUCGGGUUCAUCAUAUCCUACAUUUAUGCCUUAUAAUAACACAUUCGGAUAAUUCAAUUACAUUCAAUGAAAAACUUUAAAAAAGAAUCAUGGAUGCAAUUUCAUAGAAUACCUUUCGAUUGUGUUAAUGACAUAAUGCUAUAUACAAAGAAGGGAAAUUUAACAAAGGAAAGAGGAAAGUGUCUAUCUCUAUCCUUUGAUAAUAAUUUAAUUUUAAAGAAAAUUUGACUUGGUAAUGUACUUACAUUAAAUACUUGAAAAAAGUUAAUUUUAGAAAUAAUUAUACAUACUGUCGUGGCAUGGACUUUGUGACCAAACUAUAGCUGCAUUGCUCUAAUAUAAUAGAAAUCUCCAAGACCUGACAACAAGAGACCCACUAAAUUACAGCACUAAUAAGUCACUUGAUCCAAAAACACUCUUGCCGACAUAUAUUCCACAGUAGACCUCAAGCAGGCCCAUGUUUUUCCCCGAAUUCAAAUUUAAAUUGGUUUUUACUAAACAUACGUAGUCAAUGUGAAAACGACAUAAAAUAGAUGGACCCAACAUUAAUUCAAAACUAGCACACCGCACACAGAAAGUGAACAAUCAAGCCCAAGAGGUUCUCAAUCAAAACGUUUACAUGACAAGCUCUGUGUAAUGCAAUAAAUCUAACUAAACCUAACCAAAAUCACUUGUUGUCAGUCUUAUCCAUUGCAAUAACAGAGCGAUACAUAAUUCAUUCACCGGAUUGAAAAUGGAGAGAUCAAAGUCAUACUCUCAUCCAAGAGUACACAUUCUGCUACCAUGAUUCGACUUGAAAAGAUCCCUUUAAGAGUAUUUGGCAGGAGCACCGGCUUGACCGAUUCUCUUUUGGUGAACAUCCCAAUUAUCCACACGAGCCAUCGUAACCUGCCAAAUAAAGAUUGAACUCUCAAGGGCUGUUUCACCCCAAAAAAGAAAAGAAAAUUUCCAGGGGCCACCAACAUAAUUGCCAUGAUAUAAACGAAAGAGUUUGGUCCUCCAACAAGUUUCGAAUUUUUUCAAUUUCACUGAAGUGCAAUAUGACCACACUCCAGGUUGUCACAAAUCAGCAUGUCUUUGCAAUUUAUAGCCUCAAGGCUCACACCAGUUACAAAAAUCACGGCAGCAGUAAUUCAACAACAACAAACCUACCCAAAACUGACAUAAUAAACGGCUUGAAACUAAAAUGGACCUCCAAGUUCCAAAAUAUUCUGACUUACCUGCGUGAUUGUUACUUGGUCCAGUAAGAACUGUAGAUUAGCAACAAGAACUUCUAAACUUGCUUUAGCGUUUUCUAGGUUCUUUUGUAGAAGAGUUGUGGCCUGCAACACGAAUGGAUACAAUAAAUAAGAUACUCGACAUCAUUAUUGGAGAUAAAGGGACAUUGCUUCAACUCGAGUACCUCUUUCGCAUGAAUACUCCAACAUAACAUUUGCUCCCGCCAUAAACAUACUGAAUCAGCAUGUUCAAUGCGAGCUCGAGAACAUAUGCCUUCAGAGACUUCAAAAUCAGCAAGCUGUGCCUGCAUCCACGAUAAAGAGCCGUAAAUACCAGUCAGUCUGGCACCAAUUAUUAUAUUUUGCGUCUUAGAAGUUUUGAUGGUCUUAGAUUUUAAAGCCCAAUACAGUAAUCCCACCAUAUUUUGCUUUCUAAUAGGACCUUUAGACAUGAAAGCAUAAUAUUACCGUCGUUAUUCAGGUGUCCAAAUCUAAAACCACCGCACAAUUAUUGAGAUUAACAUGGGUUCUUCAAAGCACUAAUUGAGAUUCUUAGGAACAUUGCUUCCAGAAGUGCAUUUGUGAAGGAAAAAAGACAAUCAAAUAUUCCAUAUUUAGUCAAGUGCACCAAAAGUAGUUCCUAGUAUGGCAAGAAUAAGACUACCCUAUCCUCUUCCUGCUUUGUUAAAAUAAAAAAGGAUGAUCAGCUAAGAUAUCAUCGAGGAGCAAGAAGAUUUUUGAACAUGCAAAUUUUCUAGCAUAAGAUAUGAGAAUAUUUUAGUUCACAUUACAUAUGUCAAGGAUUCCGGAUUAAAAGGUGAAACUGUCAAGUGAAAAAUUGGUGGUUUAAUGACAGCAUGAAGAACUUCAGGCGAUAAAAUGAUAAAGGACUCUGUAUUGGAUAAAUAUGAUCUGUUUAUGAGUAACAAGUUUACUUUGUAAAAAGCCUCAACAGUCAACAGCAUGAGUUCGAUAGAUAUCCAAUAAGUAUACUCAGUUACAAUACAUGCACCGAGAAGCAUUCAGCUUGAAUUUCAAUCUUAAAUUCCAGUUCUAAGGCUACGGUUCAAUCUUUCAGUAACAUGGACACAUGCUCGUUGCACUCAUAUAAUGGCAUGCUCGAUAAGAGGUCACUUUGCUAUAGCACAUCUAAACAUUCCUCUUGGGUCAAAAAAAAUUUGGGAUCCAACAAUUGAGCUACCCAAGUACAAACUUGCAGGUUGGAAAGGUGAAUCAAAAAAUGGGAGCUUUCCAAUCAGCCAGUUUACUUCAGUCAUUAUGCAGGUUCCUAGUUCAAUUUCAAAAUAAUCUAGAGCCUAAAAAAGAGGAUAUCUUUGUGGUCGAAUGGAGUGCUGAGGUUAAGUAAUUGUUGCAUCAAGGUGCCCCAAUUUGAAAUGAUCGAUCGAUUCAAAUCCUGGAUUUUCGCAUUGAGAGAGAUAGCACACCUUAUUUAUGCAACAUUGCCAAGGGGGGUUUAAAGGUUGUAGCCUAUUUGAGGGAGAAAACCUCAGUGUAGAGACAAAUGGAGGUAGGAGAGAUGAAGGGAGGACAUAGUACUACUUGCACACUCUUGUGUUUUGGCAGAGAGGCUGAGAUGCCUGGCUACCUUGUAGUUGGUUUUAUGAAGGACUAGUGCAGGAUAAUUCUAGCAGAUUCUUGUUCACUAUAGAGAUAUGCAAAUGACAGCACACGAGCAGGAAGCUUUGUUGAUGGCAGAAAGUAUUGGGAUGUACAAUUCACCACUUGCACAGAGACUAGUGAACAGACGAGAACAAGAUUGUCAAACUACAGUUCUUGCAUGCUAGUUAGUUGGUAUGAAAGAGACGGGGAAGGACUCUAUCUAAAGAAGGCAAGGGAUAUUAGCCGCUUACAAGAUGAAAACCACAUGGAACCAUAUGGCACCGCUAGCGAUUGCCUUGGGAGUGAUUUAAAAUAGCCAAUAUACAAAAAGAAAAAAGAAGGAUGCAGACAAAUCAAUACUAGAUAUAGCAAAGUCAAUGAGAAUCCUCAGGUCACCCACUUAUUAUGUUGCCGUUGGUCUAAAUCUCCUCAGGACAUGGAUCUGUCAAAGAGCCGCAAAUAAGAUGGUGACCAUGGAAUUGAACAAUACCCAAUCCAAAUCUUGACUAGUUUACACAGUCAGAAGAAAGAGUUGUGCGAGACAACAAACCUUAUCGGAACUCUUCUUGGCCUGCAGAGUAGCGACUAUGUCUAACCACUUCUCAAAAUCAGUUAUUUUUGCCUGGCAUUUGAUAUAGACAUGGAGUUAAUAACAAAUUUAGAUGUGAGAUUGCACAAUGGAAUUCAAUCAACAUCGCUGUAGUUGAAAAGAAGCCUCUUACAGCUUGCUCAGACGUUCCAAUGUACUUAUCUAACAGUUCAGCCCUUUCACUGAUAUGGAUUGAAGAGAACAAGCUGCUAUUGCUGCACUAACAAUGCAUGUCUUGCCAAAGGCCGUACGUCCAUGUAAAAGAACAUUUGACCAUGGCCUUUGAGGAGCUUGCACAAAAACACUUCAUCAGUAAAGGUAAGAAAGAUAUGAAGAUCAAAUAAUUUUAUUUAACAAGUUAAUAUUAACCACAUUAUUAGCACAGAGAGAGAGAGAGAGAGAGAUAGAGACAGAGACAGAGACAGAGACAGAGAGAGACAGAGAGAGCUUAGACACAAUCGAUGCAGUUAUACAAGCUUCCUUGAAUAAAAUCCAUGCAUAAUUUAGCUCACUCACAAGAAUGCAUCAGGGAAACAAUGUUAGGUAGUUAAACCCCAAAAUCUCAAGCAAUCCCAUCAUCUCAUUGAAAUUCUGCAGAGUCUAACCACAAGCUCCCUUCACUACAUUGUCAAUCAGCAAAAAGAGGAUUAGACAACUCACCACCAUAUAAUGACUUUGAUGUUACACGAAAAGUAAGGCACCCAAUGGGAAACAGACACUUAGGAACCUAUGACAGAGAUUAGUAUUGCUUGUCUAGAUCUCAAUCGGGGAAGACACUCAUAAAACAAUAAUAGGAUCCUCGCACGUGUUGAGUACAAGGAGCUACUCCUUUUUCCAACAAAAUAAUGAAUUCCUCAUCCACCAAUAAAAAGUGAAUUAAGCGAUCAAACAAUGUGAAGUAUGGGGAAGCACACUCAAGAAUAUGAAAGGAAGUCGCAAAUCUUUCAAGUUUUAGUCCCCCAACAUGUCCACUACUUGAUUGAUUUACCAAGGUCUAUGAAACAAAUUAUGAACUUUGAUUAAGCUAAAUAUGAGUAUUGAAAAAUAAGUACUUCAGCAAACAAAAGCUCAGGUCAAUGCAAAGUACAUUAAGCCAUUGAAUGCUUAAGCAAAAUAAGACUAUUAACCACACAAACUUUGGCCCGCAAACAACUUUAAGUUGCUCAUGUAGAUCCCCACUAUUACAUCUGAAGACAUUUCAAUAGGAAUAGUUGACUGCAUUCCAAGACUCUGCAUAAAUAGGAUAAAAAAAAAAACUAAUAAUUAUGGCUAGAGAAGCAAAACUUCUACUUUAAGAAUGGGAGUAUUUGAAAAUUGCAACUAUAACCAUCGGCAUCAGAUGUAGAGUAAAGCUAACAGUGAUCUUUGAUUGUGCAAAAUCAAAUAAUCCCAAUUCAAUCUCUAGAACUGCAAGAAACAAAAUUCAUGUAAAAGGGAGCAACUGAGGUGAUUGCAUUUGCCUUAUUUAAUUCGUGAAUGAGUUAAGAGUCAUCAAAUUCCCAGACCCAGCUCAAAACAGCAAAGGAUUCAAAAAAAAAAAAAAAAGACAUGUCAUUUGCACAACAAAUGAUAGUUCAAGAACGUAAAUGCCUUAUCAGGUGAAUUGCAACAUCUUCCCCAACUAUGUUUGGUAAUUUAAGAUGGGAGAGAAUGAACAAAUAGCAAACAAACAGACAAACGAAAUGAAGUUCAGAAGUAACUAGAAAAGCACCUUCAAUUCUUCAUGAAGGAAGUAACUAAGUCACUCAUAUAGCAUAAAAUGUAUCGGCAAUUCACUCUUUCGCUGACCAAGCGUUAAUUCCUUUAAUUCAUUCCUCACAAAUCAUGAUUGUUCUAUAGUGAAAUUGAAAAAACACUAUAUAAGGUAUGACCAGUACUCUCAACCACCUUUGCCUUUCAACAAAACAUAGCAUUUGCUAGCAUCUUCAGUGUGAUUGCUAUUUAGCCAAGUUAUGUGCGGCGAAGCAUGUCAACCCCAACAUUAUGCUGAUGCGUAACAUAAACCAACUAAGUAUCACCACUGUGGAGGCAAGUGAAAGUACUGCAUGUUCAUGACAUGCAAACAAGGAAUUUUGCUCAGAGAUAACAGGAUGAACAUAUACAAGCAGUGGUUCCAAAACUAAGAUGAAAGAUUAGCUAAAAGAAAACUCACAAACAGGAUGCAGCAAAAAAUGAACUCUAGUUCUAUGGACUUACCAUCAUCGAUUAUCUUUGCCAAUCAAAUGAUACAUACCUUAUCCAUCUCUAAUGAGCUUUGGGCAGUCAAUGAGGAUGAGCUGACAAGAUUUUGGCACACUCAAAACUGAAAUGAUCGACAUCCAUUGAUGUUGUUCAAGAGGCUCAAGACCAGUUUACUACACUUCUUGUAAGCUACUUUAGCAACUGAAAAGUAAUUCAAGUAAUCCUGCCAUUAAUUACCUUUUUUGAUACAUAUGUAGUUUAUCCAAUACUGUGUAUCCAAAGUUAAACAUAAACAACUCUAAAUCAAGGAAAAGUCAUGUCUAGCAUUUAAUAGUCCGCCUUGAAGGUUAUUACGUAGUCUCCAUAUUAAAUGCUUCAUAUAAGUGCAAUUUCCAAUAGCAAUUUACAGUUAGUGUGCUAUGGAAAGAGAGUACUUUUUGUUACCAUGUAAGACGAAAUUAUUACCUUGUCCCAGCCAACACAAACACAUCGCUUAAAACUUCAACACCAUCUGAUUCAGUAAAAAACUGCAUCAAUGAAUAACAUGUCAUUUUUGAGUCAUACCAUCUGAUAUUACUAGUAUGAGUACCUAGAGGGGGGUGAAUAGGUAUAUAAAAGAUUUUUCUUCAACAAUUGCACAACACUAGACAGUAGAAGGAAAUGUCAAUCAAAGUAAGACUGAGAGAAGAGAAAAUUGAACACGCGGUUUAUAGUGGUUCGGCUUAUAUCAAGCCUACGUCCACUCUUCUUCACUGACGGCCUAUUGGCUGGAUUCCACUAUGAACAAAAGAGAAGUUACAGCACAGCUUUGCCUUGAUUCCACAGUGUAGAUAUUCUACCACACCUCCUCAAGAUUUCUCACAAAUAUAGACUCUCUUUUGUAUACAAGUAUUCGCUCAAAGGAUUUGUCUAAACAAAAAGGAGCUUCAGACUUUGGAAUUCUUCUAUCGCGCACCCCUUGAACAACUAAGACCGUCUUCCUUAUAUACUCCUUUAUGCCAUCAUACCCGUUGGCACUUACCAAAGGAAUUCCUCCAAUCUACCCGUUGGACAGAAUCAAUUAGGAAGAUUGUUCAAGCUAUUAAAGGAACGUGUUGAUAGCCCAUCAAUCCUGUUCGCCCAUACAAUCAGGAUCUCGGUUUCCAUAAGCAGAACCUUCCAAUAAUAUUUAGGUAAUCACCGGAUCUUCAAUUAUCGAGUCAAUCUUCGAUCAAUCAAAGGACUCUGUUAUGUCUUCUCCAGCCACGAGAUCUUCUCCAGUUGAUAAAGUUAAAUCUUUAACAAAACAUCCAGUUCUGGAUAACCUUUUUUCAACAGAUUAGAGACUAUCAAUGAGGAUAGACUUUGAGUCUUGAGUCUGGUUGUCCGGAGGUCUUCAGACUUUAAACAGUAGAGUCUGCAAGCCUUCAGACUAGACUGAUAGAAACGUUUUGUCAACUUCAAAAUACUUCAAGAAGAUUUCUCCAACAAUCUCCCCAUUUUUGAUGGUGACAAAACUUUCCUGUAGAUUUGGAUAUCUUUGACCUGCAAAACAUUUCUCAAACACAUAUGCAUAUCUCAUAGAGAUAAAUGGCUAACAUAAUAACACUAGAAUCUGCAACCACAGAAAAUAGGUUAGUCCAGUAUAUGAUGAAGCCAUCCAUAAGAUACCAAUAUUAGUUAAUAGAAGCAGUCAAGUCCAAGUCUAGUUCAGUUCUCAUCCAGACACAAAACAAAGUCAAACAGAGUUCAAACCACAAAACAAUUAAAAGUUUAAUGAAUGAAAAGUUUUUGAUCAAAUCUUGCAUCUCUCCCCCUUUUUGUCAUCAUUAAAAAUGAUGAGAUGAAGUCAAGAUUGCUUGGGAACGCGGACAAGCUGGAAAUCUUCCAUAGACUGAACGAUGCCUUCCAGCCUUUUAAAGUCUUCCUUUAGAUGUGCAAUCUCCUCAGUCUUGGCAUUGGCCUGAUUCUGAACAGAGAGGGCUUGCAUUUUAUCAUUCAAUGAACAGGAAGAAGCUUGACCUUCAUUCUUCAAGCUUUGAACUUCGCAUCCCAAGGCAUAAAUUUGACCUCGCAUCUCCAAGAGAAUAUCCAUGAUUCUGCGAAAAUCUGCUCCAUUAUCAGUCUGAGUACUUGCUUCGGCUCGAUCUGAUGGAGUAAAUGCAGACGAUGGUAGAUCAGCAUAAUCUCGCAGGUUUGGCGAUGAAACUUCAUGACCUUCCUCUGGAAACUGAGAUGCAUAAACAUCCUCUGGGUCUGCUGGUGAGCGACUGACUCCUUCACUUACAUUAGGAUAUGAAGACUUCACUCCUUUCUCCUGAUCUCCCCCUGUUUCCAUGCCUACAGGUGGAGAAGAGUGUUCUUCAGGUUCUCCUUCUUCUCUUCUUUCUUCUUCAGGUCUUUCCUCCUCUGUUUCUUUUUCAGCUUCUAUUUCUUCUUCUUCCUUCUCCUCUGCUUCUUUCGUCAUUUGUUCCGAUUCUUUCUGUGGAACAGGACGACUUAAAUUCUUCAAAGCCACUGCAGAGAUGGUGAUGUCUUCCUCAUCAUCUUCAUCCUCAACGAGGAGAGCUCUUCUUCUCUUGGAUGGAGCAACCAUGGGCUCCUUCCCUUUUCUUUUAGCUGCAGAAGAGAUUUGAUGAGAUUUUGCAGGAGUCUUCUCCUUGAAUUUCUCCAACUCCUUGCUCAGUUCCUUCAGACGCAUUUUGGUCACCAUUUUCAGUCCUACCACCAUAUGAUCACAUGGUCGAACACAAAAGAUUUGUGGAGGCUGAAUAUUCAGAUGUCUGAAUAACUUCGUAACAAGGCUUGGGUAAGGGAGUUGACCUCUGUCCUUCAUCAUUGCUCUAUACAUGUGAAACAUCACAAAGUGAGGGAGAGAAAACCUUUUUCCAAAGAGAAUGGCAUACAUCAGCUUGGCCUCUGAACUUGAAACAUCAGUCUUGGAAGUUGAUUUCGGUCGGAGGCAAUUAAUCACAAUCUUGUGAAGCAAGAUGUUGAAUGCACCCAUCCUUAAGUAGGUGAUCUUUUAAUCUGUUCUCCUGUCCUUCACCAGUUCAAGUGUGGCCCGAGCAAUGGAAACUUUGAUUGGUUGAUAUCUUCCUCUUUCGACUUCUAACACAUCUGCCAGCAUAUUCAUAUCCACAACAUAGUCUUGGUCUUUAACGCUGAACGAGAAUCUAUUCACAUCCAAAAAGCUUAGAUUUAAAUAGAAAUAUGUAGUUAAUUCAGCAUAGGCCUCUGUAGAGUCAGAGCAGAACUUUUCAAGUUGAAGAUAACUGAACUUUUCCCUCAAGUUCACAUUCACAGCAUCCAGAAAAUCAAAAUCCACACUCUUAGGGUUUAUCACCCCACGCUUCAGCAAUUUCGAGUACAGAUCCUUUUGCUCCUUUGAUCUGAACAAAUCUCCCCUUUUUCCUUGAUUUUCAACCGCAACACCCAUUUUUGGUUGAAAUUGACUGUAUAAUUUAUCAUCAUCAUUCCCAUCUACAGGAUUCGGCCCCCAGUCACGAGGAUCACUUGGGAUAUUUGCAAGGGUUUCCUCAGCCACCCAUUUUCGAGCAAUUCCCAAACUUUCCAUUUUUCGCAAAAAGAUAUAUUCUUUCCCAUGUCCUUUGUCUUUAAGAAAAUCAUCAAUGUAGUUCAAAGGAGUACGAAUUCCUUUUAAGGCACGAUAUAACUAGUAAAUAUAAGCGGGCUUUUGAACUCUUACAAGGUCUGCAUCCUUGAUGAUUUCUUCCUGUUGUUGAUGAUCAACGCCAUGAGGACUAGAUGGAGGAGAAUGACGCUGUUGAGAAUGUUGCGGGCUCGCUUGCUGUUCUGGAGUCACUUCUUCUUCAGUAAGAUCGAAGUGCGUAGGCCCCUCACUCAUUCGCCGUGGUCCCUUGCUUGCAAUUCUCAAAGACUUUCUUGAAGAUGACAUCUUUCUCAGUUUUUGGAAGAUUCCUUGCUUGACUUUCCCAGGAAAGAUGACAACUUUUUGAGGAUUAAAUGAAGAAGACAAACGGGAAUGGAGGAUCGAUGCUUUCUAGGGGUUUUGAGAGAAAAGUGAAGAGGAAUCGUUAGUGCACGAUUGGUUAAAAAGAGGGAUAAACGAACCGUCACAAAGGAAAUAAAAAAAUGCCUUUUCAAAAUAAUUGUCUUUUUCCGCAAAAAUAGCCAUUUCAAAAAUAACUUCCUUUUUGAAAAUAAAACGAUGCAAUAUUUACGUCAAUUAAAUAUAGCAACAAUUUAAACACAGUUUGACGAUCGUACCUUUUCAAGAUGAGAUUCAAGAGAGAAAGACUUACAGUCUGACGGUCGUACCAAGACUAUCUUUCAUAUAAAGUCUUGUAAGACUGAGUCUGAAACUGAAAGUCUUUAGACUUUGAUAUCCUCAUACCUCAAAAUGUUGAGUCUGGAACGUAUAGACUCAAAUUGAUUUUUCUCCAAAGGCUUUGUGAAUAUAUCCCCCAGUUGAUUCUUUGAGUCAACAAAUUGAAUUGAAACAUCUCCAUUUUGAACAUGGUCUCUAAUAAAGUGAUGUCGAAUCUCUAUAUGCUUUGCUCUUGAGUGGAGAAUUGGAUUUUUGGUGAGGUUGAUAGCGCUGGUAUUGUCGCAAUUAAUCUCCGUGCAUGAGUCUUCAAUUUCAAAAUCUCUUAGCUGUUGUUUUAUCCAUAGAAUUUGCGAACAGCAGCUUCCCAAGGCUACAUACUUUGCUUCUGUUGUUGAAUGGGACACGGUGCUUUGUUUCCUUGAAAACCAAGACACUGUCCUGCUUCCAAGCAACUGGCAAGUUCCCGAAGUGCUCUUUCUAUGAACUCUGCAACCGGCCAGAUCUGCGUCUGAAUAUCCCAGAAGAUUAAAGUCUCCCUUCUUAGGAUACCAAAGACCGAUGCUUGUGAUGAAGCAACGUAUUUAAUGAUGCGCUUCGCAACACUGAGAUGGGAUUCUCUAGGAUUUGAUUGAAACCUAGCACAGAUGCAAACACUCAACAAAAUGUCAGGUCUAGAAGCAGUAAGAUAAAGGAGUGAACCAAUGAUGCUCUUGUACAGCUUUUGAUCAACUUUCUUCCCUUCUUCAUCUUUCUCUAUCUUCAAAGAACUUGACAUCAGUAUGUCGGUCUUUUUGCACUUUUCCAGUCCAAAUCUUUUGACAAGAUCAUUAACAUAUUUUUCUUGAUAAAUAAAAGUUCCUUCCUUCAAUUGUUUUACUUGAAGACCAAGAAAGAAUGUUAACUCUCCCAUCAUACUCAUUUCAAACUCAUCCUGCAUAGACUUAGAAAAUUUCUUGCACAGAUUUUCAUUAGAGGAUCCGAAAAUAAUGUCAUCCACAUAUAUUUGAACAAGUAAGAAACUUUUGUUUUCCUUUUUGAUAAAUAAAGUUGUAUCUACUUUACCUUUGACAAAACCAUUUUGUAUUAAAAACUUACUCAAUCUGUCGUACCAAGCUCGAGGUGCUUGCUUUAAACCAUACAAAGCCUUUUUCAGUCUGAAGACUGAGUCUGGCUUCUUUGGGUCUUCAAACCCUGGUGGUUGUUCCACAUAAACUUCCUCAUGGAUAAAUUCAUUUAGGAAGGCACUUUUGACGUCCAUUUGGAAUAACCUGAAAUUCUUAUAACAAGCAAACGCAAGUAAUAGUCGAAUAGCUUCUAACCUUGCUACUGGAGCGUAAGUCUCAUCAUAGUUUAUUCAUUCUUCUUGCGUAUAUCCCUUGGCUACGAGUCUUGCUUUGUUUCGUACGACUUUUCCUUUCUCAUUCAUCUUGUUUCUGAACACCCAUUUAGCUCCAAUAACAGUUUUACCUUUUGGUUUGGAUGUCAAUACCCAGACAUCAUUAAUGUUGAACUGUCUGAGCUCUUCUUGCAUAGCUUCAAUCCAGCUUUUAUCAGAUAAAGCUUCUUUUAUGCUCUUUGGUUCAAUUUCAGAAAGAGAGCCACAACACUAGACUCUUCUCGCCUUUUGGAUCUGGUGCGAAUUCCUUCAUUAAUUUUGCCGAUUAUAAGAUCUUUGGGAUGACUGAACUUAUGCUUCCAGUUACUUGUUGAUUUGUCUGGUUGAUGAUUUCUCUUUUUGUUUGGAUCUUCACGAACAUCCUGAUGCUGGUUUUCCAGAGUCUAAGAUGCUUCUUGAGUUGUAAGUUUUGGAAGGUCUGGAGUAGGUUCAGACUCUUCUUGAUGAGUCUGACUUGAUUCAUCUUGCGUUGAGUCUUGAAAUUUGAUAUUCAUUGACUCCUCUACAGACUGGCUCUUCUUGUUAUAGACUCUGAAGGCUUUGCUUGAUGUAGAGUAUCCAAGGAAGAUACCUUCAUCUGAUCUUUCUUCAAACUUACCAAUUCGAUCUUUUGCAUUUUUCAAUAUAAAACAUUUGCAACCGAAUACAUGAAAGUAUGAAACAAUAGGCUUCUUAUCUUUGAAUAACUCAUAAGAGUUUUUCUCUAGAAUAGGUCUUAAGAAGACUCUAUUGAUUAUAAAGCAUGCUGUUGAAACAGCUUCAACCCAAAAUCGUGAAGAAAUCUUGCUUUCAAUUAAAAGAGUUCUAGCCAUUUCUUGAAGAGAUCUGUUCUUUCUUUCCACAACUCCAUUUUGCUGAGGAGUAUAUGGAGAGGAGAACACAUGAUUAAAUCCAGAUUCAUCACAAAAUUUUAUAAAAUCUUGAUUUUCAAAUUCACCUCCAUGAUCUGUUCUUAUACUUGAGAUGACACAUCCUUUUUCAUUUUGAACCUUUUUAGCAAAUUUUUCAAAAUACGAGAAGGUUUCGGACUUACUUGCAAGGAAAUAUACCCAAGUAAAACGGGAGUAAUCGUCCACAAUUACUAGGCAAUAUUUCUUACCUCCAAUACUCUGUGUUCUGGUUGGUCCGAAGAGAUCCAUAUGCAGCAACUGUAGUACAUGAUUAGUAGAGACAUGAUUUAUUGGCUUAAAUGAAUUUCUUACCUGCUUUCCCAGAAUACAUGGAGUGCAUGGAUCAGUCUUUUGAUAAGGUAAUUUGGGUAGUCCUCGAACAAGCUGUUUUGAUGAGAUUUUGGCUAAUUGCUUCAUGUUGACAUGACCAAGCUUUCUGUGCCAUAAGCUUGCUUCGUCUUGAAUUGAGAUAAAACAUCGCGAUUCAUUUGGUUUCACAUCCAGAAGAUAGAUGUUUCCAUGUCUUCGACCCAUGAAAGACUGAGUAGAGUCUUUACUGAUUCCAGAACAUAUUCCUUCUUGAAAGAAGAUCUUGAAACCAAUAUUACACAGUUGACUAAUGCUGAGAAGAUUGUAAUUGAGUCCUUCCACUAAGGAAACAUUACUUAUUGUGAGAUUUCCAAUUUUCACAGUUCCAAAUCCCACAAUACUUCCUUUGAUGUUUCCUCCAAAUGAAACUUUUCCACCAUUUACUUGAGCAAGCUUUAUAAAACAAUUUGAGUCUCCUGUCAUGUGUCUUGAGCAUCCACUGUCAAGAUACCACUUUGCCUUUCUCUUGACGGUGACCUGCAUUUAAAAUAGAGUCUCAAGCUUUCUUUGGUACCCAAACUUUCUUGGGUCCUUUGGUGUUAGUAACAUAAGCAGUAUUAGCCCAUAUUUUCUUAACAAGUUUCCAAACCAUAGGACACUCUUUUUCAAAGUGAUCCGGACUGUUGCAUUUUGAACAUCUGAGAGCAUUUCUACCUACAGAUUUUACAAAAACUUUCUUGAAGUGAUUUUUGUAAUCCUCUCUCGAGAGUCUUUUCUUAAUUCUUUCUUUUACUUUAGGAAAAUCAAUCAAGGGAAUUGUUUUUGCUGUCAUACCUAGACCGGACUUAUUGAAGUAAGGUCUUUGAGCUGAAAGAAUUUUCUCAAGUUUUUCAGACCCUAUUGAAAAUUUCUUUGAAAUAUUUGAUAAGUCUGGUUUUAAAAGAGCAUUUUCUUUUAAAAGAUUAUCUUCAUUUUCUUUAAGAGUGGAAACAGUCAAGUCUAGACUUUUAACUCUUUCUACUAAAACAUUUUCCUUUUGUUUUAGAGCUGAGUUUUCCUUUUUCAGUUCGGAAAUUCUUUUGAGAGAAGUCUUAAGACUAAAACACAGUUCAUCAAUGUAUUUAGAAACUUUGACAGGAAUUUUAAAAUUACUUGCCUCAAAUUCACUGUCUGAGUCUGAUCCAGAGUCUGAGUCUGAUUGUGCCAUCAGACAUAGAUUGGCAUAUUCAUUAUCACUUUCUUCACACUCUGUAUCACUCCAGGUUUCGGCUUUGAGAGCUUUUCGAAAUUUUUCAGCUUUUCCUUUCUUCUUCUUCAGAAGAGGACAGUUGGGUCUGAUAUGUCCAUUUUUCUUACAUUCAAAGCAGACUACGUCUUUGUUUGGUUCCUCAUCAUCAACAGACUUGGUCUGCUGUCUUUGAAAGCUUUGUUUCUUUGAGUUGAACCUUCUUCCUUUUCUAUUCAGUUUUCUGAAUCUUCUUAUCAUGAGAGCAAGCUCCUCAUCGUCCAUAUCUUCUUCAGAAUCUGUAUCAUCAGAAUCAUCAUUUGAUUUUAAUGUAAUGGAUUUCUUACCUUUUGGAUCUUCAUCUUCAUUGAUCCGUUCCACUUCAUAAGACUGAAGAGUUCCAAUUAGCUCGUCGACAGAUAGUGGCAUAAUUCUUUGCGUCUCUCUUAUCGAAGUCUUUAUGUGAUUCCAAUCCCUGGAGAGUCCACGCAGUAGCUUGUUUACCUUCAUGGGAUCAGAAGUUGGUUGACCUUGAUUUUCAAGACCAUUCACAAUAUUUGUAAAACGACUAAACAUGUCAGAUAUAGAUUCUCCUAGUUUCAUUCUGAAGGCUUCGUAUUGACCGAGAAGAAUGUUGAUUCUUGUUUCCUUCACUUGAUCUGUUGCUUCAUAGGUGAUAUGCAAUCUGUCCCAAACUUCUUUUGCUGUAACACAAGAAGAUGUUCUAUUAUAUUCAGUUGGUGACAAAGCACAAUAUAAGGAAUAAAUUGCUUUUGCAUCGAGUGCUUGUCUCUUGAUUAUUUCUUCCUGAGUCAUUCCGCUGGUCUCAUCAGUUUCUUUUCCUCUUUCAGAGACUGAUGCAGUGGUAGGAGUAAUUCCUUUUUCUACAACGUCUCAUUCCAGAGGAUCCUUUGAUUGAAGGAAAGCUUUCAUCUUGUUCUUCCAGAUGUUGUAAUCAUUUCCAUCAAAGUAGGGUGGUCUGGUAUUGCUUUGCCCUUCCAUCAGCCUUGGUGCUAGCAUACUAGCCAUGGAUCUUUUACUACGAAGUAAAACACUUCAAAUAAAGUAAGUACACAGGCUCUGAUACCAAUUGAUAUUACUAGUAUGAGUACCUAGAGGGGGGUGAAUAGGUAUAUAAAAGAUUUUUCUUCAACAAUUGCACAAUACUAGACAGUAGAAGGAAACGUCAAUCAAAGUAAGACUGAGAGAAGAGAAAAUUGAACAUGCGGUUUAUAGUGGUUCGGCUUAUAUCAAGCCUACGUCCACUCUUCUUCACUGACGGCCUAUUGGCUGGAUUCCACUAUGAACAAAAGAGAAGUUACAGCACAGCUUUGCCUUGAUUCCACAGUGUAGAUGUUCUACCACACCUCCUCAAGAUUUCUCACAAAUAUAGACUCUCUUUUGUAUACAAGUAUUCGCUCAAAGGAUUUGUCUAAAAAAAAAAGAGUUUCAGACUUUAGAAUUCUUCUAUCGCGCACCCCUUGAACAACUAAGACCGUCUUCCUUAUAUACUCCUUUAUGCCAUCAUACCCGUUAGCACUUACCAAAGGAAUUCCUCCAAUCUACUCGUUGGACAGAAUCAAUUAGGAAGAUUGUUCAAGCUAUUAAAGGAACGUGUUGAUAGCCCAUCAAUCCUGUUCGCCCAUACAAUCAGAAUCUCGGUUUCCAUAAGCAGAACCUUCCAAUAAUAUUUAGGUAAUCACCGGAUCUUCAAUUAUCGAGUCAAUCUUCGAUCAAUCAAAGGACUCCGUUAUGUCUUCUCCAGUCACGAGAUCUUCUCCAGUUGAUAAAGUUAAAUCUUUAACAAAACAUCCAGUUUUGAAUAACCUUUCUUCAACGGAUUAGAGACUGUCAAUGAGGAUAGACUUUGAGUCUUGAGUCUGGCUGUCCGGAGGUCUUCGGACUUUAAACAGCAGAGUCUGCAAGCCUUUAGACUAGACUAAUAGAAACGUUUUGUCAACUUCAAAAUACUUCAAGAAGAUUUCUCCAACACCAUUAACUAUAUUUCACAUGAUCACUUUAUAAGUGCCAUUGAAUGCAAGAAACUAACUGAUUGAUGACAUGGUUGGUGACCCCCGUACUAUCAUGCCCCCUCUUCAGCACAAUGGAAUCAAAUUCAUGAAAAAAGAGAAGGCAAGGUGUUACAGCCACUGCCUUCAAGAAUAUAUCCAAACCUGUAAUUUUAAAAUUGCCAUUACUCUCAAAUAUUCAAAAUUUCUCUAGUUUGCUCACAAAAUCAAUGCCGUCAAUGUGCAGAAUAGAUAAUCCACUAGACAUUUGAUCACAAAUUUCAAAUUUCUAGUGGAGAAAAACUUCAAAUAUCUUACAUCUUAAUCUUUCUCUUAAUCUUCAUAGAGGAUUCUCUCAUUCAUGCAUGAGAAAACUCAAGAACCAUUUUAACUUGGCCUCUUGAUUGGUUAUAGGAGAAUCUUCAUUGGUUAACUUGGCCUUUUCAUUAACUGCAGUGGUAGGAUCCUCAUUGCUGCUGCUAGUUAUCAUAUAUCGACUACUGGCAUAGAUGAAGGGACCUCUAUUAAAUGCAUACAAAAGCAAAAGAAGAAAGCACAAAAUUGUGAAAUGUAUGCAAAUAACAAAGUUCAAUAAAAGAUUACAUAAUGGAACUCAAUAAACAUCCAUGUAGUUCAAAAGAAGCCUCUUACAGCUAGCUAAAAAGUACCAAUGUACUUAGCCACAACUCUACCUUUUACCGAUAUGGAUUGAAGAGAACAAGUUGUUGUUGUAGCACCAAUAGUAUGUCUUGCCAAAGCCUAGACAUCCAUGUAAAAGAACAUUUCACCAUGGUCUUGGAGGAGCUUGUGCAAUUUUUAUCAAUAAAUGUAAAAAAGAUAAGACACAAAAAUCAAACAAGUUUAUUUAACAAGUUAACAAUAACCUUAGCAUAGAAAGAGGGAGAGAGAGAUGAGGAAAGGUGCAAUAAGUCAGCUGAAAGAAUAAACAAAACCUAGUCUUCAACAACACAAAGGUGCUCUUUCCUAACACCAGAAAUUGCAGAAUGCACAACUCGAUGCAGCUAAACCCAGUCUUCAACGAAAUGGUGGUUUGACCAUAUCGACAAGUUUACUCCAAUAUCAAUUGUCUCCCAGCACAAAUUUCACACAUAAAUGGCUAAUUACUAGAAUGAAGAAAGAUAGUUCACAAAUCACACCAUGACUCAAGACUUGAAGCUUCUCCACUUUAGUUCAGAAGUAACUAGAGAAACACCUCCAAUUCUUCAUGAAGGGAAAUAACUAAAUCACUCAUAUUGCAUAAUAGGUAUCAAUGAUUCACUCUUCCACUAACCAAGCGUUAAUUCCUUUAUUUCAGUCCUCACAAAUCAUGAUUGUUCUCUACUAGGAUUAGAAACACUCCAUAAGGUGAGAUUAGUACUCUCAAGUCUCAACCACCUCAGCCUUACAACAAAACCUAGCAUUUAUCAGCAUCUUUAGUGUGCUUACUAUCUAAAAGUUCCCUUCCACUUUAUCUAUUUUUUAUAAGCAAAAUAGGUGCCGCGAAGCAUGUCAAUCCCGACUUUAUGCUGGUGUGCAACAUAAACUAGCUAAGUAUCAACAUUGUCAAGUCGAGGUAAGUCAAAGUAUCACACGUUCUGUGACAUCCUGAAAUUCGAUCCUAUUUCGAUAAAAUGAAAUGUGCAUUUCGUCGACGUGCCUAUGGUCCUUUUUCUCUGAGCUGAUCACUCACGAGUUAACUAACUUAUUGGGUGAAGCCGUUAAGGGAUGUAUCCGCGGUAAAAUCCCUAAAAGCUACCUAAUUGGUUGGAUUGGACUAAAAUCGCGUCCGGUCGAUUUUAAUCAUGAAAUUUAAUUUGGUUUUGGGAAUCGAAUAUUCGGACGUGUCACAAUUCAUUUUUAGGACCGUCUCAUCGUCUAUCAAUUAAUUGCUGAGUCCGAAAUUUCAAGAAAGAAAUUAUCGGAGGAAGAUUUGAAGACCAAAAGAAAAUAGAAAGGGAAAGGGAAAGAGAAAAGGAAAAGUAGAAUAAUUGUAUUAUUUAUUUCUUUUUCUCUCUCUCCCUUUUUCUCUCUUUUUCUCUCUCUCUUCUCUCUCCCCUCCCCUCCCCUUCGUGCGAGCAUCCCCACCCACCGAAUGCCCCCUUGCCAAUUUUAAAUUGGCUUCUCUCUCUUUUGUUUCUACCUUUGACUAGUCAAAAAGAAAACCCUUCUUCUUAUCCCUUCUUUCUCUCUUCUUCUCUCUCCUCUCUCUUCUCCCCCAUUUUUCCCCACGUGACCGAACGAAACCUUUCUUCUUCUCCCCUGGUUCGUGAAAAACCAGAAGCUGAAGACAGAAGCGGAAGAAGAAGGCAUCAGCUCACCGCUCGCCGCCCGUCCCACCGCCGCACCGCCGCCCCGCGCACGCCGCGCGCUCCGCCGCCUCCCACCCGCGCUCGCCGUCCUCGCCGUGCGCCGUCCAGCCCUGUUCAGCCUCUGCUCAGCCCUUGUUUUGCCCCGUCCGGCCACCUCCGGCCGCCGUUCGACCUCGCCGGACCUCCACCGGCCUUUCCCCGUGCCUUGCCACCCUUGUGGAAGUGGUUUGUGGCUGUUUUGUGCCUGUUUUCAGCCAUCGUAGCCACCCCACGGAGUGGGUUUCCAGCGGCUUUAGGCCCGUUUUUGGCCGUUUCCCGGCCCCGAACCCGAGCGGUGCUUUGGGAAGAAUCGUUCCUCGCGUCGCCGCCGUCGGAUUGAUCCGAUUUGUGCGCGAUUUGGUGAGUAACCUCACUAAUCUUGGAUUAGUUGGCUAAUUAUGCUUAAGGUUGGUUUAGAUUUAAUUAAUUAUGUUUAGGUUGUUAGAUUAGAGUAAAUUAGCAAUUAUUAGUCAAUUGUGAUGCGAUUUAAAUAAAUUGAUUGUGCAAUUAGCAAGUAGACAUGGUCUACUAAUUAUUGGAAGUGCCUCGGGAUUUUUCCCGACCCUUAGUGGGCUCCAAUUAGGCUUUUCGGGCCUAAGUGGAUAUUUUUAGUAUUUAAAUAUUAAUUUUCGAAAUUAAAUUAAAUAAUUAUUUAUUUUUUUCGAAAAUUCAACUGAGAUGGUCUGGAACCGGAAAAUUAUGCUGAUGACCGUGGUGAAGUCCGUUUAUGUAAUCGGGCUUUAUUUUGAGCUAAAUUGAAUUUUUAAUAAUAAUUAUUUAAUUUUCGAAAUUAAUAAAUAAAUUAAUUAUUUUUCGGAAAUUAAGAUUUUGAUGGCCGACGACCGAAAUCUCGUGCUGAUCGUCGUGGUGCAGUCCGUUUAUUUAUUUGAGCUCCACGUUGUAUGGAAUUGAGUAAAUUGUGAUAUUUUAGGGAUUUACCCUAAAUUGAUUGGAAUCGAUUGAGAUUGAAUUAUCGAUUGGUGAAUGGCCAAGUAUGUUUAUUCAGCAUUUAUAAUGCUUUGUUGAGUUAAUUUAAUUAUUUGAUUGAAUAUUGAUUGGUGAAUGGCCAAGUAUGUUUAUUCAGCAUUUAUAAUGUUUUGUUGAGUUGAUUUAUUUAUUUGAUUGAGAAAUUGUUGGGCAUUGGUGGUCGAUAUUAAAAGUGAACUGGUAACCACUGCAAAGAGGACACGUGGCUCGGUGAAUUGGAAUGUCACCUGAAAAAUGCACAUGAGUUCAGUGGUUGAAUAUGUUACCUUGGCGAAGAGGUCACCUGAGAGAAUGCACGUGGCUCGGUGACAGGAUUUAGCAUCUAAAAGGACACGUGGCUCGGUGAUCUGAUGCGUCACUUUGGUAAGCGAGUACCUUAGAGAAUGCACGUGGGUCCAGCAUUUCGGAAUGGCAUCUAAAAGGGCACGUGGCUCGGUGAAUUGAUGCAUCACCUUGGUGAGAUAGCACCUUAGAGAAUGCACGUGGGCCCGGGCAUCGUAAAAAGGACACGUGGCUCGGUGGCUUGAUGUACCACCUUGGCGAAGAGGUCGCCUUAGAGAAUGCACGUGGGUCCGAGGUUUGAGGCACGUGGCUCGGAGACUUGGAAGGUCAUCCUGGAGAAUGCACGUGGCCUAGUUUUAAAUAUCCCACAGUGGGGAUUGAUUUGUUUGGCAUGUAAUCGACAAGGUCGAUGCUUUGAUUUGACGUUGUGAAUUGAUUGCCUGAAUGGAAAUGACCGUGAGUGGUCUUGUUGGAAUAUAAUCGACUAGGUCGAUUUGAUCGAUGCUUCAAUCGGAGAUAUGAUUGCUUGGGUGCCUAUUAUGAAUUGUACUGACUUGCAGGUGGGAUCAGAGGCCAAGGUAAGUCCUCUGCCCUGUGCGUGUUUAGGCAGCCUGUAGUAUAAUAGUUUAUCUAAUCGGGCUUAGUGGGGUAGAACUCGCUGAGAUGUAGUCUCAUCCCAAUUUGGGGAAAAACAUUUCAGGACCCGAUAAGGAGCUGAGGAGGAGAAGUCUAGGAAGGAGAUCUUGGAGGUGAAACUUGAAGGGAAUGAUUUUGAAAGAAGAAGAUAAUACCGAGAUGGGCCUUGAGUAUGGCCUGGAUGGAUUGAGAUCCUAUCUUCUUUUGAGAUCUCCAUUUUGAUGUGAAUAGUUAUGAGGUGAUUUGUGUUUUGUAUAAAAGUUUGGUUAUAAAUUUCAAUAUGAAAAAUAUGGCCCUGCUUUUCUAUCCCAUCGUUUUAGGGCGCGUUUGUUUGCGUUUCUGUUUAAAAAUUGUUCCAGGAAACAGAAAUAGAAAAAAGUAUUUCUGUUCCUGGGAACAAUUUCUGAACAAAAAAAUGCGUUUGGUAACUGUAUAAAAUUUCUGUUUCUGGAAUAGAAAAAGAACAGAAACACGUUUGGUAACUGUAAAAAAAUUCUGUUUCUGGAAUAGAAAAAGAACAGAAACACGUUUGGUUAUGUACAAAAUUUCUGUUCCAAUUUUUUUCCAAUUGUUUUUUUUUUAAUAAAAUGUGAACUUAGUAUUGAAUUAUCAUUCUCAUGAAAUGCUUAUCAAUUUAAUUUUGUUCAUAUUAAGUGAAAACAAACAUUCUAAACUUGAUCAUAUUUGCUUUGAACGGAAUAAAUAUUUUAAGUUCGUACCAAAAUUUUCCAGUUUGUUUUUUUUUUAAAUAAAGUGUAAACUUGACUUUGAAUUCUCAUUAUCAUAAAAUGUUCAUCAAUUUAAUUUUGUUCAUGGUGAGUAAAGUCAAACAUUCUGAACAUAGUUAUAAGUGCAUACUCUGAAGAAUCUUGCAGUUCUUGCAUUUCACGCUGUCUUCCAACUCAGGACAUUCUUCAACAUUUUCUCGAGACAUAAAAUGUAUUUUCUUCAUUGCAACACAAUUAUACAAUACUACCGACUAUAAACUGAAGAACGUUUUCUGCUCACGUUAAAUACAGAUCUUUUCAUUCCAUGAGAUGCUUUUGACAUUCAAAAAUUCCUCAUCAGUCCGCAAGAUACCGGCACUUUGCACCCUUCAUCCUUCUUCUUCCUGCUUCAGCUAAUGAUCAGUUGGACGUUUGGUCUAUACCGUCAGCCUUUGUCGAACCAAAUAUAUCUUCGAUGCCACUUCUUACCCUCUUUCUUCUCUCAGCGAUCAUGUCCGUGUAUGCCUGAAACAGGAAAAGCAAAUCUUGCAGAACCAAUCUAUCCCCUUCCCUUAAUGCAGGAUGUGUGACAGGGCUAUGGCCAUACCUUAGGGUAAGAGUAAAGGAAGAUGUACCACCAUGAGCAUAUUAGCAAAGAUAUAAUUGUCGUUACCAACAUUGAAUGCAAAAUUAGCCAGCUACCGGUGAUCGCUAACAUUCCUGUCAAUGUUAUUGUCCAAGGCUGACACCUGUCAAUGCAACAAUUGGAUGCACAAACUUGAUUAGAAAACUACUAAUAAAAAGGAAGGAUUCCUGUUUGAACUUUUGACAAAACAAUCCUGGGAGCCAAAAUGGAAAAAAAUAAAAUUACAAAUACCCAUUAAAGUUGAGCAAACCAAUCUGGCCUGACUCAAGAGAUAUGAGCUAUAAUUAUUACCAGAACAUCCAUCUCUUGCUGUAGUUCACUUUCCUUGAUAUGGGUGAGACCUUGUACACAAGUUAUGUUAUCAUCAACAGGACACAUGCCGAUUUAUGUAUUAUAUAGCAUGGGAUCUCAAUCAUGGUAUUGGAGUCCUCACAAUAUAAACAUGGUCGAUCACUCUGGUCAUCAACUUUAUUAAACUCUUUGUGAAGAAGACUUAUUGGAAUUUCAUGAUGGAGGACGAAGUGUAUAUUUUCCAUUAGUAUCUUUGGAAUGAAAUCAGAUGCAUGAUGUGAGAUCGUGUGCCUAAGCAUCAUGAAAUAAGCCACAUCAUUUCCUAUUUUAAGCAAUCUAUAAGCAGCCUAGCUAUCCAUAUGGUAAAGGAGAAUGCAAUUUCUAAAAUGUGAAGAACCAAAAGCCACAUUUAAUCCCUAUAUCCAUAUGUUAAGUUUACAAAAGAACCUCUAAGCUCCGAUAUCAAGAUUUUAGACAACCCUAACAUCUUAAUGGCACUUUCUCUCCCAAAUUUCAAGUUUAUCAGACAACAUCCAGAUGGUGUAUAUGAAUAUUAGCUGAACACAUCUUACAAGGGAAGUUCACGGGUAUCAAACAGAGUUGCCUGAAGGGAGAACGCAUAGACUGAAACAUCUCUGAGAGUCUGCAAAGCAGGUCUUUCAAAGGAUUCUGAACAAUAAUAAUAUGAGUUAACAACUCGCCAUCAACAUUAGACAGAACUUGCAUCUUCACAGAGAUAUGACUGAAGUUGCACUGAUCAUACAUCUGAAUCAACUAUCCAUGGAGAAUGUUUGUUAAAGGAUUCCGUCGAUGCAAGUAAACAAGAAACAUGACAAAGUGUGUAGACCUACAUGUAAAGUAAUUCAGAGCUCCUAAAGAAUUCUAGAAAGCAAGUGCUUGAAGGCAGAUGACGAUAGCAUAAAACAAUGCAAGGAUUAAACAAAUAGGAAAUAAUUCAGAAUGCCUAAAACUGAAAAACAGUGUGCAAAUUACUGAUCAAAGCCAUAAAUUAUGUCGGUGCAGGUCGAAUUGAAUUGCUUGUCAAGAUAUCUAUGGAUUCCUUAGUCAUCCCAUUUUUUUCCCAGAAGGCACUCAGGCCAUCAACCAUGACAAUUUUCUAGACGCAUCCACAAAGGUUCCACAUCAUUCAACAUGGCAUUACAUAGAACUUUGUCCAAUACUCAUUCUCCUUCAAAGCCGGCUCAGUUGUACCCAAGUUCAACAACUUGGACAUGGAACCAUAUGCUAUAUCCCAAACAUGACUGCAGAGUGUGUUCAAUUGUCGCAAAAAUGACACUUCCAAUUACUAUCUUGACCUAAGAGAACCCCAGCAAGUUCAACGGUUGGUCAGGCAUGAAUGGAUCACCAUGACGCCUGAGCAGCAGCGACGCUCGCUGCUCUGCUCGCUCGAGCCGAGCCCGAGCAGCAGCGACGCUCGCUGCUCUGCUCGCUCGAGCCGAGCCCGAGCAGCAGCGAAGCUCGCUGCUCUGCUCGCUCGAGCCGAGCCCGAGCAGCAGCGACGCUCGCUGCUUUGCUCGCUCGAGCCGAGCCCGAGCAGCAGCGAAGCUCGCUGCUCUGCUCGCUCGCCCAGAUCUCGAGCGAGCAGACGAGCUGCUGUCGCAGAUCUGGGGAGCAACGCUCGCCCAGAUCUGCGAGAGUCGCUCGAGCAAGCGGCUCGCAGAUCUGGGCAAGCGCUGCCUCGAGCGAGCCCUAACACUCGAGCUCUCGCCGAAGUGAAGACAAUCAGUGAAGGAGGAGCAGUGACGACGUUUACCUGGUGAAGGAGCAGCGGCUGUCGAGACAGGCGCCGGAGAAGACGAUGGAAUUCUCUGCUCGCAGGAGGAGGCGCUCGUCGCAGGAGGAGAUGCUCGUCGCAGGAGACGCUCGUCGCAGGUCGGAGGAGGAGAAGCUCGUCGCUCGUCGCAGGUCGCCGGAGGAGAAGCUCUUCGCCCGUCGCUCGUCGCUUGUUGCAGGUCGCAGGAGGAAGCUCGUCGCGGGGGGGUGAGGAAGCCCUGUUCGAGCACGAUCGAAGAAAUAAAAAAGGAACACAAUUUUGUUCCUUUUUUGUUUCUGAUUUGUGUUUCAGAAACAAGAAACAAGUUUUUUUUGUUUCUUGUUUCUGUUUCUUUUGUGUUCCUGGGAACAAAAGAACAAAAAAGGAACAGAAACGCACACAAACGCGUUUCUGUUCCUUUUUUGUUCCCAGGAACAAAAGAACAGAAAUUUCUGUUCCUGGGAACAGAAACAAAUUGCAACCAUGCAGGCCCUUAUUGUCUGGGGAUUUUAAACUGCUUCCGCAUGUGCUUAAUAAAUGAAAGGGUCGGCGAUACAUUGUCCUGGGAUAUCGCAUUAUAAAAUCGACCAAGUGAGAAGGAUGUGUGCGUGCCCGAGGAUCGGGGCGUGACACGUUCAUUAUACACGAAAGAGGAUUUUCCCUCAAAGACAACAAGGUGAACGAAUGCAAGAGGUGGUUCUAGAACCAAGAUGAAAGGUUAGCUGAAGGAAAGCUCACAAAACAGGACACAACAAAAAAUGAACUCUAGUUCUAUGGACUUACCAUCAUCGACAAUCUUUGCCAAUCAAAUGAUACAUAUCUUAUCCAUCUCUAUUGAACCUCGGGCAAGCACCUACCAUGAGUUGACAAGAUUUUGGCACGCCCAGCACACUCUCCAAUGAUUCACAUCCAUAGAACAUCAAACUUUUCAGAUUCUGUAGAUUAUAACGAUCAGAUUCGUUUAAGCUUUUGACAGAAUUGCAACCCGAGAUAAACAAAGCCCGCAAUGAUUUCAAUUCUCCUAAACCCUGAAUCUCAGUUAGCAGAGGCAAUUGGCGCAGGGACAAACUCUGGAUCUUCUUCAAGCUAGUUAGAACGGGUAGCGUCUUCAGCAAUGGACAGUCUUCUAUCAACAAUUCAUUGAAUUUCCGUAGCUCUCCAAGCACCUCAAAUCGAAUCUCUCCUGGUGAAUAUCCAUAAACAAACAGCUUCGACAAAUUCUCCAAGUUGGAAAAGACUGACCAAUCUAUCGGUGAUUGCACAUUGUAUAAAUUUAACACUCGAAGGCUAGAUGGGAGCCCGAUAAGAGAUUGGGGCUCAGCACAACUUAUGGAGAGACUUCGUAAAUGAGAGAGGGAACUAAAAUCGGGCAAGGCCAUUUUUCCGAUGCACGGGGUCAAAUGCCACUAAGUAGGUAGUCUCACAAUGCCCUCUAUGUUGGUUUCUUGUAUUGAUGUUCCGAUUAUCUCAAGGUCAACUAAAUUGGUUAGGUUUGAGCAGUUGGGGAUCGUGGUCAACGAAUUUGCUGAAAAGGCUAAACACGUGAGACUCUUGGGAAGCUUCGGCAGCUGUUGGAUUGAAUUACAGCCCUCUAAAUUAAGUUCUUGCAAAUUUGUAAGCUGAUUGAUGGUUGUUGGCAAUCCACUAAAGCAGCCAUAGGAUAAUUCUAGAAUUUUCAAUGAGGAUAGUGCCCCGAUUUCACUUGGAAUUUCCCCCAUUAGAUGUACAAAUUGAGCAUGUAACUCUUCCAGAUUUUCCAACAUUCCUAUGGUUUUCGGAAGUUCACUUAUGUGGCUAGAAUUCAAAUCUAGUAUCUUCAACUUUUUGAGAUUUCCAAUGCAAUCAGGUAAGCUCCUAAUUCUUGAAAAGCUCAAAUCCAACUUGACCAAUAACUGGAGCCUCCCAAUUGAGUAUGGUAGCUUUUCUAGCUCGCAAACUGAGAUGCGUAAAACUCUUAACCUUUCUAAAUUUCCAAUAGAAUAAGGUAAUUCCCGGAUUUUUGAACAUUUGACACUUAGCUUAAGUAGUGACUCCAAUUUUCCAAUAGAGUCGGGAAGCUUUUGAAGUUCCUGACAAUUCAAGAUUAGAUGCUUCAGCUUCACUAAAUUGCCAAUUGAGUGAGGCAAAACUGAGAUUCUUUGAGCUUCUAUUCUUAGCUCUGUCAAAGAUUUUAGACGGCCAAUGGACUUUGGUAGUGACUUAAUAGCUUCAGACAUUAUUUUUAGGUAAUCAAGAUGCUACAAAUUGCCGAUGGACUUGUCAAUCUUUCUUAGAUGAGAGCAUAUAAUAAUCAAUCUCUCCAAUUGCGAGAUUGCAUAGAACUUGCACAUCUUUCUAAGGGAUGGACAAUCCUCGAGUUGUAGGACUUUCAACUGUUUUGCUACCUAUAAAGCAAUUGAGUUGAAUCUUAGAAAAGAAGAAGAGUAAAUGUAAUACAAAAGCAUGUCACGAGAUCAUACCAUGAUUUGACACCAUCCUUCCCAGUCUUCGUUAAUGUUAUUCCCCGAAAGCAUGACAACCACUAGGUUCUUCAACCCAAAGUUGGUUGCUUGGAAUUCGGAAGGGCAGUUGCUCCAAGAGAGCCAUCUUAACUCUGAGAAAAGAUCUUUAAAGUCUCCUUUAAAGUUUCCAUGGUCCAAUUGAAGGAACCUAAGGUUAACCAACCUCUUAAAUUCUUUACGUUUAAAUUUGUACGCUGCGUCAGGUUUAGGUGUGCCAAGAUUGAGGCCUACCAUGUUCUCAGUUCCCUAGAAGAUAAAAGUAGCAACCAAUGAGUACAUGUGUCAAUAUGACUAAUGAUACUAAUGGAAGGAUAAGGAAAAUAUUUAAAGGUAAAAAUUACCGUUUUUCUAUGCACUACAUGGAAGGCAUCCCUAGGUGACCACAAUCUGCUACUCCUUAGAUGUAUGUUGCAGCUUUCCGAGUGGACGAUAUCCCUUCCGAGGUCUCUAAGUUGAUCGUGCAUCCAUAAAAUAUCGUUGUCCAUGAUCUGUAUUAGAGACAUACAUGUGAGGGUCUUGACUUCGAUUUCAGUGGGAUACCCAAAGACCGCGUCCCAAUAUUUCAUUGCAAUUGUUUUAUAUUUGUCAAUGAAGAAACAUGCAAUAUCAAGAUAAAUUUGUUGUUGCUUAGCAUCCAAAGCUUCGUAGCUUAUCAUCAACUUCUUCUUCACAUCGUCAUUCAUCACAGUAUUUAACUUAUGUAGGACGUCUUCCCAUGUCUUUUCGGAUUUUCCGCGAAGUGUGGAACCUACAACAUCGAGAGCCAAUGGAAGUCCUCCAAGUGUAUUGAUUAGCUUAUUUGCAAUAUCCACGUAAUUAGAUGGAGGCUUGGCACAUCCCAAGGCAUGCUUACAAAAAAGUUGAAGAGCAUCAUGUGAAUUCAUCUCCGACAUAUUGUAGAAUGAAAAUUGUCCGCUAUUAGAGGCUGGGACAUUGUCAUCCUCAUCUUCAUUUACAAGGAAUUCAAUAUUCCUAGUUGUUAUGAUGAUUCUACUGCCCCCACCAAACCAGUUGGGCUCGCCGGUAAGUCUCAUGAUUUGGUCUUGACUGUCAAUGUCAUCAAGAAUAAUGAGAACUUUCUUGUCAUGAAAUCUUGUCUUGAUCAUGUCAACCCCUUCAUCAAUGAAGCAUAGGUCUGUGCAAUUCAAAUGGAGAAUGUUGGACAACAAUUUCUUUUGUAAGUUUAUUAUAUCAUGAGUCCGAACAUCCUUAAGAAAGCAGCAAUAUCUCUGAAAUUGAGAAGAGAUUUGUCUGAAGACAGUCUCAGCCAGUGUCGUCUUUCCGAUGCCACCCAUACCAUGAAUCACAAUAAACCUUACAUCAAAAGCUUCUAGAUCUAAUUGCUUCAUAAUCUCAUCCGUUCGAUCCUUAAUUCCCACCAAAUGAUCAGGCAAAUCUGUUCUUCUUGUCCAUAACAAACUUGAAACCUCUUUGACUGUGAGAAUCUUCAGUUCCUCUAGGCUACCACAUGCGUGACAUGCAAUCAUCUCAGAUUGAAAAACUAUAUAUACGGAAACUAUGCACACAUUACGUGGCACUGGAAGGUUAUCAUCAAGUUCAAAAUAAUUUGCUUUAAAAGAAAUCAACACAGAAAAGCAAUCUUUCAAGCUGUGAGCCAUUUGAAAACAAAAAACCGAGAGAGAGAGAGAGAGAGAGAGGAGGAACUUUAUUCAAGGUUGAAAGCUAAUGCUAUCAAGGUUCUUUGGUUUAGUCAAUGAUGGGAAAAGAUUAUUUCGUGACAAGGGUCUGAUUGGGCUUUGACUAGAAGUCAUUCCGGCAAAUUGUGACUAACUAGUGUUGUGAACCGUUGUAUUGGAAUAGGUUGUGGCAUUUUGUUCCAUUUUAUUGGAAAAUUAUGAAAUCAGUGUCAAAUUUAUUGUGUGAAUAUCAAUUCAAUUAUAAAAUUUUCAAUUUUAAUAAUAUUGUCCAAAACUUUUAUACAAAAUUUCAAUGUAGCCCUUGCAGUCAAUAUCCACCGAAAAUUGCUAAAGUGGCAAUCUAUGCAAGAUGUCAUUUCAAGUAAAAUUGCCCACGUCAACUUGCCACAUAGGACAACGGUGAUGAAUGGACGUCAUGUUAAUAAUUUCUCGCAGCAAUUGGGCAGAAAGAUUACAUUAAAAUUUCACGCAAAUACUUAUGACCACAUUAUCAAAAUUAAAAUGUCUUGUGCUCAAAUGUCAUGCACAAUAAAUUUAGAACUAAUUUGAUAAUUAUGCCUCCACUUCAUUUUAUACUUUUUCACACCGGUUGGUUUCUUCUUGUCGCACAGCUAAGAGCGAGACCUCUAGAAAUUUGGUUAAAUAUCAAGUCCUCGGUAAACUCGGUCUUGAUAAUCUCUUCAAGCGAUAGGGAUGAGUUUGAAGGUUAACAGAAAAUAAAAAAUCUCACUCGCAAUUGCCUUGAAUAUAGGAAACAAGAAUAAUCUCUCAAAAGCAUUUUUCUUAACGUACCCAUGGAAUAGAAUACUAACCGAAAAUGAGGAAAAUUUUCUGGAAUCUAUAUCAACCUUGAUUCGAGUUGCCAACAAACAUUUCUCCAAAUAAGUUAGAAAUAAUUUUAGGUUACCCAUUCUUUUUAUAAUAUUGGUAACUGCAAACUAGUUGGAACUUUAAUCGGAAUAAAUUGGUGAGUAACUCAACUUAGGAUUGAUAAUUUAACCAUAGAUUUCGUUGCCUAAUAAUGUUCGUAACUUGUGCAAAUAAAAGUUGGUGCGUUAUUAACGAAAGUUUAUGAAGGUUGGUUGUUUUGAAACAAAUAAUAAAUAUUGAUAAGUAGCUCAAAUAAGAAUGUGUAGCUUAAACUAGUUAUUAAUUUAAUUAGAAAUUAGUUAAUAUGACAAUCAUAUUAGAGUUAGUAAUUCGGUACAGGAUUUGGUAAUUUUGAGAUGUGGAGUAAACAAUAUGGUAAGUUGUGAAGAUGUUGUAAAUCGGCAAACAAUCUAAUAAACUUAGUAAAUGAUUUACAUAAAAGCCGGUAAGCUAAAACUAGUUUGUAAAACAAUGGAAAAAGAAGUUGGUAAGACACAAAUUAAAGUUGCUAAAUUCAUAUAAAAACCGAUAAUUUAAAAAUUAGGGAUGGGCAUGGAGCAUAGGAAAUUCGCGCCCCGCGGUGGCCUGCCUUGGAUGAGGCAAUUUUUUUGAGGAAAAUUUUUCUCAAAACAAUUGCCUCCCUGGGAAUGUUGCACGACACAAGUUGGGCAUGGGUGGUAAUAGGCUAGCCCUUCCCGUUCUCGAGGGUUGAAACUAUUAAUGCGUUUAACGAAAGAUAGAAACAAUAAGGUUUAAUGAAGAAGGAUGUAAGUAAGCAGAGAGUAACGGCUAGGGUUUAUAGAAAAACUAUCACAAACCAGGAUAAGGGUAGCUACAUAUCUCAAGGUAAUUUACAAUUGUUAAAGUACUUAUCCAUUUUCUAGAGGCUUUGAAAUUUCUCCAACCAUAGCUACAACUACUUGGAAGUCCCUUAGGUGAAUUUUUGGUUAAUCAAGAUAUGGGGCCAUGAAUAGGUCCAUGCUUAAAGCAACAGCAAGAACCAAUUUUUAUAUUUUAACAUUCUACUAUAAAUCACUAUAGAAUAAUAUUCAGUUUAAGGUUGCACAUCUUGUCUACGCACAAUUGGCCACUAGAGGAGCCUUUGACCCUUGCCCCACCACAGUGAAAACAAAAGCCCAAGAUUGAUAAUACACCUGGACCUAAGUCAGUCCGUCGCAAACUAAUCAAGAAUUACUCUAAUAAAAAAUAUACUGGAAGACCUCUAACAGUUACAGAGAUUCUUUUUUUUUUUUUUUUGGCUCUUUUGCGUAAUGGCACAAAGAUCUUUGCAAUGUUCGGUCUUGUAUACUCAAACCAAAUAGAAAAACCAUAACCUAUAGUUUCCUCUUAUGGGGUUAAAAAACUAUCAUCAUAAAAAUCUCCGUUAUUUUUGUGUAACUCGGUGGUGCGACCGUAAUUAGCCGGUUAUUUCAAGGGAAACAGCAGCAAAGCAUAUGAAUUCCCUAGGGCUGAAACCAAAACCACAAGGAUCGGUUUCUUACUCUUGGCCGUAAGUUUUUGGAUAUCGCAUAGACUGCGAUAGACUAAGUCUAUGACAUAAUUUCUCUAUGUUUCCUUAAUGUAACAAAAACAGAAAGAUCUAACAUCAAACUCAAUCUAAUUUUUCAGGAAAACAUUAUAGGCAUAGGGUUAAGGAAAAUUACACCAAAAGUCCUUAAUUUCAUGUACGGAAUGCAAUUGAAGUUAAGAAACUUAAAUUUUUUAUUUUUCACAUAUAUAUGGUCUUACUAUUUUAACAUAUCUUAGAUCUUAAUGGAUAUCUUGGUAUUUUGGCAUUAUAGAUUAAUUGAUUAAUUAAGUUGCUAUACCUUAACUUUAAUUGUUAUAAAAACUUGAUAUUAAAAGGGAAAAGUCAAUUUGUGCAAGAAACCUCGCCCUCUGAGCAAUAUUUUUGGCUCCUCAUAGCGUCAAAUCCAACCAUACGUUACAUAAGGUUGGACAGCAGCAAACCGAAUAGUUAUUCUUUAAAGGAACGAGAAAUUGAAAAUCUCAACAAAGAAAAUAAAGUCAAUGGAGAAGCAAAUAAUACCCGGCUUCCUUCCUCUAAUUCUAGCAACCUUUCUUAAAGCCUUCUUCCACUUCUUUACUAAAUCCUUCCCGUAGUCGCUCUUGUGCUUCCGAAGGGCUUUCCGAUAUAACUUAGUCUUAAGCUUGACAUCAUCCACGUCCACGUCGUAAAAUAUAGGGAGGAUCACUUUCUCAUCGUUAGCUGUCGAUUGCUCCACCAUGCGUGCCAGUUCACGGAGGCACCACUUACUUGAAGCAUAGUCCUUGGAAAAAAUCGGGAUGUAAAUUCUGGAGUCAUUGAUCUUUUGCAAGAGGCCUUUGAUCUUUUCGCCAAAUCGGAGCUCUUCGUCGUCUCUAAAAACGCUGAUGCCCGCACGGUCCAAGUCAUGGUAGAGACAAUCAGCAAUGGUUAAGCGAGUGUCGGGCCCUCUGAAACUUAGGAACACCUCGUAACCCCUCCCCGAUCCACCAUCACGGCUACUGCCUGUCCCAGCUACCGUCGCCGUCCCUUCUCCCUCCCUCUUUCUCUUCAUUCUAGUAGCAAGACGGAGUGAUGGAUCCCCGAAUUGAGUCUGCCCAGUGACUUGGGAAGUCUUGAGUUUGAUCCUUGUAACAACUUGACGACACGACGGAGAGAGAUCUCUCACUUUCGCUGCGUUCGCCUGGAAGAUACCUGCGGCCUUCCUUCGCAAGUGAAAAAACCAUUCAGAUCGACAAAAUAAUUGCUUCGAAGAGGAAACACGGAAGGAGAGAGAGAGAGAGAGAGAAAGAGAGAGCUGUGCAUCACUUUUCACCUUCAAGCCAUGAGUGGGGAGUGGGGGACCAUCGCUUCCAAUCUCGCCAAGCCCAGAUCCGGCCUCGUCCGCUGCCUCGAGGAGAGAGUCGGGGACGGAGACGGUGGCUUGGGCGAGAGGGGACGCGAAACGAUCGGCGCAGGCGAUGGCUGGGGGCUCUACGACGAGAGGUGACGGCACGGCAAGGGGAUACGACGUCGAACUCGACGGCGACGGCGACGGCGACGGCGACGGCGAGGUGGCGGAGGCUUGCGGUGACCGAUUGGUGGAGGGGAGAGACUGAGGGAAGAAUAGGAGAUUUUUCAGAGUCCGGAUAUUUUUUUAUGGAAAUUCGUCAAAUAGCGAGCAUGGAAGCUAUAUCAAUCUGAGUUUUGGUCUUGCUCCUGAAAUUGCAAAACACGUUAUGAGUGUGAACACUCACACGAACCUGUUUGAUGUGGAAUUUGACUGCGUGCAGACGAAUUGACUAGACAAACGUACGUGCUUUUGCUUUUGCUUUCGCAAGUGGUUCUGACAAAGAAUUGACCAGACAAACGUACUUCGGUUAUUUUGGAGAAAAUAUUAUGUAGUCCCGGAUCACCGCGUCACCGUGCGCCCGCCCAAUGAAGAGACGACACAUGGCUCCACGUGNNNNNNNNNNNNNNNNNNNNNNNNNNNNNNNNNNNNNNNNNNNNNNNNNNNNNNNNNNNNNNNNNNNNNNNNNNNNNNNNNNNNNNNNNNNNNNNNNNNNNNNNNNNNNNNNNNNNNNNNNNNNNNNNNNNNNNNNNNNNNNNNNNNNNNNNNNNNNNNNNNNNNNNNNNNNNNNNNNNNNNNNNNNNNNNNNNNNNNNNNNNNNNNNNNNNNNNNNNNNNNNNNNNNNNNNNNNNNNNNNNNNNNNNNNNNNNNNNNNNNNNNNNNNNNNNNNNNNNNNNNNNNNNNNNNNNNNNNNNNNNNNNNNNNNNNNNNNNNNNNNNNNNNNNNNNNNNNNNNNNNNNNNNNNNNNNNNNNNNNNNNNNNNNNNNNNNNNNNNNNNNNNNNNNNNNNNNNNNNNNNNNNNNNNNNNNNNNNNNNNNNNNNNNNNNNNNNNNNNNNNNNNNNNNNNNNNNNNNNNNNNNNNNNNNNNNNNNNNNNNNNNNNNNNNNNNNNNNNNNNNNNNNNNNNNNNNNNNNNNNNNNNNNNNNNNNNNNNNNNNNNNNNNNNNNCGUUGUUUUACUGGGCCAGCAUCACUUUUCAGAGAACGUUUCACGUCCCCCACCCCAUCUCUCUCUUCAUUAAAUGCUUUAUCCUUCUCUGCAUCCUUCUUCUCCCGCUCGCACGCCCCUCUCUCUUUCAAAAUUUUAGAGAUCUCUAUAUUUUUCCCCAUCAAAGCCGCACAACGCCCGCCUUCUCUCUUUUUCAAAAAUCUCUCCCUCCCAAAAGCCCGCCCGUCGCCUCCGAGCUCAGCCACCUCCGCCGUUGCCGCCAGGAGCCACUCACUCCCUCUCUCUCCCUCGUCUUCGCUCUCUACGGCGCUCGCUCUCUCCGGCGCUCGUGUUCGUGCUAUAUUUGAGCCGACGUCAUUGGCCAGGUUCCUGCUCCCGUCGACGUCUACCGCAAGCUCGCUCGACCUCACCUCCAUCUUCACUGUCACUCUUGGCCUCUCCCUCGCUCCCGCUCUCCCUCCUUUGAUCUUCCCCCCGCCUCGUGCUGCCGUUCCGUUCGAGAACUCGAACCCCCCGAAGUUGGUGUUCAGGAAGACGACCUCCCCAAUCGGCGACGCGGUCGAGGGAACUAAGAAGGAGGCCGCGGUGGAGUAGUGGAGGGACUUGACGUCGACGCGGCGAAGCCUGAGCUCGAGGCUCUUGACGCGGAGAAGAUGGGUGUGGAGGAUGCAUUGAAGAAAUCUGAGGAGAAGGCAAAGGAGAGAACUAGGCUCUUGCUCGACAAUGUUGAAAAGAACUAGGAUUCUUGGAAAUUUCUUUUUUCAACAAAACUAUGUUUUAUGGAAGAAAAAUCUAAGAGAGAAAAAAGAAAUAGUGUUUUCAAUAUAUUUGAAAUACCUAUAAUAAAAAAAUUAAAAAAUAGACGUGAAAUUCUUAAUUAUGGUAAUUGAAUCCUACAUUAAAAUAGAAAAACUAAAAAAAAGUCAAUGAAUUUGGGGCAACCAAUUAAAUUGCAAUUGAAUGAUUUGGCACACUUUGACCUUUUUAAUGAAAAUUGGGUGAAUUUAGUCAUACAUGAAAUGGAUUUCUCCAUCAACUUUUUGCCGUAAGCCAGGAGAGGCUUGGUCAUCAUCACUCAUCAAGAAAAUGUGUGUAUCCCAGAAAAUAAAUAAAUGUAGGCCUUUUUAUGGUAAGAAUGCAUAAAUUACGGGAGGAUAAAUAAACUUUGAAGAUACAAACUUCCAAAGAAUUAGUUAGGAAUUGGUUAAACAACCGAAACGCCCAAGUCACCACAAGAUCACAAACAACAGUAGCCGGAUCAUCAAAUGCAUCAUUCUUGCAACAAAAAUCUCUUGAAGCCACAUUGCUGCUGCACAAUCACCGCAUGAAUAUGUUGCAGUAAUGAAAAAAAUCAUUUCCGAAAUUAAGGGGUCCAAUAGUGAAAAGCUAGCUCCCACCAAUCACAUCGUAAUGAAGAUGCAAAAGAAGAUGAUUGGAAUGGGGUCCACCUGUUAGAAGAAGAACAAAAUCACCAAGGGAAGACACCCGCUAAAAAUUGUAGCAGCAUGUGCAAUAAUAGUGGUCACCGUCCAAUCACUGCAGCAGAAUUAUUGCUUAAUUUCACUAUGCCAGCGGGCUUAUGGUACUAGCAGACAAGGGGUGCGUUUGGAAAGAUUUUUGGGGAAAGUCCUUGAGAAAAUGUAAAGGCCUUUGAGCUAAAAGGGUUUUUGAAAAUGCAAAUUGUAUUUGGUAAAUCGUAUUUGUGAAAGUCCAUUGUAAAGUAUAUUUGAGCAAAAUAGCGUUUGGACAAAUUAACUUUGCAAAAGACUUUUAUUAUAAAAAAAAAAGGAAAAAAAUGAGAAUUGGUUGGUUACCGCCGGCGAGGGUCGCAGCAACCCCAAUCGCAACCAGAUCAUCGCGACCAGAUCGCACGAUCUGGGUUGCUGGAGGUCGCGCGGCCCAAAUCGGUCGCGGCGACCUCCGGUGACCCAGAUCUGCGUGCGAUUUGUGUCAUCGGAGGUCGCGUGGCCCAGAUUUGGGUCGCAGCGACCUCCGGUGACCCAGAUCUGCCGGGGGUCGCAGUGUCGCCGGGGUUGCAACGGUCUGCGACCCAGAUCUAGGUGGUUGCCGGGAGUUGCAGCAGUCGCGGCGACGUGACUCACAGGGGGUCGCCGAGGUCACGCGACUGGCCGCCGACGAUCGCCAUGGCGCACAGGCCUCUUGCCGACCUCUGUCCAGCUCGUCACCGGCCAUGGGCAGCUCUGCGCAACUUCGUCGGCCAUCCUCAACGAAGAAAAAGAUGAAUAGUAACGAGGACAAAACUGGAAAAACGAAAUGUUAGUGAGGACAUUUGUGGAAGAAAUUUUUUUAACUUACUCUCCCUUAGCCUUCCAAGAAGGCCGAAUGCCCAAGGCAACCCCCAACCUACCUUGGGCUUUCAACCUUGGGAAGGCUUGCCUUUGGCAAAGGCAAGUAAAAAAUUUUUUGUCAAACACUGAAUAUUUGGUCCAAAGGCCUUUAGGGGGCUAAAGAUCCUUGGCAAAGUGGUUGCCAAACGUAGCCAAGAUACUAUUCACCGUCAGAUUAUUGCAGCAAAAUUAUUACUUACUUUCACUAUAGAACUUUUACUGUACAAUCACGUGCAAUUGCUUUUGUUUUGCUCAUUCAAUUCAGAAGGAUUAGCUUUUGUCGGUUGGAGCCAGAAUUCCAUUCUACUUUUGCUAAGCCCAAAAAAUCAGAUCUCCUUAUAUUUAAUCCGAUGUCGCACUAAGUGGCAUGAUCAAUUUAUCCUUGAUCAGCUGAGCAAUAAUUUUAUAUGUGAUAAGUAUUGUAUUGAAAUGUAAUGCACUAUUAAAAUCCUUGUUGGUCCUUCUUGAUUGAUAACAAAAAUUUAAAGGCCCUUUUGAUAAUCUAUCUAAAUUUGUCAGAUAAAUUCAAGAUUUUGAUCUAACAUUUUGAAUCUUUAUUUUGAAAUAAGUUCAAAAUCUUUGCUAGUCCUUCUUGAUUUAUCCGAUCAUCCCAUUAUACAUAUAUAUAUGUGUGUGUGUGUGUGUGUGUGUGUGUAGAAGAUUAGAUAAAUUUCCACGCAUGCAUGCAUGCAUGUAUGUAUGUAUGUAUAGAAGAGAACUGAUAAGAGGGAAUUUUAUUUGGUCAAAUGAUAAAAGACGGAGUUUGAUAGUGAUAUGCACAACAAAAUUGAAAAUUUGUAAACAAGUGUUUGUGUCAAAAAAUUAUUUAUAUAAUAAUUUUUUCUAGAUUCAUCCUUAAAUUUUCUUGACAUACUAGGUUUCUUGGAAAUUUCCUUCUUAGACAAAACUAAAUUUUAUGGAAGAAAAAUCUAACAGUGAAAAAAGAAGGGUUAAUACCCUAAAAAACCCCAAACUGGUACACUUGUGACAAAUUUACCCAAACUAUUUUUUUGACCAUAAAAAACCCCAAACUGGUAAACUUGUGACAAAUUUACCCUGACUGACUAUAAAAAACCAUAAACCGGUACAUUUAUGACAAAUUUACCCAAACUAAUUUAUCCGACUGUAAAAAACCCUAAACUGGUAAUUUUUUGUUAAAUAUAUCCUAUGCUAAAUUGGAUUAAUACCACAAAAAAAUCAUAAAAAUUGUAAAUUGUGAUAAACAAAGCAUAAAAUCCUAAAUUGGUAUACUGGUUAACUGUCACGUGUCAUUUAACUUAAUAAUUUGAGAAUAAAAUUUAACGAAAACCAGCAUAGGGUAAAUUUGUCACAAGUGUACCAGUUUGGGGUAAAUUUGUCAAAGGUAUACCAGUUUGGGGUUUUUGGUGGUCAAAAAAAUAGUUUGGGGUAAAUUUGUCACAAGUGUACCAGUUUGGGGUUUUUUAGAGUAUUAACCCAAAAAAGAAAUGGUGUUUUAAAUAUAUUUGAAUACCUAUUAUAAAGAAAAACUAGACAUGUGAAAUUCUUAAUUAUGGUAACGAAAUCCUACGUUGAAAUAGAAAUUUUUUUUUUUUUAUGAAUUUGGGGCUAUCAAUUAAAUUGCAACUAAAUGAUUUGAAGCAAUUUUGUCUUUUUAGUGAAAAUUGGGUGAAUUUAGUUAUUUACAAUAUAGAUUUCUCCAUCAACUUUUUGUCAUGGCCAGGUGAGGCUUGGUCAUCACUCAUCAAGGAAAUGUGUGUAACUUGGGAAAUAAAUGCAGGCUUUUAUGGUAAGAAUGCAUAAAUUGCGGGAGUAGGAAUAAACUUUGCUAUAUGCGCUCUUUGAUGAUACAAAUUUCUAAAGAAUCAGUCCAAAAUUGGUUUAAACAACUAUUAUGCCCAAAUCACCACAAGAUCACAAACGACAUUAGACGGAUCAUUAAAUACAUCAUUCUUGCAACAAAAAUCUCUUGCAGUAGCCCUACCUUGCUGUUGCACAAUCACCACAUGAAUAUGUUUCAGUAAAGGAGAAAAUCAUUUCUGAAAUUAAGGAGCCCACCAACUAUGAAAAGCUAGCUCCUACUAAUCACACCGUAGCAGAGAUACAAUAGAAGAUGACUGCCGUGGGGUCGACUUGUUAGAAGAAGAACAAAAUCACCAAGAGAAGAUAGCCACUGGAAACUGUAGCAACAUGUGCAAUAAUAUUGUUCACCAUCCAAUCACUACAGAAAAAUUAUUGCUUAUUUACACUAUGCUAUCAGGUCUCCAGUACUAGCAAACAAGAUACUAUUCACCCCGAGAUCAUUGCAGCAAAAUUAUUGCUUACUUUCACGGUGGAACUUUUAUUAUACAACCAUGCGCACUUGUUUUUGUUUUGCUCAUUAAAUUCAGAAGGAAUUCAACCACAAAAAAUCAUGAGGAUUAGCUUUUCCUCAGCCGGAACCAAAGUUUCAUUUUGCUUUUGCUAAGCCCAACAAAGUAGAUCUUCUAAUAUUCAAUCCAUAUUCGCACUGAUUUGCUUGAUCAAUUGAUACUUGCCUUUAUUCCACUUACUAAUUUUAUCUUGUGCCAUGAAAAAGUUGUGAAAUGUGAAUUCGGCUCCAAGUCGCCUUUUGCUUUCAAGAGUUGUAGAUUGAUUGUAAUGCAAGAUGUAACAUUAAUAGACUGUUUGAGAAAACAAACAAAUUUUCCCAAAUUCACUAAUGGCCUUUUGCAUGCCAUCAUCUUGGUAUAUUCAUGAUCAGAGGAAUAAUUAGUGUACAUAAUAAAUAUACAUUCUUUCUACAUGGAAAAAAAAAUAUUGUCCCAUUGUGACUUUUAAUUGCCUCCAUUGAAUUGUGAUCAUAUACUUUUUCCCAUCAACUUUUCUAGAAAUUCGCAUUCAUUCGGAGGUCAUAACUCUUCGGGAAGAUGUGCGAGACCCUCCUACCAAGGAAUGGCUUGCAUCACAUAAUGUGGAGUUCAACCUCGGAAAUACUAUUUGGCCCAUGAAAGUCCCCAUACAUAUAUUGGACUUUGCGAGCCUAGCAGUAGGGUUGAAGUUGAGUCCAACUUAGGACUAAUUCAAGCUUGACUUAAUAAAAUAAUUAGUUGAAAUCAACCGGUCUAGUUUGGAGUUGAGCUUAGACUAAUUGAAGCUUGACUUAAUAAUUAAUUGAAAUCGACUAGUCUGGUUUUGAGUCGAGCCUAGACUGAAGUUAUACCAAGAAUUUCAUCGAGUCAAGAUCAACCUCGAGAGAAUCACAAUUCCAAUCCAAUUUCUAUUAUUUUGUUCAGAAAAUAAUUUAUAAUCAUGAAAAUAGAGGGGAAGACAUUUGCAAAUUGUAGUAUACUUAAAGCACAUAAAUGUAGAGGAUAAUACUUGAAGUUAGUGAGCUUGAGCUCAAGCCCAUUCUUUAAUUUGAUUGUUUCGAGUCGACUUGAUCUUGAAUAUCUCGAUUCUAGUUUGGUGAAGCUCAAGCCAAACUUUUAAUACUCCAUGAUUUGAGGGGAGUUUCGAGCAUCGAAUAUCUAAGAGGAGUUGAACUCAGAGCUUGGCACUAUUCUAUAGGCUUGAACUGAAAAUUUCACUUAGUAAUGUACUUACAUUAAAAAAUUAAAAGUUGCAAAAAGUUUAUUAUAGUGAUAUAUAUAUACAAAUUGCCAUGGCACGGACUUUCUACCCAGACUGUACCUACAUUGCUCUAAUAUAAUGGAAAUCUUCAAGAUCUGACAACAAGAGACCAACCAAAUUACAGCAUUAAGUCACUUGAUCCAAAAACACUCCUGCUGACGCGUAUUCCUCAGUGGACCCCAAGCAGGCCCAUGUUUCUCCCCCGAAUUCAAAUUUAAAUUGGUUCUUACUAAACAUACAUAGUCAAGGUGAAACGACGAAACAUUGAUGGAUCCAACAUCAACUCAACACUAGCACACUGCACACAGUAAGUGAAAACUCAAGCUCAAGAGGUUCUCAAGAAAUCGUUUACAUGACAAGCUUUGUGUAAUGCAGUAAAUCUAACUCAACCUAACCAAAAUCACCCAUAGUCAGUCUUAACCAUGAUCACAAAACGGUACAUAAUUCAUUCACCUAAUCGAAAAUGGGGAGAUCAAAGUCAUACUCUCAUUCAGGAGUACGCAUUCUCCUACCAUGAUCCGAGUUGAAAAGACUCCUUUAUGAGUCUUUGGCAGGAACACCAGCUUGACGGAUUCUCUUUUGGUGAACAUCCCAAUUAUACACACGAGCAAUCGUAACCUGCCAAAAAGGGCUGUUUCAAACCACACCCCACCCCCACACCAAAAAAAAAAAAAGUGAGAAAAGUUUCCCAGGGUCACCAAUCUAAUUGCCAUGAUAAACUAAAGGAUAUGGUUCAGCUUUGAAUUUUUUCAAGUUCACAUUCGUGCAAACCUACCACGCUCCAACUUAUCACCAAUUAACAUGUCUUCCCAAUUUAUAGCCUCACGCCAGUUAGAAAAUUCAGAACAACGGUAGUUCGACCCCAAUAGACCUCGCCAAAACUGACAUAGUAAACGGCUUGAAAUAAACAAGGACCUCCGAGUUCCAAAUAAUUCUCACUUAUCCGAGUGAUUGUUACUUGCUCCCUUAAGAAUUGUAGAUCAGCAACAAGAACUUCUAAACUUGCUUUAGCAUUUUCUAAGUUCUUUUGUAGAUGGGUUGUGGCCUGCAACAUAAAUUUAUGCAAUAAAUAAGAUACUUGACAUCAUUAUUGGAAAGAAAGGGACAUUGCUUAAACUCGGGUACAACCUCUUCACAUGAAUACUCCAACAUAACAUUUGCUCCCAGCCAUAGACAUACUGAAUCAGUAUCUUCAAUGCGAGCUCGAGAAUAUAUGCCUUCAGAGACUUCAAAAUCAGCAAGGAGUGCCUGUAUACAAAAUAAAGAGUCAUGAAAACCAGUCAGCUUGGUGCCUGAUAUCUUUUGCGCCAUUAAAGUUUUGAUAGUCUUAGGUCUUAAGCCCAAUACAGUAAUCCCAUCGCAUGUCAGUUUCUAAUCGGACCUUCAGACACCAAAGCAACUAGCUAAACAUUACUUGUGAUAUUCCGGCGUUCAAAUCUAAAACCACCCCAUUAUGGAGAUCAGCAUGGGCUCUUCAAAGCACUAACCUAGAUUAUUAGGAAUAUUGCUUCCAGAAGUGCAUUUGCAAAGGAGAAACGCCAAUUGGAUAUUUCACAUCAUGUCAACCAUACCAAAGUUAGUUCCUAGUAUGGCAAGAAUUAAACUAGCCUAUUCUCCAUUUGCUUUGUAAAGAUAGAAAGGGGUAAUAUGCUCAGCUAAGAGAGCAUCGAGGAGCAAGAAUAUUUUUUUAAGAUAAUAGUUUUUAGCAUAACAAGAUUAUGAGAAAAAUUUAGUUGACAUCAUAUAUAAAAGAUGACUGAUAGAUUGUCGAGGAUUCAAGAUGAAAAACAGAAACUGCAAAGGAAAAAAUUGGUGGAUUCUAAGACAAUACAAAGAACUCCAGCGGAUAAAAUGAGAAAGAACUCCGGAUUGAAAAUAUGAUCUGGUUACGCGAUAUCAAGCUUACUUUGUGAAAAGCCUCAAUGUCAGUAGCACGAGUCCGACAGAUACCCAUUAAGUAUCCUCAGUUAAAAUACCUGCACCGAAAAGUGUUCAGCUUGAAUUUCAAACUUAAAUUCCAGUUCUGAGGCUAUGAUUCAAUCUUACUGUAAUAGAAACUCGAGCUCAUUGUGCACGCAUAUAAUGGUGUUCUCAAUCUGUCACGCCCCGAUUCUCGGGCACGCACAUAUCCUUCUACUUGUUCGAUUUUAGAAUGCGAUAUCCCAGGACUAUGUAUCACCGACCCUUUCAUUUAUUAAGCACAUGCGGAAGCAGUUAUUAAUCCCCAGACAGUAAAUCAAUGGGAUAGAAAAGCAGGACCAUAUUUUUUAUAUUGAAAUUUAUAACCAAUCUUUUAUACAAAACACAAACCAAAGUACUCCAUAACUAUUCACAUCAAAAUGGAGUUCAGGAAAGAAAAUGGAAUCUCAGUUCAUCCGGCUGUACUCAAGGCCCCUCUUGGUUUUAUCUUCUUCUUCCAAAAAUCCUUCUUCUUAGGUUUCACCUCAGAGUACUCCUUCUCAGAUUCCUCCCCAGCUCCUCAUCAGGUCCUGAAAUGUUUUCCCCAAACCGGAAUGAGAUUACGUCUCAGCGAGUUCUACCCCACUAAGGCCCGAUUAGUAAACCAAUACACCUUACGGCUGCCUAUGCACCACAUGAGUUAGAGGACUUACCUUGGCCUCAGUUUUCAUCUGCAUAUUAGCACAUAUCAAAUAGGCAUCUAAGCAAUCACAUCACUGAUCGAGGCAUCGAUCAAAUCGACCCAAUCGAUUACAUGUCAACAAGACCAUUAACGGUCAUUUUCGUUCAAUUAAGCAAUUUACAACAUCAGAUCAAAACAAUGAUCAAUCGACCUAGUCAAUUACAUGUCAACAAUGACCCUUCCCCGGCCAAUUCAGUUCAAUCAGUCAAACCAUGACAAACGAAUCAAAUUAUAUCGGUGAUUCCAUCUAUACUCGAUAAUUAAUCUCAACAUACCAAUUCAACAUUCCCACUCAAAUAUAGGCUCAAGGCGCUAGAGGUGACCCCAACACAAAGUCUCGUCAUUGUGCAAUACUUAGUCCUUGACCACAAAUAACAAUAGUAUAAGGCGCUAGAGGUAACUCACACGAAAUCUCGCUAUCGUGUAGUACUUAGUCAUUCACUACAAAAUACAGUAGGGUAAGGUGCUAGAGGUGACUCACACGAGAUCUUGCCAUCGUGUAGCGCUUAGCCCUUCACUAUACAUAACAAUGCUGCAAGGCACUAGAGGUAAUUCCCAUGCGACUUAGGUCGCCAUAUAACACUUAGCCCUUAACUACAAUAAGCAAUGGUAUAAGGCGCUAGAGGUAACUCACACGAAGUCUUCUAUUUGUGUAGUACUUAGUCCUUUACUUGCUCAUGAUCCAUUGGUUUCCCUCAACACAACACACAUCACAUCAACUUCCAAUAAUCAUCUUGCUUCAACUAUAAGCAACACACGAUUAAUCCCUCACGGCCCAAUGACAUUGUGCCUCGCACUUAACUUCCUCAAUUAAAGUAAUAUCUUGACCUCAUUUCUUCGUAUUAAAAAUACUCGAUAAAAUAUCGUGCGUGGGCACACGGCUGGCCUUAGCCAAAAUCUAAUAUUUUCCUUUCCAUAACUCCCACGUUUUCUAUAGUCCGCUCAAAUAGUUUUGGCAUUAUCAACCGAUGCCCGGUUAUUUUUCAAUUAAUAACCAAUGAUUUCCAAUUAAAGAAUAAUUCCCAUCCUUCGCAAAUAAUUCAAUUCAACACAAAAUAAAGCUCCAUUAAAUAAACGGACUUCACCACGACGAUCAUCACGAAAUUUCAGUCAUCGACUAACCCAACCUUAAUUUCCGAAAAAUAAAUAAAUAAUUAAUUAAUUUAAAAAAUUAAUAAUUAAUUGCAAUAAAUCCAAUUUAGCUCAAAAUAAAUCCCAAAUUAAAUAAGCGGGCUGCACCACGAUCAUUAGCAUAAAAAUUCGGCCACUAGCCAUCCAAGUUGAAUUUCCGGAAAUUAAUUAAUUAAUUUCGAGAAUUAAUAAUUAAUUACAAUAAAUCAAAUUUAACUCAAAUUGGCGCUCAAUUAAAUAAACGGACUUCACCAUGAUCAUCAGCAUAAAAAUUUGGUCACUAGCCAUCCAAGUUGAAUUUCCGGAAAAAAGUAAUUAAUUAAAUUAAUUUCAAAAAAUAAUAUUUAAUUACUAAAAAUUCCACAUAGGCCCGAAUUGUCAAAUUGAAGCCCGAUAGGGGUCGGGAAAAAUCCCGAGCUACCUUCAAUAAAUAGUAGACCACGUCUACUUGCUAAAUACACACUUAAUUUAUCUAAUUCGCAUCAUAAUUGAUUAAUAAAUACUAAUUUAUACUAAUUGUGACAUCCUGAAUUUCAGGUUCUGAUUUUGAUUGGAUAAAAUGGGCCUUUCGUCAACGUGACUAUAGUGUUUUUCUCUGAGUUGGCCACUCAUGAGAUAACUGGCCUAUCCGGUGAAGCCAUUCAGGGAUUUUAAAUGUAAUAGACUUGAGAAUUCGACCAGGAAUCGACUGCUCGACCGUGCUAGUCUGCAAGGGUCAUUACGGCAUUGUCAAAAUCGAUCAGAGACCGGAGAUAGAUCGAUUCAAUUGAGAUGUGUGAUCAAGUGUGGGUGAUGCCACCUGACUGCAAAAUUCUCAUCGAUCGGCACUAAACCGAUUUUCUGUCGUUUUGGGUACCCUGUGCCCGUAUUUGAAACCUUGAGAUUUUCACGAUUAUCGAGAGUCGCCAAUGUGUCGGACGGGUUCAUUGUGGUUCAAAGAAAAUCAACCACGGGUCAAUUGCACCAAAAAUUCCUAGAAGCUACCCGGUAGGUAAGGUCACACUAAAAGCACGUUUGAUUGAAAAUAACCGCGAAUUUGAAUUCGAUUUCAGAAAUUGAGAGUCCUGUCGUGUCAUGAGUUAUUCCGGGGAUGUCGACUCACAUUUUGAGGAAAUUCCGGCGAGUUCGGGAUUUUUACGGAAAACCGGAUCGGACAAUACGGAAAAUGAGUGGAAAUUCGGAUUGGCUAAUUUGAAGAGACUUUUGACAUCUGGUGUAAAUGAAUCGGUGGAUGGAAGUUGUUUAGGCUUUUUCUGAUUUCAAAUUGGACCUCAACCGAAUUUAUUCGUUCAGAAAAUCGGAUUCCGAGAAAAAUGAAAUAAAAAAAAUCGGUUUUGAAGGAAAUUCGUGAGAUGGAGAAAUCGAUUCAUCCCGUUCUUCAAUGAGACUUCAAAUUGUGCAAUUGGUAAAGAAUUAGACCCAAGAUGACCAAUCGACGAAGUUGGUUGAAGUUGAGCAAAGGGUGUUCAUGUUUUGUUUAAUUUUCUCUCCAUUCUCCUUGGAUCCACGCACUCAUGCACGUACCCCUCUUCGGCCGACAACACCCAAGCACAUCUUCACCUUGAAAAUUUCUUUGGUCUUCAUUUCUUUAAAUGUUGACCAAUGGGAUCCCCCUUCCUUCCUAUCCAUUUGCGGUCACAUCUCCCCCUCUCUUUUAUUAUUUCUCCAUUUUUCGCACGUUCCUCAUUACUUCAUCCGACAAUCUCUCUCUCGCACGAAACCCCCCCUGCAGUCUUCAAUUUCUUCUUUUCCUUUGACCAGUCUUCUCUUUUAUCCUUUUUCACUUGCUUCCCACGCCAGGGCAGCUGAACCCUACUCCCUCACGUCUUCUGCUUUCUUUAAUUUGCUUGGACGGAAGCAAAUCCGCAGAAGCAGCCCCACGAUUCCUCUUCUCGUCUACCAUGGCCGCACUCACACAUGCCCUCAUCCCCACCGAAGCCACCACUUGUCUGCAGCUCAUCUUCCCCGAGUCAAACCAGCGGGUUCUCCAGCGAAGCCUCCCUCAAUUUCUUCGCAUCUCUCUCUACCGAAUUGCUACCCCACGUUCCUCCAUCGAAGACCCAACUGAAAUCCCUCAACCGCUUCCCCUCUACUAGCAAAUUCUCUACGCCAGCAUCACCUUGUUGACCUCCUGUUUUGUUGACCACCGAGCGGGCUUCAAUCCGCGUGUCUUCCAUCUUCGGCCAACAGCUGCUCCCUCCGUCUCUGCCACAUCCCAGUUAACCGAAGUAGCGUUGAAAGCAACGAAAUUAACUCAGCAUCGGACGAAGUUCCCUUGCCAGCGAAGCUCGAAGCAACCGAAGUAGCAGUCCAGCGUUUCCGCGUGGUCUUCCCCAGCUCGACGCCGUAAGCCGCUACUUCCUUCGCUCACUUGUCUUCGGCCCAGUCCGUGAGGCCAGCGUCCAUUUCUUUUGCUCGUGGACCAACCACAGCGAGCCCACUCUGAUUUUUCAGCGGCCCAAUACAACAGUUCAGCCCGCGUGGAGCUCGACCCAUUUUUAGCACUAUCAGCCCGGCAAGCCUAACCUGUUUGCAGCCCAGUUUUUGAGGCCCAAUUUCCAGCAAAUCAAUUGAAGUCAGGCCCACCGAAUCAGUAGACUCAGCCCAGCUCGAGCAGCGAGCUUUUAGGCCAAUUUCGGCCCCGGUUUGACCCCGGUUGGCGGACCCACUUCGAAGAGAAUCGAGUCUUGUCGCGUGCUCGUCGAUUUGAUUCAAUCAAAUCUUAAAUCAAGUGAGUUUUACUCACUAAUGCUUUAUUAGUUUGCUAAUUAUGCUUAGGGUUGGUUAAAUUUAAUUAAGUGCAAUUAGGUUGUUAGAUUAGAUUAAAACAAUUAAAUUAAUGACUUGAGGAUGCAUGUUAGGUGGUUAGCUAUAGCCAUUAGGGAGUAGAAAUGCUCUAUUAUUUAUCGAAUGUAUCUCGGGAUUUUUCUCGACCCGUUUCGGGCUCCAAUCAGGCAUUAUGAGCCUAAAUUGGAUUUUUAAUAUUUAUUUAUUUAUUUUUCGAAAUUAAUUAUUUAAUUUUUUUUUCCGGAAAUUCAAUCGAGAUUAUCGGUGACUGGAAUUUCGUGCCGAUUGUCGUGGUGCAGUCCGUUUAUUUAAUUGAGCUUCAAUUUUUAUGGAAUUGAUUUAAAUUGUGAAAUUUGAGGACUUGUCCUAAAUUGUUUGUUAUUGAGUAUUUGAUUGGUAAUGGCCGAGUAUGGGUAUAUAACACCAGUACGUUGAUGGGCUAUAUAGUAGAGAGAAUGAUGAGAGCUAACUGAGAAUGUUAUUGGCUGAGACCAAUCAGGUACGAUAUUAUUUGACAUACGUGAUUCGAUGAUUGGAAGUAUCACUGGCGAAAACGGCGCCUUAAAGAACGCACGUAAAUGACUUAUAGACAAACGUGGUUCGGUGAUUAAGGAAAUAUCACUGGUGAAAACGACGCCUUAAAGAACUCACGAUGUUGUCUAUAGCCGAUGUCACCUUGGCGAAAACGGCGCCCUAGAAAGGACACGUGGUUCGGUGAUCGAGGAUAUCACUGGUGAAAACAGCGCCUUAAAGAAUGCAUGGUGUCGGUGAUCGAUAUGUCAUUGGCGAAAACGACGCCCGAGAAACACAUGUGAUUUGGUGAAUGAGUAUAUCAUUGGGAAAUUAUGGUAUGAGUGGGAAUGACCUAGAGAUGGUCCGAUUGACAUGUAAUCGACUAAGUCGAUUGAUCAAUGCUUAAUCAUAUGUCUUGAAUUGUUUGAAUAUAUGUGUUUAACCUUAAACUGCAGGUUGGAACUAAGGCCAAGGUAAGUCCUCUGAUUUGUGUUGUGCAUAGGCAACCUAGUCGGUGUAUUGGUUUACUAAUCGGGUAUUAGGGGUUAGAGCUUGCUGAGACGUGGUCUCAUUGGUUAUUGAAUAACCAUUUCAGGUCCUUAGAUGCAGUACACUUGAAUUUUGAAGAUCUCGAAAGUCCAGUGCAGUUUGUAGAAGGCUCCAGUUGAAGUGUAGAGGAUGAUGGAGAGGAGGACAGGAACCCGUAGUUUGUAGAACCCCACUCUUGUUUGUAGACCUUAUUUUUAAACUGGCUUAAGUUGAAUUUGACUUAAUAGUUCACCUUGUAUAUAUAGGUGCACUGGUUUGCAAUGUAUGUAUGAGUGAACGUUUUAAAGGUUUGAAAUUUAAUCCUACUGUAUUAUCCCAAUGUUUUAUUGUCUGGGGAUAAUUUAUAUGCUUUCGCAUGUGCUUAAGGAAAAUGAAAGGGUCGGCGAUGCGUCAUGGGACGUCGCUAUUAAUCGAUCAAGGUAAGGGAUGUGUGCGUGCCUGAGGAUCGGGGCGUGACACUAAUCUAACCACCUAAACCUAAUUAAUUAAAACUAAACAACCUUAAGUGUAAUUAGUCCACUAAGUAAAGAUUAGUGAGAUUACUCACCGGAAUUGAGUGCAAGUCGGAUCAAUCCGAUAGGGAUGAUGCGAGGAAUGAUAAACUCCAAAGCGGGCCUCGAGUUCGGGGCCCGGAAAUGGCCCAAAACGAGCUCGAUGGGGCUGGAAACCCAUUCGCUGGGUUGCUGUUUAGGGCUGGCCGAGGCUGGUCCGGCGGCUAGGGCGGCGAGGGGAGGCCGGCGGAGGGUGAGGGGAGCUCCGUUGGUCUGAGCGGUAGCCGGAGAUGGUCGGGCAACCGCCAGUGGUGGCCGAAUAGGGGUUGGGCAGAGGCGGAAGUCGCGCGGGGGAAGUGCGGCAGCGAGCGAUGGAUGCGGGGCGAAGGUGCGGCAUGCGCGGGCGGGCGUCGCGCAAACGAAGGUCCAGCUCCGGCGAGGCGGCGACGAUUAGCUGGCUGCUACUCUUGCUUCGGUCCACUUUUGUCUUGUUGGUUCCUUCGAACCAGAGGAGAGAGAGUACCAAGAGAGAGAGAGAGUCGGCGACGGUUGAGGAGGGUGAGGGAGAGGUGAAGGCGGGCGGUGAGCGACGGAUGCAUGGGCGCGGGCGGCGGGACGAGUGACGACGGUGGCUGGCUUCGGCGAGCUGCUGUCCUUCUUUCUCCGUUUCUGGUUUUCACGAGCAAGAAACAAGAAGAGGGGGGGCUUUCGGUCACAUGAGGGAGAAUGGGGGAGAAGAGAUAGGAGAGAGAAGAAGAGAGAAGAGAUAAGAAUGAGAAACUUUUUUGACCAGUCAAAGUGAAAAAGAAAGAGAGAAGAAGAAACCAAUUUGAAAUUGGCAUGGGGUGUUCGGUGGGGGAGGGGGAAAUCGCACGAGGGAAAAGAGGGAAGGAGAGAGAGAGAGAGAGAGAAGAAGAGAGAGGGAGAGAGGGAAAAAUAAAAUGAAAAUAAUAUUGUUAUUCUUAUUUCAUUUUAUUUUCUCUUUCCCUUUCUAUUUUCUUUCGGACUUCAAUUUUUCUUCCGAUAAUUUCCUGAAAUUUUGGACUUGUCAAUAAUUUGGCGGAUGAUGAGACGGUCCUAAAAAUGAAUUGUGACACGCUCGAAUAUUCGAUUCCCGAGACCAAUUUAAAUUUUAUGGUUAGAAUCGAUCAGACGUGAUUUUAGUACAAUCCAACCAAUUGAGCAGCUUUUAGGGAUUUUACUGUAGAUACAUCCCUUAAUGGCUUCACCCAAUAGGUUAGUUAACUCGUGAGUGAUUAGCUCAGAGAAAAAGGACCAUAGGUAUGUUGACGACAUGCCCAUUUCACUUUAUCGAAACGGGGUCGAAUUUCAGGAUGUCACACAAUCACAGGUCACUUUGCUAUAGCAAAAGCCAGUUUGCUUCAGUCAUUAUGCAGGUAUACAUAUCAAAUAAAUAAGAGAGGAAACAAGAGCAUAACAUUGUGGUGGAAUGGAGUGGUGAACUAAUGGUUGCAUCAAGGUGCCCCAAUUUGAAAUCAUUGACCAAUUCAAAUCCUGGAUUUUUGUAUUGAGAGAUAUACCGCACCUUUGUUUAUGUACUGUCAGCACGGUCAUAGCCUAUUUAAUGGAGUAAACCUCAGUGCAAAGAAAGAUGGAGGCAGCACGUGGUAGUACUUGUGUUUGUCCGUGUUUGCGUGUGUGUGUGUGUGUGAGAGAGAGAGAGAGAGAGAGAGAGAGAGAGAGAGAGAUGGGUCUUGGCAGAGGGGCUGAGUGCCUGGCGACCCAUAGUUGAUGCUAAGGACUAAUCGUGCGGGACAAAUCUCAUAGGCUCUUGUCCACUGCAGAGAUAUGGCUAUUAUAGCACAUGAUCAGGAAACUUUGUUGAUGGAAAAAGGUAUUGGUAGGAUUCACCAUUUAUGCAGAGACUGGUAACCAGUAGAGAAUGAGAUGGCCAAAUUUUAAGUUCUCUUACGCAAUAUAGCUGGUAACAAAGAGACAGGGAAGGACUCUGUGUCCAAAGAAGGCAGGGGGUAUUAGCUGCUUAGACGAAAGCCAUAUGGAACUAUUCGGCAUCAUAACUUUUCGACAUGUGCGAUUGCCCUGGGAGGGUUUCCAAAUAGCCAACAUACAAAAAGAAACCAAAAACAAGAAGAAGGGUGCAUACAAACAGAUACUAGCUAUGGCAAAGUCAAUGAGAAUCCUCAGAUCACCCACCAAUAUGUUGCCCUCAGAUUAGAUCUCCUUUGGACGUGGAUACGCUGGAAAAGAUGCAGAUAAGAUGUGGUGACCAUGGAAUUGAAUCCCAAUCCAAAUCUUAGCCUUUUUCUUAGUCAAGAGAUAGAAAUAAGAGAGCCUUUAAAUCUUGCAUUAAGGAAAAGGAUGGCUUUUUAGACUUCACACGCGGUUAACAAUUUCUAAGACUCAACUUCUUACCCCAAGUUUAUUAAAUUCACUCUCAUGUAAAUAACUCUACUAAGAGGUUUGCUCUAAUAACUAUUGCUUUCUGAAGAAUAUUCAAUCAGCAAGAAAGCAUUCCCGUAUUUAAAUGAAGGGGCACGUGAAACAAAUGAUAUGUUUAUUUUGUUCUAUACACAAGACACUAAUACCAGCUCUGAGCUUCAUUUAAGGUUCAGCCAAAAAAAGAACAACCAAUGUGAAACAGUUAUAAAGAAAAAGAAAAAAAACGGAAAGAACUCCAGAAUUAGAUAUAUCUCCACCUUUCUUUUGUCAGUUUUCGCAAUACCAUUAACCAGGCUCUGAACUGGAAUAACAUGCAAAACAAUAUCUCUUCCUAUACUCCUGCGCUUUCUCAAAGGACAAGGAAUAAUACGGAUAAUUCAUUUUUAAAUAGAACCUAAAUGCAGAUAAUUCCUACUCAUUUUAAGAUAACCAAUUGAAAGCCUCUAAUGCACAACAUGAGAUAUAAUACCGACGUUUUUCAAUGACAAACCAUUUUAUGUGAUAAAGUAUAAGGAAGAUUUAUAAGGUAUAACAUGCAAGAUGCAACACCUAAUCAGUACGUUCCUGGUACCUUUAAAUGAGAAAAUUUCCUAACAUGGAGAGCAUAAACAAGGCUUACUAUCUAGUGAUGUGCAUUGACAUUCUUCAUUUCCAUAAAUGGGCCAAUCGAGCAUUUUGGAAGGAGAGUCUCUUUCUCAUUCUAAUUACAUGUGAACAUCUCGAUCUAAUUUGCUCAGAGGUAAGUAACUGCAAUCAUUUCAAGAUUCAAAGCCUCGCAAUUUCAACACAAGGUCGUCAAUCAAUUGGCACCGAUCAACUAAAUUACCGAAAUCCACAGCUUGUUGUUAAAAAGCAAAUAACCGCCACUUCCCUAUCAACUUGUGGAAAUAAAUGGAAAUUCACCCAAAAUCUUGUUCCCAUAGUCAGAAGUAUGAGUUGCGUGAGACAACGGACCUCACCAGAACUCUUCUUGGCCUGUAGAGUGGCGACUAUGUCUAAACACUUCUCAAUAUCAGGAAUUUUUGCCUGGCAUUUAAUAUAGACAUUGAAUUAACAACCCAGUAAAAAGCAAAUGAACAAGUAUCAUGCUGACAGAGUAACAAUAACAUACUAACAAAGUGAUCAAGUUCUGUGGGAACAAAGAACCACGUGCACUCGGAUCUAUCGGGUCAAUGUAAAGAGAAAUUCAUUGUGAGACAUCAAGAGGUGCUGACCAUCUGGAUUUGUUUUAACUUUUUAUUUUAGAUUAGAUCACAAUAACUGCAACAGUAAGCCAAUUUCUCAUCCUUUUUUAGGGGAAAAGUAAAGCUCACUCGAAUUUGAGAAGAGAUUUAAGUUGAACUAGAAAAACAGAAACUAGAUAAAAGAAAUAAGGAGAAAGAAAACUGCAAGAGAGUGUAGCAACCUUCAUAAUUGAGGACAUGCCCAUUCCAUUAAUGAAAAUGUAAGAUACUAAAUAUACAAUGCACUAUGAAAGACAGAACUCAGAGCCAACAAACUUCUUGUUGUGUUACUUGUUUGUCUCAACCAGUACAUUUCUUUUUCCUGAAACUAAAUAUUCAUCGUGAUUAAGCCUUUGGUAUCAAUAUCUCUGAUCAUGUCUUUAUACCUCUUAAGAAUCAAGAAAAAAGUUGCCCACUCAAAUGCUUCAAAGUUCUUGAGAAAAGUUCUAACCACACAUGCACGUACGCCCACCUCCAUGUUAACCAUUGCAUACAUUUCAACACUGCGUUGGUUACGCUAUAUUGAAAAAGCGUAAAUUUGAAGAAAAAGAAACAAGGUCUAGUGCUAGCACAAGGGCCGACACAAGGGAUAGUGUCUAUGGUAUUCAGCAGUACAUUUGAAUAUGGGUCUUUGUUUGUGAUCACAUGAAGAAAAUGAACAACGAAAUGUAACUCAACAGCGAAUUCAAUAGCAGAUAUAACGAUACAAAAGAAUCAGUCGAUGAGAAAUUAUACACAAACAUCUAAAGGGAUGUCAAUAAUAACAAAUCCCAGCUGCCGUCGCCGUCUCUUCUCCCUCCCUCUUUCUCUUCAUUCUGGAAGGACGAUGCAGAGAUGGAUCUCCGAAUUGGGCCUGCCCGGUGGCUUGGGAAGUCCGAGUAUGAUCUUUGUAGCAACUUGAUAAAGCAACGGAGAGAGAUCUCUCUCACUUUCGCUGCGUUUGCCUGGAAGUGACAGGCGGCCUUCCUUCAUAAGUGAAAAAGCCGUUCAGAUUGACAAAAUAAUUGCUUCGAAGAGGAAACACGGGGGGAAGAGAGAGAGAGAGAUGGUGGCUUGGCCGACGACGAGGGGUGAUGGCACGGGAAGGAAAUACGACGUCGACGGCGACGGCGACGCAGCGGCGAGGUGGCGGAGGCUUGCGGUGACCGACACGGAGGGAAGAGUAGGAGAUUUUUCGUAAGUCCGGAUUUUUUUUAAGGAAAAUUCGUCAAAAAAGUAAGGGCAGUUGGGUCGUUUAGGAGGGUAACCGCACCAUGUGCACGCGGCAGGUGAACAGAUUUACCAGAGUCGCGUGUUUGGAGUGCUUUGCGAUAAGAAAGGAUUAAAACUAAAACUAGUUACUUUUGCCCAAGCUUUACGCGAACAUAUGUUAAUAAAUGUACUUUAAAUAUGUUUAUUUUCAUUUUUAUUUUUAUUAAUGUCAAUAAUUCUGGAUUGUGUAUAACACUCUCUUCGUUAUCCAUUAGGCAUAAAAUUACCAAGUAAAACCAUUUGUCAAAUCAAACAUGGAAAAUAUACAUGGAAGUUUUAAGUCAAAUUUAACUUUUCAUAAAGGUAUAAUAAAAAAAAUUUAAAAAUUGAAUAUUGAUACUUUCUAUAUCAAUUGAAUUCUAUUUUCAAUUUAGAAUAUGUGGAUUUUUUAUAUUCAGUACCAUAUCUCCAAAGGACAUUUUAAUUCGACCUCAAUAGUUGAGUUAAACCUCAAGACCAUCUCAACUUGUUCCUUGUAUAAAAUUUCCCAUGUGACAUCCAAGAUUGAAAGGAAAACCCAUUAGAAUAAGUCAAUUUUGGAUGGUUGACCGUCAAGACUGAAAAGCAUCUAGCAUCGGGUCUUUAUCCCAUGCUUGCAAUCACUUUACAUCUAUUGCUUGCUAUUAAGUGCUUGUCUUGUAAAAAAGAAAAAAGAAAGGGUAAAAAUCAUAAAAAAAUUCUAAAUUUUAUUUACUGCGAUACAUUUACCCUAAACUUUUUUUGUGACACUAGGAACCCUAAACUUUUAUUUAUGGAACGCAUUUAUCUUAAAUUUGUAUAGCGAGACACAUUUAUCCAAUUUUUUUUUUUGGUAAGUUAUCCAAAACUUAUUUUUUUUUUUGGUAAAGGUAUAUCCAAAACUUAUUUUUAUAACACCAAAAAUCCUAAAUUUGUAUUCGACACAUUUACCUUUUAAAAUUUGGCAUCGAUUUUGAUGUUACAGAAAACAAUUUGGGAGUAAAAAUGUCACAUAGAUAUAAGUUUGGAAUUUUUGAUGUCACAAAAAAAGUUUGUGGUAAAUGUAUCACACAGGUAAAGUUUGGGACCUUUUUUUUGGACUUUUUACCUUUUAUUUUUUUUAUUUUUCCUUCUCUACAUGGGCCAAAGGACGUAGAUCUUCAUACGUUGACAAGCAGUGAUUCACCUUUGCUCUCACCCGGACGAAAGAGGUUUCUUUAAUUUGCUUAGCACCGACUUAUAUGGAGCACAAGCUCCUGGUUCAAACCUGUCUUACGCAUAUUAUGAUUUCCAUUGGCGUUGUUCUUAAGCUGUAGAAAAUCACCAGGAUGGAGACCAAGGAUUUAGCGCGACUAUUCUCGUUCUUUGAUUUUGGAUGCCCCCAUCAUUCCAAGGAUAUUAAACAUGAGAAGUGAUGAGAUAAAGUCACGCUUUUCUAGCAUCAGCAGCAGCCCUUCUACCCCCACCCCAAAAAAACACUACCGGUAGCCCUUCGUCUCCAGAAAAUGACUGAUUAGCUACAUAAAUUCCCAGUCCUUUCCAUGAUAUUUCUCUCUAAGCUUGGCGUAGGUAUAGGGAUUUGUCUUUUGAUCGUCUAGUACAUAUAGACUCUAAUGAGAAAUUGUUGUUUAAGUUAAUUCGUCCAGUACAUUUCUUUUUCCUGAAACUAAAUAUUCAUCCUGAUUAAGCCUUUGGCAUCAAUAUCUCUAACCAUGUCUUUAUACCUCUUAAGAAUAAAGAAAAAGUUGCACACUUAAAUGAUUCAGAGUCCUAAAUAUUGCACGCACGCCCACCUGCUUGGUAACCGUUGCACAACAGUUCGGCACUGCCUUGGUUGUACUAUACUUAAAAAACAAAAAAACGAAAAAAAAAAAAAAAACAUAGAGAGAGAGAGAGAGUCAAGGUCCACUGGCAGCACAAGGGCAGACAGGAGGGAUAGUGUCUAUGGUAUUCAAUAGUGCAUUUAAAUCCGGGUCUUUGUUUGCGAUCACACAAAGAAAAUGAACAACAAAAUGUAACUCAACAGCCAAUUACCACAAGAACUCUUAAGAACACCCCCCCCCCCCCCAAAAAAAAUCAAAAAAUUUCAACAAACUAUCUCCUUCACCAGCACCUUCAGUCUACAAAAGCCCUAAACUCAAGAACACCUCGUAACCCCUCCCCGAUCCGCCAUCAUGGUUGCCGCCUGUCCCAGCUGCGGCCGCCGUCUCUUCUCCCUCCCUCUCUCUCUCUCUCUCUUCAUUCUGUGAGGACGAUGCAGAGAUGGAUCUCCGAAUUGGGUCUACCCGGUGACUUGGGAAGUCCGAGUCUGAUCCUCGUAGCAACUUGAUAAAGCCACGAAGAGAGAUCUCUCACUUUCGCUGCGUUUGCCUUGAAGUUACACGCGGCCUUCCUUCACUAGUGAAAAAGCCGUUCAGAUUGACAAAAUAAUUGCUUCGAAGAGGAAACACGGGGGAAGAAAGAGAGAGAGAGAUGGUGACUUGGCCGAGACCGGAAGCGAAACGAUCGGC